UUUGUGUGUGUUGGAUUCAGUACUUAUCAGUGAUAUUGGUAGUUCUCUGUAGUACUCUGUUUGUAUUAGUUUUACCUUUUCUCCAUCAUGAUUGCUUAGUUGCAUUAUUUUUGCUUCUAACUAUACUGCCCUGCUGCAGAUGAUAGCGUCUCAAACUGGACUUUUUGAUCAUUUGAUAAACGUUUGUAAAUUCAAGUGUGGUCCUCUUCUGCAACCUGUGACCUAUUACUUCUUAAUUUAUAGGCUUUAAGUUUCAGUCAUCCCUAUAUCGUCAGGUAAUAUAACAAGGCUGUUGUUUAGAUCAUAUAAUCAAGCAUGUCUGCUUAUCGGAAUUAAUGAUUGCCACGUUUGUUGAAUUAAAGUUUCACUUGUCAGAACAGUUUACACACAUUGAAUUACUUAGUGUACCUCUAAGGUUUUACCUUCUGCAAAGGUAUAACACCUACAGAUGAUCUGAUUUUUCUUCUUCUAGAUCCCCAUGUGUGUGAAUAUGUGUGUGAGUAACUAAUUUGCCCCAUGUAUAGGUAGACAACGAUCAAUAUGAGAGGGUGCUCAGCUACAUAUUGAUCCUUGUCAAUUCAGUACAAAUUUAGUGAAUUUACAGAUGGAGCUAUAUGUCCUCGGUGAUGUACAAGCAAACACUAAAUUGUUGCAGUGUACAAAGUCCCUAAGUAAUUCCUGGGGCUACAAGUUUUAAAUAAAAAGAUGACGAGUCUCUACCAUAUUCAGCCUCUGCUUUAGAAUAUGAUUUGAACUAUAGGACAACCGGUUGCUUUUGGUAAUUUAUGCCACUAAUUCUCGGUCCUUUGUGUGAGCUAUGUUUUCCUUGCGCUUUUGCUUCUUACUUACAUAUUGGUAUGGUGUCAGGUUUACUUGCCUACAAGUUUGGUUCCACUUGGUACGGACACCGUUCUCUGCUGUCAGCAUAUCUAUAGUAUCAGGAUAUUGUUACUACCUUGAGUGCUGAAUUUAAGGAUGUCUUAUCAUGUAUUACUUUGACUCCCUUCUGAAUUAUGAGGUCAUCCCAUAACCGUCCACUAAUCAGGUGUCUGGUCCAUCUUUUUACCCUUACUAGUAGAAUGCCCGUGCGUUGCCACGGGCUACAUUGCUACUAAAUGAAUCAAUCAAAUAAUUAAGAUCGUCUUCAAAGUUGAAACUCAUUUCUUUCUCAUAUGUCCUUUUGUGUUCGGACAUCAAACGCGUCCAACGGUACUCCUUAAAAUUAAUUGGUGUGACAGUUAAGACUCUUCUAAUCCAGUCCAUAUAUGAUGGAGAAAUGUAGUUAUUCGGACUAUCUAUAUUGUUAUAUCGAACACGAGGUCCAACAUAAAAAUCUACCACCAUGUUACCUUCACCACACUGUCCAACACAAAAAAACAUCCCAUGACGCACCCUUUCUUUUCUCUACAGGACAUUUCUCGCUAAAGCCCUCUCCUUUAAAACCAGAUGAGGCCCACAUCACAUUCGUCAUAGUGCCAUCUCUCCUUCACACUAUACUUCCCUACGGACCGCUAAGGAUGGGUCCCCCACCAACCACCCCGCUCUCUGCUCUGAUCCCCGUGUCCGUACCGAUCCGCCACCACCAUCAAGGGGGAGAAGGCGUGCACUACUCAUGACGCCCCUGAGCCAAGAAGGCACACCCGAUGUCUCCUGACAAUUGCCACGUUGUAACAUACAGUUGAAUGUCAUGCAUAACCACGAUACGCCAGCGUGUUCAUUAUUAACUCUUGAAAAACUACCGAUGCAUUUACCAUUCUAUCCUAACCAAAAAAAUGUAUUACUCGAUGAAAAACAAUGAACAACUCACUCAUGCAAUUUUCUGUUAAGCCAUUUCUAAUGAAAUGCAAUUGGCCACAUUUUCUAACGUAGAAAAAUUAUUCCGGUCAUAUAGCAUUAGACCAACCCCAACCCCCAUCCCGCUCACUCUCAACCCUCAACGUAACUAUAAUAUCCAUAACUUGUGUUCUAAGUGGGCCAGUGCACGCCAGCAGCAAGGGAAAAGGGCGACAACCGCCUUCGGAUGUUAUUCGCUAUGGCCUAUAGCAAAUUUUCUAGACAACAAAGAUAAUGCUAGCUCAACAUGCAUUUAACAAAAAAAUGAAUUACAAAUCACAAUGAAAAUAUAUUUGACGACUUAAAGCAAACAAAUACUAAUCUUUGUUGUUUUCUUUUCCAUUUCAGUAAGAAACAAAAUGAGUACAUGAGUCAUCCCCAUGAAAUGCAUCAACAAAGCAGACAGGAGCAACAAAAUUAAAGCAAACUUCUUACCGGGUUGGCAAUUCAUCCAAGUAUUUUUACAUGGACCAUCAUAAUGCAAGACAAAUAAAGUUCACAUAAAAAACAACAAUGAUCGGACGCAUUACAGACAUCAUCAUAUGUAUGUGUAAUACAUGACCAUGUUUGGUGUUGCUGGAAGACCACUUUCCUUCUCAUCCCGAGCAACAACUUCAGCUUUGUUUCCACACGAUCUCUUUAUAGCAUAGGUCAGGGCACUUCACGGAUAAUCUGGAUAACACUCACAUGUUCAUUCAUUUUUUCAUAUAACGGUCAAAGAAAAAAGUACACUCAAUUUAUCAUUUAAUUAGAGCACCGGUUUAAUCCAUAAAGGCAGCGUGUAGGGCACUCUCUCACACACAGAGGAAUGCUUGUAUUUCUUAGUUUUUCCACCUACCUACGGCACAUCAUUUCAAGAAUAGUUGUUGAAGCAACUUAUAUGCAAAGCACGACUACUAUCACGGCAUCCUUUUUGAGGAGAAAAAUAACUAAUAACACGACAUUCUAUGUCUCGUUGCUAUCCUAUUUAUUUGAUCAUUUUGGGAGCUUCAAUUCCUUGAAUAAUUCAGUGAAUGCUAUCUGCAAUGACCCGUUGUCUGCCAAUGCCAACACUCAUCUAGCCUUCUCAUUCGCCAAUGUUAGCCUCCCACUUAGCUUCUCUCCUUCUUCUCCAUGCCCUCAACCUUCACAAGUUCUUCGUCAUACUUCUCCAUCACCUCCCCGACAUUCAUAUCAUCCACCACGAACAUAAUUCAUAACAUUCAGGCAGUAAAGGUCAAUGUACACCAAGCCGGUCAAAUAAACAAUACUUUAGCAUCUCUCAAGGGAAGUUUCAAAUUUCACCUAAAAAUUUCAAUUAAAGUCACGUUGGAAAUUUAAUCUACUACCCAAUAUUAAAUUCUAUAUGAUAAAUGUGAUAGCUUAAAUUCAAAGUAAUAGAUUGGAUCCUCCCUUAACAAUAUGACUGGUAGAUAGUUUUGAGGGGAAAUCUGCAUAUAUUUUAGCAUAGACUUACCCAAAGAAAAAGUCAUUAUAACCAUUCAACAAAUGACCUAUAACCUCUAAUGUACCCAAGGGGAACAGAUCAGACAUGUUUUUGUAAGUCCUAGGAUAACCAAAAAGCACAUCAUCAUGACAUGUCAUCAGUUGGAAGUGUGACACUUAUGACCGUGGUAUGUAAUUGAUAUAUUCUGGUUGGAAGUGUGUCACCAGAUGCAAUGUGGAAGUGUGUCAUUAGAUGCAAUGUGGAGGGAAGAUAUCAAGGAUACUCAUCGGAGUAUGCUGUGGCACUGGAGCAGCUGCGUACCGGUAGGAGAACGGUAGCCCCACUCGUUUACUGGUCGGCGGUCACAACCACGCACUUGUUGUCGGUUCUAUAUCCGGCAUAUCUCGUAAUAGGGGUCCUAAGCUAAGCGUCUUGGAGCGAUGGUAACAUGAACACAUGAUUUUAGCCAGCUUCGGGCUCUCUCGAAGAGAUAAUACCCUACAUGCUGCUUUUGAUUGUAUUCAUAUGGGGUGUAGUACAGAGUACAUGUAUCUACCACGAGACUGUUCCCAUGAAUCUGAGAUUGCCUAUUGACUAGCCUGGCCUCGGUUUAUAUAAAACACCAGAGGCCUAGGGUUUAGGGGAGUGCUCGUGUUGGGCGCCAAGUCUUGUGGGAUCUCCCUUGUAUGCGGCAUGGGCUUCCCGAAGUGGCCCAUGAGUAAAUCGUCAUGGGGGUUCUCGGCCCGAUCCAGCUGGUCGGGAGACGACGUGGUGAGUACCCCCUAGUCCAGGACACCGUCAGUAGCCCACUGAACCGGUCUUCAAGUUGGGGACGCUCCUCGAUUCUUCCGAACUGUUCUUCAUCUUCGGCCGUCGGUCUUGAAAACUGGUUCAAUAAAUCUUCUCAUCUUCGAUCUUGAGGAUCGCCGAAGUGAAUCCGAAGAGUUUACACGUCGGGUAUCCGAGGAGCCCCUUUAAGUUCUCGGCCUUUAUCAAUGCCUUGUUAUUUUUAUGCCACACCUCGGGUUUGAAAUUGUUCCCGUGCGGCGGUGCCCUCUUGCAUCCGAGCUCCAACGCCAGACUGCAUUCGAGGUAUCUUUUGCAGCCGAGCACCAACGCCGGACCGCUUCCAAGCUCCAACGCCGGAAUGUAUCCGAGCUCCAACGUCGGACUGUAUUUGAAGAGUCUUUUUACAGCCGAGCUCCAGCGCCGGAUUGUAUCCGAGGACUCUUUUUACAGCCGAGCUCCAGCGCCGGACUAUAUCCGAGGUGUCAUAGAUUACCUCGGUCUUGAAAAAGUUAAAAGGGUUCAACCAAGCUUAAUGCUGGAGAUGCCCUCUAUGGAUUUAAUUCCGAUUUGUGCAAUGUAUUCUCUGCUGAGAUGUAUAGCCAAUAGCCCUCAAGGUGUGUGUCGGCCAAAAAUCCGAGAUGCACAUUAGAGGAGAUAGUGAUCAGCGGACAGGCCCUUGAGAGAGGGUUUCGAGAAGUCGCCGUAAUAUAUUAGCUUGAUGCCGGAUAAGUCCCAGAUAGUAUCUAUUGUUGUCCGAAGACGCGUUUGCCCAUAGUCCGGUCAAGCCGAACACUAAGCACUUUGAAUUUUCUGCAUUGAAUAGGCAAUGCAGUAGCCCCCGAGACACUGGUCGGGUGGCAACACCAGAUCAAGGGAUCGAUGUGCCCCUUUAAUAUUAGUAAAUGAUAAGCCCAAAGCCCAGUAGCCCCCGAGCCUUAGUGUGGACACGGGUGGCCGAAUUAAGGAUCGAUAUCCAGAGUAAAAUCACAAAUUAUGUGUAGUGAUUUUACGUAUCCAAGUACUCUACAUCAUUAAUGCUCGGAUCCGCAUCUAUAAUACCUAAAUAGUUCAUCCCACUACCUUAUUUCUUUUGACAUGCAGCCUAUCCACAUCAGCAAUCUGCCACAUCAGCAAUUAUUUAUUUUUAAACCAUUUUUUGUUGACAUUUACACAAGUUGCUUUCAUCACUCUGCUUCUAGACUUUAAACAACCGAGUGAAGCCCAAUGGUCUCGAUUGGCAAAUAGAAAAAAGAAGCCCAAUCGUCUCAGGAGAAGCCCAACCGUCUGUCCCUGCGUUGUUUUCUACCUCCUACUACUUCAUCCUCAUCCCUCCCCUCCGCGCAUCUCUUUGCUUCUCUCCCAACCCCCUCCAUCCUCCUCUGCUUCUCCUGCAGUGCCAUACCGCAUCCUCUUAUGUGCUCCACUGCAAGCACCAACAAGGCAGACGCUUCGCCUUCUCCAGAUCUGUGAAGCGAUGAACAGGGCAUCGAGGCGUUAGGUAUCACGAGAAGAAGCUCUGCCCAUGAUCCCUCGCCACCAAACUCAUUCUACCAGGGGAGACUAGCCACCAUCUGAAUGGCUUCGUCGACUCAAAGCUCCCCGAGUGUCGGUCAAGCACUUCAUGACGUGGUACCUCCUGGUCGUUUUAUAUGCGUAGCUGUGGAGCCAUCUCCGGCGCCUCUGCCAUAAAGGUAGCCGUCUCUCUUGCUCUCUGCUUCAGGAGCAAGGCCCCCUGUUUUCUUUCAUUUGCCAGAGCCGACGACCUCGCAAUUGAGAAGGUUACUAAUCCCUUAUGUCAAUCCCUGUUCAUAUCUCUCAAAUUAACCUCAGGGUGUUGUCGAUUUUGCUUCGUGCAUGUCUGCUUCCGCUCAAGUUAUAGCACUGGGUGAAAUUUUGAGUCCCCAUCGCCAGUUGGUACCUCCCUCUCAUCAUCUGAUAUGUAUCAGGUUGUUCUGUAUUCCUCCAUGGAUCUAUUCCUAAACAUAUACUGUACUAUCUUGCUACUUUUUCGUCAGGUUAUCCUACACGAUUUGCUGAUUAUUGUUUUUCUACAGCAAAAGGGUCUCGCCCCGAUUCCGUUUCAGAAAUCAGGUACUAUAUAGUUUGGUAGCAAGAGGAACACAGCUAACAUACAGGCUCAGCGGAAAGAAAGGAAGGAAACGCCAACCAGCCACUAGGAAAGGCAUAUAACUUUUGUAUUUGCGAGAAAAAAGGCGUAUAACUAAUUACAGAGAUUUCAUACACAUUAACUCGAAAUGACAGAAUAAUCAGGCUGAGGAGAUUAAUUGCCGAUUAUUUUUCACAUGCCUUCUAUACUUAUGCACAUGAAUGAAUUCCCUAUUUUUUGCAUCCUCAAUCGUGCAUCUUUAAUUAUUUAUUGGUUGUUGUUCUGAAUUGUUGUGAAAUUGUGCUAUCUAAUUUCCUACAUAUAUGGUUAUCGUACUUGAGGGUUGGAGGUCCAAGAUUUAUAUUGACAUGCACAAUAUCAAAACAGGGAAAACAAUCUUAAGCACUGCAGAUUGUUUCUCUAGCUCUAUAGGAUAUUGUAGAUUAUUUCAAGUUUUGAUGUUUACUUUCAGUUGUCCAAGCAUAUUUUCCUAACAAUUGUAUCUUUUCUUUACCAGGAGAUUUUAUUCCUCAUUUAAGUUCCUUUCAAGAAUCAAGACUACCAUGGACAAUUUUUUUGUUUCAACUCAUGUAAACCUAAAGUGUUGGCUGCAUGUUGUCAUGAGAAUAGGAUCAUCGGCUUAAGGUAAAUACAUAUCUCAAUAAACCAUUUAAUGAUUAUAAUUUCUAAUUGUUCCUUUGUUUUGACUAAGAAAUAUAAGAGCAUAUGAGCAGAGAAACUGUAGACAAAAUACAAUCUACAGCCAUCCAUGGUCAUUAUUACAAGGGCAAAGGAGGUUGCGUAACUCUGGUGGUCAAAAACACUGUUGUCCGCGCUUCUAUAUCCUAAGUAUUAGGGCUAAUAACCGCCCUGCAAGGCUCCAAAAAGGUAUUUGUUUCUCUUACCAUGACAAUGAUGCAGCUCCCAGCACACAGGAAAGUGCCGUCAGAUAACACACAUAUUCGUCUCCCUUUCUUUUGUGUGUGCGCGUGUGUGCUCAGAUAUUCAUUUUUUCCCACUUCGUGAAUCAUUCAUGCCCGCUAUAUUCAUUCAGCCUGAUGCUCAACAAUUUUUUUUUUGCAUACACGCUUGUGGUAUUACUUACUGAUGUUUCUUUUGCCGUGCAGGGGAUGCUCUUUAGAAAAUUUGUUACCUCUAAAGCCAUAUUUUCUGAAAUGAAAUUUGAUCAUUCCUAUGCCCCCUCCAUUUUCUUGAAUUGAAGUUCCAUCAUAGUUUGCAGAAAUCAGCUUAUUAGUUGUCCUCUUAGAUCAAUCCUCAAGUUUGUUAUAAGUUGUUUGCCACCUUAUGACUAAUGACAAUGUUCUAAAUAAAACAAAUUGUACUUCCAUAUGUGUCUAGCUCUCCAUGUUUCAAUUUCUCAGAAGUAAAGACGCACUUCAAUAAUUUUAAGCUAAGCUUCUUGCUUGCUUUCCGGAAUAAUUAUUUUGUUAUAUGUGCCAACUGGCUACAUUCAAUUUAACCUUUGCUUUAUGGUAUAAUAAUAUUCAAAUAUUUCAUGAGGUCAUGGGUUUGAGUCAUGCCUCUUGCAGAAAUGUAGGGAAAGACUGCAUAGUACGACCCAAAGCAGUCGAACCCUUACCGGACCCUAUGCAAGCGGGAGCUACGUGCACCGGGCCGCUCCCUUUAUGGUAAUAAUAAUAUUCAAAUAUUUCAUUAUGUGAUGAGGUGACAUUAUUAGAGGCUAAUUCACCUUGGAUUGUUCUAUUCCUCUCCAGAAAAGAUUUGCAUAUAUACGACAUGUGCACUGUGAUUGGAUUGCAACUGAGUUGCAUUUGUCCUUAUCAUUCUAUUGUACUAGAGUGCAUGCAUUCUCACUUUUGUAUUGUCUAUUUAUACAAACAACCGUAGAUAACUUAUGCUACUCCACGGUAUUAACAUACUUACUAAUUGAAAAAGCACCUUAUGAUCUGUACAAUUGCCCUUGAUAUGUCCACUAUAUUUUCCUAAUGCAUGUCCACUAUUCUUCUCUAUAUUUUUAACGAUUGGCUAUGUUUUAUUCAACCAUAUAGUUUUUCAAAGUGUUAUAUAUCAUCUCACAAAAAUAUAGUGCAUUAUAUCAUGUGCAAAGGAUUCCCGCGGCAACGCGCGGGGAAUCUUCUAGUUGUACAGAACUUUGAUGACCGACCAUCGGCUUCAACCACAUCGGCUAGUAGUCAAGGAGUGUUUGUCCUACUUUAUAAAGCCUUGAUAAGGGUAAAGAUUUACGACAAACAAGGCAAUCCGGCCAUAUGGUUUUAUAAACAAAGGUAUACGAAGAGAUAUGUUAUGUUACUUUUUAACGGAAGAAACAUCGUCCGAAGAAAAUAGCCCCACUAUUGGUUCCUUUCUUUGGGUUGUCAUGCUGAUCACGUUCAUAAAACCUCACCUCCGAUCAAUGUGGGAGAAAAAUAUUGAGGAUUUAGUGUGGGGAAAGUUCUUGAACUCUUAUGGUCUCAAUGAACCAAAAUUUUCGCUUCCGUCGUUGCCGACCAAUUAUAUCCUUUAAGAUCGCUAACUUUCAGCUUCACCCAGUCCGAGGUACUAACUCGGAUGACCCGGUAGUAACAAUCACAGAGGUGCUCCCUUUACCGCCUAGCCAAAAAAUUGGGAACGUAGGGGUAAGCACAGGAGCCAGGCAACGCAACUUGGCCAAAAUCUUAAGUCAAAUUGAUCCACAUUUGUGGCUUUAUAACGAUGAUUACGGAAGGCGACCCUUGUAUAUUAAAUACAAAUGCCAAUGAUAUGUUUAUUUUGACUCCGUUGCGACCAUUUAUCAGUUGAAAGUGGCCCAUCGUCCGCUUCCAUCCCCUUGUAGAUGCUACGUGGGGUGUUUCCGCAAAAACAAAAUAAUCCUUAGCCGACGGCUCGGUGCCCGAAGGCGGUUGUGUUAGCGGAAACGAGGCAAUCAGAUAUGCGGGCUUUAUAACUUUCACUUAGUCAUAGGAGCUUAAAGUUGGGAGGCCAAUUAUUAGCCCCCGGUUAGUGUUCGGCGACGGCCGAGGUCAAGCCGUUAACACUUUGGCCAAUGUUGUGAACGGUCCGUCGUUUAACACGGGGUGACCUCCAUCGAUCUUAUAGUUUAACACAGUCAUCGGACCGCUGACCAGUUUACGCUUAUUGUGACAGUCAGUUUUUGGCUUUCUCCACUAGGGCGCUUAACCAUGCGAGUUGAAAGCACAAUCGCAGUGGUUCUCCCUUUGCACACCUAGCCGAACAAAGUGGAACGUAGGAGGCAAGGACAUGAGCUGGGCAACCCAACUAUUAACCGAAGACACAAUUCGAAACCGAUGCAUAUAUAGCAAUAUCCGAGAAUGUUUUUUUUUGUCGAGGACUCUAUGGCGUGCCUUCGUUUUUGGUGGGUUCGGCUGUAGUCCAGCCCCCCAUCAAUAUUGCCAAUGAUUUAAAGGUGUCUGGCAUUGUACUGCUCAGAAACUAGUCUCGAUGUGGCGUGUGUUUUGUCAACGCCGAGGUGUAGUUCGGCGAGAAAGAUGCCGAACUGUGGGUCGAAAAGGAUCUCCCAAGUUGAAUUAUUAUGCAGGGCACCUCGGUCAUGAGGAUGUCCCGCUUCCUGAAAGAAAAACAUACAAGUAGCUAAAAAGCGCCAUAAGCUCGAAAAGCCAAAAACUUAUGGAAAAGCUUAACGUCUGAACUAAAUCAAACUUCUGGUGCCAAUCCGAAAAUUGGUCUUAAAGUUUUUGUGCUUCUAUCGUGCAUUAAUAUGACACAUCCGAUCUCAAGACUUCAAGCGGGUCAGCCUACGACUUCAACCUCCUUAUCCCGAAGGCGUAGUGCUUCUCCGAGGCCAGUUUAGCGAAUUAAACUCGAGCGGCUUUAGAGAGAAGCAAGGCUAUCCGACUAUUGACCAUACACUCGAGUCGAAAAAGGAGUGAUAGAAAAAGACUUUGCAACGACCAAGAAGAAAACACAUUUACUAUAAAACGGCUCAUAUAAAUUUUAAGAGCCCGUAGUUAACAUGGGUAAUGGGAGUUUCUUUUAACCAACAACGUAUGUGAGCACGGUCGAACCGAACACAAAUUAAAAAAUUAAAAACUUUGAGCAUGAAAGCGACUUAGCUGGUUAAUGUGUUAGGCAUUGAUGAGGCGGUCCGAGCUUGAUUCGGGACAACGUUCCAGCCACCAGGCUGGUCCCGAGGUGGCCGAGCGGAGAGCUCGGCGCUCCGAAGUGGCGACACAGCACGACCGCUAUGGAGAGGUGAAGCUCCCAAUUCGGCCGAGGUGACAAAGCAGCUCGGCGGGUGAUGCCGGAGCCCCCACGUCAGCCAACGCGUCGAAACAGGUCGGCGUCGAUUUACCUGUGCACAUGAAACAGUGCAAGCCAAAAGUAAUAACAUAAUAGUAAUUCUACUUAAUUAAUUUAAGUGAAGUAAAUAAUAAGAAUAUGGCCUGAGCGCCAUGGUCGGUCUGGUGGAGUGGCAGCACGGAAAAGCCGACACAGGGACGCGCGUCGAGGCGACGCCAUGACUUGGCCGACGUAGGCGGGACGACGCCAUUGACUUGACGAGGUGUUAGCGCGGCCUAGCCUAAAUAGAUUGCCUGCACACACACAAAGUAGUGCCAGCCGGGGAUGAUAGUAAUAAAAAAAAAAUCAUAGCAUAAUAAAUAAUUUAUGCAAAAUGAGUAAUAAGAGAAAUAUGACCCGUGUGCCGAACACCCGACAAGGUAGAGCUCUCUCGACGAUGCCGAAAUCCCCGAGGCAACCGAACAUGUAGGUGAUCACGCGAGCCGAUUUAUGCCGAUUGGGAUGACGACGUCAGUUUGCCAAAUUGACCGUGUGACGCGGUCGAAGUUGAUUACCUACACACUUAAAAUAGUGCAGUCCAAAAUGAUCUUCUACGUAAUUGUCAUAAAUGAAAUAAACAAUUGGAGGAAUAUGGCUUGAGCGCCGAGGUCGGCCUGGCGGAGCGCCAAGGUCCGUGUGCCGCGUCCGAGGUGACCCCAUGACUUGGUCGGUGUAGGCGGGACGAUGACGUCGGCUUGCCAACGGCGGGGCAUAGUCGAGGUUAAUUAUACGCAUGCAUUAAGUAGUACAAGCUGUUGGGGAACGUAGUAAUUUCAAAAAAUUUCCUACGCACACGCAAGAUCAUGGUGAUGCAUAGCAACGAGAGGGGAGAGUGUUGUCCACGUACCUGUUGGAAAUAUGCCUAGAGGCAAUAAUAAAUGGUUAUUAUUAUAUUUCUUUGUUCAUGGUAAUUGUCCAUUAUUCAUGCUAUAAUUGUAUUGUCCGGAAAUCGUAAUACAUGUGUAAAUACAUAGACAACACCAUGUCCCUAGUGAGCCUCUAGUUGACUAGCUCGUUGAUCAAUAGAUGGUUACGGUUUCCUGACCAUGGACAUUGGAUGUCGUUGAUAACGGGAUCACAUCAUUAGGAGAAUGAUGUGAUGGACAAGACCCAAUCCUAAGCAUAGCAUAAAAGAUCGUGUAGUUUCGUUUGCUAGAGCUUUUCCAAUGUCAAGUAUCUUUUCCUUAGACCAUGAGAUCGUGCAACUCCCGGAUACCGUAGGAGUGCUUUGGGUGUGCCAAACGUCACAACGUAACUGGGUGACUAUAAAGGUGCAUUACGGGUAUCUCCGAAAGUGUCUGUUGGGUUGGCACGGAUCGAGACUGGGAUUUGUCACUCCGUGUGACGGAGAGGUAUCUCUGGGCCCACUCGGUAAUGCAUCAUCAUAAUGAGCUCAAUGUGACUAAGGCGUUAGUCACGGGAUCAUGCAUUGCGGUACGAGUAAAGAGACUUGCCGGUAACGAGACUGAACUAGGUAUUGGGAUACCGACGAUCGAAUCUCGGGCAAAUAACAUACCGAUUGACAAAGGGAAUUGCAUCGGAUUGAUUGAAUCCUCGACACCGUGGUUCUUCCGAUGAGAUCAUCGUGGAGCAUGUGGGAGCCAACAUGGGUAUCCAGAUCCCGCUGUUGGUUAUUGACCGGAGAGGCGUCUCGGUCAUGUCUGCAUGUCUCCCGAACCCGUAGGGUCUACACACUUAAGGUCCGGUGACGCUAGGGUUGUAGAGAUAUAUGUAUGCGGAAACCCGAAAGUUGUUCGGAGUCCCGGAUGAGAUCCCGGACGUCACGAGAGGUUCCGGAAUGGUCCGGAGGUAAAGAUUUAUAUAUGGGAAGUCUUAUUUUGGUCGCCGGAAAAGUUUCGCACUUUAUCGGUAUUGUACCGGGAGUGCUGAAAGGGGUCCGGGGGUCCACCAAGGGGGUCCACCAGCCCCGGGGGGCCACAUGGGCUGUAAGGGGUGCGCCUUGGCCUAGAUGGGCCAAGGGCACCAGCCCCAAGAGGCCCAUGCGCAAGAGAUAAGAAAAAAGGGAGAGUCCUAAAAGGGGAAGGCACCUCCGAGGUGCCUUGGGGGGGAAGGACUCCCCCCUGGCCGCACCCUUCCUUGGAGGAAGGGGCAAGGCUGCGCCCCCCUCUCUCCCUUGGCCCUAUAUAUAGUGGGGGGAAGGGAGGGCAGCAACAUCUAAGCCUUGGGCGCCUCCCUCCUCCCCUGCAACACCUCUCUCUCUCUCGCAGAAGCUCGGCGAAGCCCUGCCGGAGACCCGCUACAUCCACCACCACGCCGUCGUGCUGUUGGAUCUCCAUCAACCUCUCCUUCCCCCUUGCUGGAUCAAGAAGGAGGAGACGUUGCUGCACCGUACGUGUGUUGAACGCGGAGGUGCCGUCCGUUCGGCACUCGGUCAUCGGUGAUUUGGAUCACGGCGAGUACGACUCCGUCAUCCACGUUCAUUGGAACGCUUCCGCUCGCGAUCUACAAGGGUAUGUAGAUCCACUCCUUUCCCUUCGUUGCUAGUAGACUCCAUAGAUGCAUCUUGGUGAGCGUAGGAAAAUUUUAAAUUAUGCUACGAUUCCCAACAGUGGCAUCAUGAGCCAGGUCUAUGCGUAGUUACUAUGCACGAGUAGAACACAAAGCAGUUGUGGGCGUUGAGUUUGCCAAUUCUUCUUGCCGCUACUAGUCGUUUCUUGUUUCGGCGGCAUUGUAGGAUGAAGCGGCCCGGACCGACCUUACACGUACGCUUACGUGAGACAGGUUCCACCGACUGACAUGCACUAGAUGCAUAAGGUGGCUAGCGGGUGUCUGUCUCUCCUACUAUAGUCGGAACGGAUUCGAUGAAAAGGGUCCUUAUGAAGGGUAAAUAGAAAUUGGCAAAUCACGUUGUGGUCAUACGUAGGUAAGAAACGUUCUUGCUAGAAACCUACAAACCACGUAAAAACUUGCAACAACAAUUAGAGGACGUCUAACUUGUUUUUGCAGCAAGUGCUAUGUGAUGUGAUAUGGCCAGAAGAUGUGAUGAAUGAUAUAUGUGAUGUAUGAGAUUGAUCAUAUUCUUGUAAUAGGAAUCACGACUUUCAUGUCGAUGAGUAUGACAACCGGCAGGAGCCAUAGGAGUUGUCUUUAUUAUUUUGCAUGACCUGCGUGUCAUUGAAUAACGCCAUGUAAAUUACUUUACUUUGUUGCUAAACGCGUUAGCCAUAGAAGUAGAAGUAAUCGUUGGUGUGACGACUUCAUGAAGACACAAUGAUGGAGAUCAUGAUGAUGGAGAUCAUGGUGUCAUGCCGGUGACAAAGAUGAUCAUGGUGCCCCGAAGAUGGAGAUCAAAGGAGCAUAAUGAUAUUGGCCAUAUCAUGUCACUAUUUGAUUGCAUGUGAUGUUUAUCAUGUUUUUGCAUCUUAUUUGCUUAGAACGACGGUAGCAAGUAGGAUGAUCCCUUAUAAUAAUUUCAAGAAAGUGUUCACCCUAACUGUGCAUCGUUGCGAAGGUUCGUCGUUUCGAAGCACCACGUGAUGAUCGGGUGUGAUAGAUUCUUACGUUCGAAUACAACGGGUGUUGACGAGCCUAGCAUGUACAGACAUGGCCUCGGAACACACGCAAUACACUUAGGUUGACUUGACGAGCCUAGCAUGUACAGACAUGGCCUCGGAACACGGAGGACCGAAAGGUCGAGCAUGAGUCGUAUAGAAGAUACGAUCAACAUGGAGAUGUUCACCGAUCUUGACUAGUCCGUCUCACGUGAUGAUCGGACACGGCCUAGUUAAACUCGGAUCAUGUUUCACUUAGAUGACUAGAGGGAUGUCUAUCUGAGUGGGAGUUCAUAAUCAGAUGAACUUCAUUAUCAUGAACAUAGUCAAAAAGGUAUUUGCAAAUUAUGUCAUAGCUUGCGCUUUAGUUCUACUGGUUAAGAUAUGUUCCUAGAGAAAAUUUAGUUGAAAAUUGGUAGUAGCAAUUAUGCGGACUGGGUCCGUAAACUGAGGAUUGUCCUAAUUGCUGCACAGAAGGCUUAUGUCCUUAAUGCACCGCUCGGUGUGCUGAACCUCAGCGUCGUCUGUAGAUGUUACGAAACAUCUGACAUACACGUUUUGAUGACUACGUGAUAGUUCAGUGCGGUUUAGAAUUGUGGCACCAAAGAUGUUUUGAAACGUCGCAAAACAUGUGAGAUGUUCCGAAGACUGAAAUUGGGAUUUCAGACUAGUGCCCACGUCAAGAGGUAUGAGACCUCUGACAAGUUUCUUAAGCCUGCAAACUAAGGGAGAAAAGCUCAAUCGUUGAGUGUGUGCUCAGAUAGUCUGAGUGCCACAAUCGCUUGAAUCGAGUGGGAGUUAAUCUCCCAGAUGAGAUAGUGAUAGUUCUCCAUAGUCACUGCCACCAAGCUAGUAGAGCUUCGUGAUGAACUAUAACAUAUCAAGGAUAAUCAUGAUGAUCCUUGAGCUAUUCGCGAUGUUUGACACCGCGAGAGUAGAAAUCAAGAAGGAGCAUCAAUUGUUGAUGGUUAGUAAAACCACUAGUUUAAAAAGGGCAAGGGCAAAAGGGAUACUUCAUGAAACAGCAAGUCGUUUGCUGCUCUAGUGAAGAAUCCCAAGGUUGAACCCAAACCCGAGACUAAGUGCUUCUGUAAUGAGAGGAACGGUCACUGAAGCAGUACUACCCUAGAUACUUGGUAGAUGAGAAGGCAGGCAAGGUCGACAGAAGUAUAUUGGAUAUACGUUAUAUGAAUGUGUACUUUACUAGUACUCCUAGCAGCAGCAGGGUAUUAGAUACUGGUUCGGUUGCUAAGUGUUAGUAACUCGAAAUAAAAGCUGCGGAAUAAAUGGAGACUAGCUAAAGGUGAGAUGACGAUAUGUGUUGGAAGUGUUUCCAAGGUUGAUGUGAUCAAGCAUCGCAUGCUCCCUCUACCAUCGAGAUUUGGUGGUUGCGCUGAACAUGAUUGGAUUAUGUUUACCGCAAAACGAUUAUUCAUUUAAGGAGAAUAAUGGUUACUCUGUUUAUUUGAAUAAUACCUUCAAUGGUCUUGCACCUAAAAUGAAUCUCGAUCGUAGUGAUACACAUGUUCAUGCCAAAAGAUAUAAGAUAGUAAUGAUAGUACCACAUACUUGUGGCACUGACACUUGAGUCAUAUUGGUGUAGAACGCAUGAAGAAGCUCCAUGUAGGUGGAUCUUUGGACUCACUCAUUUUUGAAAAGAUUGAGACAUGCGAACCAUGUCUAUUGGUAUAUAUGCAUGAAGAAACUCCAUACAGAUGGAUCGUUUGGACUCACUUGAUUAUGAAUCACUUGAGACAUGCAAAUCAUACCACAUGGGCAAGAUGACUGAAAGGCCUCGUUUUCAGUAAGAUGGAACAAGAGAGCAAUUUAUUGGAAGUAAUACAUUUUGAUGUAUGCAGUCCAAUGAAUGCUAAGGCAUGCAGUGGAUAUCGUUAUGUUCUUACUUCACAGAUGAUUUGAGUCGAUACUGAGUGUAUUUACUUGAUGAAACACUAGUCUGAAUUAUUGAAAGGUUCAAGCAAUUUCAGAGUGAAGUUGAAGAUCGUCGUGACAAGAGGAUAAAAUGUCUGUGAUAUGAUCAUAGAGAUGAGUAUCUGAGAUACGAGUUUGGCACACAAUUGAGACAUUGUGGAAAGUGUUUCACAAUUAAUACCGCCUGGAACACCAUAGUGUGAUGGUGUGUCCGAACAUCAUAACUGCACCCUAUUGGAUAUGGUGCAUACCAUGAUGUUUCUUAUCAAAUUACCACUAUCGUUUAUGGGUUAGGCAUUAGAGACAACCGCAUUCACUUUAAAAGGGGCACCACGCAAUUCCGUUGAGACGACACCGUUUAGAGAAACCUAAGUUGUCGUUUCUUAAAAGUUUGGGGCUGCGCAGCUUAUGUGAAAAAGUUUCAAGCUGAUAAGCUCGAACCCAAAGCGGAUAAAUACAUCUUCAUAGAAAACCCAAAACAGUUGGGUGUACCUCCUAUUUCAGAUCUGGAAGCAAAAGUAAUUGCUUCUAGAAACGAGUCCUUUCUCGAGGAAAAGUUUCUCUCGAAAGAAUUGAGUGGGAGGAUGGUGGAAACUUGAUAAGGUUAUUGAACCAUAACUUCAACUAGUGUGUAGCAGGGCACAGGAAGUUGUUCCUGUGGCACCUACACCAAUUGAAGUGGAAGCUUAUGAUAGUGAUCAUGAAACUUCGGAUCAAGUCACCACCAAACCUCGUAGGACGACGAGGAUGCGUGCUACUUCAGAGUGGUACGUGAUCCUGUCUGAUAUAUCAUGUUGUUGGACAAUACUGAACCUACGAGCUAUGGAGAAGCGAUGGUGGGCCCAUAUUCCGACAAAUGGUUAGAAACCAUGAAAUCCGAGAUAAAUGGAUCUUUGAGAAGAAGACGGACGUGGACGGUAAUGUUACCGUCUAUGAAGCUCGACUUGUGGCAAAGAGUAUUUUCACAAGUUCAAGGAGUUGACUACGAUGAGUUUUUCUCAUCCGUAGCGAUGCUUAGGUCCGUCGGAAUCAUGUUAGCAUUAGCUACAUUUAUGAAAUCUGGCAGAUGGAUGUCAAAACAAGUUUCCUUACCAGUUUUCGUAAGGAAAGGUUGUAUGUGAUACAAUCAGAAAGGUUUUGUCGAUCCUAAGGAUGCUAAAAGGUAUGCUAGCUCCAGCGAUCCUUCCAAGGAUUAGAGCAAGCAUCUCGGAGUCAGAAUAUACGCUUUGAUGGAGUGAUCAAAGUUUUUGGGUUUAUACAAAGUUUGUUAGAAACUUGUAUUUACAAUAAAGUGAGUGGGAGCGCUACAACAUUUCUGAUAAGUAUAUGUGAAUGACAUAUUGUUGAUCCGAAAUGAUGUAAAAUUUCUGGAAAGCAUAAAGGGUUGUUUGAAAGGUGUUUUUCAAAGGAAGACCUGGAUAAAGCUACUUACAUAUUGGGCAUCAAGAUCCAUAGAGAUAGAUCAAGACGCCUGAUGAUACUUUCAAAAGACAGCACACCUUGACAUGAUUUUGAAAGAGUUCAAAAUAGAUCAGCAAAGAAGGAGUUCUUGGCUGUGUUACAAGGUGUGAGUAUUGAGUGAGACUCAAGACCUGACCACAGCAGAAGAUAGAGAAAGGACGAAGGUCGUCCCCUAUGCUUUAGACAUAGGCUCUAUAGUAUGCUAUGCUGUGUACUGCACAUGUAGUGUGCCUUGCCAUGAGUUGGUCAAGAGGGUACAAUGGUGAUCCGGGAAAGGAUCUCAUGACAGCGGUCGAACUUAUCCUUAGCACCUAGUGGAUUAAGGAAUUUUCUCGAUUAUGGAGGUGGAAAGGAGUUCGUCGUAAAGGGUUACGUCGAUGCGAACUUUGACACUAAUCCGGAUGACUCUGAGUAGUAAACCGGAUUCGUAUAGUAGAGCAAUUAUUUGAAAUGGCUCCAAAUAGCGCGUGGUAGCAUCCACAAGAUGACAUAGAUAUUCAUAAAGUACACGGUUCUGAAAGGUUCAGACCCGUUGACUAAUAACCUCUCUCACAAGCAUAACAUGACCAAACCAGAACACAUUGAGUGAUAAUCACAUGGUGAUGUGAACUAGAUUGUUGACUCUAGUAAACUCUUUAGAUGUUGGUCACAUGGUGAUGUGACCAGUGAGUGUUAAUCACAUGGUGAUGUGAACUAGAUUAUUGACUCUAGUGCAAGUGGGAGACUGUUGGAAAUAUGCCCUAGAGGCAAUAAUAAAUGGUUAUUAUUAUAUUUCUUUGUUCAUGGUAAUUGUCCAUUAUUCAUGCUAUAAUUGUAUUGUCCGGAAAUCGUAAUACAUGUGUGAAUAUAUAGACAACACCAUGUCCCUAGUGAGCCUCUAGUUGACUAGCUCGUUGAUCAAUAGAUGGUUACGGUUUCCUGACCAUGGACAUUGGAUGUCGUUGAUAACGGGAUCACAUCAUUAGGAGAAUGAUGUGAUGGACAAGACCCAAUCCUAAGCAUAGCAUAAAAGAUCGUGUAGUUUCGUUUGCUAGAGCUUUUCCAAUGUCAAGUAUCUUUUCCUUAGACCAUGAGAUCGUGCAACUCCCGGAUACCGUAGGAGUGCUUUGGGUGUGCCAAACGUCACAACGUAACUGGGUGACUAUAAAGGUGCAUUACGGGUAUCUCCGAAAGUGUCUGUUGGGUUGGCACGGAUCGAGACUGGGAUUUGUCACUCCGUGUGACGGAGAGGUAUCUCUGGGCCCACUCGGUAAUGCAUCAUCAUAAUGAGCUCAAUGUGACUAAGGCGUUAGUCACGGGAUCAUGCAUUGCGGUACGAGUAAAGAGACUUGCCGGUAACGAGAUUGAACUAGGUAUUGGGAUACCGACGAUCGAAUCUCGGGCAAAUAACAUACCGAUUGACAAAGGGAAUUGCAUCGGAUUGAUUGAAUCCUCGACACCGUGGUUCAUCCGAUGAGAUCAUCGUGGAGCAUGUGGGAGCCAACAUGGGUAUCCAGAUCCCGCUGUUGGUUAUUGACCGGAGAGGCGUCUCGGUCAUGUCUGCAUGUCUCCCGAACCCGUAGGGUCUACACACUUAAGGUCCGGUGACGCUAGGGUUGUAGAGAUAUAUGUAUGCGGAAACCCGAAAGUUGUUCGGAGUCCCGGAUGAGAUCCCGGACGUCACGAGAGGUUCCGGAAUGGUCCGGAGGUAAAGAUUUAUAUAUGGGAAGUCUUAUUUUGGUCGCCGGAAAAGUUUCGCACUUUAUCGGUAUUGUACCGGGAGUGCCGAAAGGGGUCCGGGGGUCCACCAAGGGGGUCCACCAGCCCCGGGGGGCCACAUGGGCUGUAAGGGGUGCGCCUUGGCCUAUAUGGGCCAAGGGCACCAGCCCCAAGAGGCCCAUGCGCAAGAGAUAAGAAAAAAGGGAGAGUCCUAAAAGGGGAAGGCACCUCCGAGGUGCCUUGGGGGGGAAGGACUCCCCCCUGGCCGCACCCUUCCUUGGAGGAAGGGGCAAGGCUGCGCCCCCCUCUCUCCCUUGGCCCUAUAUAUAGUGGGGGGAAGGGAGGGCAGCAACAUCUAAGCCUUGGGCGCCUCCCUCCUCCCCUGCAACACCUCUCUCUCUCUCGCAGAAGCUCGGCGAAGCCCUGCCGGAGACCCGCUACAUCCACCACCACGCCGUCGUGCUGUUGGAUCUCCAUCAACCUCUCCUUCCCCCUUGCUGGAUCAAGAAGGAGGAGACGUUGCUGCACCGUACGUGUGUUGAACGCGGAGGUGCCGUCCGUUCGGCACUCGGUCAUCGGUGAUUUGGAUCACGGCGAGUACGACUCCGUCAUCCACGUUCAUUGGAACGCUUCCGCUCGCGAUCUACAAGGGUAUGUAGAUCCACUCCUUUCCCUUCGUUGCUAGUAGACUCCAUAGAUGCAUCUUGGUGAGCGUAGGAAAAUUUUAAAUUAUGCUACGAUUCCCAACAGUACCCUCGUAGACCGACAGCGGAAGCGUUAUCACAACGCGGUUGAUGUAGUCGUACGUCUUCACGAUCCGACCGAUCAAGUACCGAACGUACGGCACCUCCGAGUUCUACACACGUUCAGCUCGAUGACGUCCCUCGAACUCCGAUCCAGCCGAGUGUUGAGGGAGAGUUUCGUCAGCACGACGGCGUGGUGACGAUGAUGAUGUUCUACCGACGCAGGGCUUCGCCUAAGCUCCGCAACGGUAUUAUCGAGGUGUAAUAUGGUGGAGGGGGGCACCGCACACGGCUAAGAGAUCUCAAGGAUCAAUUGUUGUGUCUCUGGUGUGCCCCCUGCCCCCGUAUAUAAAGGAGCAAGGGGGAGGCAGCCGGCCAAGGGGAGAGGCGCGCCAUAGGGGGGAGUCCUACUCCCACCGGGAGUAGGACUCCUCCUUUCCUUGUGGGAGUAGGAGAAGGGAAGGGGGAGGAGAAAGAAGGAAGGGUGCGCCCCCCUUCCCUAGUCCAAUUCGGACCAGACCAUGGGGAGGGGUGCGGCCACCUUUUGAGGCCUUUCUCUCCUUUCCCGUAUGGCCCAUUAAGGCCCAAUACGAAUUCCCGUAACUCUCCGGUACUCCGAAAAAUACCCGAAUCACUCGGAACCUUUCCGAAGUCCGAAUAUAGUCGUCCAAUAUAUCGAUCUUUACGUCUCGACCAUUUCGAGACUCCUCGUCAUAUCCCCGAUCUCAUCUGGGACUCCGAACUCCUUCGGUACAUCAAAACUCAAUGAAACUGUCAUCGUAACAUUAAGCGUGCGGACCCUACGGGUUCGAGAACUAUGUAGACAUGACCGAGACACGUCUCCGGUCAAUAACCAAUAGCGGGACCUGGAUGCCCAUAUUGGCUCCCACAUAUUGUACGAAGAUUUUUAUCGGUCAGACCGCAUAACAACAUACGUUGUUCCCUUUGUCAUCGGUAUGUUACUUGCCCGAGAUUCGAUCGUCGGUAUCUCGAUACCUAGUUCAAUCUCGUUACCGGCAAGUCUCUUUACUCGUUCUGUAACACAUCAUCCCGCAACUAACUCAUUAGUCACAAUGCUUGCAAGGCUUAUAGUGAUGUGCAUUACCGAGUGGGCCUAGAGAUACCUCUCCGACAAUCGGAGUGACAAAUCCUAAUCUCGAAAUACGCCAACCCAACAAGUACCUUUGGAGACACCUGUAGAGCACCUUUAUAAUCACCCAUUUACGUUGUGACGUUUGGUAGCACACAAAGUGUUCCUCCGGUAAAUGGGAGUUGCAUAAUCUCAUAGUCAUAGGAACAUGUAUAAGUCAUGAAGAAAGCAAUAGCAACAUACUAAACGAUCGGGUGCUAAGCUAACGGAAUGGGUCAAGUCAAUCACGUCAUUCUCCAAAUGAGGUGAUCCCGUUAAUCAAAUGACAACCCAUGUCUAUGGUUAGGAAACUUAACCAUCUUUGAUUAACGAGCUAGUCAAGUAGAGGCAUACUAGUGACACUAUAUUUGUCUAUGUAUUCACACAUGUAUUAUGUUUCCGGUUAAUACAAUUCUAGCAUGAAUAAUAAACAUUUAUCAUGAUAUAAGGAAAUAAAUAAUAACUUUAUUAUUGCCUCUAGGGCAUAUUUCCUUCACAAGCUAGGUAAUAAUAACAGGAUAAAGAAAGAACGAGAGAAAAAAAUUUGCAGAAUUAUUACUGCGAAAUAAAUUAUUAAAAGAGAUUUGGCCUGGUGCGAGGACGAUGUCGACAUAGGGCGUUGACACGCCAAGAUGACAAAAUCUGAAUUCGCAGGGUGAAAGAUCGUGGAUGUCGCCUAGAGGGGGGGGGGGUGAAUAGGCGCUUUAAAAUAAUUACGGUUUAGGCUUGAACAAAUGCGGAAUAAACCUAGCGGUUAAUUUAACAAGCACAAAACCUACAACAACUAGGCUCACCUAUGUGCACCAACAACUUAUGCUAAGCAAGAUAAACAACUAAGUAAUAGCAAGAUAUAUGACAAGAAACAAUAUGGCUAUCACAAAGUAAAGUGCAUAAGUUAAGGGUUCGGGUAAGAGAUAACCGAGACACGCGGAGACGACGAUGUAUCCCGAAGUUUACACCCUUGCGGAUGCUAAUCUCCGUUUGGAGCGGUGUGGAGGCACAAUGCUCCCCAAGAAGCCACUAGGGCCACCGUAAUCUUCUCACGCUCUCGCACAAUGCAAGAUGCCGUGAUUCCACUAAGGGACCCUUGAGGGCGGUCACCGAACCUGUACAAAUGGCAACCCUUGGGGCGGUCACCGAACCCGUACACUUUGGCAACCCUUGGGGGCGGUCACCGGAACCCGUCAAAUUGCUCGGGGCGAUCUCCACGACCUAAUUGGAGACCCUGACGCUUGCCCGGAGCUUUACACCACAAUGAUUGAGCUCCGAACACCACCAACUGUCUAGGGCGCCCAAGCACCCAAGAGGAACAAGCUCAAGGGCACCAAGCACCCAAGAGUAAUAAGCUUCUCAACUUGUAACUUCCACGUAUCACCGUGGAGAACUCAAACCGAUGCACCAAAUGCAAUGGCAAGGGCACACGGAGUGCCCAAGUCCUUCUCUCUCAAAUCCCACCGAAGCAACUAAUGCUAGGGAGGAAAAUGAGAGGAAGAACAAGAAGGAGAACACCAAGAACUCCAAGAUCUAGAUCCAAUGGGUUCCCCUCACAUAGAGGAGAAAGUGAUUGGUGGAAAUGUGGAUCUAGAUCUCCUCUCUCUUUUCCUCAAAAACUAGCAAGAAUCCAUGGAGGGAUUGAGAGUUAGCAAGCUCGAAGAAGGUCAACAAUGGGGGAAGAACACGAGCUCAAGAGAUAAGGUUCAUUGGGGAAGAAGACCUCCUUAUAUAGUGGGGGGAAUAAUCCAGCCGUUACCCCCACUUCAGCCCCGCAGAGAGCGGUACUACCGCUUGGCCAGCGGUACUACCGCUUGCCCCUAUAAGCGGUACUACCGCUCCCCCUCGCGGUACUGCCGCUGGGCCCAAAGCGGUACUACCGCGGUGGCAGGGCGGUACUACCGCAAACGAGCAGUACUAUGGCCCCCACUGCCGCGGCUAGUACCGUAGAACCCGGCAGGAAAAAGACCCCUCGAAUCGAGGCGGUACUAAUACGAGACCGCAGCGGUACUACGGCUUGGGGCUACCAGCGGUACUACCGCUCAGGAGCGGUACUACCGCUUGUAGCAGCCAAGCGGUACUACCGCUCCGUCCCGCGGUACUAUCGUUGGGACCAAAACUGCCAUAACUUCUGCAUAUGAGCUCCGAAUUGAGCAAACUCAAGCUUGUUGGAUAGAGGAAGACGAGUAGCAUCAAAACAGCUACUGGUUAUAGUAAGAAGAGGCAGGGGAGGUAUGCCAACAAAUAGAGGAGUGAAACCUCCAACCGAGAAGAACCGGCAUAACCUCCAACAUCGAAAACAUCAUAGAAGAUGCGAGUGAACUCCGUUUUCGAUGAACUCGAGCUUGUCAUCAAGAUGACCAUAAGCUCCAAAACUCACAAAGAAAAGAACCAAACAAGAACCAAUAAGGAUGAUGCAAGGAUGCAAUGGUUUGAGCUCUCUACGAAUGAUACGAUCAAGCUACUCAUCGAGAGCCCCCCUUGAUAGUACGGUAAUCGAUCCUAUAACCCGGUCUCCCAACUACCAUCAUGAGACCGGCAAAAUAGAAAACCUAUCAAGGGCAAACCUUUGCCUUGCACAUGGUCCACUUGAGCUAGAUGAUGACGAUCUUGACUCCCGCAAGUUGGACCACCUUUCUUGGUUGCGUUGGCUCGAUGAAGACUAGUUGAUUGCUCCCCCAUGCUCCACUAUGGGUGAGCCACUCUUCCGCACAUCUUCACAAGUCCAUUGUCACCACAAUGGACGGCAAGCUUCAAGCAUUUGAUCUCUUCAUGAUGCUUCACUUGAACUUGCACACCGCAACAUCUUCACAAGUCCAUUGUCACCACAAUGGAUGACAAGCUUCAAGCAUUUGAUCUCUUCAUGAUGCUUCACUUGAACUUGCACACCGCAACCUAACCCCACAAAAAACUCUCACGAAGAUCAUGGGUUAGUACACAAAGCGUAAUUGACAAUGCUUACCACACCAUGGGAUCGCUUGAUCCCUCUCGGUACAUCUUCUACGCUUUGUGAGUUGAUCAAGUUGAUUCACUCUUGACUUAGUCUUGAUCAACCAUGAAUGUUUUCAACUCUCUUCAUUUGGAUGAUGUCUUGAAGAUAUACAUAAAUGAUCACACAAUCUUCUUCUCCAAGACAUGCUUGCGAUAAGCUCAACUCUCACAUGACCAAUCUUUGGAUAAUUCCUUAAUAACACCUUGGUCACCACAUAAACUCCUUGAAACCAACACAUGAACUUCAAGAAAUGCCUAUGGACAAAUCCUUCAAAUAUAACUCAAGGCAACCAUUAGUCCAUAGAGGUUGUCAUCAAUUACCAAAACCAAACAUGGGGGCACCGCAUGUUCUUUCACAGGGUCACACGAGUUACAAGCACAAUGUGUGCGGGACAGCGAUGACAUAUCGGAUCGCCCUAAAACGACGGCCUCAAAGUAGACGCUGCAAAACCUGCAGUACCAAAAAUCAUCGACGAGUAGAAUACUCUUUGAAAUAUUAUUAAUAUGUGCAACACAAAUAAUUAAAAUAAUUGCACCUGUCGACUUAUCCGACGACGUCGAAACUUGCUAGCAGACGAGAUGACGAUAGACGAGGGACGUCCUGGCCGGAGUGCAUCGGGCCGGACAAUAUAUGGAACAGCCGAUCCGAACGCGUACAUCGGCUGGCCAAGUUGAUGCAGACGGAAAAAGCAUGUACAAACGCCGGCAAAGUAUCUCUGCAAAAAAUAAUACAGUACAAACCAACAAAAAACAAUCUGUAAGCCAAGAAAAAUAAAAUCUGACGGCAAUGACCACAACAGACCGAAAUAGAUAAAAAAAACGAUCUGGAUCAGUAAUCAGAUCACUUUGGCCUUCAUCUUUUCAGGAGGAUUCACCAAUACGUGAAACAUCAGUACUAGCAAUUGAAUUAAAUUUAGUACUCCCUCCGUCCGGAAAUACUUGUCGGAGAAAUGGAUGUAUCUAGACAUAUUUUAGUCCUAGAUACAUCCACUUUUAUUCAUUUAUGCGACAAGUAAUUCCGGACGGAGGGAGUAGUACUUUUUAAUCUACGCACUUAUCAGCAAAAAUUAAUACUAGUAGAGGACAAGCUGCAGCAAAAGGUGGCUUGGUCGGCCGACGCCGCUGCCGAUAGGCCUCGGGAUUUGUGUUGCAUCUAGUACUAAGGCUGGUCAUAGUGGGGAGUAACUUAGACUAGUGUCAUAUGCAUGACACUAGUCUAAGUUACUACCUUCAUAAUGCAAAGUAGCAUGAUAAUAGUGUCAUAGAUGACUUCAUUUAUUAGCUUGUAGACUCGUCUUGUCUUGGAAAGCGCUAUGUUAUAGUAACAUAUUAUGUUACCACCUCACAUUAAAUACUUGCCACAUAAGCAAAAAUUUCUUGGAGUGCGCUAUGUUACUAGCUAAGUUACGUUACUCCCACUAUGACUAGCCUAAUUGCGGUAGUACUUUGACACUAGUCCGGAUAGUUAGAUCUUGGGACACAUCAGGGUUGGACAUCCGAUUUGUUUCUUCAAGACAACGGAGGCAGCGCAAUUUUUACGUAGCCAGCACGCGGCCGGUAGCUCUGGCCGAGUAGUUGUGGGCUUGUGGUAGGAUUCUUACAGAGCUGACCUAGUCUCUACUUCUAAUGAAGCAGCUGGUAGUCUCCGCCGGUCAAUUUUUGUCCCACCUAUCAUGGUUUUUUUCGUCCCACCUUCGCUAGUUUUUUUUCGUAGAUUUUUUUCGUCCCCUUCCCCCACUUCAUCGGUUUAUAUCAGGUAAUAAUUCUUGGGCUUUCUUUGGUAGGUGCUCAUUUAAUUUUGGGUAACUAAGGAUUCAAAAAUCACAUCAUGAUUUGCUUACCUUCUUACGUGAGAUCACCUUCCCACCAAAAACCAAAUUGGUUUCCCAUUUGAUUUUUAUAUCCAUAAUAUUUACCGAAUUACGGAUUAAAUAUUUGCAUUAUCUCUAUUCCUAAUGUCUGAGUUGGUAGGAUUGCGUCCACGAUUUAUUUUCGUCUGGUUAUAUUUCGUUUAGUUUAUUUUCGUCCAGUUUAUUUCCGUCUCACAUCCCACCACCAUAUCUCCUCGAUUUUUUUUACCUUCACAAUAAAAACUUACCUAACUUUUUCGAAGUUUCCUAACUAGACACGUUAUAAAUAGGCAGGAACAGAUAGCACGUUACCAAUUAAUAAAAUUUAGUUUUAUGACAAUCAAUUUCAAAUCCUAAUUUUCCUAAUGCAUUGACCUUUGCCUUCUCUAAGAACCAAUCAACAAGAAAAAAACGCUUCGCACCUAGCGAGCCAGCCGCUUCUCUUCUCGAUUAACAAUCUUUUGCUAGGUGUUCAAAAAAAAAAAACAAUCUUGCGCUAGGGUUCCUUGUGUUGUGUCGCCGCCGCGGCGCUCCUCGACCAGCCCGUCCCCUGCCGCCUUGCCCCUCUCUCUUCCCUCCAGCCUAGACGCCGGCGAUGAGGCGCACAAUGCCCCCACGGCCAUGCUCGAUCGCCUCCAGAACCCUCCGCGCGCGUCGAGGCGAGGCACCUCCUGGGCUCCGUCCGUCACCGCUUCGCCGACGACCCGCACGCGUCUGUCACCGCUUCACCGACGACCCCGCCGCCGGGCAGGAGGAGUGCUUCGGCGCCUCAUCGGCUCCGUCCGUCGCCGCUUCGCGGACGACCCCCACGCGUCUGUCGCCGCUUCGCCGACGACCCCGCCGCCUGGCACGAGGAGUGCUUCGGCGCCUCAUGGGCUCCGUCUGUCACCGCUUCGACGACGACCCCCACGUGUCGGUCGCCGCUUCGCUGACGACCCCGCCGCUGGGCAGGAGGAGUGCUUCGGCGCAUCAUUGGCUCCGUCCGUCGCCGAUUCACCAACGACCCCCACGCCGGGCAGGAGUAGUGCUUCUGUGCCUUCAACCUCAGCCUCCGCGAUGUCGUACUCUACGCCCACCUGCAAGGUCCCCCGCCCCGAAUCCCCCUGGUCCUUCCCAGCAAAUGGAUUUGCUAAAAUUCGAUUGUUCAUCCGGCCUUCAAUGAUGAAUCAAACCUUCUGUAGCUGAAGAAUCCUUUCCACUAAUUUAGGAAGGACUGGAGCUUGCACUUGAGCUUGCAGUCUGAAUUUUCUUCAGGUGAUUGACGUGAUUUCAUUUGGAGAAGCACAUGUUAGGCUGCAGACACCAAUUUUUUAAUUGCUGCUUAUUCCUUGUGGUAUUAUAAAGUUCAGGGUGAUAACCAUCGAGAACAAAGAGCCAAAUAUGACUCUUUUUUCAACUUCUCUAGGAUAAUAUGCAGAUUAACUUUCGAUGAGUGCUAUUCCAAGAAGAGAAAAAGGGUUUUGCCAGAAUGGGACUCGUUUUUUCCAAGCUAAAUGUUUCUUGUAGUUAACUUGAUUCAGCAACUGGCUACUAUUUCAGUUUGAAGAGGAUGCUUUUGUUUCAACUUUAAGAAUGACCAUUGGAUUUUGCUUCAUGAGGUCAACCUUGCACCUCCAGAGACUCUUCAGAGAACUGGUGUUGUACUGGACGGAGAGAAGGGCAUGUUGUGCCUUGCUGAAAUGGGUGAUGUUGAUUAUAUUGAAAGCCAUGCAUGAAUCCGACAACGGAUUCUGGGAAAAGAGAGUUGUCAUACAAUCUUAGGAGCAGAAUUGUGGAAUGCUUUGUUCAUGAUCUCAUGGAUGAUGAUGAUCUACGUAUUUUGGCCAAUAAAUAUUUGGAUGGUCUGCAUACUGCUAAAGGAGUUACAACUGAGCACUGUACUUGGAGAACAUCGCCAUGGUAUUUUCUGUACAAACUCAUCCAAGCUUUUUCUUCUUCUCACGUAGCUUCUUGAUUCUUAUUGAUAGAAAAAUCACCAAGGUAUUUUCUGUAAAAACUCAUCCAAACUUACAUACAUAGAUGACUGGAUGGAUUAGCCACCUCUGUAGCAAUUUCCAAGGUACGAUUAUAAUCUCAUAAUGAUCUGUUAAAUCAGUGUGGGUGUCAUCCUGUUUAUAUAUAAAUGCACACCACUUGCAGCUAUAUAACUCUAUAGUAUGAAGACAUAAAAAGACGAGUGUCUUCUGUUGAUGUUUUACAAACCAUCUUCGAUCACAUCUUAAUAUUAUGUAUUUCAUAAUAGCUUAAUAAUAGUAACUGUUGAACAUUUGACUGCCACAUGGAUGAUGUUUUACAAUUUUCUUUUUGCAUAUUACCAAAAAAUGUAUUGGAGCCCUAUUUGCAAUGGACUAACAGAAGCACACGACACAUAAAUAACAGAUGCUAGCAACAUUGGUAUAUGUUGGCAUUGAAGAAUUACAAUUGUGUUGGUUAUUUUUCACCUUUUGUUUGUUCAUGUAGUCAUUGAAGAAUUUAGAUGACUAUUAUGCAGCUCAAUAUAUUCGUGUCCAAGGCUACGAGUCGUCUGCUGAUGCAUGGUCCUGCCUUCCUUGGCAUAUCUGAUGUUUUUUUUCAUUCAUAUACAACAAAAGGAAAGGAAUGCUCUUGAGGCUUGCUCUCUUAGUGUGAAGGUUUGUUAGUUUUCUUGUAGAUCUGCAGUGGCAUGCUCUAGCCAUAUCGUUUCUGUCCUUCUUAUGUGCUUGUAAUUUGAAGGAAGUCUUAGUGUCGCAACAGUGAUUUCUCUAAUUUUGUAUUUUGCUAAAACACGUUAGAUGGAAAAUUCAAAAUGAUCCUUCUAAAUUUUAGUGGCAUGCUCUAGCCAUAUCACUUCUGUCACUUCAAUUCACAUUGAGUUAAACUGAAUAAUCAGCUUCACCAUCUAAGUUUGCUUUCUUCUUUGUGUCGUAGGAAAAUACAUUCAUUGCUCACACACUUACAGGUUGCUUCUUCAAAAUUGCAUAAACUGGAUAGCCGGGGAAGCUCGCUUCCUCUUGCACAUGUGUACGGUCUGCGCUAUGAUGUACGCCCGUGAAAAUGACAAAUCCGAGAAGGUUCACUAAAUGUUUAUGAAUUGUGGUGUCAUCGCUCUUGUUUCCUCUUGUGUUCAUAUGAUCGAAGAGUUUUUGGCUGAUGAGUUGUGUAGGGUCAAUGCGAGGAAACAAACUUAGUGUGCCUUAUAAGGUCCAACGCGGUGAUCGGAUAACUCUAGCAAGCAUUGAACAUUGAUGUAUCAGGAACAACAGGUAUUUAUUUCCCUCAAACUCACUUUUUUGUGUUCAGAAGCACACUGUAUAUUAAUUCAUUGUCAUAAUCUUGUUACUCAUGUGCUUACCAUUAAAAUCGUAAACUGGUUGCGACAUAAGGCUCUGAGCAAGUUUUAGGGUGAUUCACAAUUGAUCCUGCAUGUGAUUCAUCCUGACAUUUAAUGUUCAAAUGUAUAUAUUGCAGAGACUACUCAAAGUCAGAUCGGAUGAAUGCUCACGCUUUGUGUACAAAGUAGUAUGUGUAGCAUGUUAUUGUUUCCCUUUCUCCUUUUUACUGUCCAAUGAAAUAUUAUGUGGUGUGGCCUCACAAUGUGUCAUUCCCGAAGCUAUCUGCAAACAAUGUUGUAAUCUGAUGUGUUUUAUUCUUUCAACUUAUCAAGUUUCUAAGUACGCACAUCUACAGCUCAAAAUCCACCAUGUAUAGUUCAGCUGAAUUUGCCAUCGACAUCUACAGGUAAGCAUAUGCUCGAUUGCUUGCAUUACAGUUUCAGUGAAGUCCUCGCAGUAUUUGUCACCUCAAAGAAGAUUAAUUCAUUGGCAUUUCAGUGUCUUCAAUUUUCUCAUGUUCAGUUUUUGCGAACCCGUGUAGAUGAAUUUUUGUUUGCCCGUACUACAUUGUAUUCUUGCCUGUAGCUUGGCUAUCUGCGUGUAAAGGAGAAACUGCUUGGCGUCAUCUCCCUUUUAAUAUUCACCGCGUCUCCCCAAGACGCACACUGCUCGACGGCUGCUGCGACGCACUCCCUGUUCCUCAUAGUGGGCCUGCCGGAGGCCGUGCUCUGCUCUGGACACUUGAAUUGAUACACAAAAAGUCAUUUUGGUGGAUGGGUGCAUUGGAGCCCUAUAUUUUGAAUAGUAUCAAAAUGAUAUUUUGAAGUUUCAAAAAAUUCCAGAAACAAUUCCACAUGUUCAUAUGGAUGUAUGUUACACAUGUGCAAAUUCUGAUGACGAAAUAAAUAACCAUCUGAGUUACAAACAAAUGAUAAGAUCGUGAUUUUUGAAAGAUGAACAAUGCAUGUAUUAUUCACUAUUUAGAUAGUCAUUUUGUCAUUUUUGCGUAGCUUACAUGUUUACUUAUUUCAUCACUAAACUUUACACGUGUAAUACCCAUAUUAUCAUGUAGAAUUAUUUUCAGGAUUUUUUGAAAUUUUAAAUGUGGUUCUUAAAUUAUUUAAAAUAAAGCCCUCCAAUGCACCCAUGUUCCAAAAAUUCACUCUACACUGAUACAUUGCAUUGUAAAACACUAUAUGUUGUUUACAGUGAAAGAGAGCCAAGGAAGAGCAAUUUAAUCUCUACUGAAGCUGGACUGGCAGGGGAGGCACACUAUGUCCUUGUCAGUCUGUGGAUUGGGCGGCUGAAUUAAUAUUUUUUCUUAAAAUUUAAUAUACCGAUUUUAUGUUUUCCUGAAUGCAUUGGCGGCGGUUUGUAUAUUCUUGCAGGUAUAUUUUCUAUUAGUUUCAGUGAAAUCAAUAAUUUCUGUGUACCACUAUAAAGAUGGUGGCGAAGAGGCCAUUACUGAGGGGAACGGUGCCAGAUGCAUUAUCAGUGCCACUGGAGGCAAUGAAGGUGCUCAGACCUACAUCAGUGUUGAAUAACGUGGGGAGCUGGAGAAACAUGACAAUGGUGUUGCUUCAUCUUCAUGUUAUCAGGUGAGUUAAAAAAAUCAAACAUGUCAAGUACUGUUGUGUUUGGACUAACCUUUUCACUCUAGAAUCUAGAUCUCAAUCACCAUGGUUAUUUCUGAUCCAAGGACAUAAAACUGGUCUAAUAUGUAUUUUGGCAUUUGUGUAUUUACAAUUUUUGUAAAACAACAGAUGGGAAACAAAAGGGGGAUACGUAUAUUUGGGAUUCCCCAUAGUUGUCGUUUGUUCUUUGAUUGUUUAAAUCCUCCAUAGAAGUUCAGGAACUUCUGUUGAUGUGUUCGCUCUAUAUCUAUUUAUCACUGGAUUGUUUUUGGCUAUCUUUUCUAUGCAUGUAAUAGUUAACAUGUUUUAUGUUUAUAUAUAACUCCAACAAAAUAUUUCAAAUGCCCGUGGCAACGCACGGGCAUUAUACUAGUAUGGAUAAAGUCCUCCGCAUGUGGAACCCAGCCGUCGCCUGCCAAGGAGUGCAGAUCAUAUAGAUCAUCCGCGUCUGUGCAUAAAUCCAUGAACACGACAACGUAACAUCAGAAAAAGUAAUCCUUAAAGAAAUUAAGUGAUGAUGAAUAGAUCUAAUUGGAAAGACAUCACCUGAUCAUUUCAUUGAACCAUGGCGAUCACCCAGCAGGCUCUUAAUGAAAGCACCAAUGUCGGUUCUAUAUCCGGCAUAUCUCGUAGUAGGGGUCCUAAGUUAAGCGUCUUGGAGCGAUGGUAACAUGAACACAGGAUUUUACCCAGCUUCAAGCUCUCUUGAAGAGAUAAUACCCUACAUUCUGCUUUUGAUUGUAUUCAUAUGGGGUGUAGUACAGAGUACAUGUAUCUACCACGAGAUUGUUCCCAUGAAUCUGAGAUUGCCUAUUGACUAGCCUGGCCUCGGUUUAUAUAACACACCAGAGGCCUAGGAUUUAGGGGAGUCCUCGUAUGCGCGCCAAGUCUUGUGGGAUCUCCCUUGUAUGCGGCAUGGGCUGCCCGAAGUGGCCCAUGAGUAAAUCGCCAUGGGGGUUCUCGGCCCGAUCCAGCUGGUCGAGAGACGACGUGGUGAGCAUCCCCUAGUCUAGGACACUGUCACUUGUACCCGUUGCUACUGCGUGUCUUUGCCAAUUAGAGAGAUAUAGAUUAAGGAUCCAGAGAAUGGAAGAAGAUACCUGGGUUGCUAAUGUUACUGUCAUUGAUCCAAAAAUCCCUAGGACUGCCUCCAGCAGUGGGCCCUCCAGUAGCAUGGCACAGAGUGUGCGGCCCUCUCAUCCUCUUCAACAUCGCCAACCGCCUCACACUACUCCUUUCCUCGCUUAUGUCCACCGCUGCUCACCUUCCCCGCCGGCGCCAUCCGUCGUGCCCUUCGUCUGACAACAAAAAUUAUUUUUUUUAUCAAUAGAUAAAAGUAAAUUCACUUCUAGCAAAAAUACUAAAUUCAUAAUCCAUAUACGUGUCCAUGAUCUUAUUCCAUAGGCAUGUUCAGAAAUGGCCCUAGAACAAAUAAAUUUGAUCUCGCUAUACAUACGGAAUUUAAAACUUAGAUGGUCAGCCUGAAAUAGUUCAUUUCUUAAUGCAAGCAGUACCAGAAACUACAUAUCAUUCACAACUUCCAUAGUAGCCUAUGGCAUCGGACACUUGCAUAUUUGAAAGGCUCGCAAGCUGAAAGUUACACGUAUCACAAAAAAAACUCCAAGUACAGUUGAUUAUACUCUAACCCAGCCGGCAGUGCCACUCCCUUGAUCAAUAAUGAGUUUGUGCUCUAGAUUCACAAGUUUGCUCAUUCUACACACUGUACACUGCACAUUAAACAAUCUUUGCUACAACAGCAAGAGGUCAGCCUAAAAAUAGUUGCUAUCAUCAUCUGCACAAAUAUAAGAUAAUUAACGAUUCUGCACAUGCAUCAAGCUUCAUUCUAUGGGGUCAUGGCGCCCGGACAGGUGAGCACAUCGAAAUUUCCAGAAACACAUCUCAGAAGUACCAUUUCCAGAAAUAUAAAGUGUAUUUUGAUUUCCUAGCUUCAAGCACUGAUCAAUGAUUAAUCUAAUAACACAUACUUUAUAGCGGCACAAAUUUGAUAUCAUUAGCUUUGUGCCUCAUGUUGUGAUUUUCUGACUAUUGCACUGUCAAUGUCUGAACUCGGACCAUUAUGAUAUGUAAUGUUUUUGAAUGGAGGGUAUGAAGCAACUGCGGAUGCAUUAGUUACCUCACGCAUUUUAUGCGCCUCAUCAGGAGUACUGUAGUUUGCGGCAGAUUUGUCGAACAUUUCAAGUAUCCUGAAGACUCGAUUCCUGGCGUCAUUCAGAUUCGAAGCGGACGACAUCUCCUUGACAAUUAGCUCCGCCCACCAUCGCCCGAUCCCGACCUAAGCACUACGCGCAUGCUCCUAGGGGAAGGGUUGGUAGGAGUUAACCAUCGCGCGAUCCCGACCUCCACUCAUAAGGAAGACAAUCAAUAAAUAAAUCAUGCUCCGACUUCAUCACAUAACGGUUCACCAUACGUGCAUGCUACGGGAAUCACAAACUUUAACACAAGUAUCUCUCAAAUUCAUAACUACUCCACUAGCAUGACUCUAAUAUCACCAUUUUCAUAUCUCAAAACAAUCAUAAAGAAUCAAACUUCUCAUAGUAUUCAAUGCACUUUAUAUGAAAGUUUUUAUUAUAUCCCUCUUGGAUGCCCAUCAUAUUAGGACUAAAUUCAUAACCAAAACAAAUUACCAUGCUUUUCUAAGAGACUCUCAAAAUAAUAUAAGUGAAGCAUGAGAGUUAACGACAAACUACUCCAAAAGAUAUAAGUGAAGAUCAAUGAGUAGUCGAAUAAUUAUGUAACUAUGUGAAGACUCUCUAACAUUUAAGAAUUUCAGAUAUUGGGAUAUUAUUCAAACAGCAAGUAAAACAAAAUAAAAUAAAAUGACGCUCCAAGCAAAACACAUAUCAUGUGGUGAAUAAAAAUAUAGCUCCAAGUAAAGUUACCGAUGAACGAAGACGAAAGAGGGGAUGCCAUCCGGGGCAUCCCCAAGCUUAGGCUCUUGGUUGUCAUUGAAUAUUACCUUGGGGUGCCUUGGGCAUCCCCAAGCUUAGUCUCUUGCCACUCCUUAUUCCAUAGUUCAUCGAAUCUUUACCCAAAACUUGAAAACUUCACAACAGAAAACUCAACAGAAAACUCGUAAGCUCCGUUAGUAUAAGAAAAUAACUCACCACUUAGGUACUGUUGUGAACUCAUUCUAAAUUCAUAUUGGUGCAAUAUCUACUGUAUUCCAACUUCUCUAUGGUUCAUACCCUCCGAUACUACUCAUAGAUCCAUCAAAACAAGCAAACAACACAUAGAAAACAGAAUCUGUCAAAAUCAGAACAUUCUGUAGUAAUCUGUAACUCUCAAAUACUUCUGUAACUUAAAAAAUUCUGAAACAAUUAGUUCCACCUGAGCAAUUUGUGCAACAAUCCAUAGCAAAAAUAAUCAGGUCAAAAUCACGUUUCAAUAAGAUUCUGAAAAUUAUUUAUUGAGCGCAAAAGUUUCUGAUUUUCAGCAGGAUCAACACAACUAUCACCACAAGCUACCCUAAAGGAUUUACUUGGCACUUUAUUGAAACAAAAUCUAUAAAAAAUGAUUACUACAGUAGCUUAAUCAUGUGAACACACAAAAACAUUAGGGGUAAAUAUUGGGUUGUCUCCCAACAAGCGCUUUUCUUUAAUGCCUUUUUAGCUCGGCAUGAUGAUUUCAAUGAUGCUCACAUAAAAGAUAAGAAUUGAAACAUAAUGGGAGCAUUAUGAAGAAUAUGACUAGGCACAUUUAAGUCUAACCCACUUCCUAUUCCUAGGGAUUUUGUCAGCAAACAACUUAUGGGAACAAGAAUCGACUAGCAUAGGAAAGCAAAACAAGCAUAGCUUCAAGAUUUUCAACACAUAGAGAGGAAACUUGAUAUUAUUGCAAUUCCUACAAGCAUAUAUUCCUCCCUCAUAAUAAUUUUCAGUAGCAUCAUGAAUGAAUUCAACAAUCUAACCAUCACAUAAAACAUUAUUUUCAUGAUCUACAAGCAUAGAAAUUUUAUUACUCUCCACAUAAGCAAAUUUCUUCUCAUGGAUAGUAGUGGGAGCAAACUCAACAAAAUAACUAUCAUGUGAGGCAUAAUACAAUUGAAAAUUAAAAUCAAGAUGACAAGUUUCAUGGUUAUGAUUAUUCUUUAUAGCAUACAUGUCAUCACAAUAAUCAUCAUAGAUAGAAACUUUGCUCUCAUAAUCAAUUGGAACCUCUUCUGAAAUAGUGGAUUCAUCACUAAAUAAAGUCAUGAGCUCUCCAAAUCCAUUUUUAUCAUUAUAAUAAGGUUCAACACCCUCCAAAAUAGUGGGACCAUUACUUCCUAAAGUUGACACUCUUCCAAACCCACUUUCAUCAAUAUAAUCAUCAUAAAGAGGAGGCAUGCUAUCAUCAAAAUAAAUUUGCUCAUCAAAACUUGGGGGACAAAAAAUAUUAUCUUCAUCAAACAUAGCUUCCCCAAACUUGUGGCUUGGCAUAUCAUUAGCAUCAUGGAUAUUCAAGGAAUUCAUACUAACAACAUUGCAAUCAUGCUCAUCAUAAAAAUAUUUAGUGCCAAACAUUUUAUAGGCUUCUUCUUCUAACACUUGGGCACAAUUUUCCUUUCCAUCAUUUUCACGAAAGAUAUUAAAAAGAUGAAGCUUUUGGGGCAACCUCAAUUCCAUUUUUUUGUAGUUUUCUUAUAUAGACUAAACUAGUGAUAAAACAAGAAACUAAAAGACGGUACAAAUCGGGGUUCUCAAGUCCACUGUUGUGACAUAUAUGAUGUCUACUACGCAACCUUCUUCUUGUAGAUGUUGUUGGGCCUCCAAGUGCAGAGGUUUGUAGGACAGUAGCAAAUUUCCCUCAAGUGGAUGACCUAAGGUUUAUCAAUCCGUGGGAGGCGUAGGAUGAAGAUGGUCUCAAAAAACCCUGCAACCAAACAACAAGGAGUCUCUUGUGUCCCCAACACACCCAAUACAAUGGUAAAUUGUAUAGGUGCACUAGUUCGGCGAAGAGAUGGUGAUACAAGUGCAAUAUGGAUGGUAGAUAUAGGUUUUUGUAAUAUGAAAAUAUAAAAACAGCAAGGUAGCAAGCGAUAAAAGUGAGCACAAACGGUAUUGCAAUGCUUCGAAACAAGGCCUAGGGUUCAUACUUUCACUAGUGCAAGUUCUCUCAACAAUGAUAACAUAAUUAGAUCAUAUAACUAUCCCUCAACAUGCAACAAAGAGUCACUCCAAAGUCACUAAUAGCGGAGAACAAACGAAGAGAUUAUUGUAGGGUACGAAACCACCUCAAAGUUAUUCUUUCCGAUCAAUCCAUUGGGCUAUUCCUAUAAGUGUCACAAACAGCCCUAGAGUUCGUAGUAAAAUAACACCUUAAGACACAAAUCAACCAAAACCCUAAUGUCACCUAAAUACUCCAAUGUCACCACAAGUAUCCACGGAUAUGAUUAUACGAUAUGCAUCACACAAUCUCAGAUUCAUCUAUUCGAACCAACACAAAGAACUUCAAAGAGUGCCCCAAAGUUUCUACCGGAGAGUCAAGACGAAAACGUGUGCCAACCCCUAUGCAUAGAUUCCCAAGGUCACGGAACCCGCAAGUUGAUCACAAACAUACAUCAAGUGAAUCAAUAGAAUACCCCAUUGUCACCACGGGUAUCCCACGCAAGACAUACAUCAAGUGUUCUCAAAUCCUGAAAGACUCAAUCUGAUAAGAUAACUUCAAAGGGAAAACUCAAUCCAUUACAAGAAGGUAGAGGGGGAGAAGCAUCAUAAGAUCCAACUAUAAUAGCAAAGCUCGCGGUACAUCAAGAUCGUGCCAAAUCAAGAACACGAGAGAGAGAGAGAGAUCAAACACAUAGCUACUGGUACAUACCCUCAGCCCCGAGGGUGAACUACUCCCUCCUCAUCAUGGAGAGCGCCGUGAUGAUGAAGAUGGCCACCAGUGAUGGAUCCCCCCUCCGGCAGGGUGCCAGAAUAGGGCCCCGAUUGGUUUUUGGUGGCUACAGAGGCUUGCGGCGGCGGAACUCCCGAUCUAGGUUUCUUUUCGGGGGUUUAUGCAUUUAUAGGAAUUUUUGGCGUCGGUCUCACGUCAGGGGGUCUCCGAGUCAUCCACGAGAUAGGAGGGCGCGCCCAGGGGGGUUGGGCGCGCCCUCCACCCUCGUGGAUGGCUCGGGACUCUUCUGGUCCAAAUCUUUUACUUCGGGGGCUUCUUUUGGUCCAUAAAAAAUCCAUAAAAAUUGGCAGGUCAAUUGGACUCCAUUUGGUAUUCCUUUUCUGUAAAACUCAAAAACAAGGAAAAACAGAAGCUGGCACUGGGCUCUAGGUUAAUAGGUUAGUCCCAAAAAUCAUAUAAAAUAGCAUAUAAAUGCAUAUAAAACAUCCAAGAUGGAUAAUAUAAUAGCAUGGAACAAUAAAAAAUUAUAGAUACGUUGGAGACGUAUCAAGCAUCCCCAAGCUUAAUUCCUGCUCGUCCUCGAGUAGGUAAAUGAUAAAAACAGAUUUUUUGAUGCGGAAUGCUACCUAACAUAUUUAUCAAUGUAAUCUUCUCUAUUGUGGCAAGAAUAUUCAGAUCCAUAAGAUUCGAAACAAAAUUUUAAUAUUGACAUAAAAACAAUAAUACUUCAAGCAUACUAACAAAGCAAUCAUGCCUUCUCAAAAUAACAUGGCCAAUGAAAGCUAUCCCUACAAAAUAAUAUAGUCUGGCUAUGCUCUAUCUUCAUCACACAAAAUAUUUAAAUCAUGCACAACCCCGGUUUCAGCCAAGCAAUUGUUUCACACUUUAGUAUUUUCAAACUUUUUCAAUCUUCACGCAAUACAUGAGCGUGAGCCAUGGACAUAGCACUAUAGGUGGAAUAGAAUGGUGGUUGUGGAGAAUACAAAAAAAGAAGAUAGUCUCACAUCAACUAGGCGUAUCAACGGGCUAUGGAGAAGCCCAUUAAUAGAUAUCAAUGUGAGUGAGUAGGGAUUGCCAUGCAACAUAUGCAAUAGAGCUAUAAGUGUAUGAAAGCUCAAAAGAAACUAAGUGGGUGUGCAUCCAACUUGCUUGCUCACGAAGACCUAGGGCUCUUUGAGGAAGCCCAUGAUUCGAAUAUACAAGCCAAGUUCUUAUAAUGAAAAUUCCCACUAGUAUAUGAAAGUGACAACAUAGGAGACUCUCUAUCAUGAAGAUCAUGGUGCUACUUUGAAGCACAAGUGUGGUAAAAGGUUAGUAACAUUGCCCCUUCUCUCUUUUUCUCUUUUUUUUGUUUUUUUGUUUUUUUGGGCCUUCUCUUUUCUUUUCUUUUUUGGCCUCUUUUUUUCUUUUCCUUUUUUUUAAUUUUUCGUCCGGAGUCUCAUCCCGACUUGUGGGGGAAUCAUAGUCUCCAUCAUCCUUUCCUCACUGGGACAAUGCUCUAAUAAUGAUGACUGAGGGAGUCCUGGACUAAGGGGUCCUCGGACAGCCAAACUAUGUACUUUGGACGGACUGUUGGACUAUGAAGAUACAAGAUAGAAGACUUCGUCCCGUGUCCGGAUGGGACUAUGUAGAUUUCUUUCUCUGUAACCGACUUUGUGUAACCCUAGCUCCCCCGGUAUCUAUAUAAACUGGAGGGUUUAGACUUCUAGAGUUUAGUCACAACAAUCAUAAUCUCAUAGGCUAGACUUCUAGGGUUUAGCCAUUACGAUCUCGUGGUAGAUCAACUCUUGUAAUACUCAUAUUCAUCAAGAUCAAUCAAGCAGGAAGUAGGGUAUUACCUCCAUAGAGAGGGCCCGAACCUGGGUAAACAUUGUGUCCCCCGCCUCCUGUUACCAUUAGCCUUAGACGCACAGUUCGGGACCCCCUACCCGAGAUCCGCCGGUUUUGACAUCGACAUUGGUGCUUUCAUUGAGAGUUCCUCUGUGUCGUCGAAGAUAGGUUUGAUGGCUCCAUCAAUCAUCUACAACAAUGCAGUCCAGGGGGAGACCUUCCUCCCCAGACAGAUCUUCGUAUUCGGCGGCUUCGCACUGCGGGCCAACUCGCUUGGCCAUCUAGAGCAGAUCGAUAGCUACGCCCCUGGCCAUCAGGUCAGAUUUGGAAGUCUGAAUUUUGUGGCCGAUAUUCGCGGAGACUUGAUCUUCGAUGGAUUCGAGCCCAUGACGGCCGUCCUCGGCCACCACAAUGAACAUGACCUAGAUCUGUCAUCUGACCGCACACAGGAGCUAGCGCCUGUGACCGCCCUGGCCCUAGAGCCGGAGCGGACUGCGUCAUCCGAAGACGGGAAGCUCAGCCCCGCCGCGGAGGCCGCAGACUCAACGGCGCUCGAGCCGCACACAGACCCAACGUCGAGCUGGGCUUGUGUUUCCGGAACCUCGGACUCGUCUACGACCAUGGACUCCGGACUGCGUGCACCCGCGUCCAUCGAACCUGAUUGGGCGCCGAUCUUAGAGUUCAGCUCCGCGGACAUUUUCCAGCACUCGCGUUUUGGUGACAUGUUAAGCUCAUUAAGAUCCCUCUCCUUGUCAGGGGACUCUCGGCCGAACUAUGUCCGGCUCGAAUGGGAAGCGGAUGACGAAGAACUUCGUUUCCCACCCACCACCCACUUUGUAGCCGCUGUCGAUGACUUAACCGACAUGCUCGAUUACGACUCCGAAGACAUCGACGGUAUGGAUGACGAUGCCGGAGAGGAGCAAGAACCACUGCCUACAGGGCGUUGGACAGCCACCUCCUCGUACGACAUAUACAUGGUGGAUACACCCAAAGAAAAUAACGGCGACGACGAAAAUCCAGUCGAGGAUAAACCUCCUGAGAUACAGCCGAAACGCCGACGUCAGCGGCGUCGCUCUAAGCCACGCCGUAGUAAAAACAGCAAUGCCGUCACAAAAGAGGAUAACACCCCGGACGGUGCCGAAAACAAUGAAGACCCCGUUGAGCCGACCUCCGAACAGGAGGAACGGGAGGAUGGGCGAGCCAGCCCUGGCAAACAGGCCGCGAACGAAGACCCGGAGGAUAGCAACUACCUUCCGCUCUCCGAGGACGAGGUUAGCCUCGGUGACAAAGAUUUCAUCAUGCCGGAAGAGCCCGCCGAGCAGGAACGCUUUAAGCGUCAGCUAAUUGCCACUACAAGAAGCCUAAAAAAGAAGCAGCAGCAACUUCAAGCUGAUCAGGAUCUGCUCAAUGAAAGAUGGACUGUGUCCUAGCAGCCGAGCAAUAUGGCCUCGAGCGCCCAACCAAAAGCUACCCGAAGCACAAACUGUUGCCACAGUUCAACGACGAGGUGCUGGAACCCGUCCUACCAAGGUACAGUACGGCUGAUCGACCACCAUGUGGCCGGGACAAAGCGACACCUCAAGCCGAAUACCAGCCCGCACUACCUCGCCGAACAAACAGAAAUACAACAACUCGGGGAUAUACUCAUGACCCGCUUCUGUGCGGGCAAAGACAGCUGGCUGGCCUGUAACAACAACAAUACAAGCGAACCUGGCACUUUUGAAGCCAGAAACAGCAACGGCAAGCCCCGACGCAAUAGACAUAAGCGUCGAAACAACGGUGAUAGCACCAAAGACACGCCGGUCAACGCCGGAUUCAGUGGCUGUAAGUCCGGUCAGCGGAAGAAGCCAUUCAAGAGAAAUAAUCCGGGCCCGUCCAGUUUGGACCACAUACUCGAUCGACCAUGCCAAAUCCAUGGCACUCCUGAUAAACCAGCCAAUCAUACCAACAGAGAAUGCUGGGUUUUCAAACAGGCCGACAAGUUAAAUGCCGAGAAUAAGGAGAAAGGGUCGCAAAGCGAUGAUGAUGACGAGGAACCCCGACCACCGAACACAAGGGGACAGAAGAAAUUUCCCCCCAAGUCAAAACGGUGAAUAUGAUAUAUGCCACCCAUAUACCCAAGAAGGAGUGCAAACGUGCACUCAGGGACGUCUACGCGAUGGAGCCAGUCGCCCCAAAGAUCAACCCAUGGUCCUCUUGUCCGAUCACCUUCGAUCGCAGGGAUCACCCGACCAGUAUCCAUCAUGGCGGUUCAGCCGCACUGGUCCUUGACCCAAUUAUUGAUGGAUUUCAUCUCACGCGAGUCCUCAUGGAUGGUGGCAGCAGCCUGAACCUGCUCUAUCAGGAUACAGUGCGCAAAAUGGGUACCGAUCCCUCAAGGAUCAAGCCCACUAAAACUACCUUCAAAGGUGUCAUACCAGGUGUAGAGGCCUGCUGUACGGGCUCAAUCACACUGGAAGUGGUCUUCGGAUCCCCGGAUAAUUUUUGAAGCGAAGAGUUAAUCUUCGAUUCGUCCCUUUCCAUAGUGGUUAUCAUGCACUGCUCGGAUGAACCGCAUUUGCUAAAUUCAAUGCGGUGCCGCACUACGCCUAUCUCAAGCUCAAGAUGCCCGAACCACACGGUGUAAUAACGGUCAAUGGAAAUACGGAGCGCUCCCUCCGUACGGAGGAGCACACCACGACCCUUGCAGCAGAAGUAUAGAAUAUCCUUUUUAGCCAGAACCUCAAUUCGGUAGUAAAGCCCCCGGACGCCGUCAAGCGAGUCCGAACUACUCUGCGGCAGGACGGUCCAGCUCGUCCAGAGCUUGACUAGCAAUCCGGCCUCCGUCCCAGUCCCGGUCAAGCAGCGACAUUUGUGCCGCGCGUGCAUAACUACACACUUAAAAUACCAUGGGCAAGGAAGGAGGCAUAGCUAGACCGCGGUCCACAAUGCGGCUCAACCGCCCGUGGAUCCGCAUACCUUUACAUUUUCUCUUUCUUUCAGUUUUUUCUCUUCUUGAGGCUUUUCUGAUAACCUGACCAUCGGACCCAUCACGGGACGGAUACACCAAGGAGCCAAGGAGCUUUGACGUACAAGGGAAUACCCAGGUGGUCUCUGCUAACGAUCACUAUACCUGUUUUACAUACCCGCACGCAGCUCGCUCUUGGUCAUGGCAUGUUAAAUAGCCUUACUUAUCGCAUUACUUGUACAAGUAUGCCUCGACGUAUUAAUCAAAUUACAAUGGAAAAUAAUUUGUAGCGUCAGCUUAUCGCUUGAUCUUUUCCUUGUCUUCAUAUUUUUCAUCAAUUGCAUCCGUACACUCUGGUAUGCAUUACUUCGCCAGGGGCUUUAUUACACCCUACAAUAUGGCAAUCAAGUCCGAACACUUUUACAGUACAGUUCGGCACCCCAAACUUAUAGCAUUAUAUGCAUCGACUCCGAAUCAUGUCUUUGGUCAAUAGUUGGGUUGCCCGGCUCCUGUGCUUACUACCUUACGUUCCGCUAUAUCGGCUAGGGUAGUAAAGGGAGAACUACUGCGAUUGUGUCCCAGUUCUUCCGGAUGAGCACCUUAGUAGAGAAAGCCGAAGACUGACUAUCAUGAUGCGGCGAGAGCUGGUCAACUGUUCGAUAGGUUUUGAAAUCCUUAGAGAUUUUUCUGCUUUAUGCGAGGAAUCGGUUUUUAUCCCAACUUCGGUCUUCCAAAUACCUGGGGCUUCGCCAAAAUUUUCAUGUCAAACUCCUAUGGCUAAGUGAGGGUGAUAAAGCCGUAUAGUCCGAUUGCCUUGUUCGUUGUAUUAGACACCUCCUUUAAGGACCAAAAUUUGGAGUAAAGAGUGUUUAUAUUUAUCCCAAACACCCCCGUACUAUCUACGUGGGGGCAGAAGCCGACGACUGGCCAACUCUCAGAUUUUCAUAAACGGCCGCAUAGGAGGUAAUUUUUUUUUAAAAAACAAGCAUUAUAUUACAAUAUAGGACAGGAUAACAUGAAUGUUUUCAUGGGAAUAUAACAUCCUGCGCACAUUGCUCCGCCGCAAGGCGGGAUCCCUCCAGGACACCAUCGAAAUAUAGCUCGGGGCGGCGGUGCUCCUUGCCCUUAGGCGGCCCCUCGGUUAUUAGCUUUGUGGCGUCCAUCUUCGCACAGUGCAUCUUGGCACGGGCUAAGGCCAUCCGCGCACCUUCAAUGCAGACUGAUCGCUUGAUGACUUUGAGCCGCAGGCAGGCACUGACAAGCCGCUUCACGAGUCCGAAGUACCUGCUGGGCAUGGGCUCGGCAGGCCAUAGCCGGACUAUUAAGUCCUUCAUGGCUAGUUCGGCCGCCUUAUGCAGCUCGACCAGCUGCUUCAGCUGGUCGCUAAAGGGCACCGGAAGUUCUGGUCCAAGGUAUUGAGACCAGAACAGCUUCUCCGUAGAGCUCCCUUCUUCGGCUCGGUAAAAUUGUGCAGCAUCUGAUAUGCUGCGCGGCAGAUCCGUAAACGCCCCUGGAGAGCUCCAAAUCCGGGUAAGUAACAGGAAUGUUUCCUUCACAUAUCUGCUUUGCAUAAUGAAAGCCUUACCCGCUGUAAUUUUCUUGGCCGCCUGGAUCUCCUGGAGGGCGCCCUGUGCUUCGGCUCGGGCGUCUAGUGCGCUCUGGCGAGCCUUGGCAAGUUCAGACUCUUGAGUCUUAAAAUCGCGCUCCAAGGACUCGUACUUCUUGACGACGUCCUGGAGUUCUUGCCGGACCUCGCUGACCCGGGCCUCCUGCUUCUCGCGCGCGGCGCGUUCCUUGGCCGCUUUGUCCUCGGCCUCGGCCAACGCCUUCUUGAGGGCCGCUACUUCGGUCGUGCCCCCUAAUAAAGUUCAUGUCGGAGUAAUUGGCCACGGGUAGCCUAACCGACUACCCCUGGCUCUUCAGAAAAUUUAUCAGGCCUUUGGGCCUUCAAACACUCCAAGCAUUUGGGCCGCCUUCCCCGGCCAGCUACCACUAAAGCCGACUCCCGGAAGGCGACCCAGCCUCACCGACUCCAAGAAGCCGGCCAAGAAGGACGCCGACUCCUAGAAGCCGGCCAAGACCACAACCGCUCCUACAUAAUGACGACCUGACGGGGCAUGGCCACAGUGCGGCCCACGACCCCCGAAGCCCGAGGCAGGCAUGGCUACAGGAGGCCGUACGGGAGGGAUGUCUCCCGUGCGGCCCGGCACUGUAGCCACGCCAGCCGCGACGUCAUCCACGACCCCCUCCUGUACGGCCCAAGGACCGCGGGCCCCUUCAGCUAGAGAGAGGCGUGAAGGCGGCCCGGAUUUUCCUAGUCGGCCAGGAGGAUAGCCGGCCUCCAGAAGCCGGCGACUCCCUUCCUCUAAGCAGGAGCCCCAUUAAGGAGACAAGACGAGGUGAGGCUACAGUGAUAGCCCCCGAUGCGGAUCACUGUAGCCACGCUUACCCCGACAAAGCCCUCAUCAUCAGAGGCGCGGCUACAGUAAGCAGCCGCCGACAAGACCCUAGGCAGUGGGGCCGGCCUGUCGACCGAGUAGCCAGCAGCCGGCGGGACCCACCAGCCGGCGGGACCCAGCAGCCGGCGGAGAAGCCGGCAGGCGUAGACACUGACGGCUAGGGCCAGUUCCCAGUCGGAUUACCAUUGUACCCCCGGGGGGUAGGGCUAUAUAAACCCCCCGGAGCACCCAUGCAAAGGGUUCGCACCUCUGCAUGUUUGGCUUCUAAGCAUAGCACACACACACACGCACCAUAGAUAGAGAGAAGCAAGAGCUAGCCUUGUUCUUCUUCUCCCUUGAUCCCAACAGCUCUAGGGGCGAUUGUAGCUACUCUUUAUCGAUCUAGUGAUCAUGCGGAGACCCCGCAGAGCAGGACUAGGGGUGUUAUCUCCUCGGAGAGCCCCGAACCUGGGUAAGAUUCGCCGGCGUGCAUGUCUUCGCCUCAUCCCGUUUCCAGGCACCGGCGACGUUUUGUUGGCUCCCACAAUGAUAAGCCAUCCCUUGGCAUAUGUCGCACCAACCACCCGACAUUUGGCGCCCACCGUGGGGCCAGGUGCACAGUUGUCCGGAGACCUGUUCUGGACGGGAACCCUCUUCCUCCCCCGCGAGCGCAGCCAGCCUGCUGCGCCCGAUGGCGUUUGCCCCGACGCGCUGCAAGGCGUCGACGACGUCUGCGCAGCGAGCCGCCUCACCGAUCUGCUCGGCGAGACUCGCAUCUCCGACGAGCCUGCGUCUGACGCAGGCACCGACUACCCCGAGAGCCGCCUCGUCAGCCUCCUCGACCAACUUCACGUCUCCAGCGAGCCUGUUGCGGACAUGGAGUCUGUCGGCUCCACCGACCCGAUGCUCAUAGACUCCGACACCGCGUCGCUCGACGCUUACCCCUCUGACGUGGUGGUCUUCGACGACCCACUCCCUCGAGCUGACAGCGGCAGCAGCGCUGUCACCGAAGUGCUGGUCAUCAGCCACGUCUCCAACUCGGGCGGGAGCGCCCGCGACGCUCAGCAAGCGGUGAUGCACGACCUCUCCAUCCCCAUCCCAGCCGACGCCGAUGCCGAGACCCUGGAGGCACGCCGUCUUGCCCUCAUCACGGAGAGCAAGAAGAUAGCCUCGAUGAGACGCCUCGCUGAGGCCCACCAGCGCGAAGUCGACCGCGCCGCCUUCGGAACGCCGCCGCCCAGCGGUCCGAGCCGAGCCGGCUUCGUCCAGAAGCGUGGUGCAGCCGUUGCCAGCAUGAUGGGCGCAGAUCACCCCGUCUACGCCACCCCGCUCGAGAAUCUGCGAGCCGCUCAGGCGGCGGUAGAGGAGCUCAAUGGGUUGGGGGCCGAUGAGCUCCCCUACAUGACAAGACGGAUCCAGCAGUUGAUCGACGCGGCUGCAGAACGGCACGAAGCCGGCGCCCGUGCUGAUAGUCAUCCCCCAUGCCGGGAGCACGCCGCGACGUCCCGCUCGCCGACUGCGAGCGGCACGCACCAGAGGAAAGACAAGGAGCCGGCUGCCAGCCGCAGCCGGACUCGCAUCACUAUCGAGCGCGACGCGGAUGGCCGCCCUCGGGCGGUCGAACACCAAGGAAACCUGCCGCCUCCCCCGCCUCGAAGAGAAAGACGCCUCACUCCGCGGCCCAUCACGCAUCCGACUCUUGGCGACCGACUCGGCCGCCGAGAAGUAGUCGGCGAGAGUGACGCCCGCCACAGGAUCGACCGCCUUGCUCGAUCCUUGGCGUUAGAAGAAGAAGACGAUGUCGGCCCGCCAUGCUUUGGCCCCCGCAUCCGCGACGAGCCCUUCCCCAAAGGGUUCUCGCUCCCCAGAGACACACCCAAGUACAACGGCUCAGUGAAGCCGGAAGAUUGGCUCAUCGACUACUCCACAGCCGUCAGCAUCGCCAACGGCAAUCGGCGCGUCGCCGUGAAGUACGUCCCCUUGAUGCUGCAAGGGACGGCGCGCAGGUGGCUCAACAGCCUCAAGCCAUACAGCAUCAACAGCUGGUUGGACUUCACCGAAGUUUUCGUCCGCAACUUCACCAGCACCUACAAGCGACCUCCCAAGCCUCGCCAGCUCUCCCUCUGCGUCCAAGGGCCCAACGAGUCGACCCGCGACUACCUCACGCGAUGGGCCGAGCUCCGCAACUCCUGCGAGGGAGUGCACGAGGUCCAGGCCAUCGAGUACUUCACUGCCGGGUGCCGAGAGGGCACCCUCCUCAAGCACCGACUCCUCUGCGACGAGCCGGCUACCCUCGAUGAGUUGCUGAUUACCGCCGACAAGUAUGCCACUGCCGACUCCUCCAUGAAGACCGAGCUCCGAGUGGACGCCUCGGGGAAGGUAGUUGCUCCGGCUCCCAAGACGCCGGCUGGCGACCCAAACCGGCGCCCCUACCAGAACGACCACAAGCGCAAGGGCCCCAUGCUGACUUCCUCCAGUCGGCAGGUGGCCACAGUCGAAGACGAGCAGCCCGAGGAGCGGCCCGCUCCCAAGAAGAAGGGAGGCCGGCCGCCCUGGCAGCCGUCCUUCUCCUACGAGCAAGCACUCGAUGCUCCCUGCAAGUUCCACAGCGGCGCGAAGCCGUCCAACCAUACAACACGAAAAUGCCACUGGCUCACCCGCAUCACCAAGGGCGAAGGGAUGGUGCCGCAUCCGCCUCCCGGCCCGCUGCCUCCAGCUCCCCAGCAGCCGGCGGCCCAGCCUGCAGUCGGCGCCAUCCAAGACGAGUUCCCCGAAGCGCACGACGCCUACGUCGUCUUCACAAGUCAAGUCGACGACAAGCGCAGCCGACGCCGGCAACACCAAGAAGUAAACGCAGUCGCCUCUAGCACCGCCGAGUUCAUGCACUGGUCGGAAAAGCCCAUCAGCUGGAGCCAGGCCGACCACCCAGAGGCGAUGCCCUCGCCUGGCUCCUAUGCUAUGGUCCUAGACAUCACCCUCGCGACGGAGAGGCGAGCUGCCAGAUUUUCCCGCGUCCUGAUAGACGGCGGAAGCAGUAUCAACAUACUGUACCGCGACACCAUGGACAAGCUGAACAUCAAAGCAAAGCAGCUCAUGCCGAGCCGCACUGUCUUCCAUGGUAUCGUACCCGGCCUAUCUUGCUCUCCAAUCGGCAAGAUCAAAAUGGAUGUUCUCUUCGGAGACAAAGAUCACUUUCGCCGGGAAGCAAUAUGGUUCGAGGUGGUGGAUCUGGAGAGCCCCUAUCAUGCACUGCUUGGCCGACCUGCUUUGGCCAAGUUCAUGGCUGUGCCCCACUAUGCCUACCUGAAGAUGAAGAUGCCGAGCUCGAAGGGGAUCAUCACGGUAGACGGCGACUACAAGAAGUCCAUCGAGUGUGCCAUGGCCAGCAGCCGGCUGGCCGAGUCCCUCGUGGUGGCCGAAGAGAAGAAGAUGUUUCAGCGGGUUGUGGCCAUGGCCGGCAAGCAGCCGGCUUUGUCCCCCAACCCCAAGGACGGUGAUGCGCAGGGCUCCUUCCAGCCUGCGAAAGAGACAAAGAAGAUACCUCUAGACCCAGAGCACCCGGAGAGGUUCGCCGUGAUUGGGGCGAACUUGGACAGUAAAUAGGAAGGCGAGCUCGCCGACUUCCUCCGUGAGAAUCGAGACAUCUUUGCAUGGUCCCCAAAGGACAUGCCGGGUGUCCCGAAGGAUUUCGCCGAGAACAAGUUACAUGUCCGAGCUGAUGCGAAACCAGUCAGGCAACCCCUCCGCCGACUAUCAGAAGAGAAGCGAGGAAUCGUGGGAGAAGAGAUAGCCCGGCUCCUUGCAGCCGGCUUCAUCAUGGAAGUGUUCUUUCCAGAAUGGCUUGCCAAUCCAGUUCUGGUUUUGAAGAAGAAUAACAAGUGGCACAUGUGUAUAGACUACACAAGUUUGAACAAGGCCUGCCCAAAGGAUCCGUUUGCUUUGCCACGGAUUGACCAAGUGAUAGACUCCACAGCCGGAUGCGAGCUGUUGUGUUUUUUGGAUGCAUACUCAGGGUAUCAUCAGAUCAAGUUGGACCCGGCUGACCGCCUGAAGACUGCCUUCAUCACACCCUUUGGAGCUUUCUGCUACCUGACAAUGACAUUCGGCUUGAGAAACGCCGGUGCCACUUUUCAGCGUUGCAUGCAGAAAUGUCUCUUGAAACAACUCGGCAGAAAUGCCCACGUCUACGUAGACGACAUUGUGGUGAAGACAGAGAAGCGCGGUACCUUGCUGGAAGACCUGAAGGAAACAUUCGCCAACUUGCGCCGAUUCCAGAUCAAGCUCAACCCCGAGAAGUGCGUGUUCGGAGUGCCAGCCGACCAGCUGCUAGGCUUCCUGGUCUCCGAACGCGGCAUUGAGUGCAACCCUGUCAAGAACAAAGCCAUCGAGAGGAUGGAGAUUCCCACCAAGCUGCGAGAUGUGCAGAAGUUCACUGGCUGCUUAGCCUCCCUGAACCGUUUUAUCAGCCGACUAGGAGAGAAGGCCCUCCCCCUGUACCGACUCAUGAAGAAGUCCACUCACUUUGAGUGGAAUGAUCAAGCCGACCAAGCCUUCCAUGAGUUGAAGAAAAUGUUGACCACUCCGCCUGUCCUGGCCGCGCCGACUGAGAUGGAGCCCAUGCUCCUCUACAUCGCCGCGACAAGCCGAGUCGUCAGCACUGUUGUUGUGGUCCAGCGCCCGGAGGAAGGCCGAGCCCAGCUGGUCCAGAGGCCGGUCUACUAUCUCAGCGAAGUACUGUCUAGCUCAAAGCAAAACUACCCGCACUAUCAGAAGAUGUGCUAUGGGGUAUACUUCGCUGCCAAGAAAUUGAAGCCCUAGUUCCAAGAGCACCCCAUCACGGUCGUGUGCACCGCCCCGCUCGCCGAGAUCAUAGGCAGCAGGGAUGCAUCCGGCCGGGUGGCCAAAUGGGCCAUUGCCUUGGUGCCCUACACGAUCUUCUAUCAACCCCGCACCGCCAUCAAGUCGCAAGCAUUGGCCGACUUCCUCGUCGACUGGGCCGAGACCCAGUACUUACCGCCGGCUCCCGACUCCACCCAUUGGCGGAUGCACUUUGACGGGUCCAAGAUGCGCACUGGCUUGGGAGCCGGCAUCGUCCUCACCUCUCCCAAAGGCGACAAGCUCAAGUACACGCUGCAGAUCCACUUCGCCGCCUCCAACAACGUGGCCGAGUACGAGGCGCUCGUACAUGGGCUCCGGCUAGCCAAAGAACUCGGCAUACGCCGGAUCCUGUGCUACGGCGACUCAGACUUAGUGGUCCAGCAAUCAUCUGGCGACUGGGACGCCAAGGACGCAAACAUGGCAAGCUACCGAUUCCUCGUCCAGCAGAUGAGCGGAUACUUUGAAGGUGCGAGUUCCUUCACGUGCCAAGGGCCGACAACGACCAAGCAGAUGCCCUAGCACGGAUCGGCUCCACCCGACAAGCCAUACCGACGGGCGUCUCCCUCCAGCGCCUCCUCAAGCCGUCCAUCAAGCCGUCUCCAGAGUCGGAUUCCAUCUUCGUACCGCCUGCGCCAGAAACAGCCGGAUCCGGCUCAAGAAAUCCCGCAGGCGGCGCGGGGACUUCGACGACUGCCCCGGGGACUGACGUAGUCGCACCCGGCCCAGGGACUUCAGAACCCGGCCCGGGGACUGCAGCAGUCGGCCCGGGGACUGCAACGACACAAGAAGCGGUGGACGACUCCAAUGCAACACCCAACCCACCCACCCGAGUCAUGGUGGCCACGUUAACAGCAGAAGAAGUCACAGCUCCCUCAUGGGCCCAGCCCAUCCUCAAGUUCCUAGUCAGCAGAAAGCUGCCGGCUGAUGAGACCGCAGCAAGACUAGUGCAACGACGAGCCGCAACAUACACAAUAAUCAACAGGGAGCUUGUGAAGCGCAGCGUCACUGGAAUCUUCCAGCGUUGCGUCGAGCCAGAAAAAGGAGUGGCAAUCCUCAAAGACAUCCACCAAGGCAAAUGCGGCCAUCACGCCGCCUCAAGAUCCCUCGUGGCCAAGGCUUUCCGCCAUGGUUUCUUCUGGCCGACUGCCUUGGAGGAUGCUAAAGAAAUAGUCAAGACCUGCAGAGGAUGUCAAGUCUUCAGUUCCAAACAACACCUGCCGGCUUCUGCCCUCAAGACCAUUCCCCUCACCUGGCCCUUUGCCGUCUGGGGACUGGACAUGGUGGGCCCUUUCAAGACGGCCCGCGGUGGCUUGAGACAUCUACUCGUUGCUGUGGACAAGUUCACAAAGUGGAUCGAAGCAAAGCCGAUUAAGAAGCUGAACGGGCCGACUGCCGUGACAUUCAUCACCGACAUCACUACUCGGUACGGCGUGCCGCACAGCAUCAUCACUGACAAUGGCACGAACUUCGCCAAAGGCGCACUGGCACGUUUCUGCGCGACACAGGGCAUCCGACUGGACUUAGCGUCCGUUGCCCACCCGCAGUCAAACGGCCAAGUCGAGCGAGCAAAUGGACUUAUCCUCUCCGGCAUCAAGCCCCGAUUGGUUGUACCACUGGAGCGAUCGACCGGCUGCUGGCUCGAAGAGCUGCCGGCUGUCCUCUGGAGUCUGCGAACUACACCCAACAAGUCAACCGGCUUCACUCCAUUCUUCCUUGUGUACGGUGCCGAGGCUGUCAUCCCAACAGACAUCGAGUUCGACUCGCCUCGGAUCACCAUGUACACGGAGGAGGAAGCCAAAGAAGCAAGAGAAGACGGCGUCGACCUACUGGAAGAAGGCCGGCUGUUAGCCCUCAGCCGGUCCGCCAUCUACCAGCAAGGCCUGCGCCGCUACUACAACCGCAAGGUCAAGCCAAGAUCCUUCCAAGAGGGCGACCUUGUGCUCUGGCUGAUCCAGCGAACAGCCGGCCAGCACAAGCUCUCGGCCCCUUGGGAAGGCCCCUUCGUCGUCAGCAAGGCACUCGGCAACGACUCCUACUACUUGAUCGACGCGCAAAAGCCAAGAGCACACAAGAGAGACGACUCCGGCAAGGAGUCGGAGCGACCAUGGAACGCAAACCUCCUAAGACGAUUUUAUAGCUGAAAAGCAGUAUGUAUCACGCUACCCCUUUUGUAUUAAGUUACAAACCAACAGGCCCCCCGAACAGUACUCGGGGACUGCCUUUUAUUUAUCUAUGAAUGACGAGUGUCAUAUCCAUGAAUGUUAUUAUUACAUUUUGAACUCUUGUCCGGCACCGGGUCCGACUAGUCGGCCCGGGGACUGGCCGCCUUGAGCUAUAUUCUAAGUUCUUCCCGAAGUCAGCAAAGUAGUGUGCCGGCUCCCAAGUCCUCCCUUGUUGAAAGUCGCAGCUCAAAGAACUGACUGUCCGACUAGCAAGAGGAAAGACAGAAAAGACGCCCACACGAAAAACGGCUAAGGAACAACUAACCCAUAUAGCAAAGAGACGGCCUCCAUAUACGCCUGCCGGCUGUCACAGCAGCCGGCUGGCCGGCUUCCUAAAAAACUUAGCUUAAGUCCAGCAGAGCUAAAAGUACUUCCCCCUCCCCAAUCGGCCAGGCACUCCCCGGCUACAGUUUGUAGAAAAACUGUUUGACUAGGGAGGCGGCAACCAAGGGAGGGCGGCAAAGAAAAAAAGCAGAAGGACAAAAAGCGAAAGUACAAGGAAAGGCCGAUUGCAUAACUUAUAUACAUAAGGCCGCCUAAAGGCUGGCAACAGACUUGAGUUUCAAUACACCCAGUGGGUGGAAUUGUGCAGACUUAACCAAACAUUGUUCAAAGCAACAAGACAGGAAAACAAAAGAAAGAAGACUAAGGUGCGACUUGGAGGCCGAACUGAUCGGUGAAGGCAGCUCGCCGGCUGAAGGAGUGGCCGCCUAGUUGGUCCCGGCCUGACCACCUCCCGCGGCAGGAGACGCACUCGCACGCGACGUAGUGCUGGAGGCGCGGUCAGGCUGGCCGGCUUCUCCACCAGCCGGCUCGGCGUCUUCACCUUCCUCUUCCUCCUCCUCCUCGCCCUCGUCGCUGGAGUCGAUCUCCUCCGCCGAGUCCUCGCCAUGCGCCGGGUCCAGCCCGAACCAAUCUUCCGGCUGGGCGACUCCAUUGUCGUCCACCUCGGGGGCGAAGACGUUGGUGUCGGUGUAGUCGGCGAUCGCCGAAGCUCGCCGAAUGAUGGCCGGCCGCGCCGGCUCCAGCUCCGUGUCGGCUUGCUGCCGCCAGGUCGCCAGCUGGUCCAGGUUCAGGCCGGGAUACCAGGCCUUGACGAACUCCAGCGCCCGCCUGGUGCCGGAGCGAGCCGCCGACGUCUUCCAAGCCUCGAAGCGGCCGACGGCCACCUCUAGCCAGUCGGCGGUCCGACUGGGAGUGCGCGGGACCACUUGGCCGGGCCAGAGGGCGGCCAAGACCUGCGACCCGGCACGCUGAAGCCGGCGAAGCAGCCUGUGAGCUGGCUGGAUACGAGCCUGGAUCGCCAGGAGCUGCUCCUCCAGCGAGCGGCCGGCGGUCGGCGAGAUCUCGAAGCCGGCUUGCCUCUUCGCCUGGCGACGAGCUUCGAUGGCCUGGUUGGCAGCAGUUGAGUAGCCAGGGAAGUACUCUGCGCGAAGGAGAAAAGGAAAGAAGAACACCAAAAUCAGAAAAACAAGCCGAAGUGGCAGAUGGCAAGAAAGGAUGAAGGGAUAGACGACUUACCGUCAACCAGGUCCUCAAUCUGGCCAUAGCCAGAGACCAGAGUCUGCCUGGCCUCUGCCCAGCCGGCCGCCUCCGUCUUGAACUCGGCCUGAAGGGCGGCCUCGCGAUCCUGCGCAGCUUUCAGCGCAGCCUUGUGGCCUUCCUCCUGGUCGGCCAGCUUCUUGACCAGGCAGUCGCGCUCCUGCACCAAGGCGACGAGCUCCGCGUCCUUGGCACGAAGAGCAGUCUGGGACUCCCCCAGCUGUGCCCUCAGACUGGCGUUGGCCACUGCAGGGAUAGAAGAAGAAGAAGAAGAAUGAGAAAUCAUCAAGGAAGAUCCGAGCCGACUGCUCAGCAGUCAGCCCGAAUCUCGGGGACUACACCCAGUGGGUGCGCUGACGCGCCCCCACAUGAGAUAAAAAUCAAGUCACAUACCUCGGCUUUCCGUGAGAUUGGCGGUCUUCUGAGUCAACUCCCGAGCCUGGGAGUUGAAGGCGGCCGCUCGGAGAUUGUGGUAGUCCUGCAAGACGGACAGAAGACCGACGUGAGAACAAAAGCAGCAAAAACAAAAUUCUCCAAGAAGUUCCAAGCCGCCUGCUCAGCAGCCGACUCGGAACUCGGGGACUACACCCAGUGGGUGCGCUGCCACGCCCCCACGAGAGAAAUCAAGUUCAAAAAGAGCAAGAUGAGGAUACUAACCCGGAUGGCUGCCCGUGUGGCGAGGAAUUCGUCGGUGAACUGCCUCAGCGCCGCGGCUUGGCUCUGCAGCCGGGUCCGGACGUCUUGCGCGGCGACGUUCACCACGGCCGACCCUCCGCCCGGCGUCCACCCCGAGGUAGCGCUGGCCGCCUCCGCGUCUCGAGCCGACGAGCUGGAGCCCACGGCCGGCUGUGGCUCCGACGCAGCCUUCUGCGGUUCAGCCGCGGCCUUCCCCGCACGCCGGCUUGACGGAACCCGGACCGCCACCUCAGCCCCCGCGACCGGCUCGCCCCCCGCCGACUGUGCGGGCGCAGGCUCAGGCUGGCGGCCUUGGGACGCCCCAGUCGGAGGAGUCAGCCCCGGUGCCUCCCUCAAGAAGAUGACGUCGUCGCCGCUCCCUCCCAAACCCGGCUGGGAACCGCUGGCUCCCCCUGGCGAGGGAUCCGCGCCCCCGGGCGCCAUGGUGCGCAGGGGGGUGACCAUCAAGGCCUCCCCUGCCGCCGCUUCGGCCUCGGCCUCUGCCUGGGCCUUGGCUGCAGCCUCGGCAAGCGCCUUCGCCGCCUCCUCCUCCCGAGCUGCCUGGGCGGCGGCUGCCCUCCGUACCUCCGCCUCCCGUGCUUCCUGCUCCUCCCGCACCUCCCGCGCGUUCCUUUCCGUCGCCUCCAGGAGGGCGGCACGGGGAUCUACGCGGUGGGUGGUGCUCCCAGAGCCCCCUAGCAACUCAACAACGGAGCCGGCAGCCGCCCGCUCAAGUGACAGUGGAGCACUGAUCAUUGAAAAAGAAGACGAAGACUCAAGAACCAUCAAAGGAAAGAAAGAAGGAUAGUACGAAGAAAGAGAGAACUUAUGCCGAUACCGUCUGCGGCUGCUUCACCACCUUGCGGAAGCGAGCCGCCUUCGCGGCCGCCUCUUCCCGCCUGGUGGCCGCCGCCCCACCCAUAGGCUUCUUCGUCCGGCUGCCGAACAUGCCCUGGGUGGCGCGACGUUUUUGGCCUCUACCCCUACCAGGCUGCGCGCCGGAAGAGCUCGCGCCGUGUCCGGGGGCCGGCUGGCGGGGCGGGACGGCUUCGGCUUCGUCUGGCCAGUCCUCGAAGGUAGCGGUAAACCCAGAGCCGCCUGCUUCACCGCCAGCCGGCUCGGUGGCAUCCUCCAUAUGGACUGCCCCCAGGUUGGGGUCCUCCUGGUCGUGCUCGGUCCGGUCGGGGACGAAGCGGCGCUCCGCGUCUGCCCCGCCGGCCGGUCGAAGCAGAGGACUCUGUCAAAAAGAGCGAACCGACGGAGUUAGAGUCGGCCCAAAGGAACUCGGCGACAAAGCUGAGAGAGAGAAAGAGAAAAAGAGAAAGGGAGCGUACCGUAGGCGGGGGAUUGGCGCGGCUGUAUGGCUCCUUGCCAAAUUGCCAGUCAUCGGAAAGCUGGCAAUUGGCGAGGUAGUUCACCAUGUCGGCGGCGUCAGGCCGCGGCAUCUCCUUGGUACACAUCCGGCUCGGAUCGAGCUAGCCGCUCAUCUAACAGAUCAGAUGAGGCCGGCUCUGGAGCGGAAGGACCCGGCGCGUGACGAACGCGGCCAGGAGGUCGGGCCCCGUCAGCCCCUCCGACUGGACCAUCACCCGCAGGCGGGCGAUGGCGGCGUUUCCUCCCUGCGACAGCGUUACCGCCCGGAAGGACCACUGGGGCAGCCUCCCCGCCGGCGGGCCGGCUACGUAAGCCGGCAGGUUGAGGUAGUCACCUCGGGGAGCGAUGUUCCGCACGUAGAAGUAUGACUUCUGCCACUUCUUCACCGAUUGGAUCAGCGUGAUGACGGGGAAGGGGUUGUCGGCGCCUGAUCUCCGCGGCGCAAUGAAGGCGCCGGUCUGAGCCGGCACGCCCCUCACGCGCGUGCCCAGCUUUGAUUGGAAGAACUCCCCCCAGAGCUUGAGGGUGGGGAGGACGCCAAGAUAGCCCUCGCACAGGGUGACGAAGGCCGACAGCAGCACCACCGUGUUGGGGGUGAGGUGGUGCGGCUGGAGUUGAUAGAAGUCCAACCAGGAGCGGAAGAAAGCGCUCACUGGCAGGCCGAAGCCGCGCAGGAAGUGCGAGCGGAAGACCACCCGCUCGCCCUCCUGCGGCGUCGGCCUGACCUCCUUCUCCGGCGCGAGGCGGACCUCCACUUUGUCCGCGCUGGGCAGACGCCGGGUGUCGCGGAGGAAGUCGAUGUGGUCGUUGUGAAUGAUGGAGCCAUCCCAAUCCCCGCCGAGCUGCUCUACGUGGGGAGGCAUAGCGGAAGCUAGCACGGCGGCGGAGAAGCGUGCGAAGGAAGAGCGCGGCGGCGAGGCGCUGUCGCAAGAACAAGCAAGGCGAGAAGACGAAGGGAGUAGGAGGAGCGUGCGAGGGUCUGCCGCCCUCCACCCCCCUACUUAUAGCCUCACGCGGCCGAAGAGGCCGGACGUGGGGGGAGACGUAGGAUUAACUGCGCCCACUCCCCCCACGUCUCGCGUUUAUUACACAUAAGUGCGAGCCGAAACUGUCGCACGGAUCGUGCGGGCGGUUUCGGGAUACAAAGGAUCCGCGCCUGGGCCGGGGCGCGGACGUGGCGGGCCCCCUCCCUGCGGCGAUGUCCCAUCACGCGCGUGGGCUGGCAGGCUUUCCGGCCACGUGGCACGCCAACGGCCCGAGGCCGGCCCGCGGCCCGGAGCACGAGCCGGCGGGUUCCCGCCCCCCGACUCCAGAAGAAUUCGACUAAGGGCGGCACGCCUGCACCGAGGCCGACUCCUAGCUGCCGGCUUGUCACGAUAGGAAGCUGAUCGAGCUUCUCGGACCCCACUCCACCUCGAAGCCCAAUCAGCUUCGGGGACUACAAUAGUCAGCCCGAACCAUUCAUCCUUCCCGUAUAUACACGCAGGUUACUGCAUACCUUGGCUGUCCUCCAGCUGCUUCUUCACGAGGCCGAGCUCCUCCUCGGCCCGCUCCAAUUUCUGCUUCAGUCCGGAGACCUCUGCAGUGUGAGCAGUCGUAGCCAGCGGCGACGCCUGCUCAUUCACAUAGACACUUUAUGUUAGACUCCUGCGAAAAUUAUUUUGAUCCUCUGUUCGGCUUUUCUUUCCGAACACCGAACAGAGCAUCAGGGGCUACUGUCUAUAUUGUGACAUUCUUUUACAAUUACUUACCUCAAAGCCUGUUAGAAGGCUAGUGCAGGCUUCGGUCAGUCCACUUUUGGCGGACUAGACCUUCUCAAUCACCGUACUCAUAAGAGUACGGUGUUCUUCCAUAAUGGAAGUGCCUUGUAGCGCUUCCAGUAAUCUCCAGUGCCUCUGUAUGGACAGAGGUCACCGGCGGGGUUGGCUCGCCUCCCUCGUUCGAAAGAGGCGGCCUGCUUGAAUUCGGAGCCGCUUGGGUCUCCGGAGCUGUAUGCGGCUGGGGGCCGAAUUGGAUGCGGCCCCCAUCAUCGGUGUCCAUGGGGGCUUGCUCCCCCACGUGUUUGGAAGCCUCGGCUUCACCCUCUGGCACCACCGGACGGCCUCCUGAGCUUCUCCCGGGCCUGGGAUCCUUCGAGACAACACCUCGGUGUUGUCCGCAGCCUUGGGGGAGGAGGCCGUCGGAAGGGAUGUGCUGUUCAUCACCGACGGGUCUAGCGACCCCUCCGAAGAGGAGGACAGCGCGAUGUUGGAUUGGGCCGGGCUGCAAGUGCGUGAUCCAGCACGUUAAAAACAAUAAAGUAAAAAUGCCGGGUAUAUUACUGUGUCCGGACACUUACGAGUUGGCUAGGGGCUUGUGUCACGCCCAAUAUGCGACCCUAUCCUAAAGGAACUCGAAGGUCCCACCAAGGAUAGAAGCGCAUAUUGGAGACGCUUUUGCAAGGUGGAUAUCAUUACAUCGUACCAUUACAUAAUAGUAGGGGAUACAUACAAGAGGCAAACAAUGCCACAUGAAUACAACAACAUCAUACACAAGAGCCACAUCCGACUACAGAUGAAACACAAACAGAAACUCAACGACAUCCACCCUGCUAGCCCAGGCUGCCGAGCUGGAACCUAUCCCCUGAUCGAAGAAGAAGCAGAAGAAGAACUCCAAACAAGUAAACAUCACUCUCGCGUCAAGAUCAUCGCAAGACCUGUACCUGCAACUAUUGUUGUAGUAAUCUGUGAGCCACGAGGACUCAGCAAUCCCAUUGCCAUGGGUAUCAAGACUAGCAAAGCUUACUGGGUAAGUGUUGAGGAUAUAACCAUUAGAGUCACCCGCCCAGGAGGGGCCGGGUUACGUCAUAAUGAUCAUCACGUGAAGCCCAGCACCAAGCUCGAGGAUGGCGGUUCAGUAAUGGGCUUAAGACCCGGAGGCGGCUUAAGGCCCGUAGUGAUAAACCGCCACCAUGGCAAGACUUGUAGUGUAAGGCAAGGAUAGUUAAGAGUCCGAGCCGGACACUGUUAUGAGCCGGCUGGGACUCUGGGAGCCGCUGGGCGUCAACCUCUCUAUAUAAAGGGACGACCCGGCGGCGAUUCAGGACAGGCAACAUCAGAUCGAUAGCCAGGCAUAGCGGUUAAGCUCCUGGUCAUCGAAACCCUAAAUAAUACCACCUCAACUGGACGUAGGCUUUUACCUUCAACGUAAGGGGCCGAACCAGUAUAAUCUCCGUGUCCUUUGUCCCGUUUAACCCCUUUAAGCUUCCUAGCUGCGAUGGCUCCACGACUAAGUCCUUGCACGAGGACAUCUGCCGUGACAACUCCACGACAGUUGGCGCACACCGUGGGGCCAGCGCACGGUGGAUUUGAGUUCUUGAAGGGCAGCUUCGAAGGGCUCAAGGGAUACGCUGUGGGCCGGAUGACCAAGAGUCGUCGCGGCAAGCUCUACAUCAACGAUGCAGGCUGGGGCCCCGACGCCGGCUCAAUCGAGUAUGGGUACCGGGUCCCCUUCGGCGGAAUUCACAUUUUCAUUGGCAAGAUUGGCGAGCCGGGCCCUGAGCCGGACCACUGCGCCGACCCCAUCGAGACGGCUCAGCGUGCAAGACCCGCCCGGACUCUGCCUGCUUUGAAGCGUGCUUUCGUGGGAUGCGUCCAUGGAGGACUCUCUGAAGAAUCUGGAUCUGGCGAUGAGACGGCCGCUUGCUCUGACGGCGGGUCGUCUACAGACGAGACCAGCUCAUUAUAUCAACUUCAAGAUGGCAGGCUCAGGGGCGGCUCCGAUGGCGACAGUAUUCCGGACCCCUUUGAGCCGCCCAGCCGGGUCGGGAUCUUCAUGGCCGGCGAACAACCUGUUCAAAACCCCGCUGCUGGGGCAGGAGGCCCUGCGCACUCGCCGGCUCAGGCGCUGAUGGAUCUCACAGAUAAGAUGACAGCCCUGUUAACUGCUACGGUCGUCCCAGUGGAUCAAGCUCAGCAUGAUGCAGAGGUGGCACAGUUAAAGCUGGAUAUAGCGAGAGCCAAGGAAGAUCUAGCAGCGGAAGGGAUCAGGAUGGCUGCAGAGCGGGCGGCUCUCAACGCCCAGACUCAGCUGAUUCAGGCGCAGUCUUUCCGGCUUACGAUGGACCAGAACGCAUCCAAUGAGAUCAUGAGAAGGAGGCAUCAGAAGGCUCAAUCUCGACUCCCUCUGGUUUAUGAUCCUCGAAACCUUUUCAACACGCCUGGUGCAGGGCCCAGUAACCCGCCAGAGAUCACGGCACCCGGGGCUGGAACGCCGCUUCAGCCGCAAGUGAUGGGGCCUCCCCGUGUGAACACUACCCCGCCUCAGUACGUGCCAAUACCACCGGGUCAUUAUGCCAACCCAUUGGAAAACAUGGUCGCCGCGGCGGCGUGACUGGCGGCUCUCCCAAUCGAUGGCGACUCUCCAACGGCGGUCGAAACCCGUCGGGUUAGAGAACUUCUCCAGAUGGCUCUGGCGCAACAGGAGGCAUAUUCAUAUAGCCGGGACAGGAUUCAUUCAACCCCUCGUCCAGGCCGGAGCCCAAGUUAUAGCAGACACAUGGUCUCAGCGACCGGCUCAAGCAACGUCCGGCGCCGUGACUUGCCAGCGGGCCACGGCCCGGCUCAUAACGGAGCCUUUAACGUAGUAGACCAAGACAGAGCACGACAAGAGGCAGAGCAGGCGCCUCAGUUAACAGCUUACCAGCCCCUCCCGGUUUUGUCCGACGGCUUCUAUAGAGGCGGGUAUACCUACGAGGACCGGAGGUGUCCCUUGUCUGGUGCCGGCUCUCCGUAAUGAAUGUCUGCCCAAGGAUUUGAAGGGACCUAGGAAGGUGCCUAAUUAUACGGCUGAUUUACAACCUGGAGCAUGGAUCGAGAGCUACGAGAUGGCUAUGGAGUUGCUAGAGGUCAGCGAAGCGGCAAUGGCCAAAUACUUCACCAUGAUGUUGGAUGGAACUGCCCGCACUUGGUUGAAAGGACUGCCACCUAAUUCUAUUGGGUCAUGGGCAGAGCUAAAAGGCCGGUUCAUCCAAAACUUCAAAGACACAUGUAGGCAAUCUAUGUCAAUUGUGGAUUUGACUAACUGCAAGCAGCAGGAGGGUGAGUCUACAACCCAUUGGGUUCGCCGGGUCAAAGAGAUAAUACAUUCAUCUGAUAAGAUGGAUGCCGGCUCUGCAGUCUUAAUGUUGGAGCAGAAUUGUCGUUUUGCGCCCCUGAAGAUGAAGCUCGGGCGGCUCAAGCGCGAUUGCAAUGAUAUGGGUACGCUGAUGGCGGCUCUGGUCAAGUACGCCGACUCUGAUAGUACCAAGGAUCCCACGUCGGAUGAUGAAAGGACAGGGAAGGGAAAACGGAAUGGCAAUGGCAAGGGCCCUCAGCAUAACCCGGCAAACCAGGGAGGUAACAAGUGUAAGGCUGAUGGCAGUAUGGAGUUUGUGGCCAACGCUAAUUCACAGGGUAGCAACCACCGACGUAAGGGGAGACCACCUCCCCGAGCCGGCGGGUCAGGCCCGACGCUUGAACAGUUGUUGAAUGAGCCUUGUCCAAGGCAUGGCUCUAGGGAGAAGCCGGCCACUCAUCUAUGGAAGGACUGCGCAAUCAUGAAGGCCUUUAAAAAUUCCAAUGCUUUUAAUGGCAACAAUGGCCCGGGCGGCGGCUCAGGCGCCGGCGGUUUUCAUGGCCCGGGCGGCGGCUCAGGCGCCGGUGGUUUUCAUGGCCCAGGCGGCGGCUCAAAUCCCAAUUCUCAGAGUUUCCAAGGGGGUUUUAAUCAGCAAUCUGGCCAGGGUAAUCAGCAGCAGCAGCAGGGGGGUACCAGACCAAUCCAAAGCAGCUCAAUGGUGGACAGUAUCAUGUGUUCACUACCAGCCUGUGCAAGCGAGAUCAGAAGCUUCAUAAGAGGGCUGUAAAUGCUGUUGAGCCGGCGAUUCCCCGCUAUUUAAGAUGGUCUGAGCAGCCUAUCAUAUGGAGUAGGGAAGAUCACCCUCCCCGGGUCGAUAAUCCGGGUCACCUGGCCUUGGUGGUGGCCCCUCAGGUUGGGGGAUAUAAAUUCACUAAAGUGCUCAUGGACGGAGGCAGCAGCAUCAACAUCAUCUAUUAUGAGACCUUCCGUCGUAUGGGAUUAACUGAUAAGAGCCUCAGUCAGUCCAAUACCGUUUUCCAUGGGGUGGUGCCCGGUAAGUCGGCGUAUCCAGUCGGUAAGAUCGAGCUGGAAGUAGCCUUUGGAGAUGAGUACAACUACAGGGCGGAAAAACUAACCUUUGAGGUGGUUAAGAUAAGAAGUCCGUACCAUGCUUUAUUUGGGCGGCCGGCUUACGCCAAGUUCAUGGCACGGCCGUGUUACGUGUAUUUGCAGCUCAAGAUGCCGGGUCACAAUGGGACCAUUACGGUUCAUGGCAGCCGAAAGAUAGCCUUGGAGUGUGAGGAAGGUGACGCGGCUUACGCUGAAUCUGUUUGUGCAACAGAGGAGUUGAAGUUUUACAAGGACAAUGUUGACCCGGCAGAUAUGACGUCUUUGAAAAAGCCAACCACGGAGCAUGAGUCGGUAAUGAAAUUUAAGUCAGCUGAUGAGACUAAACUUGUUGACUUUGUUCCAGGUGACUCAUCUCAGCAGUUCAGCAUCAGUACCAAUCUGGAUCCGAAAUAGGAAGGCGCGCUCAUCGAGUUCAUCCGUGAGAACAGGGACAUCUUUGCAUGGAAACCUUCUGACAUGCCGGGUGUACCUAGAGAACUCGCUGAGCACACUCUCAAUAUUGAUCCGAAAUUUAAGCCGGUCAAGCAAUUCCUCCGGCGGUUUAAUGAGGAGAGGCGGAGAGCCAUUGGUGAGGAGGUAGCCCGGCUCUUGGCGGCCGGGUUUAUUGUUGAAGUUUUUCAUCCAGAAUGGUUAGCUAACCCGGUGCUCGUGCUCAAGAAGAACGGCACCUGGCGGAUGUGUGUGGACUAUACGGAUUUAAACAAAGCUUGUCCGACUGAUCCUUUUGCUCUCCCCCGUAUUGAUCAAAUUAUUGAUGCUACGGCAGGUUGUGAGCGUUUAAGCUUUUUGGAUGCUUACUCUGGAUACCAUCAGAUCAAAAUGGCAGUUAAGGAUCAGGAGAAGACAACGUUCAUCACUCCCUUUGGAGCCUUCUGUUAUGUGUCUAUGCCUUUUGGGCUCAAGAGUGCACAGGCGACUUACCAGCGUUGCGUGCAGAAUUGUCUUCAUAACCAGAUUGGGCGCAACGUUCAUGCCUAUGUGGAUGAUAUCGUGGUUAAAUCCAGGGAGAAGGAGACCUUGAUAGAUGAUCUGAGAGAGACCUUUGAUAAUCUCCGAAUCUACAAGAUGAUGCUUAACCCGACCAAGUGUGUUUUUGGUGUUCCCGCAGGCAAGCUCUUGGGUUUUCUGGUUUCUCACAGAGGCAUUGAAGCUAACCCGGAAAAAAUCAAGGCAAUCACCUCACUGGCUAAGCCGGCGUGCAUAAACGAUGUCCAGCGUCUGGCGGGUCGCAUCGCUGCUUUGAGCCGGUUUAUAAGCCGGUUGGGUGAAAAGGCCAUGCCACUGUACCAGAUGAUGAAGAAAACAGAUGACUUUAUCUGGAAUGAUGCUACUAAUGCUACUUUUGAGGAUUUGAAAAGACAGCUAGCUGAGCCACCAGUCCUUGCUGCUCCUGUUGACAAGGAGCCUUUAUUGCUGUAUGUAGCCGCUAACACACGAGCCGUCAGUGUGGCUGUGGUGGUGGAGCGUAAGGAAACGGGUAAGGAGUAUUCGGUUCAGCGGCCGGUUUACUACGUCAGCGAAGUACUCAUUGAGUCCAAACAACGGUAUCCACAUUGGCAGAAGCUUGUUUAUGGGGUAUUCAUGGCAAGCCGGAAGCUUAAGCAUUAUUUCCAGGGUCACCCUAUCACUGUGGUUAGUUCUGCUCCCCUAGGAGAUAUCAUCCAAAACAGAGAAGCCACAGGAAGAGUUGCUAAGUGGGCUAUAGAACUUGGGCCUCAUGGUCUAAAAUACGUGCCACGCACUGCUAUCAAAUCUCAAGCAUUGGAGGAUUUCAUCAACGAUUGGACAGAGCUGCAGGUGCCUGAAGAGAAACCGGAUAAUACAUACUGGACUAUUCACUUCGACGGGUCCAGGCAAUUGGAGGGCUCGGGGGCUGGAGUUGUAUUAGCUUCCCCUCGAGGUGACAAGUUUUGCUAUGUGCUACGGUUGACGUUUCCCUGUACUAACAAUGCAGCUGAGUACGAGGCCUUGCUCCAUGGUCUUAGGAUGGCUAAGGAGAUGAGCUUAAGCCGGGUAAGGUGCUUUGGUGACUCAGAUUUAGUGGCCCAACAAGUGUCAGGCAAGUGGGAUUCCAAGGACCCCCUAAUGGCGGCUUAUCGCCGCGAAGUUGAUGCCAUUGCUGGACAUUUUCAGGGUUACCAAGUAGAGCACAUCGAUCGCAGGAAGAACGAGGCAGCUGAUGCAUUAAGCCGGCUGGGCUCUCAGCGAAAGCCGGUGCCGCCUAAUACUUUCUUGGACAUUCUGCAUAACCCUUCUGUUAAGUUGCCUACAGAGGAAGACUUGGCUGUUCCUGACCCGGAAGCACAGUUGGUGGCGGCUCUCCACAUUAUCCCAGAUUGGACAGUACCAUACUUGGCUUACAUGACCCGGGGAGAAUUGCCUGAGGAUGAAACUUUGGCCAGACAAAUAACCCGGCGGUCUAAGUCAAUGAUAAUUAUCAAUGGCGAGCUGCAUCGUCGCAGUGUCACUGGAACUUUCCAGCAUUGUGUUUCCCCUGAGGAAGGUCAAGAAAUUUUACGUGAGAUUCACGAGGGGGAUUGUGGCCAUCAUGCCGUCUCAAAAUCCCUUGUGGCCAAGGCUUUUCGUCAUGGUUUUUAUUGGCUGACAGCUCAUGCUGAUGCAGAGGACUUGGUCAGUAAAUGUGACGGUUGUCGGAGGUUCUCACGAUGGGCUCAUGUGCCGGCUCAAGAGUUGAGGAUGAUUCCAAUCACUUGGCCAUUUGCGGUCUGGGGACUUGAUAUGGUUGGGCCUUUUAAAAGGUCCAAGGAUAAGAAGACCCACCUCUUGGUGGUGGUCGACAAGUUCACAAAGUGGGUUGAGGCAGAGCCGGUUAGUAAGUGUGACGCAGCCACGGCGGUUCAGUUCAUGAAAAAGGUGAUAUUUCGCUUUGGUUUUCCACACAACAUUAUAACUGACAAUGGUACCAAUCUGUCUAAAGGCGCCAUGGAGGAGUUUUGUCAACGAGAGCAUAUUCGGCUUGAUGUUUCAUUAGUGGCUCACCCUCAAUCCAAUGGUCAAGCUGAGAGAGCCAAUCAGGAAAUCUUGAAGGGCAUCAAGCCCCGGCUUUUGGUCCCUUUGCAACGGACGCCGGGUUGUUGGGUGGAGGAGUUACCCUCCGUGUUAUGGAGCAUCAAUACUACUCCUAACAGGUCUACGGGUUAUACGCCUUUCUUCAUGGUUUAUGGAGCGGAAGCGGUCCUCCCUAGCGACAUCCGUCAUGACUCGCCUCGAGUGACGACUUAUGUUGAGGAGGAUAAUGAGCAGGCGCGUCAAGAUGCUCUGGACUUGUUGGACGAACAGCGUGAUGUGGCAGCAGCUCGCUCGGUGAUUUACCAACAAGACCUGCGUCGCUAUCACAGCUGCCGGGUUAAGUCCAGGGUCUUUCAGGAAGGUGAUCUGGUGCUCCGGCUCAUCCAAGAUCAAACAGACGCACACAAGUUAUCCCCGCCUUGGGAAGGGCCCUUUGUGGUCAGCAAGAACUUGCACAACGGGUCAUACUACCUUAUCGAUGUUCGGGAGCACAAAGAUUCACAUAAGUCGGAGGAAGAGACCCGUCGGCCGUGGAACAUAGCUCAGCUUCGGCCUUAUUACACUUGAGCCACCGGCUCUCAUAAUGUACAUACUUCUAUAGCCAUGUAUAUAUUGUGAUAAAUAAUAAAGCAGGACAUCUGUCCUUUUUUCCUCCAAAAGGUAAAUGUAUUAUUGUUAUUUCCAUUACAACUUUACAUGGUCACUUGGAGGUUGAUCCGGCUUAUGAUCGUAUUCGAAUCUAGCCGUUAAUAAUAAUGAUCACUUGGGGGCUUCCUGUUCAAACAUAGGUCCUAUUCGAACCAAAGAGAACAUAGCUGUCGAUACCCACUUGAUUGGCAAAUUGCCGAGCUCAUUGGGGAGUUUUUCUUGAUCAUAUUUGAAUCAUAGCUCAACCCCCUUUGGGAACCGACGUGGAUCGUAUUCGAAUCAGCGUCGUUAAACAACUCUCAAGGUCAUUUGGGGGCUUCCUGUUCAAACAUAGGUCGUAUUCGAACCAAAGAGAACAUAGCUGUUGGUACCCUCUUGACCGGCAACGCCAAAGCCACUGGGGGCUAUAUGAUCGCAUGCGAAUCUUAGCUUAACCCCUUUGGGACGGUUCUCUGGUCGUAUUCGAAUCAGAAGCCCCUAAGUUUUUGAUCUCUUGGUUUGCAACAAAUUCUUUUGAUCAUAUCAAAAGUGUUCAAGGGUGGUUCUUUUUCCACCGGCUUAACUUUGAUUAAUAAGGUUGAUAGCACACAAUAAGCAUUAUAGGUGUUGGUGAACCGGCGUUGAGUUCUCAACCUUAUUAUUUGGGUUACAUGAACCGGAAGUGUACUUGAAGGCUUGCAGCCGCCUAGAGACUUGUGAUUUGUUUUCUAUGCAGGACAAUUAAAGACAGAUCUUUAAGCUUAAGGAAAGCAAAUGAUCAAACAUAACCUAGAGGAAUAUAAAAAAGCAGCCUAAACAGAGUUGAGCGCUGCACACGUGCACGAUGGCACGACAAAAUUAAGUGUUUGUCCUACUCUAUUACAGGACUCCCCGAGUCCAAAAGGCGAGGCAUUGUUUUUAAGGCAUAACCAUGAGCCGCCUACAAAAUUAAAGUGCUUGUUGGGUUGAAGCUUCCGGCUCAUCCCUCUCCGCUCCUCCGGUUGUUUCCAUGACCUGGAAGGUUGAUGAUUUCCAGUCAAUGCCGCUCAAAGCUUCAAAUUGAGCCUCAUCAUCAAUUAACCCGGCCGGGUCAACUUCAGGGGCGAAGGUAUGCUUACGAGUCGGAGGGAUUAGGCUGACUGCUUCAUAGCGUGGAGUCGGGAUCCUCUGAUUCUCCGCGUCAUAGCCCGGUUGAUACUUGGUAAGGUCUGUGUCAUUCCCAAUCAAGGUGGCCACCGGGCGCACGCUCUUCACACAGGCGGCGAAGUCUUUCUCGUCAAAGGGGGUGCCGUCUUCUUUCAAGCUGGGGUAUCCAAGAGCGAUGUCGGCCGGGUCUAGCUCCGGUAGAAACGCCUUGGCCCGGCUCAGAGCAGCUAUAGCUCCGGCUCUUGCAGAAGCCCGUCUCAGCUCUUGGAAGCGUUGAGGAAGUAUGGCAAGCCGCCUAAGUACGUCUGCCAGGUGAGUGGGAACCUCGUUUGACAGAGCACAACGGCUAAGGCACGUUGUGACCCGGUGUAAAGUUGCUCUACCAAGGUAUAAACCGCCUUCAGCUUGGUCAGCACGUUCUGAUUGAGAUUGGAACUUCUGGGACCUGCAUGACAAAGUCAGGUGAGCUGAUGGCAAUGGUGUGGUUUAUGGGAAAUGAAUGGUGUGAACUAGUUAGAAACUUACGGAGUAACUUACCGAAGAUUGCGGAGACCAUCUGAGAUACAUGACGCUUUAAGCCGGAAAGUUCGGCGGUUCUUUCAGUAAGAGCGGCCUUCGCUUGUUCGGCCCGGCUGAGCAAGGCAGUCUUCUCAUCCACCCAGGCUUUUCUUUCUGCUUCAAACUUUGUCUUCAGUUUCUCUUGUACAGACACACCGAAUUCAAAUUUGGCAUUGGCCUUUUGGGUCUCACUUUCCUGAGUCUUCAGGCGGUUCUUCAGAUCAGAGAUUUCUGCUUCAAAUUUCUUACAGGCGGCCUGUACAAUUUCCGGGUUACGGUUUGGGUGAUUAUCAUGCAAUAUUAAAGUCCCAAGCACUUUGCAAGCAAAGCCACUUGGCACUUGGGGGCUAAUGUAUGCUGAGAAGCUCUAUUUACAGUACCGGUUCAUGAAAAUAAGUCCCAAGCACUUUGUAGACAAAGGUACUUGGCACUUGGGGCUAAUGUGUAAAGCUGUUCAAAAUACUUGAUUAAAGUAAGGAAAGAACCGGGUUAACUAUGCUGUUUAAGCCGGCCUUUGAGUGGUACCAGGUAAGCCGGUUUUCUUGCAGCAGUUAUUAAGCCGGUAUUAAGUCUACAACAUAUUUUAUCAUAAGCCAUAGACUUGGGGGCUGGCAUGGUAAGGGUAACUAUGGAGUAAGCAAGAGAGUCAUACCUCAGAUUUUUGCUGGAUUUGCUUCACCAUGUCAAUUUCCAGGUCCCGGCUGUUGUUCACCUGAUUAACAUAGCCGGAGACAAUAUCUCCAAUGCUCAAAUUAGCAUAGUCAGUGAUAUCCAGCCUGACCCUGCGGCGUUCCAGCAGUUCUUCUUUGGCAGAGCAUCUGGCUAACACAGUGGGUCUCCCCGGCUCGACAAACUCUGUCCGGGUGAUUACAACAUCCGGAUCAUCGGCCGGUUGAGCCGGGCUGGGGAUCUCCGGAUUAUCAGAACCCUCCACGACUUGUUCUUCAGAUGGAGCAGUGGUGGUUUCAGGAGCUGAGGCAGACGGCGGCUCAUGAGCAGAAGCCUCCGGUUCAGUUAGGACCGACUCUUCGGCCGGCUUAUUCUUCUUCGCCCUCUUGCUGGGCUUUACUUGUACACUGAAAGUCAAAGAGUUAGUGCAAAACCAUGAGUAAGGUAAGCACAAAGUAAGCUGAUCAUCAUUACCCGGGGGUGGUCUUGAAGGCCGGCAAGUUAGAUUGCAUGGAGUCGCCGGAGGAAGGUGAAGUUCCCUGAUAGUUUGAAACAGAAGAAUUGAGUGGUUGAUGAGUGACGCCUGCCAAAGGAUGAAAAGGAUAUAAGUCGGAGAUAACCUUGGUCCGGCGCUUCCUUGAUGCUUCAGGUAAGCCGGAGGAGAGGUCUGCGUCCUUGCUAGUCCGGGUCUGCCUCCGACUCUCAUGAAUCUGUCGCUUCAAAAGAAAUUGAGGAACUUGAUAAGCUAAAGGAUGUGAAAAUCUUACUUUCCGGGUUACUCUUCGGACUUUCAGUCUUGGCAAGGGCUCCGAGUCGGAGGAAAGUAUAGUUACCUCUUCAAUCACCGGGUUACUCGCUCCGGUAUCCUCCUGCUGAUAAUCAGUGUCAAUAAGACGGUUAAAAAAGGAGCCUAAAGAAUCAAGGGCUACCUCUGACUCGGAGGUGUCGUCCAGGUGAAGCAGGUCCGAGGCACUAGGCUUACUCCCCUUCUUGCGGGGAGCGGCUCUCCUGGCGGCUUUUUUAGCCUUUCUGGCUUUCUUAGCAGCUUCAUGGUCAUACCCGACCUUCCAGAAUUUGUCAUUAGCCUGUAAAAUGCAACGAAGGUUUCUUGAAGUUAAGACAAAAAUUGUUAAAAUGAAAAGUAAGGAGUUCAGGUCAAUAGCUUACCGCCGGGGCCGGGUUAGCCUUGCAGAAGGGGCUUAGGCCUGUCCUCCCGCAAUCUGCUAAGCUCUUGUUCAGAAGAGACUUGGUCAUGUCAUCAACGACGUCCACAGGUAAGUCGUUGGGGCUGUGCCAAAGAGGAUCAUCCUUCCGGCCCGUGUAAUUACACAUUAAGCCGGGGCGGCGGCUUAGAGGAAUCACCCGCCAAGCAAUCCAGACCCAGACUAGAUCAACGCCGUUUAGGCCGUUUCCCAGAAGAGCUUUGAUUUUGUUGAUGGUGGGAAUAAGCGGUUGACGCUCAGCUUGAGAUAAUUUGUCUGGCAGAGGGUGAUUUGACUCCAGACACAAGGCGCGAAAACCGGGCAGAGGGUUCUCAUCAGCCGGAGAAGUAUCUUGGCAGUAGAACCAUGUCUGGUUCCAGUCCUUCGGGUGGCUUGGCGGCUCAGCAUAAGGAAAGAGACAAUCUCUCCGUCGUUGGAUUGAGAUUCCACCAAGUUCCAAGCUAGGCCCGUUGGCACAUUCAUUCUGGCGGUUCAGGUAAAAUAACUCCCUGAAGAGUAGUAGGCUGGGUUCUUCUCCAAGGUAUACCUCACAGAACACUUGAAAGUUACAAAUGUUUGACACGGAGUUGGGUCCAAUGUCUUGAGGUCGCAGAUCGAAAAAGUGCAGAACAUCUCUGAAGAAUUUUGAGCCAGGAGGAGCAAAGCCCCAGCUCAUGUGGUCAGCAAAUAUGACAACCUCUCCGUCCUUUGGUUGAUGUCUCUCUUCGGACGGGUCAGGAGCUCGGUAGGACAUGACGUCCUUCUUAGGCAGGUAACCCGUUUUUACGAAGUCAUCUAAGGUGCUAUCAGUAAUGUUGGAUCUCACCCAGUUGCACGUAAUGGGCGCUUUGGGAGCCUUGGGCGGCAUUGUGGAAAAUGGAAGCCUAUGACAAAAGAGAAUUCCCGGUUCAAAUUUAAGCCGGAGGAAGAUUCCGGUUCAGUAUUCAAAAUGGCGGUUUAUGAGGGGGCCUAAUGAUAUAUGACUAACUGUGUCAGGUUAUUUAAGCCGCCGUGGAUAUCUUAAGCAAUUUAAGUUAUUUAACUCUAUUGUGAGUGAGCCGGAGAUUUCACAAAGCAGGGUUUCUUUUAAGCCGGCGAUAUGACCCGCCAUGGUUAACAGAUGCAGUUUUUGCCUAAGUGUUGCAUAAACAGGUUUCACAGAUUACAGAAAUUAUUUUGGAUCAAACGAUCGUCCAGAAAGGAAAAAUUUCUAGACCUAAAAACUGGUACAGAGGAGUUCAUGAGUUCUAAGGAGGUCUUUUUGCAAGUAAAAGGGAUGUGUUAAUGUUGGAAAUGGGUGCGAAACAACUACCGCAUGAGCUCUGUAUUAUUUUUGGAUCCAAGGGGACCGUGUAGGAAGAACUGUGAAGGAAUCGCGAUGAACUGUGAAGAACAUGGAGAACCUGCGAACCCUAAUGCGGAUCUAAUGUACGGGACGGCAAGAACUUACUGGUGCUGAUGGGCAGCGGAGGUGCGCCGCGAUUCUCUGGUCAAGACAGGUUGAUGCAGCGGCCUUGGUCGAUGCAGAUGAGGUGCGCGGCGGCGGCGGCGGAGCUCGAGCUCUGGGGCGUCAGAGGAGGAAGACGAUGGAUCGAGAAGAGUGACGGAAGGCUUAUGGGCCGGGCUUAUUUAUAAGGACGGCUGGUAAAUGGGCGUGAGAAACGAGGAGGUUGAAGACAUGAUUAUCUUGCCGCAGAAACGCCUCGAUUCUCAGGAUGGUCAUUAAGAUAAGAUCUGUUGGGAUAUGACAGAAUAAAAAAUGAAUUUAAUGGAAGAUGACGUCAUGGCGGGUUACCAAGAAUCCAGAAGAUGAUGUCACGGCGGGUCAUAACCUUCGCGCAAGCAGAAGCCGGAAGAUUUUUUCUUAAAGGUAUUGAAGAUUGACAUGAACCGGUUCAAAUCAAUCUCGGGCCUAAUGUUGAGGAUAUAACCAUUAGAGUCACCCGCCCAGGAGGGGCCGGGUUACGUCAUAAUGAUCAUCAUGUGAAGCCCAGCACCAAGCUUGAGGAUGGCGGUUCAGUAAUGGGCUUAAGACCCGGAGGCGGCUUAAGGCCCGUAGUGAUAAACCGCCGCCAUGGCAAGACUUGUAGUGUAAGGCAAGGAUAGUUAAGAGUCCGAGCCGUACACUGUUAUGAGCCAGCUGGAACUCUGGGAGCCGCUGGGCGUCAACCUCUCUAAAGGGACGACCCGACGGCGAUUCAGGACAGGCAACAUCAGAUCGAUAGCCAGGCAUAGCGGUUAAGCUCCUGGUCAUGGAAACCCUAAAUAAUACCACCUCAAUUGGACGUAGGCUUUUACCUUCAACAUAAGGGGCCGAACCAGUAUAAUCUCCGUGUCCUUUGUCCCGUUUAACCCCUUUAAGCUUCCUAGCUGCGAUGGCUCCACGACUAAGUCCUUGCAUGAGGACAUCUGUUGUGACAACUCCACGACAGUAAGGAAAGGAUAAGUGGUGAGGUUGCAGCAGCGACUAAGCAUAUAUGGUGGCUAACAUACGCAAAUAAGAGCGAGAAGAGAAGCAAAUGGAACGGUCGAGAAGGUAGAAGUGAUCAAGAAGUGAUCCUGAAACUACUUACGUUCAUACAUAACCCAAAAACCGUGUUCACUUCCCGGACUCUGCCGAAAAGAGACCAUCACGGCUACACACGCGGUUGAUGCGUUUUAAUUGAGUCAAGUGUCAAGUUCUCUACAACCGGAUAUUAACAAAUUCCCAUCUGCCACAUAACCGAGGGCACGGCUCUCGAACGUUUAUACCCUGCAGGGGUGUCCCAACUUAGCCCAUCACAAGCUCUCACGGUCAACGAAGGAUAUUCCUUCUCCCAGGAAGACCCGAUCAGUCUCAGAAUCCCGGUUUACAAGACAUUUCGACAAUGGUAAAACAAGACCAGCAAAGCCGCCCGAAUGUGCCGACAAAUCCUGAUAGGAGCUGCACAUAUCUCGUUCUCAGGGCACACCGGAUGAGCAAUCCGUACAACUCAAACCAGACCUCAAGUUUCCUUGAGGGGGCGCUGCAAAGGGCUCUAGUUUGGACCAACACUCAGAGGAGCACUGGCCCGGGGGGGGGGUGUCGUGGAAUUGUCACGGCAGAUGUCCUUAGUGUCAGGACUUAGUCGCGAGGCCAGCGCAUCUAUGUGGUAGCUUGAGAGGGGUUGAUUGGGAUGAGAGACGCAGAGCGGUUCAACGUACAAGACAAGGGUUUAGACAGCUUCGGGCCCCGGGAAACAUCAUCCGGUAAUAGCCCUACAUGCUGUUUGAGGCUAGGUCUCAUUAUGCUCAUGAGAGAGUCGCCGGUAAGCCGGCUCUUUGUGUCUAGCCUUAGAGAUUGUUUCUUGUUGCUUGUCCCUCUUUGGGGUGCCCUGCCCCUCCUUAUAUAAGUUAGAGGGGCGGGUUACAUGUGGAGUCCUAGUAGGACUAGGACUAGUCUAUCUUCUCUUACAAGUUAAUUACAAGUCCGGGUCUUGUUUCCUUGUAAAGGAAAUAUUCGUCAUCCCUUUCCUCUUAAUCCGGCCCAUCAUAACAUGAGCCGGCCUUCUGGGCUUUGAGCCUUGUUGUCCAUCUGACCCGUCCGCCGGGUUACUAAUGAGUCGCCAAGAUCGGGCAGGUUAUCUGUGAAUCGCCAAGCUCCGGGCGGGUCACCAGCGAGUCGCCAAUUCCGGCCGGGUCAUACCGCGGGAUAUAUCCCCGACAUUAGCCCCCAGUUUAAUUUGGAUUUAUCCAUGUUAAACUAAUCCUGUAAAAUAAACACAAGAACAAACUUGAUAGGUUGUGCUCCGGGUUAAAUUUUGUAAGACGGCACCUGAUCACCUUUAAAUCCUUGUCAUUUCUUUCUUGAUACAUGCCCAUGAACUCAUAGAAAAUCUCCUUUAGUAGAUAUGUUCAAACUUUGUGAAUGCAAAAAAUCCAGAUACUUCUUUUGAGAAAUCCGGGUCAAUAGGCCAGCUUCAGAGUCAAUUUGCUGGCAUUGGUCUCUUGUAGAGAAAUAUUGUAAGAAACAAUCCACUUGAAUCGGCUUUCAAUGCUCUGACUUGACAAAAAUAUUGGUCUUCAAAUAUUCAACUUAUAUUCAUCCGGCUUAAAGAUAUAAAACUUGUCGGUUUAUGAGUACCAAAAUUGCCGGGUUAUAAAUAGAUGAUGCCAAGUCAUAAUUGUCGCCGACGCCGGUUUAUGAUUGUUAAUGACGCCGGUUUACAGACACAGGGUCAUAAUGAUUGGUGACACCGGAUCAAUCUGGUUUUGCUCAAAACAGAGAAAUUGAAGAUAUUUCUUUGAUAAUAAUAUAAUACCUGUAGCCCCCAAGUCUUGAGCAGAACAAAGCGAUGGCUUAAGACUUGCUUCAAUAUGAAUACUGCCACUUUGAAGAAAUCCAUGUUGUUCAUCCCAAUCACUAGUAAAAACUGAAUAUUCCAUAUUAUGUAGCCCCCAAGUGCCGGGUUGUCAUGCUUGCAGCAACUUGGGACUUGUAAUUGCCUGAUUCUCAAAAACUUCAACCAGUGUAGCCCCCAAGGGCCGGGUCAUUAUGCAAUAAUGAGCAGGGACUUUAUAAAUAUGAUCAUGUAAAUUUGAACAGCAAUGUGUAGCCCCCAAGGGCCGGCUUAGUAAGAUAAUACUGAGCUGGGACUUUUCAUUGAAAAUAAUCAUAUGAUGUAACCCUCACCAUGGGGCUUGAACCCACGUCCACAAGGUUAAGAGCUUUGUGCUUUACCAACUAAACAGUGGAUCCUUCAAUAUAAUGGAUUAAGACUUAUGUACCUUGAAUUGUUGACAGGAGCAAUUGGUAGCCCCCAAGGGCCGGUUUAUCAUAAUAUGAUGAGUCGGGUCUUCAACAAGGCCAAUAAAAAGUAAACUUGCAUUAGCCCCCAAGUGCCAUGGUGCAUGCUGGCAGUGACAUGGGACUUGCACAUUUGAUGUAAUCUCAAUUUGAAUAAUGUAGCCCCCAAGUGCCGGGUUGUAAGCCUGCAGCGACUCGGGACUAUUCCUUCCAUUGUAGAAUAAAUCAUAUCCAUUGAUAAAAUAAUAGCCAUUGCGCUGAAGCGACUUUGAAAACCUCAAUCAUAAUAUUAGUUUCUGAUAACCAUAAUAAAAAUCCAGCCAUGUUGGCUAUUAAAGAUCUGACUAACCCGGUUUGAAAACCUCAAUCAUUCAAAUCAUAAUGAAAAUCCAGCCAAGUUUGGCUAUUUAAAGAUUCCAAAUACCUUAUCUAUUGACAAGUAAAUCCGGAGUUUAAAUACCCGGCGGCUCUUGGCUGAUGGCGAUUUAUUACGCCUCCAUUGUAAGCCGGAAUUUUUACAACCCGGCGGCUUAUAGCCUUUGAGAAAACCAAGAAUUGAUAACCCUUUUGAGACACCAAGUUCAAUCUUUGAUGAUGGGCUUGAACUUAAUCAUUUAUGUAAGUCAUAGCCCUGUAAAUCCUGCACAUAGUUCAAACAACAUAUGUCCUGGCGACUUAACGUUAAAAGCCAGGGCGGGUAACCACCCAAAUGUAGUCUUAUCCUGCACACAAGUAGAUCACAAGAUCCCUUGGCGGUUUACCGCAGGGCGGGUCAUAAUAUCUCACAUAUAACCACUGUGAUAUUGAAUUUGUACUGCCGGUUUACAUGACCUGUGCAGUAAGGGUGAUAACCCGAUCCUUAGAAGCCAAUGCUUCCACUUAGAUGAUGAUUGUCAUAAGCUGGCGAUUUAUCAUCGAAAAUCAAGCCGGGUUAAAUAGCAACCACUCAUAUACACUUCAGAUAUGAAAAAAAGAGCUUCAAAUAAAAUCCAAAAAUUGUUUGCAAAAAGAGACUUCGAAAAUUUUUGAGGCUUCUGAUUCGAAUACGAUCAGAAAACCAUCCCAAAGGGGUUAAGCUAAGAUUCGAAUACGAUCAUAUAGCCCCCAGUGGCUUUGGCGUUGCCGAUCAAGAGGGUACCGACAGCUAUGUUCUCUUUGGUUCGAAUACGACCUAUGUUUGGACAGGAAGCCCCCAAAUGACCUUGAGAGUUGUUUAACGACGCUGAUUCGGAUACGAUCCACGUCGGUUCCCAAAGGGGGUUGAGCUAUGGUUCAAAUAUGACCAAGAAACUCCCCAAUGAGCUCGGCAGUGUGCCGAUCAAAAGGGUAUCGACAGCUAUGUUCUCUUUGGUUCGAAUACGACCUAUGUUUGAACAGGAAGCCCCCUGGUGAUCAUGAGAAUAUUUAACGACUCUGAUUCGAAUACGAUCAGGGUCACACCAAAAGGGUUAAGCUAAAUUCAAAUACGAUCAGCUCCCAAUGGUCAUUAAAGCAGGGUACCUAUAUUUGAGUUGUGCUUUGUAACAGACUCUCUUUGGUCCCUUUAAUAUUUACUGAGAACUCGAACUUUGCGAGAGAUAACCUCUUUUUGAACCGGAAAUUUGUAAACCGGAUAUUAAGAGCUUCAAAGCUUUAUAAGAUACAAAUUUACCUUGAGCCGGACGAUUGAACCGGAUUUGAGAGCUUCAAAACUUUGCGGGAGAAAGAUAUCUCUUGAACCGGAUUUUAAACCGGAAUCUUUAUUUGAACCGGCAAUUUUCUGACGGCCUUUAAAGUUUCAUCAAUAUGGUAGCAGCCUCCGGAACCGGGUUAUCAUUCCCUCCAACGACCCGGGCUUCACGAGUCAUGUCACUGUAGCCCCCGAGUCUCAAGAUGACUCGAGGAGUUGGCUUGAGAUUCUCCAUAUUUAACCAUGAUAUAAACCGGCAUAACUUGUAUAUCAUUGGUGUUGAUAACACGAUGUGUAUCCACGGAAGGUUAAGGUGACUGCGGCGGGUUAUAAAUGAUCCCGUAUGAGCCGUGUCAGCAACUCGGCCAAUGGUUCCUUCCAACUGGCUGUUUGAAGUUUAACCAAACUGUAGUGACGGCGACUCGUGCACCUGCCCAUUGAACAAUCCAGUGCAGACGACGGCUGAUAAUAUAUGAUAAUUUGCCUCCAGUUUGUUGGAAGAAAACCGGGCUUCCCAAGUAGUGACUUGCUCAUAAUCAAUAAACAACUCAUCCAGCCAAGUGCGGCCUGGUGUGUUGAUGUAGAUCAGGCCGCGAGAGACGGACGGUAAAGACGAUCGUAACAUCAGAGGCGGCACAGACAGAUGAGUCGGCCGUGGCGUUAUAAACCGGUGCGGACGGGUGAGUUGUCCUCCUUGUUGUAAGCUGGCGUGGUCGCGAGAGACGGCCACGGCGUGGUAAGCCGGCGCGGUCGCGAGAGACGGCUACGGCGUUGUAAGCCGGUGCGAGGGUCCGUUGAAUAACGAAGACCACCUGUGCCAAAAGAUGUUGGCGUGCCUCCAUCUCCGCAGUAUAAUAUCACUUUUUGUCAUAAAUAAUUGCCCUGUAUAAGCAAUAUUGCAGACCAAGGCAAACAUAAACUAUUCUUUGACAAAAAUAAUAUGUACUAAAAAUAUAUUUUAGAUGGAUAUCACCUGAUGUGUUUCGGCCGAAAAUAAUCCGCCAUGAAGUUGAUGAUCACUAAGUGAAACUGAAACCUUUCACGGGUGAAUCGGCCGUGGGAGCAGACAGAUAAACCGGCCACGGUGUUUGUGAGCCGGUGCGGACGAGCAAGUUGUCCUCCGCGUUGUAAGCCGGCGCGGACGCAUGAACCGGCCGCGAGGGCGGACGGGCGAUUCGUCCGUGGUGUUGUAAGGCGGUGCGGACGGGCGAGUCGGCCGGCGCGUUGAUGUAAACCGGACCGCGAUACGCGUGUCCGUGAAGCUGCGCGGCACAGCCGGACAUGCCUCUGCGGUAUAAUACCACCCCUUUUUCUUUUAAUAGCCGUCCUACAUAAAAAUAUUACAGGCCAGAGUAACUGUUGUCGGAUGAAUUAACAUGUACUGAUAAAAUACAUUGGAGGGAUAACACCUGAUUCGCCCGGACAACAGAUGCGUCGACCGUGGUAUUGUAAGCCGGUGUGACGGGGAGAGUCGGCAUCGGUGUUGUAAACCGUCACGGGCGGGCGAGUCGGCCGUAUGUUGAUGUAGACCGGACUAUGGGGGACGGCGGCUUACACGCGUGUCCGUGAAGUUGCACGGCACAGACGAACGCCAAUAAAAAUGAUGCUGGCGCAUGCUCAUGAAUAAUUUACCUUUCGUCAAACACCGGCCCCGAUAAUUUUGUCUGGUAGCCUGGCACCCUUUUUUUAGCAGCCUUGAAAAGAUGUGACGGGCGUAUACCCCUGCUCUGUAAUAGUAGUAGCUAGUCCUACUAGCGCCCCCAUGGUUUUUUUUUUCGUGAUGUACUCAAGUAGUACUUUCCAAAAUCACGUAUACUAGUAGCACUCCAACCUGGCAGACCGCAUCUUUCCUUCUGAUUUUUUUUGUAUCCUUUUUUAUUUCCAUGCCCAUGAUACUAGUAGUAUUUUGGAACGGUUAGCAGAGAUCUGUUUUCUCGGCGGAGACUUGCCAUUGGACCGAUUCCACGGCGUACGGCAUACCACUUAACCAAAGAAAAAAAAUUCCUCUGAACCCCUGUCCAUCUCGGCAAUACGCUGUAGCAGUGGUGGAAGUUGAUCCGUGUCCCUCUUUUUUUCCUUUGAUUUGACCCGGUCUGUACGUAGCAAACUAUGGAUGACUCCUUUUGGGAGAACCUUCUUGAUCUGACAUGUACCAGUACUAGCAACAAUUCAGGUUGUGUGUACUUAUCCGUAGAUGGUAAGAUGUGGCUGUAUUUUCUUGACUGUCCACGCACGGCUACAGCGAACUCUGCCUCCGACCCGGAAAACGAGUCUCCUUUGGUAGAUUUCUGCAACGGUGCCAAGGCGAAUCUUCCUGUCGGUCUCGGCGACUUUUGUAGAACACCGCGGAGGAAAUCGAUCCAGAUGGAUCCCCUCGUCAGGUGCGGCCACGCGCGCAACCCUAAAUUCUCUUAUCGGCUGUGUCCGAGGCUGUCUGUCCACAGCUGUCUACUGCCGGGUUAUCCUGCGGGCUGUCCGUCCCGGCGCUUUCUCAUCCGAUAAUCGCGAGCUUCUCGAUUCCUGGAAAAGAUCCCUCCAAGAACUCAACACCACCGUGCGCGAAGCCCCACGGUGGGCGCCAACUGUCGUGGAAUUGUCACGGCAGAUGUCCUUAGUGUCAGGACUUAGUCGCGAGGCCAGCGCAUCUAUGUGGUAGCUUGAGAGGGGUUGAUUGGGAUGAGAGACGCAGAGCGGUUCAACGUACAAGACAAGGGUUUAGACAGCUUUGGGCCCCGGGAAACAUCAUCCGGUAAUAGCCCUACAUGCUGUUUGAGGCUAGGUCUCAUUAUGCUCAUGAGAGAGUCGCCGGUAAGCCGGCUCUUUGUGUCUAGCCUUAGAGAUUGUUUCUUGUUGCUUGUCCCUCUUUGGGGUGCCCUGCCCCUCCUUAUAUAAGUUAGAGGGGCGGGUUACAUGUGGAGUCCUAGUAGGACUAGGACUAGUCUAUCUUCUCUUACAAGUUAAUUACAAGUCCGGGUCUUGUUUCCUUGUAAAGGAAAUAUUCGUCAUCCCUUUCCUCUUAAUCCGGCCCAUCAUAACAUGAGCCGGCCUUCUGGGCUUUGAGCCUUGUUGUCCAUCUGACCCGUCCGCCGGGUUACUAAUGAGUCGCCAAGAUCGGGUAGGUUAUCUGUGAAUCGCCAAGCUCCGGGCGGGUCACCAGUGAGUCGCCAAUUCCGGCCGGGUCAUACCGCGGGAUAUAUCCCCGACAGGGGGGUAAAUAAAGAUGACCCUCGGGCUCCGGAAACCCAAGGGAAAAAGGCUUAGGUAGGCAAAUGGUAAAACCAAGGUUGGGCCUUGCUGGAGGAGUUUUAUUCAAAGCGAACUGUCAAGGGGGUGUCAUAAAUCACCCAACCGCGUAAGGAACGCAAAAUCAAGGAACAUAACACCGGUAUGACGGAAACUAAGGCGGCAAGAGUGGAACAAAACACCAGGCAUAAGGCCGAGCCUUCCACCCUUUACCAAGUAUAUAGGUGCAUUAAUUAAAUAAGAGAUAUUGUGAUAUCCCAACAUAAUCCUGUCCAUCAUGGAGCAAUCUUCAACUUCACCUGAAACUAACAACGCUAUAAGAGGGGCUGAGCAAAGCGGUAACAUAGCCAAGCAACGGUUUGCUAGGAAGGGUGAAAAAGGUUAGAGGCUGACAUGGCAAUUUGGGAGGCUUGAAGAGCAAGCGAUAGGUAGCGCAGCAUAGCGAUAGAACGAAGCAACUAGCAUAGCAAUGAUAGUAGUGAGAUCCAGGGUGAAGGUCAUCUUGCCCGAAAUCCCGCUAGGAAGAAGAAUGAGUCCAUGAAGAAGAUGAAGCCACGAAGACGAGCCAAGCGUAGUCGAACGAAUCCUCACGGUCGAUAUGAAACGGGAACUAUCGAGAAGAAGCACUACCGGAAAGAAGCAAACAACAAGGUAAACACACAACACAUAGACAUGGCAUGAUGCACAACCAAGCAUGAUGCAUGACAAAGGCUACAUGCAGCUACUCAUGGCAAGAGAGGAUGCAUACAAGAGCAACACAUCAAAGCAAGUUUAAAUGAGGCCGGAAACAACAUAUAACAAAUCCGGUAACCUCAUUUGCAAAUUUCGAAAUUGGUCCAGAUCUGAAUAAACCUUAUGUUCAAGUUGUUAAACAGCAAGUUAAGAUGCACCAAGAUGAUCUACACGAAAUUCUAGUCAAGUUACAUAUAAAGUUCAAUUAGUUCGGAGCUACGGCCUAGAAGAUAUGAGCAAAACAAGUCAAACAUGUCAUUGAUGCAAAAUGCAUACAACCAUCAAGCAAACACUCUCAAAACAAGUAUUCAACAUGAUAAGAUGAAACUACAUGCAAUUCUAAGUAAGUUUCAUAUAAAGCACACUCAAAACGGAGCAACGGUUCAACACAUACACAUAAAACAAGUUUAAAGGACAAGCUGUCCAAAAUAGCAAUUAGGCAUCUAGCAAGCAUCAAAACAACAUGCUACAGCACCCCAACAUGAAAAAAGGGCAUGUACAUGAUGUACAGGUAAAGCAUGAGAAAAUAGGAACACUGAGCUAUCUCCAGAAAUCACUAGAACAUGCUCAAAAGGACAUGACAAGAUUGCAAAUAAUAACAGUUCACAGACUUAGCAGAAAAUCACUGAGCAUGACAGAAAUAACAUCAGGUUGCAAUGUUUAGAGCUAUCAAACAACAUGUUACAGCAAGCUAUCAUGGCAAACAAAGGCAUAGCAUGCUAAUAGUAAAGAUAAAGAACAAAUCUCCCUUACUGAACUUAUUUCAAAGAUCAACAGAAAAUAUGGUAGCAUCCAUGCAAACAUGGGAAGUGAUAUGACAGAUUCAGAAUAACAGUACAUGGCAGGAACAACGAUAAGUAGGCAUGUUGGUGAGCUUGUACCACUCACCAUAGAGCAUUUCAUGGCCUGUGAAGUCAACCAACCGUAUGAAUACACAUUUAUGAAGCUAAACAUGGCAAUUGCAUAGUCAUAGGGUGUAUGAAUCACUAGCAAAUCACAUGGCAAAACUGAACUUAAUGUUAACAGGCUGACAGCAACAUUAUUUAGCAAUUUGAGAGCAAGAUUACAACAAGCUACAAUAGGCUAUAAAUGCAACCAAGGGCAUGGAGGAUAGAGAAUAACAUGUAUAAUAGAACAUCCUUAGUGAACAUCUGCAGAUUAUGCAAAGAAAGACUUGUAGUAGCAGGUUUACAUAGCAUCAUGAUAUAACAUAAUCAGCCUAGCAAAACAAUAACAGCAAGUGCCCUACUUCACAAGCUUGAUGCACUCACUACAAGACUUAAAAAAAUACAUGGAUUGCACCAUCUUAAAGAUGGCAUGGUGUAGCUCAAAAACUCAUGUAGACAUCAAGCUCAUAGGAUGCACAUAUAAAAUGCAAUGAAAAAGAUAAAUCACCAAGUUCUAUUAACAAACAGCAGUUAACAUCAUAUAACACUCUUGCAACGAUGAUUAGGGCAUCCAUAUGGACUCAAAGAAGCAUGGAUCAAUGGAAUGAAAUGAAUAUCAUCUCACAAUGAACAAUUUGAUAUAUUACACGCAGAAAACAGAGCUACAUGCAAGAAGUUAUGGCAUCAUGAACAAGUGCACAAAAUGUAGCAGAUCUGGGGACUUAGUGAAAAAUUGGACCUCGGGGAAACGGGACGAGGGGAUCCGGGAUGGAGCGAUCCGGGGACGAGGGCGCGCGGGGAGGCGUUUGGUUGGGAUUCUCGCCGGAGAUGGCAGGGACGAGGCGGCGACGACCCGGCAGCGGCGCUCGCCGGCGCGGNNNNNNNNNNNNNNNNNNNNNNNNNNNNNNNNNNNNNNNNNNNNNNNNNNNNNNNNNNNNNNNNNNNNNNNNNNNNNNNNNNNNNNNNNNNNNNNNNNNNNNNNNNNNNNNNNNNNNNNNNNNNNNNNNNNNNNNNNNNNNNNNNNNNNNNNNNNNNNNNNNNNNNNNNNNNNNNNNNNNNNNNNNNNNNNNNNNNNNNNNNNNNNNNNNNNNNNNNNNNNNNNNNNNNNNNNNNNNNNNNNNNNNNNNNNNNNNNNNNNNNNNNNNNNNNNNNNNNNNNNNNNNNNNNNNNNNNNNNNNNNNNNNNNNNNNNNNNNNNNNNNNNNNNNNNNNNNNNNNNNNNNNNNNNNNNNNNNNNNNNNNNNNNNNNNNNNNNNNNNNNNNNNNNNNNNNNNNNNNNNNNNNNNNNNNNNNNNNNNNNNNNNNNNNNNNNNNNNNNNNNNNNNNNNNNNNNNNNNNNNNNNNNNNNNNNNNNNNNNNNNNNNNNNNNNNNNNNNNNNNNNNNNNNNNNNNNNNNNNNNNNNNNNNNNNNNNNNNNNNNNNNNNNNNNNNNNNNNNNNNNNNNNNNNNNNNNNNNNNNNNNNNNNNNNNNNNNNNNNNNNNNNNNNNNNNNNNNNNNNNNNNNNNNNNNNNNNNNNNNNNNNNNNNNNNNNNNNNNNNNNNNNNNNNNNNNNNNNAAGGGGCCGGGCGGCGGAGCGCGCGAGGGCGCGGGGACGGCAUGCUCGGGCCCGGGCGGGCCUGCCCUAGGCCCCGCGGGCCGGCGGCAGCUGCUGGCGGCGGAGGACCACGUGGCGCUCCCUGGUUGGCUCGGGGCGGCGGGCGGACGCGUCCGGCGCGGGAUGGACACGUCCGGCGGCGGGGGGAGGAAGAGGCUAGGGUUAGGGUAGGAUUCAUCCGCGAAUUUCGGGGGAGGGUGUGUUUUUAUAGGUAGAGGGAGUUAGGAGUGUCCAAAUGAGGUGCGGUUUUCGCCCACACGAUCGUGAUCGAACGAUGGAGAGCAUGGAGGGGAGUUAGAUGGGCUAGGUGGGCUGUUUGGAGGGGUGCUGGGCUGCAAAGGGAAGGGGCUUUCAGGGUUACACGAUUAACCGUUGGGGCAUCAAAUGACCUCCAAAUGGAACGAAAUUUGACGGGCGGUCUACCGAUGCUAUACCAAGGCCACUCAGCAAAUCUUGGACCAUUCCGAGAAAGUUUUUAUCCCGCUCACGAAACAAGGUCUGAGAGGGGCGACGGGCGCGUGCGAGUGUGUCUGGGCUCAGAACGGACAACGGAGAGAACCGGGGGAACCUGAACGGAUGCAAGUUUUAAAAAACAUGCAGAUGCAAUGCAGAUGAUGACAUGGCAAAAUGCAACACGCAAGCAAAUGACAUGGAAACAACGACGAGUAACUGGAAGACACCUGGCGCAUCGGUUUCGAGGCGUUACAACUCUACUCCGCUAACAAGAGAUCUCGUCCCGAGAUCUUAGGAACGAGACGGAAGAGAAAGAGGAAGAGGUGGAAUAAGAACGCAAGUGAGAAUUUUAACAAGGUCGAGAGCACUCGGGUAGAAAGAGAAAUGACGAAUAUGAUGAGAAUCAAAAGCUCAUGGAAUAAGGCAGACUCUGAAACCACUCCGGUUAGAACAAGAUAGAAAAGGAAUAAGAAUGGAAGAAUUUAGGCAGCACUCCGGCUGAAAAUGGAAGGAUUAGAACAUGAACUUCACCCAAUGAGAUGGCACUUGACGAGAUGAACAACGCAAUGCCUCUGGAAGAAUUGAAAGAAUGGAAUGAAAAGAACUUAGAAGGAAGUGUUGAACGGAGUUGUAGAGAAAAUCAACAACGAAAGAAAUGCUUGUUGUGGACUUAUCAAAAACAUCUCAAAAACUUGAGGUGAAAUAUACCACAACCAAAUGUCUGAAAAGCUGAGAAGAACGAAGAAAUGCAAAACUCCACUUCACAAGAAAUACGGAGAAUUAAUUGCACUUCGAGACGCAAGGGAAAAAGAUAUUUGCGCUCCUCCAACAAUAAUCUUGAUGAACUCUUGAAGAAUGAAUUAAAUCAUGAAGAACCACCAUGAAGAACUCCGGUGACAAAAGGAUGAUGAGAUAGAAUGAAGGAAGAAAGAAUAAGAUGAGCCUUGCGAUGAUUUAGAUGGAGGUUCCGACGAAAUGGUCGAGGAAAUUUGAACUCCGGAAAAGAAAAGAUGAAAACACUUGGAACUAGAAUUUAUUCAUCAAGAACAAACUCCGAAGAAAGGGAUUAAUCACUUUGAGGAAAUAAGAAUAAGAUUUAUUGUAUGCUUAUCCUUCAUCAAAUUAAAUUGAUGACAAGCAAUGGAUUUUGCAUACUACUUAUUCUUCUUAAAAAGGAUUGAGAAGUGACAUAUCGCAAACUUGAGAAGGUCUUCAUGAGCCACCGGUAGGAUUGAAAAGAACGAAUGAAUUAAUAUGAUAACAAAGGAAAAAGUAUCUGAAGGAACCACCGUAAGAAUUCGAAUAUAACUGAUGAAAGAGAAUGAAUCACCGGGAAGAAUUAGAAGAACAAAUAUGCUUGAGGGGAUUUAGAUACAAGGGAACGGGAAGAACUCGAGCUGAUUAAAGAACAUUUGAACGAAGCGCCGGGAUAAAUAGAGAACGAUAACUGGAAUGAUGGCCUCCGGUGAAAAGAAAUGGAAAAAACAACUCCUGACAUACUUCGGAUGGUUAAGAAAAGAAUAUCUGACAAAUGAAAUAAUUCGAGAGGAUAAUAUGAAGCUAGAACCACGAAUCUUCGAGAGAACUGGCAAGAUUUAGAGGAAAGACUCUUCUUCUAUCUUGAAAUGACGAUGAGGAACGCCACCAAAAUUACUGAGAUUCUCCGGGAGAAUGACAAGCGAAGAGGUUGAGCCAGCAAUGAAAAAAUUUGAAAGAGAUCUUGGAGAAGGCAUGUGACUGAUGGGAUCCAUUCUUACAUCACCUUGAAAAGAAUUUGAGAAUAACCCCGGGAGAAUCAGAAGAGUCAGGUAAGAUCCUGGGAAAAGACCUGUGGGUUAGGGCCCACUAAAGAGAAAAAUACGGUUGGAAAGGACUGUUGAAGAGAUAGAUGAUACACCGGAACGAUUGAAAUAUUUGAAUGAGGUGAUAACCUCGAAUUAAUUUGAACACAGACGAAUCUCCUGAGAUGUCUUGAACACUCCGGAAGGAUAAACUGGCGAGAGGCGAACGAGCAGGGAAAACACUUGAGCCGAGGGAAAUAAUAUAAUCACUACCAAAAAUUGGAAUUGAAUCCACCAGAGAAGAAAAAGAGAUGAAGAAUGUCAAACAAAAGAGAAUUCACCGGUUGAAACAAUUAACGAAAGACUGAAGAGGCUCCGCACGAAUGACAUUGAUGGUCGAAAGAGACUCAGACUCCGGGAAGAAAAAGGGUGGGAGGGCAGGAAAACAAAGGCAACUAGAAGGGGGAAUCAAUGAGUAACUUGAAUAGAAAACACCGGUUGAAAGAAUGCAAAGGCUUCGCACGAGUAGGAUGGGUCGACUCCGGCUCUGAGAAGAAAAAAAGGGUGGGCGGGUGGGAAAAGAAAACAACUGAGGAUUGAACUUGCAAAAACGGAGAGGGUCGAAUCACCUUGACGAGAAAUGCACCGGAUGCAAAGAGCUGAGGAACAACGAUCGAAAACCCAACUGCGUGAUCCUAAAGAAAGUUUGAAAGGGAAGAGGAGUACUUCAAAACAUCUACGUCAAGAUUCCUGACCAGAGCGAUGAAGGGGCUGAGGAGUAAAAAGAAUUCCUACUCUCCGAUAUAACUAGACUCCGAAAACAGUUUUCUUCUAGACUCGAGAACGACCAAACUACACGACCAGUCAAGGGGGCUCCUAUGGUCGGUCGAGGCUCUGAUACCAACUUGUCACGCCCAAUAUGCGACCCUAUCCUAAAGGAACUCGAAGGUCCCACCAAGGAUAGAAGCGCAUAUUGGAGACACUUUUGCAAGGUGGAUAUCAUUACAUCGUACCAUUACAUAAUAGUAGGGGAUACAUACAAGAGGCAAACAAUGCCACAUAAAUACAACAACAUCAUACACAAGAGCCACAUCCGACUACGGAUGAAACACAAACAGAAACUCAACGACAUCGACCCUUCUAGCCCAGGCUGCCGACCUGGAACCUAUCCCCUGAGCGAAGAAGAAGCAGAAGAAGAACUCCAAACAAGUAAACAUCGCUCUCGCGUCAAGAUCAUCGCAAGACCUGUACCUGCAACUGUUGUUGUAGUAAUCUGUGAGCCACGAGGACUCAACAAUCCCAUUACCAUGGGUAUCAAGACUAGCUAAGCUUACUAGGUAAGGAAAGGAUAAGUGGUGAGGUUGCAGCAGCGACUAAGCAUAUAUGGUGGCUAAUAUACGCAAAUAAGAGCGAGAAGAGAAGCAAACGGAACGGUCGAGAAGGUAGAAGUGAUCAAGAAGUGAUCCUGGAACUACACGUUCAUACAUAACCCAAAAACCGUGUUCACUUCCCGGACUCCGCCGAAAAGAGACCAUCACGGCUACACACGCGGUUGAUGCGUUUUUAUUGAGUCAAGUGUCAAGUUCUCUACAACCGGAUAUUAACAAAUUCCCAUUUGCCACAUAACCGCGGGCACGGCUCUCGAAAGUUUAUACCCUGCAGGGGUGUCCCAACUUAGCCCAUCACAAGCUCUCACGGUCAACGAAGGAUAUUCCUUCUCUCAGGAAGACCCGAUCAGUCUCAGAAUCCCGGUUUACAAGACAUUUCGACAAUGGUAAAACAAGACCAGCAAAGCCGCCCGAAUGUGCCGACAAAUCCUGAUAGGAGCUGCACAUAUCUCGUUCUCAGGGCACACCGGAUGAGCAAUCCGUACAACUAAAACCAGACCUCAAGUUUCCUUGAGGGGGCGCUGCAAAGGGCUCUAGUUUGGACCAACACUCAGAGGAGCACUGGCCCGGGGNNNNNNNNNNNNNNNNNNNNNNNNNNNNNNNNNNNNNNNNNNNNNNNNNNNNNNNNNNNNNNNNNNNNNNNNNNNNNNNNNNNNNNNNNNNNNNNNNNNNNNNNNNNNNNNNNNNNNNNNNNNNNNNNNNNNNNNNNNNNNNNNNNNNNNNNNNNNNNNNNNNNNNNNNNNNNNNNNNNNNNNNNNNNNNNNNNNNNNNNNNNNNNNNNNNNNNNNNNNNNNNNNNAGAUGACCCUCGGGCUCCGGAAACCCAAGGAAAAAAGGCUUAGGUAGGCAAAUGGUAAAACCAAGGUUGGGCCUUGCUGGAGGAGUUUUAUUCAAAGCGAACUGUCAAGGGGGUCCCAUAAAUCACCCAACCGCGUAAGGAACGCCAAAUCAAGGAACAUAACACCGGUAUGACGGAAACUAAGGCGGCAAGAGUGGAACAAAACACCAGGCAUAAGGCCGAGCCUUCCACCCUUUACCAAGUAUAUAGGUGCAUUAAUUAAAUAAGAGAUAUUGUGAUAUCCCAACAUAAUCCUGUCCAUCAUGGAGCAAUCUUCAACUUCACCUGCAACUAACAACGAUAUAAGAGGGGCUGAGCAAAGCGGUAACAUAGCCACUGACAUGGCAAUUUCGGAGGCUUGAAGAGCAAGCGAUAGGUAGCGCAGCAUAGCGAUAGAAUGAAGCAACUAGCAUAGCAAUGAUAGUAGUGAGAUCCAGGGUGACGGUCAUGUUGCCUGAAAUCCCGCUAGGAUGAAGAACGAGUCCAUGAAGAAGAUGAAGCCACGAAGACGAGCCAAGCAUAGUCGAACAAAUCCUCACGGUCGCAACAAAACGGGAACUAUCGAGAAGGAGCACUAUCAAAAAGAAGCAAACGACAAGGUAAACACACAACACAUAGACAUGGCAUGAUGCACAACCAAGCAUGAUUCAUGACAAAGGCUACAUGCAGCUACUCAUGGCAAGAGAGGAUGCAUACAAGAGCAACACAUCAAAGCAAGUUUAAAUGAGGCCGGAAACAACAUAUAACAAAUGCGGCAAGUCCUCAUAUGCAAAUUUCGAAAUUGGUCCAGAUCUGAAUAAACCUUAUUUUCAAGUUGUUAAACAGCAAGUUAAGAUGCACCAAGAUGAUCUACAUGAAAUUCUAGUCAAGUUACAUAUAAAGUUCAAUUAGUUCGGAGCUACGGCCUAGAAUAUAUGAGCAAAACAAGUCAAACAUGGCAUUGAUGCAAAAUGCAUACAACCAUCAAGCAAACACUCUCAAAACAAGUAUUCAACAUGAUAAGAUGAAACUACAUGCAAUUCUAAGCAAGUUUCAUAUAAAGCACACUCAAAACGGAGCAACGGUUCAACACAUACACAUAAAACAAGUUUAAAGGACAAGCUGUCCAAAACAGCAACUAGGCAUCUAGCAAGCAUCAAAACAAUACGCUACAACACCUCAACAUGAAAACAAAAGGCAUGGACAUGAUGUACAGGUAACGCAUGACAAUACAUGAACAAUGAGCUAUCUCCAGAAAUCACUAGAACAUGCUCAAAAGGACAUGGUAAGAUUGCAAAUAAUAACAGUUCACAGACUUUGCAGAAAUCAUUGAGCAUGACAGAAAUAACAUUAGGUUGCAAUGUUUAGAGCUAUCAAACAACAUGUUACAGUAAGCUAUUAUGGCAAACAAAGGCAUGGCAUGCUAAUAGUAAAGGCAAUGAACAAAACUCCCUUACUGAACUUAUUCCAAAGGUCAACAGAAAAUAUGGUAGCAUCCAUGCAAACAUGGCAAGUGAUAUGACAGAUUCAGAAUAACAGUACAUGGCAGGAACAACCAUAAGUAGGCAUGUCGGUGAGCUUGUACCACUCACCAUAGAGUAUUUCAUGGCCUGUGAAGUCAACCAACCGUAUGAAUACACAUUUAUGAAGCUAAACAUGGCAAUAGCAUAGUCAUAGGGUGUAUGAAUCACUAGCAAAUUACAUGGAAAAACUGGAACUAAAUGUUAACAGGCUGAUAGCAACAUUAUUUAGCAAUUUGACAGCAAGAUUACAACAAGCUACAGCAGGAUAUAAAUGCAAUCAAGGGCAUGGAUUGAUAGAGUAUAACAUGUAGAAUAGAACAUUCUUAGUGAACAUCUCCAGAUUAUGCAUAGAAUAACUUGUAGUACUAGGUUUACAUAGCAUCAUGAUAUAGCAGAAUCAGCCUAGCAAAACAAUAACAAGUGCCCUACUUCACAAGCUUGAUGCACUCACUACAAGACUCACAAAAAUACAUGGAUUGCACCACUGUAACGAUGGCAUGAUGUAACCCAAAACUCAUGUAGACAUCAAGCUCAUAGGAUGCACACACAAAAUGCAAUGAAAAAGACAAAUCACCAAGUUCUGUUAACAGAGAGCAGUUAACAUCAUAUAGCACUCUUGCCACGAUGAUUAGGGUAUCCAUAUGGACUCAAACAAGCAUGUAAUAAUGUAAUGAAAUGUAGAGCAUCUCACACUGAACAUUUAGAUAUAUUACACACACAAAACGGAGCUACAUGCAAGAAGUUAUGGCAUGAUGAACAAGUGCACAAAAUGUAGCAGAUCUGGGGACUUGGUGAAAAAUUGGACCUCGGGGAAACGGGACGAGGGGAUCCGGGGCGGAGCGAUCCGGGGACGAGGGCGCGCGGGGAGGCGUUUGGUUGGGAUCCCGGUGGAUCUGGUCCCGAUCCAGAUCCAACCAGAGUUCUCGUCGNNNNNNNNNNNNNNNNNNNNNNNNNNNNNNNNNNNNNNNNNNNNNNNNNNNNNNNNNNNNNNNNNNNNNNNNNNNNNNNNNNNNNNNNNNNNNNNNNNNNNNNNNNNNNNNNNNNNNNNNNNNNNNNNNNNNNNNNNNNNNNNNNNNNNNNNNNNNNNNNNNNNNNNNNNNNNNNNNNNNNNNNNNNNNNNNNNNNNNNNNNNNNNNNNNNNNNNNNNNNNNNNNNNNNNNNNNNNNNNNNNNNNNNNNNNNNNNNNNNNNNNNNNNNNNNNNNNNNNNNNNNNNNNNNNNNNNNNNNNNNNNNNNNNNNNNNNNNNNNNNNNNNNNNNNNNNNNNNNNNNNNNNNNNNNNNNNNNNNNNNNNNNNNNNNNNNNNNNNNNNNNNNNNNNNNNNNNNNNNNNNNNNNNNNNNNNNNNNNNNNNNNNNNNNNNNNNNNNNNNNNNNNNNNNNNNNNNNNNNNNNNNNNNNNNNNNNNNNNNNNNNNNNNNNNNNNNNNNNNNNNNNNNNNNNNNNNNNNNNNNNNNNNNNNNNNNNNNNNNNNNNNNNNNNNNNNNNNNNNNNNNNNNNNNNNNNNNNNNNCAGCGGCGGCUGCUGGCGGCGGAGGGCCAUGUGGCGCUCCCUGGUUGGCUCGGGGCGGCGAGCGGACGCGUCCGACGCAGGGUGGACACGUCCGGCGGCGGGAGGAGGAAGAGGCUAGGGUUAGGGUAGGAUUCAUCCGCGAAUUUUGGGGGAGGGUGUGUUUUUAUAGGUAGAGGGAGCUAGGAGUGUCCAAAUGAGGUGCGGUUUUCGCCCACACGAUCGUGAUCGAAUGACAGAGAGCAUGGAGGGGAGGUAGAUGGGCUAGGUGGGCUGUUUGGAGGGGUGCUGGGCUGCAAAGGGAAGGGGCUUUCGGGGUUACAUGGUUAACCGUUGGGGCAUCAAACGACCUCCAAAUGGAACGAAAUUUGACGGGCGGUCUACCGGUGCUAUACCAAGGCCACUCGGCAAAUCUCGGCCCAUUCCGAGAACGUUUUUAUCCCGCUCACGAAACAAGGUCCGAGAGGGGCGACAGGCGCGUGCGAGUGUGUCUGGGCUCAGAACGGACAACGGAGAGAACCGGGGGAACCUGAACGGAUGCAAGUUUUCAAAAACAUGCAAAUGCAAUGCAGAUGAUGACAUGGAAAAAUGCUACACGCAAGCAAAUGACAUGGCAACAACGACGAGUAACUGGAAGACACCUGGCGCAUCGGUUUUGGGGCGUUACAGCUUGGCCCUGGGCUCCCACUCCCCGCCGCUGUUGGUGGCCGCUGCAGAGUAGUCCGGAAGGGAAGUUUUCCCCUUCUUGGACGCCUCGGCCUCUCCAUGUGUGGAGGCCUUCCUCUUCUUUUGCCCCCGGUAGGGGGGAUGGAUUUCUUCUUCCUCCUCCUCUUCCUCGUCGUCUUUGGUGGAGGAGUGCGUCUCGGAGUCUUCGGACGUCACGUCCGAAGUGCCCUUGUGACGGAUACCCCUUCUGGUCCCCGGGGCCUUCUUUUUGGCCUUCUUCUCCGGCACCUCAUAAGGUGCGGAAACAUCAUCUUUGUCAGAAGGGGCGUUUCUGGAUCUUCGGGCAGCGGAGCCGGACAGUUAAUCUGCUCCGCUACCUCUAUCCAGGCCUGAAAAAGUGGUAAGGAGGCUUAGAUUCCUCCCUCAUAUAUGCUAGUAAAGGAUAUACCUUGAAAACUUAAAAGAACUUACCGGAUUAGCCGGGCGUUUUGAGCUAAGCCCACGAUCCUCAGUUGUGGGCGGUGGUACCUCGCCGGCCUUGAAGAGCACCUUCCAGAUGUCUUCGUGCGUCGUGCCGAAGAGCUCUAGCAGCGUCUGGUGCUUGGCUGGGUCGAACUCCCACAAAUUGCAAGUCCGGCGCUAGCACGGAAGGAUCCGGCGGAAGAGCAUGACCUGGACCACAUUGAUAAGCUUGAUUCUCUUGCUUAUCAUGUUCUGGACACACGUUUGGAGCCCCGUCAGCUCGUCCGAAGAGCCCCAGGCCAGGCCCUUCUCUUGCCAGGAGGUGAGCCGCAUUGGGACUCCGGAUCAGAAUUCGGGGGCUGCCGCCCAGUUGGUGCCGCGCGGCUCGGUGAUGUAGAACCACCCCGAUUGCCACCCCUUUACGGUCUCCACAAAGGAGCCUUCGGGCCAGGUGACAUUUGGCAUCUUGCCCACCAUGGCGCCCCCGCACUCAGCUUGUUGGCCGCUCACCACCUUGGGCUUCACAUUGAAGGUCUUCAGCCAUAGGCCAAAGUGAGGUGGGAUGCGGAGAAAGGCCUCGCACACGACAAUGAAUGCCGAGAUGUUGAGGAUGGAGGUGGGGGCCAAAUCGUGGAAGUCCAGCCCAUAGUAAAACAUCAGUCCGCGGACAAACGGGUGGAGAGGGAAUCCCAGCCCGCGGACGAAAUGGGUGAGGAAUACCACCCUCUCCUGGGGCUCUGGGGUGGGGACGAUCUGCCCCUUGACUGUAAGUCGAUGAGCGAUGUCCUUGGCUAGGUACCUGGCCUCCCGGAGCUUCUUGAUGUCCUCCUUCUUGAUGGAGGAGGCCAUCCACUUGCCUCCAGCUCCGGAUCCGGACAUGGUUGGAGUGCUUUUUUGGGCGGAGAAAGCUAGGGCUUGGGCGCUGGAGAUCGAGAAUGGAUGGGCAGAGGAAGGAGAAGGCAUGGGUGAAUGAGGAUGAACCCUUAUCCCCUUAUAAAGACGGCAAAGGUUAUGCGCCUCCCUACUCGUCUUAAAAUCCGCCUAUUCCCCAAGCACCGUGCAGAUGACACGGUUGGGUUACCCAUGCCCGUAUUGAUGAGAAUCCCGAGAUAAGGGGACACGAUCUCUGCUUCGACAAGACGUGCCAAUGAGACCGCACCUCGAAACACGGCUAAAAAACGGUUCGAAUAAUGACCGGGCAGUGGCAUGAUGUCCCGCUACAAAAAGUUGUCAGCGGAUUGGACUCGUAAAAUAUUAUACUCUCUACGAUUGUGUGUGGUACUUGUUUUGCAGAGCCGGACAUGAUUCUUGUGUUUGGAAUUUACUUUGAAGUGUUCGGAGAAGGAACCCGCCUUGCAAUGCCGAAGACAAUCUGCGCGCCGGACUCAUCGUCAUUGAAGCCUGGUUCAGGGGCUACUGAGGGAGUCCUGGACUAAGGGGUCCUCGGACAGCCGGACUAUGUACUUUGGCCGGACUGUUGGACUAUGAAGAUACAAGAUAGAAGACUUCGUCCCGUGUCCAGAUGGGACUCUCCUUGGCAUGGAAGGCAAGCUUGGCGAUUCGGAUAUGUAGAUUCCUUUAUCUGUAAUCGACUUUGUGUAACCCUAGCUCCCCCGGUAUCUAUAUAAACCGGAGGGUUUGGACUUCUAGAGUUUAGUCACAACAAUCAUAAUCUCAUAGGCUAGACUUCUAGGGUUUAGCCAUUACGAUAUCGUGGUAGAUCAACUCUUGUAAUACUCAUAUUCAUCAAGAUCAAUCAAGCAGGAAGUAGGGUAUUACCUCCAUAGAGAGGGCCCGAACCUGGGUAAACAUUGUGUCCCCCGCCUCCUGUUACCAUUAGCCUUAGACGCACAGUUCGGGACCCCCUACCCGAGAUCCGCCGGAUUUGACACCGACAAUGACCAUCACACUUUUAUUUACUUACAACUCAAGAAUUACAACUCGAUACUUAGAACAAAAUAUGACUCUAUAUGAAUCCCUCCGGUGGUGUACCGGGAUGUGCAAUGAAUCAAGAAUGACAUGUAUGAAAGAAUUAUAGACGGUGGCUUUGCCACAAAUACGAUGUCAACUACAUGAUCAUGCAAAGCAAUAUGACAAUGAUGAAGCAUGUCAUAAUAAACAGAACGGUGGAAAAUUGCAUGGCAAUAUAUCUCAGAAUGGCUAUGGAUAUGCCAUAAUAGGUAGGUAUGGUGGAUGUUUUGAGGAAGGUAAAUGGUGGGUGUAUGGUACCGGCGAAAGUUGCACGAUACUAGAGAGGCUAGCAAUGGUGGAAUGGUGAGAGUGCGUAUAAUCCAUGGACUCAACAUUAGUCAUAAAGAACUCACAUACUUAUUGCAAACAUCUAUGAGUCAUCAAAACCAAGCACUACACGCAUGCUCCUAGGGGAAGGGUUGGUAGGAGUUAACCAUCGCGCGAUCCCGACCUCCACUCAUAAGGAAGACAAUCAAUAAAUAAAUCAUGCUCCGACUUCAUCACAUAACGGUUCACUAUACAUGCAUGCUACGGGAAUCACAAACUUUAACACAAGUAUCUCUCAAAUUCACAACUACUCCACUAGCAUGACUCUAAUAUCACCAUCUUCAUAUCUCAAAACAAUCAUAAAGAAUCAAACUUCUCAUAGUAUUCAAUGCACUUUAUAUGAAAUUUUUUAUUAUAUACCUCUUGGAUGCCCAUCAUAUUAGGACUAAAUUCAUAACCAAAGCAAAUUACCAUGGUUUUCUAAGAGACUCUCAAAAUAAUAUAAGUGAAGCAUGAGCGUUAACGACAAACUACUCCAAAAGAUAUAAGUGAAGAUCAAUGAGUAGUCGAAUAAUUAUGUAACUAUGUGAAGACUCUCUAACAUUUAAUAAUUUCAGAUAUUGGGAUAUUAUUCAAACAGCAAGUAAAACAAAAUAAAAUAAAAUGACGCUCCAAGCAAAACACAUAUCAUGUGGUGAAUAAAAAUAUAGCUCCAAGUAAAGUUACCGAUGAACGAAGACGAAAGAGGGGAUGCCAUCCGGGGCAUCCCCAAGCUUAGGCUCUUGGUUGUCAUUGAAUAUUACCUUGGGGUGCCUUGGGCAUCCCCAAGCUUAGUCUCUUGCCACUCCUUAUUCCAUAGUUCAUCGAAUCUUUACCCAAAACUUGAAAACUUCACAACACAAAACUCAACAGAAAACUCGUAAACUCCGUUAGUAUAAGAAAAUAAAUCACCACUUAGGUACUGUUGUGAACUCAUUCUAAAUUCAUAUUGGUGCAAUAUCUACUGUAUUCCAACUUCUCUAUGGUUCAUACCGUCCGAUACUACUCAUAGAUUCAUCAAAAUAAGCAAACAACACAUAGAAAACAGAAUCUAUCAAAAACAGAACAGUCUGUAGUAAUCUGUAACUCUCAAAUACUUCUGUAACUUCAAAAAUUCUGAAACAAUUAGUUCCACCUGAGCAAUUUGUGCAACAAUCCAUAGCAAAAAUAAUCAGGUCAAAAUCACGUUUCAAUAAGAUUCUGAAAAUUAUUUACUGAGCGCAAAAGUUUCUGAUUUUCAGCAGGAUCAACACAACUAUCACCACAAGCUAUCCUAAAGGAUUUACUUGGCACUUUAUUGAAAAAAAAUCUAUAAAAAAUGAUUACUACAGUAGCUUAAUCAUGUGAACACACAAAAACAUUAGGGGUAAAUAUUGUGUUGUCUCCCAACAAGCGCUUUUCUUUAAUGCCUUUUUAGCUCGGCAUGAUGAUUUCAAUGAUGCUCACAUAAAAGAUUAGAAUUGAAACAUAAUGGGAGCAUCAUGAAGAAUAUGACUAGGCACAUUUAAGUCUAACCCAAUUCCUAUUCCUAGGGAUUUUGUGAGCAAACAACUUAUGGGAACAAGAAUCGACUAGCAUAGGAAAGCAAAACAAGCAUAGCUUCAAGAUUUUCAACACAUAGAGAGGAAACUUGAUAUUAUUGCAAUUCCUACAAGCAUAUAUUCCUCCCUCAUAAUAAUUUUCAGUAGCAUAAUGAAUGAAUUCAACAAUCUAACCAUCACAUAAAGCAUUAUUUUCAUGAUCUACAAGCAUAGAAAUUUUAUUACUCUCCACAUAAGCAAAUUUCUUCUCAUGAAUAGUAGUGGGAGCAAACUCAACAAAAUAACUAUCAUGUGAGGCAUAAUACAAUUGAAAAUUAAAAUCAAGAUGACAAGUUUCAUGGUUAUGAUUAUUCUUUAUAGCAUACAUGUCAUCACAAUAAUCAUCAUAGAUAGCAACUUUGCUCUCAUAAUCAAUUGGAACCUCUUCCGAAAUAGUGGAUUCAUCACUAAAUAAAGUCAUGACCUCUCCAAAUCCACUUUUAUCAUUAUAAUAAGGUUCAACACCCUCCAAAAUAGUGGGAUCAUUACUUCCAAAAGUUGAAACUCUUCCAAACCCACCUCAUCAAUAUAAUCAUCAUAAAGAGAAGGCAUGCUAUCAUCAAAAUAAAUUUGCUCAUCAAAACUUGGGGGACAAAAAAUAUUGUCUUCAUCAAACAUAGCUUCCCCAAACUUGUGGCUUGGCAUCUCAUUAGGAUCAUGGAUAUUCAAGGAAUUCAUACUAACAACAUUGCAAUCAUGCUCAUCAUACAAAUAUUUAGUGCCAAACAUUUUAUAGGCUUCUUCUUCUAACACUUGGGCACAAUUUUCCUUUCCAUCAUUUUCACAAAAGAUAUUAAUAAGAUGAAGCAUAUGAGGCAACCGCAAUUCCAUUUUUUUGUAGUUUUCUUAUAUAGACUAAACUAGUGAUAAAACAAGAAACUAAAAGGUGGUACAAAUCGAGGUUCUCAAGUCGACUGAUGUCACAUAAAUGAUGUCUAGUACGCAACCCUCUUCUUGUAGACGUUGUUGGGCCUCCAAGUGCAGAGGUUUGUAGGACAGUAGAAAAUUUCCCUCGAGUGGAUGACCUAAGGUUUAUCAAUCCGUGGGAGGCGUAGGAUGAAGAUGGUCUCAAAAAAACCUGCAACCAAAUAACAAGGGGUCUCUUGUGUCCCCAACACACCCAAUACAAUGGUAAAUUGUAUAGGUGCGCUAGUUCGGCGAAGAGAUGGUGAUACAAGUGCAAUAUGGAUGGUAGAUAUAGGUUUUUUUAAUCUGAAAAUAUAAAAACAGCAAGGUAGAAAGCGAUAAAAGUGAGCACAAACGGUAUUGCAAUGCUUCGAAACAAGGCCUAGGGUUCAUACUUUCACUAGUGCAAGUUCUCUCAACAAUGAUAAGAUAAUUAGAUCAUAUAACUAUCCCUCAACAUGCAGCAAAGAGUCACUCCAAAGUCACUAAUAGCGGAGAACAAACGAAGAGAUUAUUGUAGGGUACGAAACCACCUCAAAGUUAUUCUUUCCGAUCAAUCCAUUGGGCUAUUCCUAUAAGUGUCACAAACAGCACUAGAGUUCGUAGUAAAAUAACACAUUAAGACACAAAUCAAACAAAACCCUAAUGUCACCUAGAUACUCCAAUGUCACCACAAGUAUCCACGGGUAUGAUUAUACGAUAUGCAUCACACAAUCUCAGAUUCAUCUAUUCGAACCAACACAAAGAACUUGAAAGAUUGCCCAAAAGUUUCUACCGGAGAGUCAAGACGAAAACGUGUGCCAACCCCUAUGCAUAAGUUCACAAGGUCAUGGAACUCGCAAGUUGAUCACCAAAACAUACAUCAAGUGGAUCACGUGAUAUCCCAUUGUCACCACAGAUAAGCACAUGCAAGACAUACAUCAUGUGUUCUCAAAUCCUUAAAGAGUCAAUCCGAUAAGAUAACUUCAAAGGGAAAACUCAAUCCAUUACAAGAAGGUAGAGGGGGAGAAGCAUCAUAAGAUCCAACUAUAAUAGCAAAGCUCGCGGUACAUCAAGAUCGUGCCAAAUCAAGAACACGAGAGAGAGAGAGAUCAAACACAUAGCUACUGGUACAUACCCUCAGCCCCGAGGGUGAACUACUCCCUCCUCGUCAUGGAGAGCGCCGGGAUGAUGAAGAUGCCCACCGGUGAUGGACCCCCCUCCGGCAGGGUGCCGGAACAGGGUCACGAUUGGUUUUUGGUGGCUACAGAGGCUUGCAGCGGCGGAACUCCUGAUCUAGGUUUCUUUUGGGGGUUUCUGCAUUUAUAGGAAUUUUUGGCGUCGGUCUCACAUCAGGGGGGGGGGGUCUCCGAGUCAUCCACGAGAUAGGGCGGCAUGCCCGGGGGGUAGGGCGCGCCCUCCACCCUCGUGGAUGGCUCGGGACUCUUCUGGCCCAAGUCUUUUUCUCCGGGGGUUCUUUUGGUCCAUAAAAAAUUCACAAAAAUUGGCAGGUCAAUUGGACUCCGUUUGGUAUUCCUUUUCUAUAAAACUCAAAAACAAGGAAAAACGGAAACUGGAACUGGGCUCUAGGUUAAUAGGUUUGUCCCAAAAAUCAUAUAAAAUAGCAUAUAAAUGUAUAUCAAACAUCCAAGAUGGAUAAUAUAAUAGCAUGGAACAAUAAAAAAUUAUAUAUACAUUGGAGACGUAUCAAUAAACCAAAGCUAUACCAGGAUUUCAGAAAACCAUGGCAGAACUGAAGGAAAUAUGCCCUAGAGGCAAUAAUAAAGUUGUUAUUUAUAUUUCCUUAUAUAAUGAUAAAUAUCUAUUAUUCAUGCUAGAAUUGUAUUAACCAGAAACUUGAUACAUGUGUGAAUACAUAGACAAAACACCGUGUCCCUAGUAUGCCUCUACUUGACUAGCUCGUUGAUCAAAGAUGGUUAAAUUUCCUAGCCAUGGACAUGUGUUGUCAUUUGAUGAACGGUAUCACAUCAUUAGGAGAAUGAUGUGAUGGACAAGACCCAUCCGUUAGCUUAGCAUGAUGAUCGUUAAGUUUUAUUGCUAUUGCUUUCUUCAUGACUUAUACAUAUUCCUUUGACUAUGAGAUUAUGCAACUCCCGAAUACCGGAGGAAUACCUUGUGUGCUAUCAAACAUCACAAUGUAAAUGGCUGAUUAUAAAGAUGCUCUAUGAUAACCCACAAGUAUAGGGGAUCGCAACAGUUUUCGAGGGUAGAGUAUUCAACCCAAAUUUAUUGAUUCGACACAAGGGGAGCCAAAGAAUAUUCUCAAGUAUUAGCAGUUGAGUUGUCAAUUCAACCACACCUGGAUAACUUAAUAUCUACAACAAAGUAUUUAGUAGCAAAGUAGUAUGGAAGUAACGGUAACGGUAGCAAAAGUAUCAGUAGCAGUUUUGUAGUAAUAGUAACAGUGGCAACGGUAAAGUAACUAACCAAAGAGCAAUAUGUGAAAAGCUCGUAGGCAUUGGAUCAGUGAUGGAUAAUUAUGUCGGAUGCGAUUCCUCAUGUUAUAGUUAUAACAUAGGGUGACACAGAACUAGCUCCAAUUCAUCAAUGUAAUGUAGGCAUGUAUUCCAAAUAUAGUCAUACGUGCUUAUGGAAAAGAACUUGCAUGACAUCUUUUGUCCUACCCUCCCGUGGCAGCGGGGUCCUAUUGGAAACUAAGGGAUAUUAAGGCCUCCUUUUAAUAGAGCACCGGACCAAAGCAUUAACACUUAGUGAAUACAUGAACUCCUCAAACUACGGUCAUCACCGGUAAGUAUCCCGAUUAUUGUCACUUCGGGGUUAAUGGAUCAUAACACAUAAUAGGUGACUAUAGACUUGCAAGAUAGGAUCAAGAACUCACAUAUAUUCAUGAAAACAUAAUAGGUUCAGAUCUGAAAUCAUGGCACUCGGGCCCUAGUGACAAGCAUUAAGCAUAGCAAAGUCAUAGCAACAUCAAUCUCAGAACAUAGUGGAUACUAGGGAUCAAACCCUAACAAAACUAACUCGAUUACAUGGUAAAUCUCAUCCAACCCAUCACCGUCCAGCAAGCCUAUGAUGGAAUUACUCACACACGGUGGUGAGCAUCAUGAAAUUGGUGAUGGAGGAUGGUUGAUGAUGACGACGGUGACGAAUCCCCCUCUCUAGAGCCCCGAACGGACUCCAGAUCAGCCCUCCCGAGAGAGUUUAGGGCUUGGCGGCGGCUCCGUAUCGUAAAACGCAAUGAAUCCUUCUCUCUGACUUUUUUCUCCCCGAACGUGAAUAUAUAGAGUGGGAGUUGAUGUCGGUGGAGCUCCAGGGGGCCCACGAGGCAGGGGCGCGCCCUAGGGGGGGCGCCCCCCACCCUCGUGGACAGGGUGUGGGCCCCCUGAUGUUGAUUCUUUCGUCAAUAUUUUUUAUUACUUCCAAAAAGUUGCUCCGUGGAUUUUCAGGUCAUUCCGAGAACUUUUAUUUCUGCACAAAAAUAACACCAUGGCAGUUCUGCUGAAAACAACGUUAGUCCGGGUUAGUUCCAUUCAAAUCAUGCAAGUUAGAGUCCAAAACAAGGGCAAAAGUAUUUGGAAAAGUAGAUACGACGGAGACAUAUCAACUCCCCAUGCUUAAACCUUUGCUUGUCCUCAAGCAAUUUAGUUGACAAACUGAAAGUGAUAAAGAAAAACUUUUACAAACUCUGUUUGCUCUUGUUGUUGCAAAUAUGUAAAGCCAGCAUUCAAGUUUUCAGCAAAGAUUAUGAACUAACCAUAUUCACAAUAACACUUAGGUCUCAUGUUUACUCAUAUCAAUGGCAUAAUCAACUAGCGAGCAAUAAUAAUAAAUCUCGGAUGACAACACUUUAUCAAAACAAUCAUAAUAUGAUAUAACAAGAUGGUAUCUCGCUAGCCCUUUCUGAGACCACAAAACAUAAAUGCAGAGAACCUGUAAAGAUCAAGGACUGACUAAACAUUGUAAUUCAUGGUAAAAGAGACCCAGUCAUAGUCAUACUCAAUAUAAAUUAAUAGUAAUGCAUGCAAAUGACAGCGGUGCUCUCCAGCAGGUGCUUUUUAAUAAGAGGAUGAUGACUCAACAUAAAAGUAAAUAGAUAGGCCCUUGGCAGAGGGAAGCAGGGAUUUGUAGAGGUGCCAGAGCUCGAUUUUGAAAUAGAGAUAAAUAAUAUUUUGAGCGGCAUACUUUCAUUGUCAACAUAACAACUGAGAGAUCUCGAUAACUUCCAUGCUACACACAUUAUAGGCGGUUCCCAAACAGAACGGUAAAGUUUAUACUCCCCCUCCACCAACGAUCAUCAAUCCAUGGCUUGCCCAAAACAACGGGUGCCUCCAACUAACAACAAUCCUGGGGGAUUUUUGUUUGUAAUUAUUUUGAUUUGAUUUGAGCAUGGGACUGGGCAUACCGGUGACCAGCCAUUUUCUCGUGAAUGAGGAGCGGAGUCCACUCCUCUUGAGAAUAACCUGCCUAGCAUGGAAGAUACAAACAACCCUAGUUGAUACAUGAGCUGCUCGAGCAUACAAAACAGAAUUUCAUUUGAAGGUUUAGAGUUUGGCACAUACAAAUUUACUUGGAAUGGCAGGUAGAUACCGCAUAUAGGAAGGUAUGGUGGACUCAUAUGGAAUAACUUUGGGGUUUAUGGAUUUUGGAUGCACAAGUAGUAUUCCCGCUUAGUACUGAAGGCUAGAAAGAGACUGGGAAGCGACCAACUAGAGAGCGACAACAGUCAUGAACAUGCAUUAAAAUUAAUCAAUACUGAGUGCAAGCAUGAGUAGGAUAUAAUCCACUAUGAACAUAAAUAUCGUGAAGGCUAUGUUGAUUUUGUUUCAACUACAUGUGUGAACAUGUGCCAAUUCAAGUCACUCGAAUCAUUCAAAGGAGGAUACCACCCUAUCAUACCACAUCACAGCCAUUUUAAUAGCAUGUUGGCACGCAAGCUAAACCAUUAUAAACUCCUAGCUAAUUAAGCAUGUCAUAAGCAACUAUAAUCUCUAAUUGUCAUUGCAAACAUGUUUAUUCAUAAUAGGCUGAAUCAGGAACGAUGAACUAAUCAUACAAAACAAGAUAGGUCGAGUUCAUACCAGCUUCUCUCAUCUCAAUCAGUCCAUCAUAUAUCGUCAUUAUUGCCUUUCACUUGCACGACCGAACGGUGUGGAUAAUAAUAAUAGUGCAUGUGCAUUGGACUAAGCUAGAAUCUGCAAGCAUUCAAUUCAAGGGAGAAGACAAGGUAAUAUGGGCUCUUGGUUAAAUCAACAAUAAUGCAUAUAAGAGCCACUCAACAUUUUCAUCAUGGUCUUCUCCUCACGACCCCCAAAGAAAAGAAAAGAAAUAAAACUAUUUACACGGGAAAGCUCCCAACAAGCAAAAGAAGAACGAGAAAUCUUUCUGGGUUUUCUUUUAAUUACUACUACUACAGGCAUGGAAAGUAAACUAGCUAGAAGCUACUACUAUUUUUUUUUGGUUUUUCUUAAGGUUAUUCAAGCAUACAAGAAGAAAGCAAGAAAAAGAAAUUAAACUAGCAUGGAUAGUACAAUGAAAAAGUAUGAGCACCGACAACUAGAAUGAAUGUGUGAACAUGAAUGUAAUGUCGGUGAGAAAUAUGUACUCCCCCGAGCUUAGGCUUUUGGCCUAAGUUGGUCUAUGCCCAUGGAUUAGAGCUCCUCUCUCCGGUGUACUGAGGAGUGUCAUCUGAGUACCACUGGCUGGCGAUCUCCUCCGGAUCCCACUAAUAAAAGGACGGUCGAUAAGGGUCAAGUGGUGGUUCCGGCUCAGGCUCUGGAGCUGGUGUCUGGCUCCGGUAUGCGUGAACGGCCUCCGGCAAGAUGAGGUACGUGCUGUUCGAGCUGGUCAUGGAGGAAGUCGGUGAGGCCUCCGCGACGCGAGGGAGAUUAUACUUCGGAUUUUUAUUCUCCUUAUAUUUUUUAUCCUUCGAGCUUUGGCUCGAAGAGCCCCUCAAAAAUCUCUUCAUCAUUUUCUGAAAAUUUCUGAAAUUUUUAGUAACUCAAAAUAAAAGUGAACCAAACUCAACAAAAUUGAUAGCAACUACUCCCACAAGUGCCUAGAGACUAUAUCAUGCAUUAGAACUACUUGGGACCAAGUAAAUUUGACAUGCAAGCUCAAGAAUAGGGUCACCUUAGCAGAAAUUUUUUGCAAUGAAUAAAGCACUAGAACAAAAACUAAUUGGACCAUUGGAGGAGUCACAUACCAAAGAACAAUCCCCCAAAGUAGUUUUGUGAAUGGAGCUUUGAGGAAGGAGAUCGAAAAUGGCAGCAAGAUGAGCUAGAACUCGUGCUUGAGCUGGUUGGCGAUUUUUUUGGAAGGAAGAAGAAGAGUGUUGGUGCAAGAAUAAGUGGAAGGGGGCCACCAUGGGCCCACGAGGCAGGGGGCGCGCCCUGGACCCUCAUGGCCAGGUGGUUGCCCCCUCUGAUGUGUUCUCAGUGCCAAUAAUUCUUAAAUAUUCUAGAAAAAACCAUAAAUCAUUUUCGGGGCAUUUGGAGAACUUUUAUUUUUGGGGUAUUUUUUAUUGCAAGGAUAAUUCAGAAAAUAGACAGAAAAUACUAUUUUUGCUUUAUUUAAUCUAAAUAACAGAAAGUAAAAGGAGGGUACAGAGAGUUGUGCUUUCUAACUUCAUCCAUCUCAUACUCAUCAAAAGGAAUCCACUAACAAGGUUGAUCAAGUCUUGUUACCGAACUCAUUCCGAAUCGCAUGAAACCGGAGAAAUUUUGAAUAACACUAGGUUACCUCAAUGGGGAUAUGUACAUCCCCAAUAAUAAGAUUAUCAUAUUUCUUCUUGACAGUAGGAAGAGGAAAUUCAAAACCUCCAAUAAUAAUCGAUGGAAUUUUUCCAAUAGAAUUGAUACUGUGAACUUGAGGUUGUUUCCUCGGAAAGUGUACAUUAUGCUCAUUACCAUUAACAUGAAAAGUGACAUUGCCUUUGUUGCAAUCAAUAACAGCCCCUGCAGUAUUCAAAAAGGGUCUACCAAGGAUAAUCAACAUACUAUCGCCCUCGGGAAUAUCAAGAAUAACAAAGUCCGUUAGAAUAGUAACAUUUGCAACCACAACAGGCACAUCCUCACAAAUACCGACCGGUAUAGCGGUUGAUUUAUCGGCCAUUUGCAAAGAUAUUUCAGUAGGUGUCAACUUAUUUAAAUCAAGUCUACGAUAUAAAGAGAGAGGCAUAACACUAACACCGGCUCCAAGAUCACAUAAAUCAGUUUUAUCGUAGUUUCUUUUAAUGGAGCAUGGUAUAGUUGGUACUCCUGGAUCUCCAAGUUUCUUAGGUAUUCCACCCUUAAAAGUAUAAUUAGCAAGCAUGGUGGAAAUUUCAGCUUCCGGUAUCUUUCUUUUAUUUGUAACAAUAUCUUUCAUGUACUUAUCAUAAGGAUUCAUUUUAAGCAUAUCAGUCAAACACAUACGCAAAAAGAUAGGUCUAAUCAUUUCAACAAAGCGCUCAAAAUUCUCAUCAUCCUUUUUCUUGGAUGGUUUAGGAGGAAAAGACAUGGGUUUCUGAACCCAUGGUUCUCUUUCUUCACCGUGCUUCCUAGCAACGAAGUCUCUCUUAUCAUAACGUUGAUUCUUUGAUUGUGGGUUAUCAAGAUCAACCGCAGGUUCAACCUCUACAUCAUUAUUAUUGCUAGGUUGAGCAUUAACAUGAACAUCAUCAUUAACAUUAUCACUAGGUUCAUGUUCAUCACCAGAUUGUGUUUCAGCAUCAGAAAUAGAAAUAUCAUUGGGAUUCUCAGGUGUGUCUACAACAGGUUCACUAGAAGCAUGCAAAGUCCUAUCAUUUUUCUUCUUCUUUUUAGAAGGACUAGGUGCAUCAACAUUAUUUCUCUGAGAAUCUUGCUCAACUCUCUUGGGGUGGCCCUCGGGAUACAAAGGUUCCUGAGUCAUUUUACCCAUUCUAGUCAUAACUCUUACAACAUUAUCAUUUCUCUUAUCAUUUAAUUCAUUGAGCAAAUCAUUUUGUGCUUUAAGCACUUGUUCUACUUGAGUGGUAACCACAAAAGCAUGUUUACUAAUGAGUUUAAGUUCACCUUUAACUCUAGACAUAAAAUCACUCAAGUGUCCAAUCAUAUAAGCAUUACUUUUCAAUUGUCUACCAACAUAAGCAUUGAAGUUUUCUUGUUUAGCCAUAAAGUCAACAAACUCAUCCAAGCAUUGGCUAGCAAACUUAGUAGACGGGAUUUCAACUUUAUCAUAUCUAUAGAGAGAAUUUACCUUUACUACCUGUGUCGGGUUAUCAAGACCAUGUAUUUAUUCAAUAGGUGGUAUAUUAAGGCCAUGUAUUUCUUCAACAGGAGGUAAAUUCUUAACAUCUUUAGCUUUAAUACCUUUUUCUUUCAUAGAUUUCUUUGCCUCUUGCAUAUCUUCUGGACUGAGAAAUAGAACACCUUUUUUCUUCGGAGUUGGCUUAGGAGUUGGUUCAGGAAGUGUCGAAUUGUUUUCAUUAGUCAACAUAUUAUUCAAUAACAAUUCAGCUUGAUCAAUAGUUCUUUCCCUGAAAACCCAACUAGCACAACUAUCCAGGUGGUCUCUGGAAGCAUCGGUUAGUCCAUUAUAAAAGAUAUAAAGUAUUUCAUUUUUCUUGAGAGGAUGAUCAGGCAAAGCAUUAAGUAGUUGGAGAAGCCUCCCCCAAGCUUGUGGGAGACUCUCUUCUUCAAUUUGCACAAAAUUAUAUAUUUCCCUUAAAGCAACUUGUUUCUUAUGAGCAGGGAAAUAUUUAGCAGAGAAGUAAUAAAUCAUAUCCUGGGGACUACGCACACAACCAGGAUCAAGAGAAUUAAACCAAGUUUUAGCAUCACCCUUUAAUGAGAAUGGAAAUAUCUUAAGGAUAUAGUAGUAGCGAUUUUUCUCAUCAUUAGUGAAUAGGGUGGCUAUAUCAUUCAAUUUAGUAAGAUGUGCCACAACAGUUUCAGAUUCAUAGCCAUAAAAAGGAUCAGAUUCAACCAAAGUAAUUAUCUCAGGAUCGACAGAGAAAUCAUAAUCCUUAUCAGUAACACAGAUAGGUGAAGUAGCAAAAGCAGGGUCAUAUUUCAUUCUAGCAUUCAGAGACUUUUCUUUCAGCUUAGCUAAUAAUUUCUUAAGAUCAGAUCUAUCGUUGCAAGCAAGAAAAUCUCUAGCAGUUUCUUCAUCCAUAACAUAACCCUCAGGCACAACAGGCAAUUCAUAUUUAGGGGGAGAAUCUUCAUCAUCACUUUCAUCAAUAAUUUCAUUCUCUCUAGCCCUAGCAAGUUGGUCAUCAAGAAAUUCACCUAAUGGCACAGUAGUAUCAAGCAUAGAAGUAGUUUCAUCAUAAGCAUCAUGCAUAGCAGAAGUGGCAUCAUCAAUAACAUGCGACAUAUCAGAAUUAAUAGCAGAAGCAGGUUUAGGUGUCGCAAGUUUACUCAUAACAGAAGGAGAAUCAAGUGCAGAGCUAGAUGGCAGUUCCUUACCUCCCCUCGUAGUUGAGGGAUAAAUCUUAGUUCUUUCGUCUUUCAAGUUCCUCAUAGUGACCAGCAGAUAUAAAUCCCAAGUGACUCAAAGAAUAGAGCUAUGCUCCCCGGCAACGGCGCCAGAAAAUAGUCUUGAUAACCCACAAGUAUAGGGGAUCGCAACAGUUUUCGAGGGUAGAGUAUUCAACCCAAAUUUAUUGAUUCGACACAAGGGGAGCCAAAGAAUAUUCUCAAGUAUUAGCAGUUGAGUUGUCAAUUCAACCACACCUGGAUAACUUAAUAUCUGCAGCAAAGUAUUUAGUAGCAAAGUAGUAUGGAAGUAACGGUAACGGUAGCAAAAGUAACAGUAGCAGUUUUGUAGUAAUAGUAAAAGUGGCAACGGUAAAGUAACUAAGCAAAGAGCAAUACAUGAAAAGCUCGUAGGCAUUGGAUCAGUGAUUGUCGGAUUUCGGGUUCCGGCAAAACCCUUGAGGUUCGAACACUUGGGUGCACACGAAGAUUUCCCCCUACCGAAUCUCGCCCUCAGCCUCGCCGUGAUCUCUAAGCUUAGCUCGAUGAACUCACAACACAAGAGACACAAGAUUUAUAUAGGUUUGGGUCACCAUUGUGGUGUAAUACCCUACUCCUGUGUGGUGGUGGUGGAUUGCCUCUUGGGCUGAUGAUGAACAAUACAAGGGAAGAACAGCCUCCUGAGGAGAGGUGUUCUUGAGCUGGUGUGGUGUUCUGCUUGUUCUAGUUUUCGGGGCUCUCUUGUCUCUCGUUGAUUGUCCCCUCCUACUGUGGUGGCUAGUCCUAUUUAUAGAGGCCCUGAUCCUCUCCCCAAAUAUUGAGCGGAAAGGGAUCCAACAACGACCAAUUUGAAAGGGGACAACUAGUACAAGCUAUCCUGACUAAAGGUGGUCUUCGCCUGUCAAAGGUGCUGGUGGUAACGACGUCUUGGGCUCCACGAUGACCUCCGUCAUGCCGUCCUGCCGGUCUUGGUCUUGUUGCACCGAUAUGGAAAACCUUUGCCAGAUGCCUCGGUACUCCAUGCCUGCGCUUGCCCCCUUAGUACCAAAGGGAAACGAGGACACUACGCACGCUGGUGCCCGCCUGGCGCCCGCCUGACCCAUGUCGUCAUGGCUUGCGUCACGGGAACCUCACGAGGUACCCCUUGCCUUGUUCUCUGUUCGCACACGAACACGUCACCGUGUACCUCCAACGCUGAGGGUGAUGCACCACAGCUCACGUCGAAGGAGACCCGUCCGGAAGCGCGGUACGCAGGCAAUCCGGCGGGCGCUUUUGAGGACCCGAAACCCCACACGCUCGGGAGGGACCCCGUCAGGGCGUGCGGCGGCUAUGGGCUGCCCUAGGUCGACCUGUCCGCCCCUAGGGCCUCGAGGUUCGCCGCCCUGCAAUGAAGAAGAACACGCAAAGAACGAGAAAUAAGAAGAACAAGAGAGAAGGUAAAAGUAAAGGUAAAAAAUUGAUAGAUUGAUAUGUCGAUUGUGUGUUGUUCUUCAAUCGGCCGUCACCUCUUACAUAUAUAUGAGGCGACUGGACUUUCCGUACAAGAAAAGGACUCAAAUCCCGUCUAAAACAUCAAAAGAUAACCUAAGUCGGACUACGAGGGCCGGAACUUCCGGUCAGCCCGGAACUUCCGGGCUGAAAUUACAUUAAGUAGCCCUCUUGCACAGCUCCUGCAGGUCGCAUAUGGCUUCGGAUCGCGAUGGUCCCAAAAGCAAAGUUGUAGAUCUAGCAAUGCAUAAAAUUGCCUUAGUUGAUCACUUUUUCAUCCGAGGUCAACUUGGUGUCGAAAUCGGCUCCGCAAAUCUGCAAAUAAUGUUAAAAUUCCAGUUUUCGGGGCGCACCGCGUGCAAUGUUUCUGUUUAGCCCGGAACCUCCCCGGAAGUUUUUCCCGGAACUUCCGGGCAGACUUAUGCAGCACACCGUUUUGGCUCUAACUUUUGCAUACGAACUCUGAGUUAGAUGUUUCUUAUAUCAAAAUCGAUCGUUUCGACGAGACGAAGACAAUCCAUGUAGAAACGUUUCCCAUAUGAGGCCAUUUUGGGGGCGUAAUCAGCCGAAUAGUGUCCUGAAUACAAAAUCUGGAUACUUCAAACACAACUUCGGCCUUAGAGAUGAGAUCGGAUGGCUACGGCCCAAAUAUCAAAGUUUCUCCUUUUGACGAUACGGAACUUUCUCACUUUGAGCACUUCUCCAUUUGAGGCCUUCUUAAAUAUGUUUUUGACCAUGCCAAAAUCUGGUGUCAACAAUCUCUCCGCCCCUUCGCGAGCCUGCCUGGUGAGGCCGCUCCUGAGGAGGCCUUGUGUCGCCCCCCUCACGAGGCUUGGCCCCUCGAGAGGGUCUUGAGUGUUGGUUGACGAAGACGGGCCGUACUGGGCCACUGGUGGAGCCAUGCCGUGGGCCGCAGGCAGGCAAGUUUGGGGACACCCAUUCCCAGAAUGCCGACAGUAGCCCCCGGGUCCAAGGCGCGCUCGGACUUGGCUUAGCGGUGAAGCCAAAGGGCAAGUGUGGAGCGUCGCGGGCCCCAACAGCCUGCGGCCUUGGUCGACGCGUGGCGACUGAUUGGACGUGGGCGUCUCCGCUUCCCCAUGCUGCCCCAAUAUCCGCCUGGCUAGGCGGCCACAACACCCUACACAGUUAUUUCCUCCUCGCAGGCGGCGUGUUCCCUAUCCUUCCUUCUUCCUCGAGCCCCUGCCUCUGCUUCCAGUCUGACUCGAGAUCUGUCCCCUCCAUUGCCAUGGCGCCGACUAGCAUAGAGAAAGGGAAGAAGCCCCUGUCCUCAGCCAAUCCACCCCUGACAAUCGAGCCCGCCGUUGGCUGAUCGCGGGUACUCAACUAGGAGGCCAUGGGCAAGGUCUUCCCUGCGCUCGCUUCCAGCUUCAACGAGUGGGGAGGGACGGUGGCUUGGCCUGCGUCCCGAGCCUCCAUUGACAGGACAGCCACUGAGGUUCGGUUCUUCGUUGACGCCCUGUGGGCUGGCCUGGUUCCCCCUUUCUCCGCCUUCUUCAACGCAGUGCUUUCCCACUACCAGAUUCACAUGCUGCAUCUUGAUCCCCAAUCCGUCGCCCUUCUCGCCGUCUUCGCCUUCGUUUGCGAGGCCAUGGUGGGCAUUGCUCCUUCUGUUGCCCUCUUGCGCCAUUUUUUCUCGCUGCAUCUGACUGACCCCUCGCAGUGCUCGGGGUGUCUGAGCUUCCAGGCUGUGGCAGAGACGGCCGCCUCGGGGAUUGAUUUUGAUCUCCCGCCGUCCACGAGCGGGUUCCGGACGCGGUGGGUGUACGUGGAUUGCGGAGUGCUCAGCCCCCUGCUCUCGCCUCCGUCGUCGCCCGCCAUUCCCAACUCCGGCUGGGGCCACGAGAAGCUCGCGAGCUCUCGCCUUUCCUUCGUCUGGCUCUGAUUGAAGAGGUUGAGAGACCUUGGCGUGACUGCGCCCCAGGUGGUGAAGGAGUUCCUCCGGCGUCGCAUUGCCCCUCUCCAACGCCAUUCCCGACCGAUGUGGGCCCUGGCCGGUGACCAGGAUCGCAUGAGGCUUCAGGAGUCGGGGCUCACGCUCGAAGCGCGAAGGACGGUGCUUGAAGUCUUGACUGGCAACCCCUCGCCAGGCAAUAUGCCGCAAGGGGGUUGUCUCUUGUAUCUCUGCCUGAACAGGGUUGAGUUCGCGGGGCAGAUGCCUUCCUUCGAUGAAUGGGGGCUGCGUCCGGUCGGCCUUGUGGGGCCUCGUGAGAAUCCUGUCGCUGUGGCUCCCCUCCUUGCCGCCAGCACCGAGCUUGCCCCAAGAGUGGACGCAGGGAGGCAAGCAUCGCUAGAGGCCGGAGGCGCGGGCGUCGAGGUGCUGACGCCGCUCGAGGUUCUUGAGGCGCCGUCCUCAGGAACCCGUGAGGCUCGCCCUGAGGCAGUCGUUGAGGGGGAGAGGCAGUACGCGGCUCCUGAGGCCUCGGCAAGCCAGCAUGAGGUGGAGCCCGAUUGCUCUUCCCAGCUUGGCGCUCUUGAGGUCGACCACCUGGGUGCCUCUCCAGCCGCGCGCCGUGCUGGCCUCCACGUCCAACGCCUUGGCCGGUUCCGUGUGGACUUCGCCAUGCUCCGUAAGAGGAAGGAGUCUUCGAGCUGCAGUGGUGGCACCAUCCGGCCGUUGAAACAUAGGAAGUACUUUGCCAUAGACGGGUAAGUACCUUAUCCUUGUAAUUCCCCAAUCGCUGCUUCCCUUCCUGACUGUGGCUCUUCAGGAUCCCUCCUGCCAAGCCUGCGGAGUCUCCCGAGAAGCAGCGUCUUCUGGCCUUGCCUUCAUCGCUAGCCUUGAGCGUCCCAAGCCUGCACGCCACCCCUGGCGCGGGGUCAGCCGGAGAAGCAAGCCUGUCCGCAAGGUGCCUUGAGCUUGUGCCCUUGCCGCCUUUCCUUUGCAACCUUGCCUGGAGCGCGGCCAGCCUACCCAGGGCUCUUCCUCUGGUCGUCGACGACAGCUGGUUGGCGUCGAUCCUGGGCUCCCCUUCAAACAGCGAGCCUGCGCCGGUCCGGGUCCCUUGCGGGGCCUGGCCAGCGACCGUGGGGCCGCCAGCCCCCAGCCCCCUGCUGAGAGGGGGCGAACCGCUUCGGACCCCGCCGACGGCACCCACAAUGGGGGACGACAUCAGCCGCGCGCUCAAGUUUGCGCGUGAAUGAAGUGUCGUCCGCCAUGAGUUCUUCCAAAAGGCGAUGGAUGCGAUGGGCCAGCUUGGUGGAGAACUUGCGGACGUAGACGCGCGCCUUGAAGCCGAGGGCCUACGACUGAUUGAGGAGCGGCAAGCAGAUCGUCGUCGCAAGAUUGCAGAGAAGCGCACGUGGGAGCUCCAAGUCUGGAGCGCUUCCUUGGAGCAGCAGGUGGAGUUGUGCCAAGCCGCCCUUGCGUCACUGAGGGGGACACCUGUCGAGGAGGAAGAGGUCCUGAAGCGUGAGGAAGCAUUGAAGUUGGAGGCCACCGACGCAGUCUUGAGCUUGAGCGGGUGGAGACGAGGGAGCGCCAGGUUGCCGAAGCGGAGGACGCCGUUGGCGCGCGCGAGGCCCGGGUCCAGGAAGAGGUCGACCGCCGCGCGGCCGAGGCUCGCGCGGAUCUUGCGAGCAGGUAUGACCUGAAGCUGAAGCUGGUUGAAGCCGAGGUUGCGGGUAGGACUGCUGCCCUCAGGUCCAGGCUAACCGAAGCGGAACGGCGCGCGGAGGCCGCCGCAGCCGCCCUGGUCUCGGCGCAGGCCGAGCUGGCCUCUGCCCGCGCCGAGCUGCUUCCUCUUCAGCAGCGGGUUGCCGACGCCGAGUCCAUCGCGCAGCAGAACAGGGAGGAAGUGCUCCAAUGGCGGACGUUGGAGCACGUGCACGGCCCCAUGCUCCAGGACCUCAGGAACAGGGCCAACGCGGCCCUGGGCAACAUCUGUAAUGAGAACGCCCCGCAUCCCCACACGACCGACUACGCCAGUCAUCUCUGCUUCUUUACUAACGUGGUGACGCGCCUGGAGAACCGCUCUGAGAGAGCUCACCAGCUUGUUGAGGAGAGGAGCCGCAGCCUGCUCGAGCGCGCGUUUUCCCGCGUCUUCAGCCAUCUUUAGAACACCUACCCCGACUUUGACUUUAACGCCACCAUCGCCCCGGUGCCCGAGGCCAUCCGGGGCGACCUCGCGCGGUGGGUGGAGGAUAACAUGGAUGUGCUUGUUAGGGCCUUUGCUUUCGACGAUGAUGGGGUGGUUGUUGCAGCGGAUGAAGGCAACAUGGUCGACGAUGGUGACGGCGGUGCCGGUGACGGUGACGGCGAUGCCAGUGACAGCGGCGCCAGCGAUGCAUCUGGAGGCGACCCGGGGGACGCGGUGAGUGAUAUGUCUGACUGAUCCCGUGUUUCUCUACUGUUUAUCCUGCAUACAGAAGCUCGGGCACGGCCCCAAAGGUUGUAAGAGCAUUUUGGGAGGGGAUGCCCCUCAUGUAAAAAGAUUGCUGUCUCUAUGCUUUCAGGUCCAAUGCUGAAUAUAUGCCUCCACGAGCCUACGGGCCCUGCGGCAAGCUUGCUGUUGUAGUUUACCUUUAGCCAGGACAGGUCCUGAACCGGCUCGUGAGGUCGUGAGAUUCCGAGGAUCCCUUGAGGGACCUGCCGACCUAGUCGAGAGGGCCUCGUGAGAGCUAAUGUCGGCCGUAGUAUGGCAUGCGUGCAGCGUACGUGCACUUCGCCCAGCCCCGCCCGCGCGGGGCUCGUGAGGGGGAGGCAGCCGAUGCGAACUCCAAAUUAAGGCAAGAACCAUAACGCAAGAAAUCACACGAACAAGAAAAGUCACCCGCCCCGCGCACACAAAUGAGAAUUCAACUCCAACUUAAAUCCGAAGCAAGGAAGCACGACUACAGAAAGGGAGUCAAAAAGCAAAUGGCCGCAUCUGGCGCCUAGUCUAGUCUUCAUGUCUUCUCAUCAGCGCGGAGCUAAGUGCUGCCACUGGGCGUGGGAGGGAGCCCCCGAGGCCCGAGGGCGGCACUCCUGAGGCUCCGGGGCGUGUACAGCCCCACUCAUUAUUACGUGAGAGUGUCACGGGUGGCGAGCUUCACAGGCACUGGGCCUUCUUCACAGGCACUGGGCCUUGCUUCAUAUCACCAGACGAGGGCCCCGCCUUGCGCCACCCUCGACCACCAUUGGCAGCGACCGGAAACCAGGACGACACCAAGGGGCAAAGGGGACGCCAGCGGCACCCUCGGCGACCACGGGUCCUCUGCCACGGGUAGGCUUUGCAGCACCUCCCCGGCAGAGGGCCUACCUCCGGGGGACGCCUUGCUCCAUGCGCCAUGGGGAGGGGCCUUGCUCCUGGCCCCUCUCCUGCAGCCCCCGGCGCGCUCCUCCUGGUGGAAGGGAGGCUGCCGAGCUGGGGCAGCCGUCCGCUGCUGUGACUUGACCGUCCUGCGACCCAUGGUUAGCAUAAGCUUGCUCCUGACGAAUUAGUGGUACCCGGUAGCUUCUGCUGCCGGCGCAGUUGGUGAGGCUCCUGGAAGGGCUCGACUUUUGGCGUUUCUUCCUCCCAGCCUGGCCCGAGGAACGAGCCAAGGUCGUCUUCUAGCGCGUACUCCUGAUCCACCAUGCGGGGCAUGUAAGCCUUCGAAGCUGCCGCCUCGAAGACUUCGCCGUAGUGCCCCACACUCCAUGUUGCCCGGCCUAGCGCGCUGUCUUGAGGAUGGUGGGGCAGCGGCCCGCCCGGGCCAUAGGAGGCAACGCGCGUGCCCCCAUUCACCAAAGGUGGUGCGGGUGCGACCUGGCAUCUGGCGCCGAUGGUUGAGCUGGUGUCGAUGAAGCCUUGGGGCGUGCUUGGGGGUACGCGGGCGCGGAAAGGUCCAUCGUGUGAUCUGGCCGAGGCCCGGGGUGCAAGCUGGAAGCAGAAGGGCGGUGCCCCCGAGGCCGCGGCAUCCAGGAGCUCGGCAACGCGCUCCAGCAACGCAUCCUGACUGCUCUCCAUCAACCUGCAUCGCAACAGCUCCCGAGCCACAGUGAGCGCGGCUCUCAUGUUUGCUUGUUCCUGUCGGGUGUGCGGCGUCGUGGCUGCGGCGUGGCUUGAGGCCCUUGCGGCUGCCCGCACCUGCCGCGGAGUAAGGGCGGGCAGUGUGUGACCGCGCCGCCCGCGCCCCGCAGCGUUCGGCGGUGCGCGGGCUGCCUGGGGUGUGGGGUUGAGGCCUUCUUGGGCAGGCGGCGUGGCCCGGGUUGGCCAGGCCGCCCAGCGGUCGGUGCUGGUCAUCGGGUCGCCAGACAUUGGACUAGCGGAGCGGCGGCGGGCUAGCCAGCGAAAGGAAAGCUCCAGGGCACCCGUACCUGGCGCGCCAAAUGUCGGAUUUUGGGUUCAGGCAAAACCCUUGAGGUUCGAACGCUGGGGUGCGCACGAAGAUUUCCCCCUACUGAAUCUCGCCCUCAGCCUCGCCGCGAUCUCUAAGCUUAGCUCGAUGAACUCACAACACAAGAGACACAAGAUUUAUACAGGUUCGGGCCACCAUUGUGGUGUAAUACCCUACUCCUGAGUGGUGGUGGUGGAUUGCCUCUUGGGCUGAUGAUGAACAGUACAAGGGAAGAACAGCCUCCUGAGGAGAGGUGUUCUUGAGUUGGUGUGGUGUUCUGCUUGUUCUGGUUUUCGGGGCUCUCUUGUCUCUCAGUGGUUUGUCCCCUCCUACUGUGGUGGCUAGUCCUAUUUAUAGAGGCCCUGGUCCUCUCCCCAAAUAUUGAGAGGGAAGGGAUCCAACAACGACCAAUUUGAAAGGGGACAGCUAGUACAAGCUAUCCUGACUAAAGGUGGUCUUUGCCUGUCAAAGGUGGUCGUGGUGACGCUGUCUUGGGCUCCACGAUGACCUCCGUCCUGCCGUCCUGCUGGUCUUGAUCUUGUUGCACCGAUAUGGAAACCUUUGCCUGAUGCCUCGGUACUCCGCGCCUGCACUUGCCCCCUUAGCACCAAAGGGGAAACGAGGACACUGCGCGCUGGCGCCCGCCUGGCCUUUGUCGUCAUGGCUUGCGUCACGGGAACCUCAUGAGGUACCCCUUGCCUUGAGAUCUCUGCCCCUUCACGAGCCUGCCUGGUGAGGCCGCUCCUGAGGAGGCCUUGUGUCGCCCCCUCGCGAGGCUUGGCCCCUUGCGAGGGUCUUGAGUGUUGGUUGACGAAGACGGGCCGUACUGGGCCACUGGUGGAGCCACGCCGUGGGCCGCAGGCAGGCAAGUCUGGGGACCCCCGUUCCCACAACACUGACAGUGAUGGAUAAUUAUGUCGGAUGCGAUUCCUCAUGUAAUAGUUAUAACAUAGGGUGACAUAGAACUAGCUUCAAUUCAUCAAUGUAAUGUAGGCAUGUAUUCUGAAUAUAGUCAUACGUGCUUAUGGAAAAGAACUUGCAUGACAUCUUUUGUCCUACCCUCCCGUGGCAGCGGGGUCCUAUUGGAAACUAAGGGAUAUUAAGGCCUCCUUUUAGUAGAGUACCGAACCAAAGCAUUAACACUUAGUGAAUACAUGAACUCCUCAAACUAUGGUCAUCACCGGUAAGUAUCCCGAUUAUUGUCACUUUGGGGUUAACGGAUCAUAACACAUAAUAGGUGAGUAUAGACUUGCAAGAUAGGAUCAAGAACUCACAUAUAUUCAUGAAAACAUAAUAGGUUCAGAUCUGAAAUCAUGGCACUCGGGAUCUAGUGAAAAGCAUUAAGCGUAGCAAAGUCAUAGCAACAUCAAUCUCAGAACAUAGUGGAUACUAGGGAUCAAACCCUAACAAAACUAUCUCGAUUACGUGGUAAAUCUCAUCAAACCCAUCACCGUCCAGCAAGCCUACGAUGGAAUUACUCAUGCACGGCGGUGAGCAUCAUGAAAUUGGUGAUGGAGGAUGGUUGAUGAUGACGGCAGCGACGAAUCCCCCUCUCCGGAGCCCCGAACGGACUCCAGAUCAGCCCUCCCGAGAGAGUUUAGGGCUUGGCAACGGCUCCGUAUCAUAAAACACGAUGAAUCCUUCUCUCUAAUUUUUUUCUCCCCGAAGGUGAAUAUAUAGAGUGGGAGUUGACGUCGGUGGAGCUCCAGGGGGCCCACGAGGCAGGGGGGCGCGCCCUGGGGGGGGCGCCCCCACCCUCGUGGACAGGGUGUGGGCCCCCUGACGUUGAUUCUUUCGCCAAUAUUUUUUAUUAAUUCCAAAAAGUUGCUCCGUGGAUUUUCAGGCCAUUCCGAGAACUUUUAUUUCUGCACAAAAAUAACACCAUGGCAGUUCUGCUGAAAUCAGCGUCAGUCCGGGCUAGUUCCAUUCAAAUCAUGCAAGUUAGAGUCCAAAACAAGGGCAAAAGUGUUUGGAAAAGUAGAUACGAUAGAGACGUAUCACUCUACAGGUAUCUCCGGAGGUGUUUGUUGGUUUGGCAUAGAUCGAGAUUAGGAUUUGUCACUCCGAGUGUCGGAGAGGUAUCUUUGGGCCCUGUCGGUAAUGCACAUCAUAAUAAGCCUUGCAAGCAAUGUGACUAAUGAGUUAGUUACGGGAUGAUGCAUUACGGAACGAGUAAAGAGACUUGCCGGUAACGAGAUUGAACUAGGUAUGAAGAUACCGACGAUCAAAUCUCGGGCAAGUAACAUACCGAUGACAAAGGGAAUAAUGUAUGUUGUUAUUGCGGUUGUUGGGGAACGCGAUAAUUUCAAAAAAAUUCCUACGAUCACGUAAGAUCUAUCUAGGUGAUGCAUAGAAAGGAGAGGGGAGAGUGUGUCCACAUACCCUCGUAGACCGAAAGCGGAAGCGUUUCAAUAACGCGGUUGAUGUAGUCGAACGUCUUCGCGAUCCAACCGAUCAAAGUACCGUAUGUACGGCACCUCCACGUUCAGCACACGUUCAGCUCGAUGACGUCCAUCGUGCUCUUGAUCUAGUUGAGGACGAGGGUGAGUUCCGUCAGCAUGAUGGCGUGGCGACGGUGAUGAUGAUGCUACCGGCGCAGGGCUUCGCCUAAGCACUACGAUGGUAUGAUUGAGGUGUCUAACUGUGGAGGGGGGCGCCGCACACGGUUGGGAGAGAAACUUGUGUGUUCUAGGGUGCCCCCUGCCCCCGUAUAUAAAGGAGCAAGGGGGAGGCCGGCCGGCCCUAGGGGCACGCCCAAGGAGAGGGAGUCCUACUAGGACUACUAGUCCUAGUAGGAUUCCAUCACAAGGAAGGGAGGGGGAAGGAAGGAGAGGGAGAGGGAGUAGGAAAGGGGGGCGCCGCCCCCUUCCCUUGUCCUAUUCAGACUCCAAGGGGGGCGCGUGGCCUGCCCUGGCUGCCCUCCUCUCUCUCCACGAAGGCCCAUGGUGGCCCAUUAGUUCCCCGGGGGGUUCCGCUAACCCCUCUGGCACUCCGGUUUUACCUGAAACUUCCCGGAACUCUUCCUGUGUCCGAAUAACAUGUUCCAAUAUAUCAAUAUUUAUGUCUCGACCAUUUCAAGACUCCUCGUCUCGUCCGUGAUCUCAUCCGGGACUCCAAACAAACUUCGAUCAUCAAAAACACAUAACUCAUAAUACAUAUCGUCAUUGAACGUUAAGCGUGCGGACCCUGCGGGUUCGAGAACUAUGUAGACAUGACCGAGACACAUCUCCGGUCAAUAACUAAUAGCGGAACCUGGAUGCUCAUAUUGGCUCCUACAUGUUCUACGAAGAUCUUUAUCGGUCAAACCGCAUAACAACAUAUGUUGUUCCCUUUGUCAUCGGUAUGUUACUUGCCCGAGAUUCGAUCGUGGGUAUCAUCAUACCUAGUUCAAUCUCGUUACCGGCAAGUCUCUUUACUCGUUCUAUAAUACUUCAUCUCGCAACUAACUCAUUAGUCACAUUGCUUGCAAGGCUUAUAGUGACGAGCAUUACCAAGAGGGCCCAGAGAUACCUCUCCGAAACACGGAGUGACAAAUCCUAAUCUCGAUCUAUGCCAACCCAACAAACACCUUCGGAGACACGUGUAGAGCAUCUUUAUAAUCACCCGUUUACGUUGUGACGUUUGAUAGCACACAAAGUGUUCCUCAGGUAUUCGGGAGUUGCUUUAUCUCAUAGUCUGAGGAACAUGUAUAAGUCAUGAAGAUAGCAGUAGCAAUGAAACUGUAACGAUCAUAAUGCUAAGCUAACAGAUGGGUCGUGUCCACCACAUCAUUAUCCUAAUGAUGUGAUCCCGUUCAUCAAAUGACAACACAUGUCUAUGGUUAGGGAACAUAACCAUCUUUGAUUAACAAGCUGGUCAAGUAGAGGCAUACUAGGGACACUUUGUUUUGUCUAUGUAUUCACACAUGUACUAAGUUUCCGGUUAAUACAAUUCUAGCAUGAAUGAUAAACAUUUAUCAUGAAAUAAGGAAAUAAAUAAUAACUUUAUUAUUGCCUCUAGGGCAUAUUUCCUUCAGUCUCCCACUUGCACUAGAGUCAAUAAUCUAGUUCACAUCGCCAUGUGAUGUAGCAUCAAUAGUUCACAUCUGUAUGUGAUUAACACCAAUAGUUCACAUCGCCAUGUGACCAACAACCAAAGGGUUUACUAGAGUCAAUAAUCUAGUUCACAUUGCUAUGUGAUUAACACCCAAAGAGUACUAAGGUGUGAUCAUGUUUUGCUUGUGAGAGAAGUUUAGUCAAUGGGUCUGUAACAUUCAGAGCCGUAUGUAUUUUGCAAAUAUUCUAUGUCUACAAUGCUCUGCAUGGAGCUACUUUAGCUAAUUGCUCCCACUUUCAAUAUGUAUCCAGAUUGAGACUCAGAGUCAUCUGGAUCGGUGUAAAAGCUUGCAUCAACGUAACUCUUUACGACGAACUCUUUAUCACUUCCAUGACCGAGAAAUAUUUCCUUAGUCGUUACUAAAGAUAAUUUUGACCGCUGUCCAGUGAUCUACUCCUAGAUCACUAUUGUACCCCCUUGCCAAACUCAUGGCAAGGUACACAAUAGGUCUGGUACAUAGCAUGGCAUAUUUUAUAGAUCCUAUGACUGAGGCAUAGGGAAUGACUUUUCAUUCUCUUUCCAUCUUUUGCCGUGAUCGGGCUUUGAGUCUUACUCAACUUUUACACCUUGUAAUACAGGCAAGAACUCCUUCUUUGAUUGAUCCAUUUGGAACUUCUUCAAAACUUUAUCAAGGUAUGUUCUUUGUGAAAGUCCAAUUAAGCGUCUUGAUCUAUCUCUAUAGAUAUUGAUGCCCAAUAUGUAAGUAGCUUCACCGAGGUCUUUCAUUGAAAAACACUUAUUCAAGUAUCCUUUUAUGCUAUCUAGAUAUAUCAUUUCCAAUCAGCAAUAUGUCAUCCAGAUAUAAUAUUAGAAAUGCUACAAAGCUCCCACUCACUUUCUUGUAAAUACAGGCUUCUCCAAAAGUCUGUAUAAAACCAUAUGCUUUGAUCACUGAUACGUCCAUUUUGCAUCAUGUUUUCUUACUUUUAUUCAUAAUGUUUUUAUCCAUAAUAAUGAUUUUUGGAGUAAUUCUAAUGCCUUUUCUCUCAUAAUUUGCAAGGUACACACUAAGAGGGAGAAUUCUGGCAGCUGGAAAUCUGGACCUGAAAAAGCUACGUCAGGCUACCUAUUAUGCACAACUCCAAACAAGCUGAGCCUUCACGGAGAAUUUUUAUGAAAUAUUUAAGGAAUAUUGGAGCAAAUAACUACCAGAGGGGGCCCACCAGGUGGGCACAACCCACCUGGGCGCGCCAGGGAGCCCAGGCGCGCCCUGGUGGGUUGUGCCCUCCUUGGCCCACCUCUGGUGCCCAUCUUCUAGUAUAUAAGUCAUUUUGACCUAGAACAAAUAAGAGGAGGACGUUCAGGAUGAAGCGCCGCCGUCUCGAGGCGGAACUUGGGCAGGAGCACUUUUGCCCUCCGGCGGAGCAAUUCCGCCGGGGGAACUUCCCUCCCGAAGGGGGAAAUCAUCGUCAUCAUCAUCACCAACAACUCUCCCAUCUUGGGGAGGGCCAUCUUCAUCAACAUCUGCACAGCACCAACUCCUCUCAAACCCUAGUUCAUCUCUUGUGUUCAAUAUUUGUAUCAAAACUAUAGAUUGGUGCCCGUGGGUAACUAGUAGUGUUGAUUACAUCUUGUAGUUGAUUACUAUAUGGUUUAUUUGGUGGAAGAUUAUAUGUUCAGAUCCAUUAUGCUAUUCAAUACCCCUCUGAACUUGAGCAUGUUUAUCAUUUGCGAGUAGUUACUUUCGUUCUUGAGGUCACGGGAGAAAUCAUGUUGCAAGUAAUCAUGUGAAUUUGAUAUGUGUUCGAUAUUUUGAUAGUAUGUAUGUUGUUAUUCCCUUAGUGGUGUCAUGUGAACAUCGACUACAUGACACUUCACCAUAUUUGGGCCUAAGGGAAUGCAUUGUGGAGUAGUAAAUAGAUGGUGGGUUGCGAAACCCCAGUUUAUGCACUAUUCCGUAAGGGACCGAUUGGAUCCUAGAGUUUAAUCAUAUGGUUAGAAUUUAUUCUUAAUGAUUUUCUCGUAGUUGCGGAUGCUUGCGGGACGGUUAAUCAUAAGUAGGAGGUUUGUUCAAGUAAGAACAACACCUAAGCACCGGUCCACCCACAUAUCAAAUUAUGAAAGUAGCGAACACAAAUCAAACCAACAUGACGAAAGUAACUAGAUGAAAUUUCUGUGUACCCUCAAGAACACUUUGUUAUGGCCUGUCCUUUGCCUCAAAAGGAUUGGGCUACCUUGCUGCACUUUUGUUACUACUAUUGUUACUUGCUCGUUACAAAUUAUCUUGCUAUCAAACUACUCGCUACUUACAGUUUCAGCACUUGCAGACAUUACCUUACUGAAAACUAUUUGUCAUUUCCUUCUACUCCUCGUUGGGUUCGACACUCUUACUUAUCGAAAAGAGCAACAAUUGACCCCCUAUACUUGUGGGUCAUCAAGGCUAUUUUCUGGCGCCAUUGCCGGGAGUGAAGCGCCCUUGGUAAGUGGAAUUCGGUAAGGAAACAUUUAUAUAGUGUGCUGAAAUUUAUUGUCACUUGUUACUAUGGAAAACAAUCCUUUGAGGGGUUUGUUCGGGGUAUCUUCACCUCGUCCGGAACCACAAUUAGUUACCCCUCAACAUACUGCACCUACUGAAAAUAUUGAAUAUGAAAUCCCUUCGGGUAUGAUAGAACUACUGCUAGCUAAUCCUUAUGCAGGAGAUGGAACUGAACAUCCUGAUAUGCACUUGAUACAUGUGGAACAAAUUUGUGGAUUGUUUAAGCUUGCAGGUUUACCAAGGAUGAAGUGAUGAAAAAUGUUUUCCCUUUAUCUUUGAAGGGAAAAGCAUUGGCAUGGUAUAGGCUAUGUGAUGAUAUUGGAUCAUGGAAUUGGAAUCGUUUGAAAUUGGAGUUCCAUCAAAAAAUUUAUCCUAUGCAUCUAGUUCAUCGUGAUCGGAAUUAUAUAUAUAAUUUUUGGCCUCGUGAAGGAGAAAGUAUCGCUCUAGCUUGGGGGAGGCUUAAGUUGAUGUUAUAUUCAUGCCCCAAUUAUGAGCUCUCAAGAGAAAUUAUUAUUCAGAAUUUUUAUGCUUGGCUUUCUCGGAAUGAUCAAACCAUGCUCGAUACUUCAUGUACUGGUUCUUUUAUGAAGAAGACUAUUGAAUUACGGUGGGAUCUUUUGGAAAGAAUUAAACACAACUCUGAAGAUUCGGAACUUGAGAAGGUACAAAGUCUGGUAUAAAGCUUAAGUAUGAUUGUGUUAAAUCUUUUAUGGAUACCGAUGCUUUUCAAAAGUUUAGCACUAAAUAUGGACUUGACUCUGAUAUAGUAGCCUCCUUUGUGAAUCAUUUGCUACUCAUGUUGAACUUCCUAAAUAAAAGUGGUUUAAAUAUCACCCACCUAUUAAAGAUGAAAUUAAAGAACCAGUACAAGUUAAAGAAGAAACUAUACUCUCUAAUGUUGAUCCAGUUGUUCCUUCUGCUUAUAUUGAGAAACCACCUUUCCCUGUUAGGAUAAAAGAACAUGCUAAAGUUUCAACUGUGGUUAACAAAAGCUAUGUUAGAACACCUAAACCUGAUGAGCAAAUUAAAGUAGAACCUAGCAUUGCUAUGGUUAAAGAUCUCUUGGAAGAAGAUAUGGAUGGGCAUGUUAUUUAGUUUUGUGAAGAAGCUGCCAGAAUUGUUAAACCUGAGGGGAAAGAUAAACAUAGACCAGUUGUUGGCAUGCCUGUUGUUUUAGUUAAAAUAGGAGAUCACUAUUAUCAUCAUUUAUGUGACAUGGGUGCUAGUGUGAGUGCCAUUCCCCACUCCUUAUAUGAAGAAAUUAGAGAUGAAAUAGCACCUGCUGAAUUAGAAGACAUAGAUGUUACUAUUAAACUUGCUAAUAGAGAUACUAUAUCACCCAUUGGGAUUCUUAGAGAUGUUGAAGUCUUGUGUGGGAAGAUAAAAUACCCUACUGAUUUUCUUAUUCUUACCACCCCACAAGAUAAAUUUUGUCCCAUUAUAUUUGGUAGACCUUUCUUGAACACCGUCAAUGCUAAAAUAGAUUGUAAGAAACAAACUGUCGGUGUGAGCUUUGGUGGUGAAUCUCACGAGUUUAAUUUUUCCAAGUUUAGUAGAAAUCAUCAUGACAAAGAAUUGCCUAGUAAGGAUGAACUAAUUGGUCUUGCUUCUAUUGUUGUACCACCUACUGAUCCUUUAGAGCAAUACUUGCUAUACCAUGAGAAUUGUUGAGGAUAUAGACCUUGGAGUCACCCGCCAGGAUGGCCGGGUUACUCUAAGGGUCAUUACCAGAAGCCCGGAGCUAAGUUUCAAGAUAAUGGGCCAGAGAUGGGCUGAGACCCGGAUAUGGCUUAAAGCCCGUAGUUACAAUCAUUGUUAUAGUAGACUUGUAGUGUAAGGCAAGUAUUGAUUAGAGUCCGAGCCGGACGCUCUUAUGAGCCGGCCGGGACUCUAAGGGCUGCUGGGCGUCAGCCUCCCUAUAUAAAGGGAGGACCCGGCAGCGGUUCAAGGGCGACAACAAUCUCUCCGAGAGCCGGGAUAGCUGUUUAGCUCCCUGGCGAUCGUAACCCUAAUCAAUAACACCUCGAACUGGACGUAGGCUUUUACCUUCACCGUAAGGGGCCGAACCAGUAUAAACCCUCGUGUUCCAUGUCCCGCAUAACCCCUUCAAGCUUCCUAGUUGCGAUGGCUCCACGACUAAGUCCUAGCCCAAGGACAUCUGCCGUGACAAUUCCACGACAGUUGGCGCCCACCGUGGGGCAAGCGCACGGUGGAUUUGAGUUCUUGAAGGGCAGCUUCGAAGGGCUCAAGGGAUACGCUGUGGGCCGGAUGACCAAGAGUCGUCGCGGCAGGCUCUACAUCGACGACGCGGACUGGGGCCCCGACGCCGGCUCAGUGGAGUACGGGUACCGGGUCCCCUUUGGCGGAAUUCAUGUCUUCAUUGGCAAGGUUGGUGAGCCGGGACCCGAGCCGGGUCUCUGCGCCGAUCUCAUCGAAACGGCUCAGCGCGCACGACCCGCCCGGGCCCGGCCUGCCUUAAAACGCGCUUUUGUGGGAUGCAUCCAUGGAAGGCCCUCCGAUCCAUCUGGGUCUGGGGAUGAGGCGGCCGCCGGCUCUGACGGCGAGUCGGCCGCUGAUGAGUCAAACUCGUUGUACCAACUUCAAGAUGGCAGGCUCAUGAGUUAUUCCGAUGGCAACAGUAUUCCGGACCUUUUUGAGCCGCCAAGUCAGGUCGGAGUUUUUAUGGCUGGUGCGCAGCCUGUUCAGAACCCCGCUACCGGAUCAGAAAACCCGGAGCCUUCCCCGGCUCAGGUGCUGAUGGAUCUCACAGAUAAGAUGACGGCCCUGUUAACUGCCACGGUUGACCCGGCAGAUCAAGCCCAGCAUGACGCGGAGGUGGCACAGUUAAAAUUGGAUCUGAUGAAAGCAAAAGAGGAUCUUGCAGCAGAAGGGAUCAGGCUGGCGGCGGAGCGGGCGGCUCUCGACGCCCGGACUCAGUUGAUUCAGGCGCAGUCCUUCCAACUCACGAUGGAUCAGAACACGGCCAACGAGGUCAUGAGAAGGAGGCAUCAGAAGGCCCAGUCUCGACUCCCGCCGGUUUACGAUCCGCGCAAUCUAUUCAACACGCCAGGUGCGGGAUCCAGUAACCCACCAGGGGUCAUUGCGCCCGGGUCGGGACCCCUUAUUCAGCCACUAGUAAUGGGGCCUCCCCAGGCGCCCCCUGCCCCGCCUCAGUAUGUGCCAAUACCCCCGGGUCAUUAUGAUAACCCGCUGGAGAACAUGGUAGCUGCGGCAGCACGACUGGCGGCUCUUCCCGUUGACGGCAAUUCUCCGGCAGCCGUCGAAACCCGCCGGGUCAGGGAACUCCUGCAGACGGCCCUAGCGCAGCAAGAGGCGUACUCCUACAGCCGGGACAGGAUCCACUCAACUCCUCGCCCAGGCCAGAGCCCGAGUUACAGCCGGCACAUGGUCUCGGCGACCGGCUCAAGUAAUGUCCGAUGCCAUGACCCACCCCCUGGCCAUGGCCCGGCUCAUGUUGGAACCUUCUACGCCGCAGACCAAGCACGGCAAGAGGCGGAGCAGGUGCCGCAAUUGACGGCUUAUCAGACCCCCCCGGCUUAUCCAACGGCGUCCGUUGAUGUGGGUAUUUCUACCAGGACCGGGGGUGUCCCUUGUUUGGUGCCGGCCAUCCGUAAUGAACGUCUACCUAAGGAUUUCAAGGGCCCUAGGAAGGUGCCUAACUAUACAGCUGACUUACAGCCUGCGGCCUGGAUUGAGAGUUAUGAGAUGGCUAUGGAACUGCUAGAGGUCAGCGAGGCGGCCAUGGCCAAAUAUUUCACCAUGAUGUUAGAUGGAACUGCCCGCACGUGGUUAAAAGGGCUGCCACCAAACUCCAUUGGGUCUUGGACUGAGCUGAAGGCCCGGUUCAUUCAAAACUUCAAGGAUACCUGUAGGCAGUCUAUGUCAAUUGUGGAUUUGACUAACUGUAAGCAGCAGGAGGGUGAGUCCACGACCCAUUGGGUUCGCCGGGUCAAGGAGAUCAUACAUUCAUCAGAUAAGAUGGACGCCGGCUCUGCAGUCUUGAUGUUAGAACAGAACUGUCGUUUUGUGCCCCUAAAGAUGAAGCUUGGGCGGCUUAAACGUGACUGCACGGAUAUGGGUACACUAAUGGCGGCUCUUGUCAAAUACGCGGAUUCCGAUGGUACCAAGGAUCCCCCUUCAGAUGAUGAAAGGACAGGGAAGGGAAAGAAGAACGGCAAUGGCAAGGGCCCUCAGUUUAACCCGGGGAAUCAAGGAGGAGGCAAGCGCAAGGCCGAUGGCAGCCUGGAGUUCGUAGCCAACACCCAAGGCAACAACCAGCGACGCAAGGGGAGGCCCCCUCCCCGAGGCGGCGGGUCAGGACCUUCUCUGGAGCAGCUGUUGAAUGAACCUUGUCCGAGACACGGCUCUAGAGAGAAGCCAGCGACUCAUCUGUGGAAGGAUUGUGCUAUCAUGAAGGCCUUUAAAAACUACAAUGGCCCGGGCGGCGGCCCAGGCGCAGGCGGCUCCGGCGCUGGCGGCUUUCAUGGCCCGGGUGGCGGGUCAAAUUCCGGUCCUCAGAACGGUCAAGGGGGCUUCAAUCAAUAGUCUGGUCAGGGUCAUCAACAGCAACAGGGGGGCUAUCAGACCAACCCAAAGCAACUUAGCGGUGGACAGUAUCACGUGUUCACCACUAGUUUGUGCAAACGAGACGAGAAGCUUCACAAGAGGGCUGUUAAUGCUGUUGAGCCGGCGGUUCCACGCUACUUACGGUGGUCGGAGCAGCCCAUAGUGUGGAUUAGGGAGGAUCACCCUCCCCGGGUGGAUAACCCGGGCCACCUGGCCUUAGUAGUGGCUCCUCAGGUGGGAGGCUAUAAGUUCACAAAGGUACUCAUGGAUGGAGGCAGCAGCAUCAACAUCCUCUAUUAUGAGACUUUCCGUCGUAUGGGGCUAGUUGAUAAGAACCUCAGCCAGUCAAAUACUAUCUUCCAUGGUGUGGUACCCGGUAAGUCGGCUUAUCCAGUCGGCAAGAUCGAAUUGGAAGUGGCUUUUGGUGAUGAAAACAACUACAGGGUGGAGAAGUUGACCUUUGAGGUGGUCAAGAUAAGAAGUCCAUACCAUGCUAUAUUCGGACGGCCGGCUUACGCCAAGUUCAUGGCACGGCCGUGUUAUGUGUACUUACAGCUCAAGAUGCCGGGUCACAAUGGGACCAUUACAGUUCACGGCAGCCGGAAAGUGGCUCUGGAGUGUGAGGAAGGUGACGCGGCUUAUGCAGAGUCUGUUUGUGCCACAGAAGAGUUGAAAUUUUAUAAAGACAAUGUUGACCCAACAGAUAUGACCUCUCUGAAAAAGCCAACCACGGAGAAUGAACCAGCAAUGAAGUUUAAAUCAGCCGAUGAGACUAAACUUGUUGAUUUUGUUCCAGGUGACUCGUCUCAGCAGUUCAGCAUCAGUGCAAAUCUGGACCCGAAAUAGGAAGGCGCGCUCAUCGAGUUCAUCCGUGAGAAUAGGGACAUCUUUGCAUGGAAACCUUCUGACAUGCCAGGUGUACCUAGAGAACUCGCUGAGCACACUCUCAAUGUGGACCCAAAAUUUAAGCCGGUCAGACAGUUCCUUCGACGGUUUAACGAAGAGAGGCGGAAGGCUAUUGGUGAAGAAGUGGCCCGGCUUUUGGCGGCCGGGUUCAUUGUUGAGGUUUUUCACCCAGAGUGGUUGGCUAACCCGGUGCUCGUACUUAAAAAGAACGGCACCUGGCGGAUGUGUGUGGACUACACGGACUUGAACAAGGCGUGUCCGGCUGAUCCUUUUGCUCUCCCCCGUAUCGAUCAAAUCAUUGACGCCACGGCAGGUUGUGCACGCUUAAGUUUCUUGGAUGCUUAUUCCGGGUAUCAUCAGAUUAAGAUGGCAGUUAAGGACCAGGAGAAGACGGCGUUCAUCACUCCCUUUGGAGCCUUCUGCUAUGUGUCUAUGCCCUUUGGACUCAAGUGUGCACAGGCGACUUACCAGCAUUGUGUGCAGAAUUGCCUUCAUAAGCAGAUCGGGCGCAAUGUUCACGCUUACGUGGACGACAUUGUGGUUAAAUCCAUCAAGGAGGAAACCCUGAUAGAUGACUUAAGGGAAACCUUCGACAAUCUCCGGGUCUAUAAGAUGAUGCUUAACCCGGCCAAAUGUGUUUUUGGUGUUCCUGCAGGCAAACUAUUGGGCUUCUUGGUUUCUGACAGGGGCAUUGAGGCUAACCCAGAGAAGAUCAAAGCUAUCACUUCUCUAGCUAAGCCGGCAUGUAUAAAUGACGUUCAGCGUUUGGCGGGUCGCAUCGCUGCGUUAAGCCAGUUUAUAAGCCGUUUGGGUGAGAAGGCUAUGCCCUUAUAUCAAUUGAUGAAGAAAACUGAUAACUUUGUCUGGAAUGAUGCAGCUAAUACCGCCUUCGAGGAUUUGAAAAAGCAACUGGCAGAGCCCCCCGUCCUUGCUGCUCCGGUUGAUAAGGAGCCCUUGCUACUGUAUGUAGCGGCAAACGCACGAGCCGUCAGCGUGGCUAUUGUGGUGGAGCGCAAGGAGGCGGGUAAGGAGCAUCCGGUUCAGCGGCCGGUUUAUUAUGUCAGUGAGGUGCUCAUUGAGUCCAAGCAGCGGUAUCCGCAUUGGCAGAAGCUCGUAUAUGGGGUGUUUAUGGCGAGCCGGAAGCUUAAGCAUUACUUUCAAGGUCAUCCCAUCACUGUGGUCAGUUCCGCCCCUCUCGGUGAUAUUAUCCAGAACAGAGAGGCUACAGGGAGAAUUGCUAAGUGGGCUAUAGAACUUGGACCUCAUGACCUCAAAUAUGUGCCACGCACUGCUGUUAAGUCUCAGGCCUUGAUAGAUUUCAUCAAUGAUUGGACAGAGUCACAAGUACCCGAGCAAAAGCCGGAUAACACUUAUUGGACUAUUCACUUUGAUGGGUCCAGGCAGCUGGAGGGCUCGGGGGCUGGUGUGGUCUUGGCUUCCCCUAAAGGUGACAAGUUCCAUUAUGUGCUACGGUUGAUGUUUCCUUGCACUAAUAAUGCGGCUGAGUACGAGGCUUUGCUCCACGGCCUUCGGGUGGCUAAGGAGAUGAGCUUAAGCCGGCUGAGGUGUUUUGGUGACUCAGACUUGGUGGCUCAACAAGUAUCAGGCACCUGGGAUUCUAAGGAUCCUCUAAUGGCGGCUUAUCGCCGCAAGGUUGAUACCAUUGCCGGGCACUUUCAGGGAUAUCAAGUGGAGCACAUUGACCGCAGGAAGAAUGAGGCGGCUGAUGCUUUAAGCCGGCUCGGCUCUCAGCGAAAGCCGGUGCCGCCUAACACUUUCCUGGAUGUCCUAUAUAACCCUUCGGUUAAGUUGCCUACAGAGGAGGACUUGGCUAUCCCUGACCCGGAGGCACGACUGGUGGCGGCUCUUCAUAUCAUACCAGACUGGACAAUGCCAUAUCUGGCUUAUAUAACCCGGGGAGAGUUGCCUGAGGAUGAAAUUCUGGCCAGGCAAAUAACCCGGCGGGCUAAGUCAAUGAUUGUUAUCGAUGGCGAGUUGCAUCAUCGCAGUGUUUCAGGGGCAUUCCAGCGUUGUAUCUCCCCUGAGGAAGGUCAAGAGAUCUUGCGCGAGAUCCAUGAAGGGGAUUGUGGCCAUCAUGCCGGUUCAAAAUCUCUUGUGGCCAAGGCUUUCCGUCAUGGUUUUUAUUGGCUGACGGCUCACGCUGAUGCAGAGGACUUGGUCAGUAAAUGUGAUGGCUGCCAAAGGUUCUCCCGACGGGCUCAUGUGCCGGCUCAGGAAUUGAGGAUGAUCCUGAUCACUUGGCCCUUUGCGGUCUGGGGGCUUGAUAUGGUCGGGCCUUUUAAACGGUCCAAGGAUAAGAAGACCCACCUCUUGGUGGCAGUGGACAAAUUCACGAAGUGGGUGGAAGCUGAGCCAGUUAGCAAGUGUGAUGCAGCCACGGCGGUUCAAUUUAUGAAAAAGGUGAUCUUCCGCUUCGGCUUUCCACACAGCAUCAUAACAGACAAUGGCACUAAUCUGUCCAAAGGCGCUAUGGAGGAGUUUUGUCAAAGAGAGCAUAUCCGGCUUGAUGUCUCUUCAGUGGCACACCCCCAAUCCAAUGGUCAAGCUGAGAGAGCUAACCAGGAGAUUCUGAAGGGCAUUAAACCCCGGCUCUUGGUCCCUUUGCAACGGACGCCAGGUUGUUGGGUGGAGGAGUUGCCCUCCGUUUUAUGGAGCAUCAACACUACUCCUAACAGGUCUACAGGCUUCACGCCUUUCUUCAUGGUUUAUGGAGCAGAAGCAGUUCUCCCCAGCGACAUCCGUCAUGAUUCACCUCGUGUGGCGGCUUAUGUUGAGACGGGUAAUGAACAGGCGCGCCAAGAUGCUCUGGACUUGCUGGACGAACAGCGUGAUGUGGCAGCCGCCCAUUCAGCGAUUUACCAACAAGACCUGCGCCGUUAUCACGACCACAAGGUCAAAUCCUGGGUCUUCCAGGAGGGCGACCUGGUGCUCCGGCUCAUCCAGGAUCAAACAGAUGCACACAAGUUAUCCCCGCCUUGGGAAGGGCCUUUUGUGGUCAGUAAGAACUUGCACAACGGGUCAUAUUACCUCAUUGAUAUCCGGGAGCAUAAGGACUCGCGUAAAUCUGAGGAGGAGACCCGUCGGCCGUGGAACAUAGCUCAGCUUCGGCCUUACUACACUUGAGCUUCCGACUCUUGUGAUGUACAUAUUUAUCUCAGCCAUGUAUAUAUUAUGAUAAAGCAAUAAAGCAGGACCUCUGUCCUUUGCUCUCUUCCAAAAAUGUGUGUUGUUACAUGCUGACUUACAGAAGAUCCGGCUUAUGAUCAUCUUCGAAUCUAGCUGUAAGCAGUAAAGUCGCUUGGGGGCUUCCUGUUCACACAUGGGUCGUAUUCGAACCAAAGAGAACAUAGCUGUCGAUACCCAUUUGAUUGGCAAAGUGCCGAGCUCAUUGGGAAGUUGCCUCUGGUCAUAUUUGAAUCAUAGUGUAACCCCUCUGAGAACCGACGUGGAUCGUAUUCGAAUCAGCGUCGUUAAACAAAUUUUCAGAAUCACUUGGGGGCUUCCUGUUCAAACAUGGGUCGUAUUCGAACCAAAGAGAACAUAACUGUCGAUACCCUCUUGAUUGGCGUCGCCAAACCCACUGGGGGCUAUAUGAUCGUAUCCGAAUCUUAGCUUAACCCCUUUGGACCGAGUUUCUGGUCGUAUUCGAACCGGAAGCCCUUAAGUUUUUAUAUUUUACCACAAACUUGCUUUGAUCAUGUCAAAGUAUGUACUGCCGGGUUUCACUUGCCGGCUUAAUUUUGGUUUAUCUUGUUAGUUGAGCAUCAUGGAUGUCAUCAAGACAAAUAAAUUCGAGUUAAGGUACCAACCGUGCUACCCGGGUUAUUUAACCCGGAAGUAUGCUUACAGGCUGUUAAGUGUGUCAUCACAGCUAUGUUCGAGUAUAGUUAAGGACCAAUCUUUUUUGGUUCGUAUCCCGGGUUAUCCAUCUCAAACACCUGAUUCUCAGGGCGGUAAGCCGCCUUGCGACUUGUAAUUUGCCUUUCUAUGCAGAUAUUUAAAGGCACUUUUUAAGGUUGAGAAGGACAAAGGGAUAAUUACGACCCGGAGGAGCAUCAAAAGAAUGACUUCAAAGGAUUUCAGCAUUCAUUACAUGCACGAUGGCACGGCAGAGAUAAAUUGUUGCACCUACUCUAUUACAAAAAUCUUUCAAAGUUUCAAGGAUGGGGCGUUGUUUGGUGAGCCGCUAGCCGGUUUAUGACGCCUGCUGAGUUGAAGUCCCCGGCUCAUCUUCUGCUUCGGCUGAUCCCAAGGCUUCGAAGGUCGACGACUUCCAAUUGAUGCCGCUGAGAGCUUCGAACUGAGCUUCUUCGUCAAUUAACCCGGCCGGGUUAAUCUCCAGGGCGAAGGUGUGCUGGCGAGCCGGGGGAAUCAGAUUGAUAGCUUCAUAGCGAGGGGUUGGAAUCCUCUGAUUCUCCGCGUUGUAUCCCGGCUGAUACUUGGUUAAAUCGGUGUCGUUCCCGAUGAUGGUGGCCACCGGGCGCACAGCCUUCACACAAGCCGCGAAGUCCUUCUGGUCGAACGCUGAGCCGUCUUCUUUCAGGCUGGGGUAACCCAGGGCGAUAUCUGCCGGGUCUAGCUCCGGCAAGAAGGCUUUGGCCCGGCUCAGUGCGGCGAUUGCUCCGGAUCUCGCGGAUGCUCGUCGUAGCUCCUGGAUCCGCUACGGCAGAACUGCGAGCCGGCGCAGGACUUCGGCCAGAUGAGUCGGCACUUCAUUUGACAGGGCCACCACAGCUAAGGCCCGCUGUGACCCGGUGUAGAGCUGUUCCACCAGGGUGUACACGGCCUUUAACUUGGUGACCACGCUCUGGUUCAAGUUGGCGCUUCUGGAACCUGUUUAACAACAUCAGAUGACCCGGUGAUAAGGAUGAGUUAAGAGAUGUAAACAUUCCAACUUGAAUGAAAACCGGUGAGGCAACUUACCGAAGAUGGCAGCUACCAUUUGGGACACUUGGCGCUUUAGACCGGAGAGCUCAGCGGUCUUCUCAGUGAGGGCCUUCUCCGCCUGUUCUGCCCGGGUCACCAGUGCAGCUUUCUCCUCAGCCCAGGCCUUCCGCCCAGCGUCGAAUUCAGUCUUCAAUUUCUCCUGAGCGGCGAUGCUGGAGACAAACUUGGCAUUUGCCUUCCGGGUCUCCAUCUCUUGUGCCUUCAGCCGGCUCUUGAGAUCCGCCAGGUCCGACACUAAUUUCUUGCCAACAGCCUGCAUAUAUUUCCGGGUUAUUAACAGUCAUUCUAUAAAGUCCCAAGCGCUUUCCAAGCAAAGACACUUGGCACUUGGGGGCUAAUGCAUAUUGAACGUAUCUAUCUAUGUACGGCCGGCUCAGUUCAGUAAGCCGGAAUCUAAAGUCUACAACAUAUUCAAGUAUAAGUCCUAGACUUGGGGGCUAGAAUGGCAAGGAUCACUAUGCGGAAAGUAAGAGAACAGCAGAAGGUUACCUCAGAUUUUUGUUGGAUCUGGUUGACCAUGGCGAUCUCGGCGUCCCGGCUCUUGUGAACCUGGCUGAUGUAGCCUGAGACGAGUUCUCCAAUACUUAAGUCGGUGUAGCUGGAGAGAUCCAGAUUCACCAGGUGGGGUUGCAGCAACUCCCCCCUGGCGGAGCAUUUGGCCAGCGCGGUCGGCCUCCCCGGCUCAACAAACUCCGUCCGGGUAAUUACCACGUUCGGGUCGUUAGCUGGUGGGGCUGAGCCGGAGGCCUCCGGGUUAGCUAAUGCUUCGGUCGUUGUCUUGGUGGUCGGGGCAGGGGCUUCAGGCGCCGUAUCCAUGGGAAUGGUGGCUUCAGGGGCGGAGGCGACUGGCGGCUCUUGAGCCGUCGUCUCCGGCUCAGGCAAGUCGGGCACUCCGGCUGACCUGGUCUUCUUUGCUCUUUUGGUGAGCUUUGCCUGGGCACUGAAAAGGCAGAAGUGUUAGGCAUACAAAGGGUAAGUACAGACAGAUAAUGUAAGGAGAUUGUUAUUACCCGGGGGCAGUCUUGAAGGCCGGCAGACUUGACUGCAUGGAGUCACCCGAGGAGGGGGAGGUCUCCUGGUAAUUGGAGUCAGAAGAGUUGAGUGGCUGACAGAUGACACCCGCCAACGGAUGAAAAGGGUACAGGUGAGAAAAAACCUCAGUGCGGUGUUUCCUCGUUGCGUCGGGUAACCCAGUGGAGAGGUCGGUGUCCUUGCGGGCCCGGGUGUGACGCCGGCUCUCGUGAACCCGCUGCUUCAAAAGAAAUUGAGGGUCUCGGUGAGCUAAUGGAUGGGAAAAGCUUACUUUCCGGGUUACCCUUCGGACUUUCAGCUGUGGUAAAGGCUCCGAGCCGGAGGAAAGUGAUGUUACCUCUUCGACCACCGGGUUACUGGCGCCGGUGUCAUCCUGUCAAUAAGCAAGUGUUGAUAAGGCGGACAGCAUCAGACAACAUAUACUGCAAGAAUUUAAAAGAUUUAAGGGUUACCUCUGACUCGGAGCUAUCGCUUAAUUGCAGCAGCUCCGAAGCAGUGGGUCUGUUUCCCUUUUUGCGAGGGGCGGCUCUCUUGGCGGCUUUCUUCGCCUUCCUGGCCUUCUUGGCCGCCUCGUGGUCAUACUUGACCCGCCAGAAUUUAUCAUCAGCCUGAGAAAUACAGUAAUGAGUUCUUAGUAAGAUGACAGGUAAAACAAAAUGGAAAGGUUAAAGUCAGCGGCUUAUCGCUGGGGCUGGAUUGGUCUUGCAGAACGGGGCUAGCCCGGUUCUUCCACAGUCUGCCAGGCUCUCGUUUAAAAGAGCCUUGGUCUCUUCUUCAGCAACGUCUUCUGGAAGAUCAUUGCGAUUGUGCCUCUGCGGGUCAUCCUUUCGCCCGGUGUACUCACACAUUAAGCCGGGGCGGCGGCUCAAUGGGAUCACCCACCAUGAGAUCCAGACCCGGACCAGGUCAAUUCCGUUCAGACCAUUGCCUAGCAGGGCUUUGAUCUUGUUGAUCGUUGGAAGCAGAGGCUGGCGUUCUGCGGCAGUCAGCUUGUCGGAUAAUGGAUGAGUUGGCUCCAGGCGCGUUGGGCGAAAGCCGGGCAGCGGGCUCUCAUCAGCCGGGGACGUGUCUUGGCAGUAGAACCAAGUCAUGUUCCAGUCCUUGGGGUGACUUGGCGGUUCUGCGUAAGGGAACAGACAAUCCCUGCGUCGUUGGAUGGAGAUGCCGCCUAACUCUAGACUUGGACCGUUUGCGCACUCGGUUUGGCGGUUCAAAUAGAACAGCUCUCUGAAGAGCAGCAGACUCGGCUCUUCUCCAAGAUAUACUUCACAAAAAACUUGGAAGUUGCAGAUGUUGGAUAUGGAAUUGGGUCCUAUAUCCUGAGGCCGAAGAUCAAAGGAGUUGAGCACAUCCCGGAAGAAUUUUGAGCCAGGCGGUGCGAAGCCCCGGCUCAUAUGGUCGGCAAAGAUCACUACCUCCCCGUCUCUCGGCUGUGGCCUUUCUUCGGAUGGGUCAGGGGCACGGUAGGACAUCACUUCCUUCUUAGGCAGGUAUCCGGACUUAACGAAGUUGGCCAGGGUCUCUUCGGUGACGCUGGAUUUCAUCCAGUUGCAAGUGAUGGGAGCCUUGGGAGGCAUGGUGACGGUUGGUGGUCUACGAGGAAGAGAAAAGUGUCCGGGUUAAUUAUAAGCCGGAGUUUAUCAUUCAAGUUACAAUGACGGCUUAUGAAGGGGACUAAUGGUAUGUAUUGAUACGGUGGGUUAUCUAAAGCCAUCGGGGCUUUCAGGAUAAGUUGGUCGUCUACGGCUUACUGCGGUUAAGUCGGAAGAUACUACAGAGCAUGAUUCUCUUUAAACCGGAAAGUUCUACGGCGCGUGUUUUCUCUAAGUCAGAAAUAUAAGCCGCCAAGAUUCAAGGACUGCAGUUUUUACGAAGUGUGGUAAACAGAUUUCACAUAUUACAGUAACUUUUUUGGAUCAAAGUAGUCGGAGCAGAGAAAGUUUUCUAGACCUAAAAAACAGAGGCAGGAGAAGUUUUUGAGGUUGAACACAGUUCUUAUGCAGUAAAAAGAGGGUUUCUUACAGAUGAAAUGGGUCUCAAACCUCUACCGCAGUGGUUUUACGCGAGGUUAAGGAUCAACCAACUACGGUGGCAACAAGAACUACCGAGUUUGUGGGCAAUGGUGACGAACACGAAGAACUGAAGGAACCCUACCGCAGUUCUAUUCUAGCAAGGCAGAGAAGACUCACCGGAGUUGAGGAAGAAAGGAGGUCGCCGGCGUUAUCUGGUCCGGGUCAGGGUGAUGCAGCAGCCGGGUCGAUGAAGAUCAAGGGCGCGACGGCGGCGGCGGCGGCAGAAGCUCGGGCAGAGGAACGACAACGCAAGGAAGAAGAAGGAGAGUGUGAGAAGAGAGUGCCGGGCCGGCCUAUUUAUAAGGUGAGUCAUAAGUAGGUGCGGGGUUCAAGGAGGCCACGGCGUGAUUAUCUCCCCCUCACGGCGCCUCGAUUCUCGGAAGGACAGUAAAAGCAAAGAUCCGUUGCGGAUCUGGCGGAGUAAAAAACGGACUUAAUGGAGGAUGACGUCACGGCGGAUUACCCGGGGUCCAGAGGAUGACGUCACUCCGGGUUAUGACCUUUACAUGAAUAGAAGCCGGGGAUUUUUUUUUCUGUCUGCAGAGCUGAAGAUUGACCCGAGCCGGCUCAAGUCAAUCUGGGGCCUAAUGUUGAGGAUAUAGACCUUGGAGUCACCCGCCAGGAUGGCCGGGUUACUCUAAGGGUCAUUACCAGAAGCCCGGAGCUAAGUUUCAAGAUAAUGGGCCAGAGAUGGGCUGACACCCGGAUAUGGCUUAAAGCCCGUAGUUACAAUCAUUGUUAUAGUAGACUUGUAGUGUAAGGCAAGUAUUGAUUAGAGUCCGAGCCGGACGCUCUUAUGAGCCGGCCGGGACUCUAAGGGCUGCUGGGCGUCAGCCUCCCUAUAUAAAGGGAGGACCCGACAGCGGUUCAAGGGCGACAACAAUCUCUCCGAGAGCCGGGAUAGCUGUUUAGCUCCCUGGCGAUCGUAACCCUAAUCAAUAACACCUCGAACUGGACGUAGGCUUUUACCUUCACCGUAAGGGGCCGAACCAGUAUAAACCCUCGUGUUCCAUGUCCCGCAUAACCCCUUCAAGCUUCCUAGUUGCGAUGGCUCCACGACUAAGUCCUAGCCCAAGGACAUCUGCCGUGACAAUUCCACGACAAGAAUGAUUUACAUAUGCAUGAAAGAAAUGAAAUAGAUAAGAUCUUCUUCGAACAACGUCCUCUGCUUAAACACAAUUUGCCUAUUGAAACUCUUGGAGGUCCUCCUCCACCUAAGGGUGACCCUGUGUUUGAGUUAAAACCAUUGCCAGACACUUUGAAAUAUGCUUAUCUUGAUGAAAAGAAGAUAUAUCCUGUUAUUAUCAGUGCUAACCUUUCAGAACAUGAAGAAGAAAGAUUAUUGAAAGUUCUAAGGAAGCACCGAGCUGCCAGUGUUUGAGGAAUACUCUUGAUGAUUUAAAGGGAAUUAGUCCCACUCUAUGUCAGCAUAAAAUUAAUAUGGAACUUCAUGCUAAACCAUUUGUUGAUCAUCAACGUCGGUUAAAUCCGAAGAUGAAAGAAGUGGUGAGAACGGAAAUAUUAAAACUUCUAGAAGCAGGUAUAAUCUACCCUAUAGCUGAUAGUAAAUGGGUAAGUCCUGUUCAUUGUGUCCCUAAGAAGGGAGGUAUUGUUGUUCCUAAUGAUAAGAAUGAGCUUAUUCCACAAAGAAUUGUCAUGGGCUAUAGAAUGGUUAUUGAUUAUAGAAAAUUAAAUAAGGCCACUAGAAAAGAUCAUUACCCUCUUCCUUUUAUUGAUCAAAUGUUAGAAAGACUAUCUAAGCACACACAUUUUUGCUUCCUUGAUGGAUACUCUGGCUUUUCACAAAUACUUGUUUUACAAUCUGAUCAAGAAAAGACCACUUUUACUUGUCCUUUUGGAACAUUUUCUUAUAGACGUAUGCCUUUCGGUUUAUGUAAUGCACCUGCUACCUUUCAAAGAUGUAUGACUGCUAUAUUCUCUGACUUAUGUGAAAAGAUUGUUGAGGUUUUCAUGGAUGACUUUUUUGUUUAUGGGAAGUCCUUUGAUGAUUGUUUAAGCAAUCUUGAGCGAGUUUUGCAGAGAUGUGAACAAACAAAUCUUGUCUUGAACUGGGAGAAGUGCCACUUUAUGGUUAAUGAGGGCAUUGUAUUGGGUCAUAAAAUUUCUGAAAGAGGUAUUGAAGUGGCCCAAGGUAAGGUUGAUGCAAUUGAGAAAAUGCCAUGUCCUAAGGACAUCAAAGGUAUUCGUAGUUUCCUAGGUCAUGCUGGUUUCUAUAGGAGAUUUAUUAAAGACUUCUCUAAAAUUUCUAGGCCUCUUACUAGUCUUUUGCAAAAGGAUGUUCCUUUUGUUUUUGAUGAUGAUUGUUUAGAAGCCUUUGAAACACUCAAGAAAGCCUUAAUUUCUACACCUAUUGUUCAACCACCUGAUUGGAACUUGCCUUCUGAAAUUAUGUGUGAUGCUAGUGAUUAUGUUGUUGGUGCUGUUCUAGGACAAAGAGUUGAUAAGAAAUUGAAUGUUAUUCAUUAUUCUAGUAAAACUCUAGAUAGUGCUCAAAGAAAUUAUGCUACUACUGAAAAGAAUUUUUAGCAGUGGUGUUAGCUUGUGAUAAAUUUACACCUUAUAUUGUUGAUUCCAAAGUAAAUGUUCACACAGACCAUGCUGCUAUUAAAUAUCUUAUGGAAAAGAAAUAUACUAAACCUAGACUUAUUCGUUGGGUUCUCUUGUUACAAGAAUUUGAUUUACAUAUCAUUGAUAGAAAAGGAGCUGAGAACCCAGUAGCAGAUAACUUGUCUAGGCUUGAAAAUUUGCUUGAUGACCCACUACCUAUUGAUGAUAGUUUUCCGGAUGAGCAGUUGGCUGCAAUAAAUGUUGCUAUUGUACUCCUUGGUAUGCUAAUUAUGCUAAUUACAUUGCUGCUAAAUAUUUACCUCCUAGCUUUACAUACCAACAAAAGAAAAAAAUUCUUCUAUGAUUUAAGACAUUACUUUUGGGAUGGCCCACGUCUUUAUAAAGAAGGAGUAGAUGGUAUUAUUAGACGUUGUGUACCUGAGCAUGAACAGGGACAAAUCCUACGGAAAUGUCACUCCGAAGCUUAUGGAGGGCAUCACGCUGGAGAUUGAACUGCUCACAAGGUAUUGCGAUCUGGAUUUUAUUGGCCUACUCUCUUCAAGGAUGCCCGUAAGUUUGUCUCAUCUUGUGAUGAAUGCCAAAGAAUAGGUGAUAUUGGUAAGCGUCAAGAAAUGCCUAUGAAUUAUUCACUUGCUGUUGGACCAUUUGAUGUUUGGGGAUUUGAUUACAUGGGACCUUUUCCUUCCUCUAAUGGGUAUACACAUAUUUUGUUUACUGUUGAUUAUGUUACUAAAUGGGUAGAAGCUAUUCCAACUAGUAGUGCUGAUCACAACACCUCUAUUAAAAUGCUUAAGGAAGUUAUUUUCCCAAGGUUUGGAGUCCCUAGAUUUAAUGACUGACGGUGGUUCACACUUUAUUCAUGGUGCUUUUCGUAAAAUGCUUGCCAAGUAUGAUGUUAACCAUAGAAUUGCAUCACCUUAUCAUCCUCAGUCUAGUGAUCAGGUUGAACUUAGUAAUAGGGAAAUAAAAUUAAUUCUGCAAAAGACUGUCAAUAGGUCGAGGAAGAAUUGGUCUAAGAAAUUAGAUGAUGCACUUUGGGCUUAUAGAACAGCAUAUAAAAAUCCUAUGGGUAUGUCUCCUUAUAAAAUGGUUUGUGGAAAAGCUUGUCAUUUGCCUCUUGAGUUAGAACAUAAAGCAUACUGGGCAAUUAAAGAACUCAACUAUGAUUUCAAACUUGCCGGUGAAAAGAGGUUAUUUGAUAUUAGCUCUUUACAUGAAUGGAGAACCCAGGCUUAUGAAAAUGCAAAAUUAUUCAAAGAGAAAGUUAGAAGAUGGCAUGACAAAAGAAUCCAAAAGCGUGAGUUCAAAGUCGGAGAAUAUGUUCUUUUGUACAACUCUCGUUUUAGAUUUUUUGCAAGAAAGCUCCUCUCGAAAUGGGAAGGCCCAUAUGUCAUCGAGGAGGUUUACCAGUCUGGAGCCAUCAAAAUAAAUAAUUUCAAAGGCACUAACCCGAAGGUUGUCAACGGACAACGAAUAAAGCAUAUAUCUCAGGUACGCCUAUCAAUGUUGAAAGUAAUAUUAUCCAAACUUUGACACCGGAGGAACACAUAAAAGAGUCCUUCCAGAACACCCCAGAAUCGUCAAAAUAAGGAGGUACGUAAUACGGUAAGUAUCUGAAAAAUCCACAAAAAUAUUUUUUUUAUUUUGGAAUACUUUAGAAUUUUGGAAAUAAAGAAAAUCCCAGGAAACGUCCCCUGGUGGGCAUAAGACACCAGGGCGCGCCAGGCAUGCCUGGUGCGCCCAGGUGGGUUGUGCCCACCUGGGGCACCCACCGGAUUCUGUUUUUCUUCUAUUUAUUUGUCCUGCAAGAUAAAAAAAUUGUAUAUACUUCCCGAACCAGCUAACCUCCGUAUCGCGAAGAAAUCCUCUGUUCUCUUUUCUUGCUGUUCCUGGUCAGAUUUGUCAAGCAAGGAAGCUACCGUAAAUCCAUCCCCGGUGACAACAUGAGCACUGUUUGCCGAGGAGGAGGAAGAAGCUUCUUCACCACCAAGGGAGAACUGAGUAUCGGGUAUGGGCACUCCCCUUGGCUUCCGCCAAGCUUGGGGGAGGUGCCCCGGUAUCGUAUCAUCCCACUAUCUUUUUGCUUUUACGUAUCUUAGUUCAAUCUUUUUGCUUUAGAUGAAAUAAAGUUAGUUCGAUCCUUUCUUAUUUGAGAGUCUGCUUAGUGAUCUAUCCUCGUAAUCGUGUGCAAGUUAUAUAAUAAAGUUAGUCUGAGUUUUGCUUCCUUUACUUUCAUGUUGCGAAUAAAGAAAAGAGAUAAGAAAGGAAGAAAAAUAAAUAAAUAAAAGAAAGGAAAUAAAUCAAUAAGAUCAUAUACUAAUCCUAUGGUAGGUAAUAGCACCACAUAAGGAAAAGUUUAAGUAGGAAAUUUUGUUAGAGAUUGACAAACAGAGAUUAGUAAAUGAUGCAACUCAUGAAAGAAUUAAUAAGGGAAGAGAAUAUUCACAUAUAAAUAUACUAUCCUAGAAAUCUUUUGUGAUUGUGAGCCCUCAUCAAAAUAUUAUAUGCCAAAAUUGUUGACGUUGGAGAAGGAAGACAACUUAAUGAUUUAUGUAUAUUUAUAUUCACAUAGAAGUCAUAUUGUCAUAGAUCCUUUAACAUGUGAUGCUUGCCCCUAUCUUUGCUAGCCAAAAAUUCCACACCAAGUAGAGAUACUACUUGUGCAUCCAAAACCCUUAAACCCAAAUCUUUUUCAAGUGUCCACCAUACCUACCUAUGGAUCGAGCAAGAUCCCUCAAGUAAGUUGUCAUCGGUGCAAAAAGGCAAUAAAAUUGCUUCUAAAUAUGUGAGAUCAUUUAGUGUAAGAAAAAAUUGAGCGUUGUACGAACUUGGAUGACAAAGAAUAAAAGCGACAGACUACAUGAUAAAGGUUGUCAUCUUAAGGGGCAAUACAACGUGACGUUCUCUUGCACUAAGGGAUUGAGCAUGCAAACAAAUAAGCGCAUGGCAACCUCUGCUUCCCUCUGCGAAGGGCCUAUCUUUUACUUUUAUGUAUUUACUUUUAUGCAAAGAGUCAAAGUUUUCCUUCUAUUCCUUUUUAUUUUCUCUUUUGGCAAGCAUCAUGUGGUGAGGAAAGAUCUAGGCACAUAUGUCCAGUUGAAUAUAGAUAGCAUGAGUUAUUAUUGUUGACAUCACCCUUGAGGUGAGUAUGUUGGGAGGUGAAACUAUGAGCCCCUAUCUUUCUAGGUGUCCGGUUGAGAUGUUUUGCUCAUGGGUACGAGGUGAGUGUUAGCAAUCAUAGAAUAGUAUAUGAUGGUUGAGUAUGUGGACUUGCUAGAAGGCUCCGACACGUGUCUCUUGCUGAAAAGAUGAUGAAUUGUAGUUGCAAAGUUGACUGAGAGCAAAGUUUGUUGGUUUUUAAUAGAGUUUUUGCUUUAUACUUCGAUUGCGUGAUGAACUGUUACUUAUUGAUGGGAAGUAUAUGAUGCAAGUUCGAUGAUAAAAGUCCUAUGUUCAAUUUUGUUGCUAUUAUAAUAAUCAACAUGAUGCUUCCAUGUCCGUAUUUUUGUUUUUAUCGACACCUCUCUCUCAAAGCAUGUGGACAUAUUUUUUGAUUUCGUUUUUCACUUGAGGACAAGCAAGGUCUAAGCUUGGGGGAGUUGAUACGUCCAUUUUGCAUCAUGUUUUCAUACUUUUAUUUAUAAUGUUUUUAUCCAUAAUAAUGCUUUUUGGAGUAAUUCUAAUGCCUUUUCUCUCAUAAUUUGCAAGGUACACACUAAGAGGGAGAAUUCUGGCAGCUGGAAAUCUGGACCUGAAAAAGCUACGUCAGGCUAACUAUUCUACACAACUCGAAACAAGCUGAGCCUUCAUGGAGAAUUUUUAUGGAAUAUUUAAGGAAUAUUGGAGCAAAUAACUACCAGAGGGGGCCCACCAGGUGGGCACAACCCACCUGGGCGCGCCAGGGAGCCCAGGCGCACCCUGGUGGGUUGUGCCCUCCUCGGCCCACCUCCGGUGCCCAUCUUCUGGUAUAUAAGUCAUUUUGACCUAGAAAAAAAUAAGAGGAGGACAUUCGGGACGAAGCGCCGUCGUCUCGAGGCGGAACUUGGGCAGGAGAACUUUUGCCCUCCGGCGGGGCGAUUCCGACGGGGGAACUUCCCUCCCGGAGGGGGAAAUCAUCGUCGUCAUCAUCACCAACAACUCUCCCAUCUUGGGGAGGGCCAUCUUCAUCAACAUCUUCACAGCACCAACUCCUCUCAAACUCUAGUUCAUCUCUUGUGUUCAAUCUUUGUAUCAAAACUAUAGAUUGGUGCCCGUGGGUGACUAGUAGUGUUGAUUACAUCUUGUAGUUGAUUACUAUAUGGUUUAUUUAGUGGAAGAUUAUAUGUUCAGAUCCAUUAUGCUAUUCAAUACCCCUCUGAUCUUGAGCAUGUCUAUCAUUUGCGAGUAGUUACUUUCAUUCUUGAGGUCACGGGAGAAAUCAUGUUGCAAGUAAUCAUGUGAAUUUGAUAUGUGUUCGAUAUUUUGAUAGUAUGUAUGUUGUUAUUCCCUUAGUGGUGUCAUGUGAACGUCGACUACAUUACACUUCACCAUAUUUGGGCCUAAGGGAAUGCAUUGUGGAGUAGUAAUUAGAUGGUGGGUUGCGAGAGUGACACAAACUUAAACCCCAGUUUAUGCACUAUUCCGUAAGGGACCGAUUGGAUCCUAGAGUUUAAUGCUAUGGUUAGAAUUUAUUCUUAAUACUUUUCCUGUAGUUGCGGAUGCUUGCGGGAGGGUUAAUCAUAAGUAGGAGGUUUGUUCAAGUAAGAACAUCACCUAAGCACCAGUCCACCCACAUAUCAAAUUAUCAAAGUAGCAAACACAAAUCAAACCAACAUGACGAAAGUAACUAGAUGAAAUUCCCGUGUACCCUCAAGAACACUUUGCUUACCAUAAGAAACCAUUUUGGCAUGUCCUUUGCCUCAAAAGGAUUGGGCUACCUUGCUGUACUUUCGUUACUACUAUUGUUACUUGCUCGUUACAAAUUAUCUUGCUAUCAAACUACUCGCUACUUACAGUUUCAGCACUUGCAGACAUUACCUUACUAAAACUAUUUGUCAUUUCCUUCUGCUCCUUGUUGGGUUCGACACUCUUACUUAUUGAAAAGAGCUACAAUUGACCCCCUAUACUUGUGGGUCAUCAAUCACACUAUCAAAGUGUUUAUUCCAAUUUCGAGAGGCUUGCACCAGUCCAUAAAUGGAUCGCUGGAGCUUGCACACUUUGUCAGCACCCUUUGGAUCGACAAAACCUUCUGGUUGCAUCAUAUACAACUCUUCUUCCAGAAAUCCAUUCAGGAAUGCAGUUUUGACAUCCAUCUGCCAAAUUUCAUAAUCAUAAAAUGCAACAAUUGCUAACAUGAUUCGAACAGACUUAAGCAUCUCUAUGGGUGAGAAAGUCUCAUCGUAGUCAACUCCUUGAACUUGUCGAAAACCUUUCGCAACAAGUCGAGUUUUGUAUACAGUGACAUUACCAUCAACGUCAGUCUUCUUCUUGAAGAUCCAUUAUUUUCUAUGGCUUGCCGAUCACCGGCAAAUCCACCAAAGUCCACACUUUGUUCUCAUACAUGGAUCCCAUCUUAGAUUUCAUGGUCUCAAGCCAUUUCGCGGAAUCUGGGCUCAUCAUCGCUUCCUCAUAGUUCGUAGGUUCAUCAUGGUCUAGUAACAUGACUUCCAGAAUAGAAUUACCGUACCACUCUGGUGCGGACCGUAGUUGACCUACGAGGUUCGGUAGUAACUUGAUCUGAAGUUUCAUGAUCAUCAUCAUUAGCUUCUUCACUAAUUUGUGUAGGAAUCACCGGAACUGAUUUCUGUGAUGAACUACUUUCCAAUUCGGGAGAAGGUACAAUUACCUCAUCAAGUUCUACUUUCCUCCCACUCACUUCUUUCGAGAGAAACUCCUUCUCUAGAAAGGAUCCAUUCUUAGCAACGAAUAUCUUGCCUUCGGAUCUGUGAUAGAAGGUGUACCCAAUAGUCUCCUUUGGGUAUCCUAUGAAGACACAUUUCUCCGAUUUGGGUUCGAGCUUAUCAGGUUGAAGCUUUUUCACAUAAGCAUCACAGUCCAAACUUUAAGAAACGACAGCUUAGGUUUCUUGCCAAACCACAGUUCAUACGGUGUCGUCUCAACGGAUUUAGAUGGUGCCCUAAUUAACGUGAAUGUAGCUGUCUCUAAUGCAUGACCCCCAAAACGAUAGCGGUAAUCAGUAAGAGACAUCAUAGAUUGCACCAUAUCUAAUAAAGUAUGGUUACGACGUUCGGACACACCAUUACGCUGUGGUGUUCCAGGUGGCGUGAGCUGUGAAACUAUUUCACAUUGUUUUAAUGAAGGCCAAACUCGUACCUCAAAUAUUCGCCUCUGCGAUCAGAUCGUAGAAACUUUACUUUCUUGUUACGAUGAUUCUCCACUUCACUCUGAAAUUCUUUGAACUUUUCAAAUGUUUCAGACUUGUGUUUCAUCAAGCAGAUAUACCCAUAUCUUCUCAAAUCAUCUGUGAAGGACAGAAAAUAAUGAUACCCGCACCACGAGCAUCAACACUCAUUGGACCGCAUACAUCAGUAUGUAUUAUUUCCAAUAAGUCAGUAGCUCGUUCCAUUAUUCUGGAGAACAGAGUUUUAGUCAUCUUGCCUAUAAGGCACGUUUCGCGAGUAUCAAAUGAUUCAUAAUCAAGUGAUUCCAAAAGUCCAUCUUUAUGGAGUUUCUUCAUGCGCUUUACACCGAUAUGACCCAAAUGAUAGUGCCACAAAUAAGUUGCACUAUCAUUAUCAACUUUGCAUCUUUUGGCAUCAAUAUUAUGAAUAUGUGUAUCACUACGAUCGAGAUUCAAUAAACCAUCAACAUUGGGUGUAUGACCAUAGAAGGUUUUAUUCAUGUAAACAUAAUAACAAUUAUUCUCUGUCUUAGAUGAAUAACCGUAUUGCAAUAAACAUGAUCUAAUCAUAUUCAUGCUCAACGCAAACACCAAAUAACAUUUAUUUAGGUUCAACACUAAUCCCGAAAGUAUAGGGAGUGUGCGAUGAUGAUCAUAUCAAUCUUGGAACCACUUCCAACAUACAUCGUCACUUCAUCCUUAACUAGUCUCUAUUUAUUCUGUAACUCCUGUUUCAAGUUACUAAUCUUAGCAACCGAACAAGUAUCAAAUACCCAGGGGCUACUAUGAACACUAGCAAGGUACACAUCAAUAAGCUAUAUAUCAAAUAUACCGUUGUUCACUUUGCCAUCCCUCUUUUCCACCAAAUAUUUGGGGUAGUUCCGCUUCUAGUGACCAUUUCCUUUGCGGUAGAAGCACUCAGUUUCAGGCUUAGGUCUAGCUUUGGGCUUCUUCACGGGAGAUACAACUUGCUUGCCAUUCUAUUUGAAGUUCCCUUUCUUUCGAUUUGCCCUUUUCUUGAAACUACUGGUCUUGUCAAUCAUCAACACUUGAUGCUUUUUCUUGAUUUCUACCUUCAUCGAUUUCAGCAUCAUGAAGAGCUUGGGAAUCGUUUUAGUCAUCCCUUGCAUACUAUAGUUCAUCACGAAGUUCCAGUAACUUGGUGAUGGUGAAUAGAGAACUUUGUCAAUCACUAUCUUAUCUAGAAGAUUAGCUCCCACUUGAUUCAAGCGAUUGUAGUACCCAGACAUUCUGAGUACAUGCUCACCAGCUGAGCAAUUCUCCUCCAUCUUUUAGGCGAAGUACUUGUCAGACGUCUCAUACCUCUCGACAUGGGCAUGAGUAUGAAAUACCAAUUUCAUCUCUUGGAACAUCUCAUAUGCUCUGUGGCGUUCAAAACAUUUUUUGAAGUCCCGGUUCUAAGCCGUAAAGCAUGGUGCACUAAACUAUCAAGUAGUCAUCAUAUUGAGCUAGCCAAACGUUCAUAACGUCUGCGUUUGCUCCUGCAAAAGGUUUGUCACCUAGCGGUGCAUCAAGGACAUAAUUCUUCUCUGCAGCAAUGAUGUUGGGGAUAUAACUACUAGGUAUGACCCGCCCAGGAGGGGCCGGGUUAUACUUAUGGCGAUUCAUCAUGUGAAGGCCAAGACGAUACUUGAAGAUGGCGGUUCAGUUAAGGGCCCAAGGCCCAAAGGCGGCUUAAGGCCCGUAGUGAUAAACCGCCAUAUAUGUAUGACUUGUAUUGUAAGGCAGGAAUAGAUAGAGACCGAGCCGGACACUGUUUAUGAGCCGGCCGGGACUCUGCGAGCCGCUAGGCGUCGACCUCUGUAUAUAAAGGGACGACUCGGCGGCGGUUCAGGACAAGUAACAUCAGAUCGAAAGCUAGGUCAAGCGAAUUCGCUCCCUGGUAAUCGAAACAUAAGCAAUUCCACCUCAAACUGGAUUAAGACAUUACCUUCACCGCAAGGGGCCAAACCAGUAUAAACUCCCGUGUCAUUUGUCCCGUUUUAACCCCUUUAAGCUUCCUAGUUGCGAUGGCUCCACGACUAAGUCCUUUUGCUAGGACAUCUUCCGUGACGUUUCCACGAUAGUUGGCACCCACUGUGGGGCCGGCGCACGGUGGAUUUGGGUUCUUAAAGGGCAACUUCGAAGGGCUCAAGGGAUACGCUGUGGGCCGGAUGACCAAGAGUCAUCGUGGCAAGCUCUACAUCGACGACGCGGGCUGGGGCUCCGAGACCGGCUCAAUUGAGUACGAGUACCGGGUCCCCUUCGGCGGAAUCCACGUAUUCAUCGGCAAGAUCGGCGAGUCGGGCCCUGAGCCGGACAUCUGCACCAACAUCAUCGAGAUGGCUCAGUGUGCGAGACCCGCCCGAGCUCAGCCCGCCGUGAAGCGUGCCUUCGUGGGAUGCAUCCAUGGAGGGGAAUUUUCUGAAGGAUCUAUGUCUGGCGGUGAGACGGCCAUCUACUCUGAUGGUGAGUCGUCCACGGGUGAGACGGAUUCGUUGUAUCAACUGCAAGAUGGCGGGCUAGGGGGCUGUUCCGAUGGCAACAGUAUUCCGAACCCCUUUGAGCCGCCGAACAGAGUCGGGAUCUUCAUGGCUGGCACGCAACCCAGGCAGAACUCUACGACUGCGGCGGCAAUGACUUCCGAGUCAACAGCGGUGAUGGCAGCCGGGGCAGGAGGCCCUGCGCGCCCACCGGCUCAGGUCCUGAUGGCUUUAAUGGAUAAGAUGACAGCUCUGUUAACCGCCGUGGUCAGUCCGGCGGAUCAAGCUCAACAUGAUGCGGAAGUGGCACAACUACGUGAGGAGGUAGCACAAGCCAAGGAGAACCUGGUGGCAGAGGACGUCAAGAUGGCUGCAGAGCAGGCGGCUUUGCAUGCCCGGGCCCAACAGAUUCAAUCAGAGGCUUUUCAGCUUACGAUGGAUCAGAACGCAUCAAAUGAGAUCAUGAGGAGAAGGCACCAGAAGGCUCAGUCCCGUCUGCCUACGGUUUAUGAGCCUAGAAACCUCUUCCGCACACCUGGUGCAGGGCCCGGUAACCCGCCAGAGGUAAACCGGGAUGCAGCGCCCGGAGCUGGGACGCCGGUUCAGCCGCGUGUGAUGGAACCCCCUUGUCUGAAUGCUGCUCCACCUCACCAUGUACCGACACCACCGGGUCAUUAUACUAACCCUUUGUAGAACAUGAUCGCUGCGGCGGCACGAUUGGCGGCUCUCCCGAUGGAUGGCGACUCUCUGACGGCGGUUGAAACACGAAGGGUCAGAGAACUUCUUCAGACAGCUCUGGCACAGCAGGAGGCAUAUUCUUAUAGUAGAGAUGGGAUUCAUUCCACCCCUCGCCCAAGCCGGAGCUAUAGCAGGCAUAUGGACUCACCAGCCGUUUCAAGCAACGCCCGACACCGUGACCAGCCGCGCGGGUAUGACCCGGCACGUGAUGUAGUUCCUAAUAUGGUUGAUCAGGACAGAUUGCGUCAGGAAGCUGAGCGGGCGGCUCGGCAGACGGCUUAUCAGCCCCUUCUGGUUUAUCCGACGACUUCAAUUGAGGCAGGUGUGACCUCUAGGACUGUGGGCAUACCUUGUUUGGUACCGGCUCUGCGUAAUGAGCGUUUGCCCAAGGAUUUCAAGUGACCUCGAAAGUUGCCUAAUUACACGGCCGACUUACAACCUGGGGCAUGGAUCGAAAGCUACGAGAUGGCCAUGGAGCUACUGGAGGUCAGUGACGCUGCAAUGGCCAAGAACUUCACCAUGAUGUUGGAUGGAACGGCCCAUACUUGGUUGAAGGGGCUGCCACCUAACUCCAUCGGUUCAUGGGCAGAGUUAAAGGCCCAGUUUAUUCAGAACUUUAAAGAUACAUGCAAGCAGCCCAUGUCGAUUGUGGACUUGACUAAUUGCAAGCAAGAGGAGGGUGAAUCCACGACCCAUUGGGUGCGCCGGGUCAAGGCCAUAAUACAUUCAUCUGAUGGGCCGGGCGGCGGCGGCGGUUUUCAUGGCCCAGGUUAUGGAGGUGGCGGUUCUAAUUCCAACUUUCAAGGCCCUUAAGGUAAUCAGGGUGGUUAUAAUCAGCAAUCUGGCCAGGGAGGUCAGCAGCAGCAGCAAUCUGGAUAUCAGAGUAAUCCGAAGCAGCUGAAUAGUGGAUAGUAUCAUGUGUUUACCACCAGUUUGUGCAAACGGGACCAGAAGCUUCAUAAGAGGGCUGUGAACGCUGUUGAGCCGGCAGUUCCUCGUUACUUGCGGUGGUCUGAGCAGCCUAUUCUAUGGAGUAGAGAGGAUCACCCUCCCCGGGUUGACAAUCCGGGUCACUUAGCCUUGGUGGUGGCACCUCAAGUUGGUGGAUAUAAAUUCACUAAAGUGCUCAUGGAUGGAGGCAGUAGCAUCAACAUCCUUUAUUAUGAGACUUUCCGUCGCAUGGGGUUGACUGAUAAAAAUCUUAAGACGUCCAACACUGUUUUCCAUGGAGUGGUGCCUGGUAAGUCAGCGUACCCAGUGGGUAAGAUUGAGCUGGAAGUGGCCUUUGGAGAUGAGCAUGAUUCCAGGGCUGAGAAGUUAACUUUUGAAGUGGUCAAAAUUAAAAGCCCGUAUCACGCUCUGUUUGGACGGCUGGCUUAUGCAAAGUUCAUGGCACGGCCGUGUUAUGUUUAUCUGCAGCUCAAGAUGCAGGGUCAUAAGGGGACCAUCACAGUGCAUGGGAGUCGGAAGAUAGCCUUGGAAUGUGAGGAAGGCGAUGCUGCCUACGUUGAGUCUAUCUGUGCAACGGAGGAGUUGAAAUUUUACAAAGACAAUGUUGACCCAGCGGACAUGGCGUCUUUGAAAAACCCAACCACAGAGCACGAGCCGAUGAUGAAGUUUAAAUCAGCCAAUGACACCAAGCUGGUUGAUUUUGUUCCUGGCGACUCAUCUAAGCAGUUCAGUAUCAGUGUUAACCUGGAUCCUGAAUAGGAAAGCGCGCUCAUCGAGUUCAUCCGUGAGAACCGGGACAUCUUUGCAUGGAAACCUUCUGACAUGCCGGGUGUACCAAGAGAACUCGCUGAGCACACUCUCAAUAUUUGAUCCAAAAUUUAAGCCGGUCAAGCAGUUUCUUCGGCGGUUCAAUGAGGAGAGGCGUAAUGCCAUUGGUGAGGAAGUGGCCCGGCUCUUGGCGGUCGGGUUCAUUGUUGAAUUUUUCAUCCUGAGUGGUUGCCUAACCCGGUGCUAGUGCUUAAGAAGAAUGGCACCUGGCGUAUGUGUGUGGAUUACACAGACUUAAACAAGGCUUGUCCAGCUCAUCCUUUUGCUCUCCCUCGUAUUGAUCAAAUCAUUGAUGCUACGGCGGGUUGUGAGCGUUUGAGCUUUUUGGAUGCUUAUUCUGGUUAUCAUCAGAUCAAGAUGGCAGUUAAGGACCAGGAGAAGAUGGCUUUUAUUACUCCUUUUGGAGCCUUCUACUAUGUGUCUAUGCCUUUUGGGCUCAAGAGUGCCCAGGCGACUUAUCAGCGAUGUGUGCAGAACUGUCUUCACAAUCAGACUGGGCGCAAUAUUCAUGCUUAUGUGGAUGACAUUGUGGUGAAGUCUAGAGAAAAGGAGACCUUGAUAGAUGAUUUGAAGGAAACCUUUGAUAAUCUCUGGAUCUACAAGAUGAUGCUUAACCCGGCCAAGUGCGUUUUUGGGGUGCCAGCAGGCAAGCUUUUGGGUUUUCUGGUUUCUAACAGAGGCAUUGAGGCUAACCCGGAGAAGAUCAAGGCCAUCACCUCCUUGGCUAAGCCGGCGUGUAUCAAUGAUGUUCAGCGUUUGGCGGGUCAUAUUGCUGCCUUAAGCCGAUUCAUAAGCCGGUUAGGUGAGAAAGCCAUACCGUUGUAUCAGAUGAUGAAGAAAACAGAUGACUUUGUCUGGAGUGAUGCUGCUAACAAUGCAUUUGAAGAUUUGAAGAGGCAGCUAGCUGAGCCGCCGGUUCUUGCUGCUCCCAUUAAUAAGGAGCCAUUAUUGUUAUAUGUGGCUGCUAACACACGUGCUGUCAGUGUGGCCAUUGUGGUGGAGCGCAAGGACGCUGGCAAAGAAUAUCCGGUUUAACGGCUGGUUUACUAUAUCAGUGAGGUGCUUAUUGAGUCCAAGCAGAGAUAUCCACAUUGGUAGAAGCUUGUUUAUGGGGUGUUCAUGGCCAGCCGGAAGCUUAAACAAUAUUUUCUGGGUCAUCCCAUCACUGUGGUCAGUUCUGCUCCUUUAGGAGAUAUCAUUCAAAAUAGGGAAGCCACAGGACGAGUCGCCAAGUGGGCCAUUAAGCUUGGGCCUCAUGGUUUAAAGUAUGUGCCACGCACUGCUAUCAAGUCUCAAGCACUAGUGGAUUUCAUCAACGAUUGGACAGAGCUGCAGAUGCCUGAAGAGAAGCCGGAAAACACAUAUUGGACUAUUCACUUUGAUGGGUCCAGGCAGUUGGAGGGCUCGGGGGCUGGAGUUGUUUUAGCUUCCCCUCGAGGUGACAAAUUUGUUAUGUGCUAAGGUUGAUGUUUCCUUGUACUAACAAUGCAGCUGAGUAUGAGGCCUUGCUCCAUGGUCUUCGGAUGGCUAAAGACAUGAGCUUAAGCCGGGUAAGGUGUUUUGGCGACUCAGAUUUGGUGGCUCAACAAGUUUCAGGCAAAUGGGAUUCCAAGGAUCCCCUCAUGGCGGCUUAUCGCCGUGAAGUUGAUGAUGUUGCUGGACACUUCAAGGGUUUAUCAAGUGGAGCACAUUGAUCGCAGAAAGAAUGAGGCAGUUGAUGCUUUAAGCCGGCUGGGAUCUCAGCGUAAGCUGGUGCCACCAAACACUUUCUUGGAUAUUCUGCAUAAUCCUUCUGUCAAGUUACCUACAGAGGAAGACUUGGUUGUUCCUGACCCGGAAGCGCAGUUGGUGGCGGUUCUUCACGUCAUCCUAGAUUGGACAGUGCCACACUUGGCUUAUAUGACCCGGGGCGAGUUGCCUGAGGAUGAAACCUUGGCUAGGCAGAUAAUCCGGCGGUCUAAGUCAAUGACAAUUGCCAAUGGCGAGUUGCAUCAUCGCAGUGUCACUGGGGCGUUUCAGCGUUGUGUCUCUCCUGAGGAAGGUCAAGAGAUUCUUCGUGAGAUUCAUGAAGGAGAUUGUGGCCAUCAUGCUGGUUCAAAGUCCCUUGUGGCCAAAGCUUUUCGUCAUGGGUUUUAUUGGCUGACGGCUCACGCUGAUGCAGAGGAUCUGGUCAGUAAAUGUGAUGGUUGUCAGAAAUUCUCACGGCAAGCUCACGUGCCGGCUCAGGAAUUGAGGAUGAUUCCAAUUACUUGGCCGUUUGCAGUAUGGGGGCUUGACAUGGUUGGGCCUUUUAAAAGGUCCAAGGAUAAAAAGACCCACCUCUAGGUGGCGGCUGACAAAUUCACAAAGUGGGUUGAAGCAGAGCCGGUCAGUAAGUGUGACGCGGCAACGGCGGUUCAAUUCAUGAAAAAGGUGAUUUUCCGUUUUGGCUUUCCCACAGUAUCAUAACUGAUAAUGGCACUAACUUGUCCAAGGGUGCCAUGGAGGAGUUUUGUCAACGUGAGCAUAUUCGGCUUGACGUUUCAUCAGUAGCUCACCCCCAUUCCAAUGGUCAAGCCGAAAGGGCCAAUCAGGAAAUUUUGAAAGGCAUCAAGCCCCGGCUUCUGGUUCCCUUGCAAUGGAUGCCGGGUUGUUGGGUGGAGGAGUUACCAUCAGUGUUAUGGAGUAUCAAUACUACCCCCAACAGAUCUAUGGGUUACACCCCUUUCUUCAUGGUUUAUGGAGCAGAGGCGGUUCUUCCUAGUGACAUCCGUCAUGACUCGCUCCGCGUGGCAGCUUACGUUGAAGCUGAUAAUGAACAAGCGCGUCAGGAUUCACUUGACCUGUUAGAUGAAAAGCGUGACUUGGCAGCAGCCCGCUCGACGAUUUACCAACAUGACCUACGUCGUUAUCACAGCCGCCGGGUUAAGUCCAGAACCUUUCAAGAAGGUGAUUUGGUGCUCCGGCUCAUCCAGGAUCAAACUGAUGCACACAAGUUAUCCCCACCUUGGGAAGGGCCCUUUGUGGUUAGCAAGAACAUGAACAACGGGUCAUACUACCUUAUCGAUGUUCGAGAGCAUAAAGACUCACGUAAGUCGGAGGAGGAGACCCGCCGGCCGUGGAAUAUUGCUCAUCUUCGGCCUUACUACACUUGAGCCACCAGCUCUUAUGAUGUACAUAUUUUUGACGAUGUAUAUAUUAUGAUAAGUAAUAAAGCAGGACCUCUGUCCUUUUUAUCCUCAAUGAUCAUGUGUCUUCAUCAUCAUAAAUCCAAAGACCAAUUGGGGGCUGAUCGUAUUCGAAUCUAGCUUAACCCCUUUUGGUCCGACUUUGAUCGUAUUCGAAUCAGAGUCGUUAAAAAAUCUCAAGGUCAUUUGGGGGCUUCCUGUUCAAACAUAGGUCAUAUUCGAACCAAAGAGAACAUAGCUGUCGGUACCCUCUUGAUCGGCGCAAUGCCAAACCCACUAGGGGGCUUCUUGAUCGUAUUCGAAUCAUAGCUUAACCCCUUUUGGGUCCGACUUUGAUCGUAUUCGAAUUAGAGUCGUUGAAAAAGUUUCAAGGUCAUUUGGGGGCUUCCUGUUCAAACAUAGGUCGUAUUUGAACCAAAGAGAACAUAGCUGUCGGUACCCUCUUGAUCGGCGCAAUGCAAAAAUCACUAGGGGGCUUCCUAAUCGUAUUCGAAUCAUAGCUUAACCCUUUUUGGGUCCGACUUUGAUCGUAUUCGAAUCAGAGUCGUUGAAAAAGUCUCAAGGUCAUUUGGGGGCUUCCUGUUCGAACAUAGGUCGUAUUCGAACCAAAGAGAACAUAGCUAUCGGUACCCUCUUGAUCGGCGCAAUGCCAAAACCACUAGGGGGCUUCCUGAUCGUAUUCGAAUCCUAGCUUAACCCCUUUUGGUACGGCUUACUGAUCAUAUUCGAAUCAGAAGCCUUGCUUUUUCUCUCUGUUUGGCUUAAGUUUUUUGAAAAACAAUCUUUGGAUUUGUCUUGAGACUUUUUUGUUCAUGAGGCAUAUAUAUAUGUGGUUUCUAUUUAACCCGGUUCUACGUCUUGAGCUUGCGUUGGUUUUCCUUGAAGAGGAAAGGGUGAUGCAGCAAAGUAGCGUAAGUAUUUCCCUCGGUUUUUGAGAACCAAGGUAUCAAUCCAGUAGGAGGCUCCUCAAAAGUCCCACGCACCUACACAAACAAACAAGAACCUCGCAACCAACGCAAUAAAGGGGUUGUCAAUCCCUUCACGGCCACUUGUGAAAGUGAGAUCUGAUAGAGAUAAUAUGAUAAGAUUAUUAUUUUUGGUAUUUUUAUGAUAUAGAUUGGAAAAGUAAAUAUGCAAAUAAAAGUAGAUGAUAAACUUAUAUGAUAAAAGAUAGACCCGGGGGGCCAUAGGUUUCACUAGUGGCUUCUCUCAAGAUAGCAUAAGUAUUAUGGUGGGUGAACAAAUUACUGUCGAGGAAUUGAUAGAAAAGCGCAUAGUUAUGAGAUUAUCUAGGCAUGAUCAUGUAUAUAGGCAUCACGUCCGUGACAAGUAGACCGACUCCUGCCUGCAUCUACUACUAUUACUCCACACAUCGACCGACUCCUGCCGUUCAUAAAGAACAGAGUAACGCAUUAAGAAAGAUGACAUGAUGUAGAGGGAUAAACUCAUGCAAUAUGAUAUAAACCCCAUCUUUUUAUCCUCGAUGGCAACAAUACAAUACGUGCCUUGCUGCGCCUGCUGUCACUGGGAAAGGACACCGCAAGAUUGAACCCAAAACUAAGCACUUCUCCCAUUGCAAGAAAGAUCAAUCUAGUAGGCCGAACCAAACUGAUAAUUCGAAGAGACUUGCAAAGAUAACUUAAUCACACAUAAAAGAAUUCAGAGGAGAUUCAAAUAUUUCUCAUAGAUAAACUUGAUCAUAAACCCACAAUUCAUCGGAUCUCGACAAACACACCACAAAAAGAGUUACAUCGAAUAGAUCUCCAAGAAGAUCGAGGAGAACUUUGUAUUGAGAUUCAUAGAGAGAGAAGAUGCCAUCUAGCUAAUAACUAUGGACCCGAAGGUCUGUGGUAAACUACUCACAACUCAUCGAAAGGGCCUUGGAGAUGAUGUAGAGGCCCUCCGUGGUCGAUUCCCCCUCCGGCGGAGCGCCGGCGAAGGCUCCAAGAUGGGAUCUCGCGGAUACAGAAGGUUACGGCGGUGGAAAUAGUUUUUCAUGGUGCUCCUAGAUGUUUUCGGGGUACAUGGGUAUAUAUAGGAGGAAGAAGUAGGUUGGUGGACGCUCGAUUGUCCCACGAGGAUGGGGGCGCGCCCACCUGUAGGGGGCGCGUCGGGCACCCUCAUGGCCGCCUCCUCUGUUGCUUGACGUCCACUCCAAGUCCCCUGGAUCACGUUUGUUCCAAAAAGAUCACUCCCAAAGGUUUCAUUCCGUUUGGACUCCGUUUGAUAUUCCUUUUCUUCGAAACACUGAAAUAGGCAAAAAAAAUAGCAAUUCGGGCUGGGCCUCCGGUUAGUAGGUUAGUCCCAAACAUGAUAUAAAAGUGUAACGUAAAGCCCAUAAACAUCCAAAACGGGUAAUAUAAUAGCAUGGAACAAUAAAAAAUUAUAGAUACGUUGGAGACGUAUCACCCGACUUGGCUUUGGACGAUAAGUCGCCAGCAUAUGACAAUCAUCAAACAUUUGGAAGUUUUGGCUUCUAAAGAUUAGGUUAUCACCCUUACUGCAUAGGUCACAUAAACCGGCAGUGAAAAUUCAAUAUCACAAGUAUGAUAUCAUUAUUAUAGUUAUGUUUCAAAGAUAUGAUUCAUAACAGGCUUAUCUGUGACUCCUUUUUUACACAUCAGUGGUUAUAUGUGAGAUAUUAUGACCCGCCCUGCGGUAAACCUCCAAGGGUUCUUGUGAUCUAUUUUUGUGUGCAGGAUAUUUUAAGGACUUUUUUGUGCACAAGGAAAAUAGAUGAUAAGUAUGACAAGGGUGAAUAUAAAGGAGGGGGCUUAACAGUAUUGAGCAUCAAAAACGUGCAUGAUGGCAUGACAGAUCAGAGUCAUUUCUAUCCUGUUGCAUGACUCCCCGAGUCCAAAUGAUUAAACUGUUUUUUCAGAAGGCUGCUAAUAUGAGCCGCCCGGCAGAUCAAUUCUCUUGUUGGCCUGAUGCUUCCGGGUCAACCCACUCCGCGUCUUUGCCCUGUCCGGCGUCCUGGAAGGUUGAUGAUGACCAGUCAAUGCCAUUCAAAGCUUCAAACUCAGCUUCAUCAUCAAUUAGCCCGGCCGGGUCAACUUCAGGGGCAAAAGUAUGCUUAUGGAUUGGAGGAUCAGGCUUGUCACUUUACAACGUGGCGUCUGCUCCUCUGAUUGCCCGCGUCAUAAACCGGAUGGUACUUGGUGAGGUCUGUCUCAUCGGCAAUCAAGGUGGCCACAGGGCGUAUUUCCUUCACACAAGCGGCAAAGUCCUCCUGUUCAAAUGAAGUGCCAUCUUCCUUAUGGCUUGGAUACCCAAUGGCGAUGUCGGCCAGAUCUAAUUCCGGUAGCCAUGCUUUGGCCCGGCUUAAGGCAGCCACGGCUCCGGCUCUCGCAGAUGACCGCUUUAAUUCAUUGAACCGCUAGGGCAGCACAGAAAGCUUCCUUAACACACCAACCAGGAGUGUGGGGGCUUCAUUUGAUAGGGCAACUGUGGCUAAGGCACGCUGAGCUCCAGUGUAAAGUUGUUCUACGAGAGUGUAAACCGCCUUCAGCUUUACCAGCAUGUCCUGGUUGAGGUUUCCUGGGGCCUGCAUAGCAGUAACAGAUGAGUUAGCAACAGUUCAUAUGAUUACCAGAAAGAUUCAAACACUUGACACUUGUAGGGCGGCUUACCAAAGAUCUCCGAGACCAUCUAAGACACAUGGCGUUUCAAGCCGGAUAAUUCAGUGGUCACCUCUUCAAGAGCCGCCUCUGCUUUUUCAGCUCGACGGGUCAAGGCAAUCUUUUCUCCAGCCCAGGCCUUUUUCUCAACUUCAAACUUGGACCUCAAUUUUUCUUGUUCAGACACGCUGAAUUCAAAUUUGGAGUUUGCUCUCUGAGUCUCUGUCUCUUGUAGCUCCAAGCGGUUCUUCAAUUCAGGCAGCUCUGAUUGAAGUUGAGCAGUGGUGGUCUGUACAUGUACCGGAUCAAAAUCAUAAACAUUAGUAUGCAAUAUUAAGUCCCAAGCCUUUGCAAGCAACAACACUUGGCACUUGGGGGCUAAUGUCUACCGAAAGUUUUGUCUAAGUGGCGGCUUAUGAGAGUAAAGUCCCAAGCACUUUGCAAGCAAGAGUACUUGGCGCUUGGGGACUAAUGCAUAUUGUUGUUUGAUACGUCUCCAACGUAUCUAUAAUUUUUGAUUGUUCCAUGCUAUUAUAUUACCCGUUUUGGAUGUUUAUGGGCUUUAUUAUACACUUUUAUAUUAUUUUUGGGACUAACCUAUUAACCGGAGGCCCAGCCCAAACUGUUGUUUUCUUGCCUAUUUCAGUGUUUCGAAGAAAAGGAAUAUCAAACGGAGUCCAAAUGGAAUGAAACCUUCGGGAGAGUUAUUUUUGGAACGGAAGCAAUCCAGGAGACUUGGGGUAGACAUCAGGGAAGCUUUAAGGUGGCCACGAGGGUCCAAGGUGCGCCCUACCCCCCUGGGCGCGCCCUCCACCCUCGUGGCCCCCUCGUGGCUCCCCUGACCGACUUCUUUUGCCUAUAUAUAUCCAUAUACCCCGAAAACAUCGAGGAGCGCAAUAGAUCGGGAGUUCCGCCGCCGCAAGCCUCUCUAGCCACCAAAAACCAAUCGGGACCAUGUUCCGGCACCCUGCCGGAGGGGGGAUCCCUCACCGAUGGCCAUCUUCAUCAUCCCGGCGCUCUCCAUGACGAGGAGGGAGUAGUUCACCCUCGGGGCUGAGGGUAUGUACCAGUAGCUAUGUGUUUGAUCUCUCUCUCUCUCGUGUUCUUGAUUCGGCACGAUCUUGAUGUAUCGCGAGCUUUGCUAUUAUAGUUGGAUCUUGUGAUGUUUCUCCCCCUCUACUCUCUUGUAAUGGAUUGAGUUUUCCCUUUGAAGUUAUCUUAUCGGGUUGAUUCUUUAAGGAUUUGAGAACAAUUGAUGUAUGUCUUGCAUGUGCUUAUCUGUGGUGACAAUGGGAUAUCACGUGAUCUACUUGAUGUAUGUUUUGGUGAUCAACUUGCGAGUUCCGUGACCUUGUGAACUUAUGCAUAGGGGUUGGCACACGUUUUCGUCUUGACUCUCCGGUAGAAACUUUGGGGCACUCUUUGAAGUUCUUUGUGUUGGUUGAAUAGAUGAAUCUGAGAUUGUGUGAUGCAUAUCGUAUAAUCAUACCCAUGGAUACUUGAGGUGACAUUGGAGUAUCUAGGUGACAUUAGGGUUUUGUUGAUUUGUGUCUUAAGGUGUUAUUCUAGUACGAACUAUAUGAUAGAUCGAACGGAAAGAAUAGCUUCGUGUUAUUUUACUACCGACUCUUGAAUAGAUCAAUCAGAAAGGAUAACUUUGAGGUGGUUUCGUACCCUACAAUAAUCUCUUCGUUUGUUCUCCGCUAUUAGUGACUUUGGAGUGACUCUUUGUUGCAUGUUGAGGGAUUGUUAUAUGAUCCAGUUAUGUUAUUAUUGUUGAGAGAAAUUGCGCUAGUGAAAGUAUGAACCCUAGGCCUUGUUUCCUAGCAUUGCAAUACCGUUUACGCUCACUUUUAUCAUUAGUUACCUUGCUGUUUUUAUAUUUUCAGAUUACAAAAACCUAUAUCUACCAUCCAUAUUGCACUUGUAUCACCAUCUCUUCGCCGAACUAGUGCACCUAUACAUUUUACCAUUGUAUUGGGUGUGUUGGGGACACAAGAGACUCUUUGUUAUUUGGUUCUAGGGUUGUUUGAGAGAGACCAUCUUCAACCUACGCCUCCCACGGAUUGAUAAACCUUAGGUCAUCCACUUGAGGGAAAUUUUCUACGGUCCUACAAACCUCUGCACUUGGAGGCCCAACAACGUCUACAAGAAGAAGGUUGCAUAGUAGACAUCAAGCUCUUUUCUGGCGCCGUUGCCGGGGAGGUGAGUGCUUGAAGGUAUGUCUUUAGAUCUUGCAAUCGAAUCUUUUAGUUUCUUGUUUUAUGACUAGUUUAGUUUAUAAAACAAAACUACAAAAAAAUGGAAUUAAGGGUGCCUCAUAUGCUUCAUCUUUUUAAUGUCUUUCGUGAAAAUGAUGGGAAGGAAAAUUCUGCUCAAGUACUAGAAGAAGAAUUACAUAGAAUGCUUGGCAUAAAAUAUGUGAAUGAUGAGCAUGGUUGCAAUGUUGUUAGUAUGAAUUCUUUGAAUACCUAUGAUGCUAAUGAUAUGCAAAGCCACAAGCUUGGGGAUGCUAUGUUUGAUGAAGGUGAUAUUUUUAGUCCCCCAAGUUUUGAUGAGAAUAUUUAUUAUGAUGAAAGCAUGCCUCCUAUUUAUGAUGAUUAUAUUGAUGAAAGUGGAUUUGAUGAGUUCAUGACUUCAUUUAAUGAUGAAUCCACUAUUUCGGAAGAGGUUUCAAUUGAUUAUGAGAAUAAAGUUCCUAUCUAUGAUGAUUAUUGUGAUGACACGUAUGCCAUAAAGAAUAAACAUAACCAUGACACUUGUCAUCAUGAUUUUAAUUUUCAAUUGGAUUAUGCUUCACAUGAUAUUUUUUUUGUUGAGUUUGCUCCCACUACUAUUGAUGAGAAUAAAUUUGCUUAUGUGGAGAGUAGUAAAAUUUCUAUGCAAGUAGAUCAUGAAAAUAAUGCUUUAUGUGAUGGUUAUAUUGUUGAAUUCAUUCAUGAUGCUACUGAAAAUUAUUAUUAGGGAGGAAUAUAUGCUUGUAGGAGUUGCAGUGAUAUCAAGUUUCCUCUCUAUGUGCUUAAAGUUUUAAAGUUAUGCUUGUUUUGCCUUCCUAUGCUAGUUGAUUAUUGUUCCCAUAAGUUGUUUGCUCAAAAAAUCCCUAUGCAUAGGAAGUGGUUUAGGCUUCAAUGUGCUAGUCAUAUUCUUCAUGAUGCUCUCUUUAUGUUUCAAUUCUUAUCUUUUAUGUGAGCAUCAUUGAAAUCAUCAUGCCUAGCUAGGGGCGUUAAAUGUUAGCGCUUGUUGGGAGGCAACCCAAUUUUAUUUUCGUUCUUUGCUUUUUGCUCCUGUUUAGUAAUAAAUAAUUCAUCUAGCCUCUGUUUAGAUGUGGUUUUAUGUUUUAAUUAGUGUUUGUGCCAAGUAGAACCUUUGGGAAGACUUGGGUUACAGUAGAAAAUGAUAAGGUUUUCGCAUUGGUUUAUACUAACUUAUCUCACGAGUUCUUGUUGAGUUUGGUGUGGAUGAAGCUUUCGAGAUUUAGGAAACCGAGAUAUAAAAGGAAUUAAGGAGACACAAAAUCUCAAGCUUGGGGAUGUCCAAGGCACCCCAAGAUAAUAUUUCAAUAAGUCUCAAGCAUCCAAGCUUGGGGAUGCACCGGUAGGCAUCCCACCUUUCUUCUUCAACAAUUAUCAGUUAGUAUCGGUUGAACCUAAGUUUUUCCUUCUUCACGUGAUGUGUGCUAUCCUCGAAAUGUCAUUUUGUUUUGCUUUGCUUGUUGUUUGAAUAAAAUACCAAGAUCUGAAAUUCUUAAAUGUUAGAGAGUCUUCACAUAGUUGCAUAAUUAUUCGACUACUCAUUGAUCUUCACUUAUAUCUUUUGGAGUAGUUUGUCAUUUGCUCUAGUGCUUCACUUAUAUCUUUUUAGAGCACAGCGGUGGUUUUAUUUUGUAGAAAUUAUUGAUCUCUCAUGCUUCACUUAUAUUAUUUUUAUAGUCUUUUAGAACAUCAUGGUAUUUGCUAUGGUUAUAAAAUUGGUCCUAGAAUGAUGGGCAUCCAAGUUGGGUAUAAUAAAAACUAUCAUAGAAAGUGCAUUGGAUAGUAUGAUCAAUUUGAUGCUUGAUAAUUGUUUUGAGAUAUAAAGGUGGUAAUGUUAGAGUCAUGCUAGUUGGGUAAUUAUGAAAUUGAGAAAUACUUGUGUUAAAGUUGGCAAGUCCCGUAGCAUGCACGUCUGGUAAAUGUUGUGUAACAAAUUUGUUGCAUGGGGUGCUCUUUUGAUUGCCUUCCUUAUGUGUGGAGGUCGGGAUCGCGCGAUGGUUAACUCCUACCAACCCUUCCCCUAGGGGCAUGCAUAGUAGUACUUUGCUUCGAGGGCUAAUAAACAUUUGCAAUAAGUAUAUGAGUUCUUUAUGACUAAUGUGAGUCCAUGGAUUAUACGCACUCUUACCCUUCCAUCAUUGCUAGCCUCUUCGGUACCGUGCAUUGCCCUUUCUCACCUUGAGAGUUGGUGCAAACUUCGCCGGUGCAUCCAAACCCCGUGAUACGAUACGCUCUAUCACACAUAAACCUCCUUAUAUCUUCCUCAAAACAGCCACCAUACCUACCAUUAUGGCAUUUCCAUAGCCAUUCCGAGAUACAUUGCCAUGCAACUUUUCACCGUUCCAUUUAUUAUGACACGUUUCAUCAUUGUCAUAUUGCUUUUGCAUGAUCAUGUAGUUGACAUCGUAUUUGUGGCAAAGCCACCGUGCAUAAUUUUUCGUACAUGUCACUCUUGAUUCAUUGCAUAUCCCGGUACACCGCCGGAGGCAUUCAUAUAGAGUCAUAUUUUGUUCUAGUAUCGAGUUGUAAUCCAUGAGUUGUAAGUAAAUAGAAGUGUGAUUGUCAUCAUUAUUAGAGCAUUGUCCCUUAAUAAAAAAAGAAAGGCCAAAAAAGGGAGGCCAAAUAAAAAAAAGGCCCAAAAAAGGGGGACAAUGUUACUAUCCUUUUCCACACUUGUGCUUCAAAGUAGCACCAUGAUCUUUAUGAUAGAGAGUCUCUUAUGUUGUCACUUUCAUAUACUAGUGGGAAUUUUUCAUUAUAGAACUUGGCUUGUAUAUUCCAACGAUGGGCUUCCUCAAAAUGCCCUAGGUCUUCGUGAGCAAGCAAGUUGGAUGCACACCCACUUAGUUUCUUUUGUUGAGCUUUCAUACAUUUAUAGCUCUAGUGCAUCCGUUACAUGGCAAUCCCUACUCCUCAUGUUGACAUCAAUUGAUGGGCAUCUCCAUAGCCCGUUGAUUAGCCUCGUCAAUGUGAGACUUUCUUCUUCCUUUUUGUCUUCUCCACACAACCUCCAUCAUCAUAUUCUAUUCCACCCAUAGUGCUAUAUCCAUGGCUUACGCUCAUGUAUUGCGUGAGAGUCAAAAAAGCUGAAGCGUGUUAAAAAGUGUGAACCAAUUGCUUGGCUGAAAUCGGGGUUGUGCAUGAUGGGAGUAUUUUGUGUGACGAAAAUGAAGCAUAGCCUAAAUAUAUGAUUUUGUAGGGAUAAGCUUUCUUUGGCUAUGUUAUUUUGAUAAAACAUGAUUACUUGUUAGUAUGCUUGAAGUAUUAUUACUCUUAUGUCAAUAUUAAACUUUUAUCUUGAAUCUUUUGGAUCUUAACAUUCAUGCCACAAUAAAGAAAAUUACAUUGAGAAAUAUGCUAGGUAGCAUUCCACAUCAAAAAUUCUGUUUUUAUCAUUUACCUACUCGAGGACGAGCAGGAAUUAAGCUUGGGGAUGCUUGAUACGUCUCCAACGUAUCUAUAAUUUUUUAUUGUUCCAUGCUAUUAUAUUACCCGUUUUAGAUGUUUAUGGGCUUUAUUAUACACUUUUAUAUUAUUUUUGGGACUAACCUAUUAACCGGAGGCCCAGCCCAAAUUGUUGUUUUCUUGCCUAUUUCAGUGUUUCGAAGAAAAGGAAUAUCAAAAGGAGUCCAAACAGAAUGAAACCUUCGGGAGAGUUAUUUUUGGAACGGAAGCAAUCCAGGAAACUUGGAGUAGACGUCAGGGAAGCUUCGAGGUGGCCACGAGGGUCCAGGGCGCGCCCCCCACCCUCGUGGGCCCCUCGUGGCUCCCCUGACCGACUUCUUUCGCCUAUAUAUAUCCAUAUACCCUGAAAACAUCGAGGAGUGUAAUAGAUCAGGAGUUCCACCGCCGCAAGCCUCUGUAGCCACCAAAAACCAAUCGGGACCCUGUUCCGGCACCCUGCCAGAGGGGGGAUCCCUCACCGGUGGCCAUCUUCAUCAUCUCGGUGCUCUCCUUGACGAGGAGGGAGUAGUUCACCCUCGGGGCUGAGGGUAGAUACCAGUAGCUAUGUGUUUGAUCUCUCUCUCUCUCUCGUGUUCUUGAUUCGGCACGAUCUUGAUGUAUCGCGAGCUCUGCUAUUAUAGUUGGAUCUUAUGAUGUUUCUCCCCCUCUACUCUCUUGUAAUGGAUUGAGUUUUCUCUUUGAAGUUAUCUUAUCGGAUUGAUUCUUUAAGGAUUUGAGAACACUUGAUGUAUGUCUUGCAUGUGCUUAUCUGGGGUGACAAUGGGAUAUCACGUGAUCCACUUGAUGUAUGUUUUGGUGAUCAACUUGCGAGUUUCGUGACCUUGUGAACUUAUGCAUAGGGGUUGGCACACGUUUUCGUCUUGACUCUCCGGUAGAAACUUUGGGGCACUCUUUGAAGUUCUUUGUGUUGGUUGAAUAGAUGAAUCUGAGAUUGUGUGAUGCAUAUCGUAUAAUCAUACCCACGGAUACUUGAGGUGACAUUGGAGUAUCUAGGUGACAUUAGGGUUUUGGUUGAUUUGUGUCUUAAGGUGUUAUUCUAGUACGAACUCUAUGAUAGAUCGAACGGAAAGAAUAGCUUCGUGUUAUUUUACUACGGACUCUUGAAUAGAUCGAUUAGAAAGGAUAACUUUGAGGUGGUUUCGUACCCUACAAUAAUCUCUUCGUUUGUUCUCCGCUAUUAGUGACUUUGGAGUGACUCUUUGUUGCAUGUUGAGGGAUCGUUAUAUGAUCCAGUUAUGUUAUUAUUGUUGAGAGAACUUGCACUAGUGAAAGUAUGAACCCUAGGCCUUGUUUCCUAGCAUUGCAAUACCGUUUACGCUCACUUUUAUCAUUAGUUACCUUGCUGUUUUUAUAUUUCAGAUUACAAAAACCUAUAUCUACCAUCCAUAUUGCACUUGUAUCACCAUCUCUUCGCCGAACUAGUGCACCUAUACAAUUUACCAUUGUAUUGGGUGUGUUGGGGACACAAGAGACUCUUUGCUAUUUGGUUGUAGGGUUGUUUGAGAGAGACCAUCUUCAACCUACGCCUCUCACGGAUUGAUAAACCUUAGGUCAUCCACUUGAGGGAAAUUUUCUACUAUCCUACAAACCUCUGCACUUGGAGGCCCAACAACGUCUACAAGAAGAAGGUUGCGUAGUAGACAUCACUGUUCAAAGUUACACAAGUACUAUUUUCUACACAAGCAUAAGGACCGGCUCAUUCAUGCUGAUUAAACCGGCCCUUGGGGACUACGGUUUAAGCCGGAUUUUUAAAGGUUUUACCAAUGGAUAUUACUGAUGUUCUUAAGUUCGUUCUAAGUCUACAACAUAUUCGUCACAAGUAGUAGACUUGGGGGCUGGCAUAGUAAGGAGAAUUCAAUAAAGGGAAAAAAUUCGUACCUCAAAUUUCUGGUGCAUUUGUUUCACCAUGUCAACUUCAAGAUCGCGGCUACUGUGCACUUGGCUAAGAUAACCAGAAAAAACUUCGCCAAUGCUCAUUUGAGUAUAGUCAGCAACAUCAAAUCUGACUUUACGUCGUUCAAUGUGCUCCUCCUUGGCAGAACACUUGGCUUGCAGAGUAGGUCUCCCUGGCUCAGUAUAGCCGGUCUUGGUGAUUUCCACAUCAACAUCUUGUGGGUCGGCUGUCUUAGCUGGGCUUGAAGCUUCAGGGUUUACAGAGCCGUCGGCCGCUUGAUCGACAGGCGGGUCAGCAGUCAUUGUUGGCAUGUCAUGAACCGACUCAAGUGGCAGCUCAAGAACAGAGGCCUCAGGCGCUGCGGGUUGGAGCUCCGGCUCAUUGACGGCCGGCUCUUCGACCGGCUGGUUUUUCUUCACCCUCUUGCUGGGUUUUACUUUUCCACUGCAUAAAGUCAAAAAAGGUCAGUACAAAUAUAAAGGAUGGUAAUGAGUACAGGAUAAGUAAAUCGUCAUUACCCUGGAGCGGUCUUAAAAGCCGGCAUGUUGGACUGGAUUGAGUCGCCGGAAGAAUGUGAAGUUUCCUGAUAAUUUGAAUCAGAAGAGUUGAGUGGUUGACGAGUGAGACCCGCCAAAGGAUAAAAAGGGUUUAAGUCAGAGGUGACCUUUUUCUGGCGCUUCCUUGGUGUGUUCGGUAAGCCGGAGGAGAGUUCCGCGUCCUUGCUGGUCCGGGUCUGCCUCCGGCUCUCAUGAAUCUGUCGCUUCAAAAGAAAGUGAGGAUCCUGAUAAGCUAAGGGAUGUGAAAAUCUUACUUUCCGGGUUACUCUUCGGAUUUUUUGUCUUGGCAAAGGCUCAGAGUUGGAGGAAAUAAUAGUUACCUCUUCAUCCACUCCCUGACUCGUUCCCAUGUCAUCCUGAUGAUAAUCAGUGUCAAUAAGGUGGUUAAAAAAGGAGCCAAGAGAGUCAAGGGCUACCUCCGACUCAGAGGUAUCUUCUAGUCAAAGCAAGUCAGAGGCGUUGGGCUUCUUUCCUCUUUUCUUGGCGGCGGCUUUCCUGGCGGCUUUCUUGGCCUUCCUGGCUCUCUUUGCAGCCUCAUGGUCAUAUUUUUUCUUCCAAAACUUAUCAUCAGCCUGUGAAAUCAGCAAAGGUUUGAGUUAAGACGAAACAUCAAGGAUGAAGGUAAAUUAACUCAGUUUGGCGGCUUACCCCUGGAGUCGGGUUAGCUUUGCAGAAAGGGCUUAAGCCCACCUUGCCAUAGUCUGCUAGGCUUUCAUUCAAAAGUGACUUCGUCAUAUCAUUGACAACAUCAUCAGGUAAAUCGUCGGGGCUGUGGCGCAGUGGAUCCUUCUUCUCGCCCAUGUAGGUGCACAUUAACCCGGAGCGAUGGCUCAACGGGAUGAUCCGCCAUGUGACCCAGCACCGGACCAAGUCAAUGCCAUUUAAGUCGUUCCCUAAAAGAGCUUUGACUUUAGCCAUGGUGGGAGCGAGCUUUUGGCGGUCAGCAGCUGACAACUUGUCCAGAAGAGGAUGAUUGGAAUCGAGGCGCAAGGCGCGAAGGCCGGGUAGAGGGUUCUCAUCAGCCGGAGAAGUGUCUUGACAGUAGAACCAUGUCUGGUUCCAGUCUUUGGGAUGACUCGGUGGAUGGGCGCAAGGGAAAAUGGCGUCUCUCCAUCGUUGGAUUGAGACCCCGCCGAGUUCCAAACUAGGUCCGUUGGAGUAUUCAUUCUGGCGGUUCAAAUAAAACAACUCUCUGAAAAGUAGCAAACUGGGCUCUUCUUCAAGAUAUACCUCACAGAACACUUGGAAGUUGCAUAUGUCGGACACAGAGUUGGGUCCGAUAUCUUGAGGACGAAGGUCAAAAAAGUGCAGAACAUCUCUGAAGAACUUUGAGCCGGGUGGUGAAAAGCCCCGGUUCAUGUGAUCUAUGAAGACGAUGACUUCCCCCUCUUUGGGCUAAGGCUUUUCUUCUGUUGGAUCAGGAGCACGGUACGACAUCACAUCCUUUUUGGGCAGAUAGCCGGAAUCGUCAAGUGUACUCUCCGUGACGAUGGAUUUGACCCAGUUACAUGAAGUGGUUGUUUUGGGCGGCAUUGUGAAGAAGGAAGCCUAACAAAGAGUAAAUUUGCCGGUUCAAAUUUAAGCCGGAGGAAAAAUAUUACAGCACAUAUUCAGAAUGGCGGCUUAUAAAGGGGCCUAAUGGUAUAUGACUAAUUAUGUCAGGUUAUUUAAACCGCCGUGAGCAGUCAGGUUAUUUAAGCCGCCAUGAGUGGUUGAUGUUAUCUAUUGAGCAUUGCAAUUUAAGCCGGUGGUUUGAGCUGCCAUGGCUAGGUGGAUCUAUCAAAAUGCAGAUUUUUGGCUAAGUGUCACACAAACAAGUUUCACAGAUUGCAAUCAUUAUUUUGGAUUAAUGGAUAUUCAGAAAAAGGAAAUAAAUCUAGACCUAAAAACCAGUACAGAUGAGUUCAUAAGUUCUAAUGAGAUCUCUUUCCAGAGAAAGGGGAUCCACUGGUAUCAAAAGUGGAGGAAAAACAACCACCACAUAAGUUCUAUAUUGCUUUUGGAUCAAAAGAUGCUACGGUGGAGGAACUAUGGAGAAACCGUGAAGAACACGAUGAACAGUCAGGAACCCUAAUGCGAUAUAACGCACUGGAGAAGAAGCACUUAUAGGUGCAGAUUCAACUGCGGUGGGGCGCCGGCGUACUCUGGUCCAACACAGGUUGAUGCAGCGGCCGAGGUUGAGGAGGACGAGGUGCUCUGCGGCGGUGGCGGAGCUCGAGCGGCAGAAGGUCGCGAGAGGAAGAAGACGCUGGAAAGGGGGAGAAUGAGGAAAGACCAGUCGUGGCUAUUUAUAAGGAAGGACUGAUAAGUGGGCACGAAAAACGGGGAGGCCGAAACAUGGUUAUCCAGCUGCCCAGACGCCUCGAUUCUCAGGACGGUUAUUAAGAUAAGGAUCCAUUGAGAUAUGUUGGACAAAGUAUGAAUUAAUGACAGGUGACGUCAUGGCGGGUUAUCACAGAUCUAGAAGAUGACAUCAUGGCGGGUUAUAAACUUUCGCGCAAAUGAAGAGCAGAAGAUUUUUCUUAAGUGUUGAAGAUUGACAUGAACCAGUUCAAAUCAAUCUGGGGCCUAAUGUAGGGGAUAUAACUACUAGGUAUGACCCGCCCAAGAGGGGCCGGGUUAUACUUAUGGCGAUUCAUCAUGUGAAGCCCAAGACGAUACUUGAAGAUGGCGGUUCAGUUAAGGGCCCAAGGCCCAAAGGCGGCUUAAGGCCCGUAGAGAUAAACUGCCAUAUAUGUAUGACUUGUAUUGUAAGGCAGGAAUAGAUAGAGACCGAGCCGGACACUGUUUAUGAGCCGGCCGGGACUCUGCGAGCCGCUGGGCGUCGACCUCUGUAUAUAAAGGGACAACUCGGCGGCGGUUCAGGACAAGUAACAUCAGAUCGAAAGCUAGGUCAAGCGAAUUCGCUCCCUGGUAAUCGAGACAUAAGCAAUUCCACCUCAAACUGGAUUAAGCCAUUACCUUCACUGCAAGGGGCAAAACCAGUAUAAACUCACGUGUCCUUUGUCCCGUUUUAACCCCUUUAAGCUUCCUAGUUGCGAUGGCUCCACGACUAAGUCCUUUUGCUAGGACAUCUGCCGUGACGUUUCCACGACAAAUGAGGAUAACCCUCAGAUCACGGACCCAGUCCGCAUCAUUGCUACUAUCAUCUUUCAGCUUAUUUUUCUCUAGGAACAUAUCAAAAAUAAAGGGAAGCUACAACGCGAGCUAUUGAUCUACAACAUAAUUUGCAAAAUACUAUCAGGACUAAGUUCAUGAUAAAUUAAAGUUCAAUUAAUCAUAUUACUUAAGAACUCCCACUUAGAUAGACAUCCCUCUAGUCAUCUAAAGGAUCACGUGAUCGAAAUCAACUAAAUCAUGUCCGAUCAUCACGUGAGAUGGAGUAGUUUUCAAUGGUGAACAUCACUAUGUUGAUCAUAUCUACUAUAUGAUUCACGCUCGACCUUUCGGUCUCCAGUGUUCCGAGGCCAUAUCUGCAUAUGCUAGGCUCACCAAGUUUAAUCUGAGUAUUCUACGUGUGCAAAACUAGCUUGCACCUGUUGCAUGUGAACGUAAAGCUUAUCACACCCGAUCAUCACGUGGUGUCUCCGCACGAAGAACUGUAGCAACGGUGCAUACUCAGGGAGAACACUUAUACCUUGAAAUUUAGUAAGGGAUCAUCUUAUAAUGCUACCGCCGUACUAAGCAAAAUAAGAUGCAUAAAUGAUAAACAUCACAUGCAAUCAAAAUAUGUGACAUGAUAUGGCCAUCAUCUUGUGCUCAUGAUCUCCAUCACCGAAGCAUCGUCAUGAUCUCCAUCGUCACCGGCGUGACACCUUGAUCUCCAUUGUAGCAUUGUUGUCAUCUUGCCAACUAUUGUUACUACGACUAUCACUACCGCUUAGUGAUAAAGUAAAACAAUUACAUGGCGAUUGCAUUGCAUACAAUAAAGAGACAACCACAUGGCUCCUGCCAGUUGCCGAUAACUUGUGUUACAAAACAUGAUCAUCUCAUACAACAAUUUAUAUCGCAUCAUGCCUUGACCAUAUAACAUCACAGCAAGCCCUGCAAAAACAAGUUAGACGUCCUCUACUUUGUUGUUGCAAGUUUUACGUGGCUGCUACGGGCUUCUAGCAAGAACCAUUCUUACCUACGCAUCAAAACCACAACGAUUUUUCGUCAAGUGUGUUGUUUUAGCCAUCAACAAGGACCGGCCGUAGUCAAACUCGAUUCAACUAAAAUUGGAGAAACAGACACCUGCCAGUCACCUAUGUGCAAAAGCACGUCGGUAGAACCAGUCUCAUGAAUGCGGUCAUGUAAUGUCGGUCCGGCCGCUUCAUCCAACAAUACCGCCGAAUCAAAGUAAGACGUUGGUGGUAAGCAGUAUGACUAUUAUCGCCCACAACUCUUUGUGUUCUACUCGUGCAUAUAACAUCUACGCAUAGACCUGGCUCGGAUGCCACUGUUGGGGAACGCGGUAAUUUCAAAAAAAUUCCUACGAUCACGCAAGAUCUAUCUAGGUGCUGCAUAGCAACGAGAGGGGAGAGUGUGUCCAUGUACCCUCGUAGACCAAAAGCGGAAGCGUUUCAAUAACGCGGUUGAUGUAGUCAAACGUCUUCGCGAUCCAACCGAUCCAAGUACCGAAUGUACGACACCUCCGUGUUCAGCACACAUUGAGCUCGAUGACGUACCUCGUGCUCUUGAUCCAUUUGAGGACGAGGGUGAGUUCCAUCAGCACGACGGCAUGGCGACGGUGAUGAUGAUGCUACCGGCGGAGGGCUUUGCCUAAGCACUACGAUGGUAUGAUCGAGGUGUGUAACUGUGGGGGGGGCACCGCACACGGUUGGGAGAGAAACUUGUGUGUUCUAGGGUGCCCCCCUGCCCCCAUAUAUGAAGGAACAAGGGGGAGGCCGGACGGCCCUAGGGGCGCGCCCAAGGAGAGGGAGGCCGGACGGCCCUAGGGGCGCGCCCAAGGAGAGGGAGUCCUACUAGGACUACUAGGACUAGUAGGAUUCCAUCACAAGGAAGGGAGGGGGAAGGAAGGAGAGGGAGAGGGAGUAGGAAAGGGGGGCGCCCCCCCCCCCUUCCCUUGUCCUAUUUGGACUCCAAGGGGGGCACGUGGCCUGCCCUGGCUGCCCUCCUCUCUCUCCACUAAGGCCCAUGGUGGCCCAUUAGUUCCCCGGAGGGUUCCGCUAACCCCUCCGGCACUCCGGUUUUACCCGAAACUUCCUGGAACUCUUCUGGUGUCCGAAUAACAUGGUCCAAUAUAUCAAUCUUUAUGUCUCGACCAUUUAGAGACUCCUCGUCAUGUCCGUGAUCUCAUCCAGGACUUCGAACAAACUUCGGUCAUCAAAAACACAUAACUCAUAAUACAUAUCGUCAUUGAACGUUAAGCGCGCGGACCCUACGGGUUCGAGAACUAUGUAGACAUGACCGAGACACAUCUCCCGUCAAUAACCAAUAGCGGAACCUGGAUGCUCAUAUUGGCUCUUACAUAUUCUACGAAGAUCUUUAUCGGUCAAACCGCAUAACAACAUACGUUGUUCCCUUUGUCCUCGGUAUGCUACUUGCCCGAGAUUCGAUCGUUGGUAUCAUCAUACCUAGUUCAGUCUCGUUACCGGCAAGUCUCUUUACUCGUUUCUUAAUACUUCAUCCCGCAACUAACUCAUUAGUCACAUUGCUUGCAAGGCUUAUAGUGAUGAGCAUUACCGAGAGGGCCAAGAGAUACCUCUCCGAAACACGGAGUGACAAAUCCUAAUCUCGAUAUAUGCCAACCCAACAAACACCUUUGGAGACACUUGUAGAGCAUCUUUACAAUCACCCAUUUACAUUGUGACGUUUGAUAGCACACAAUGUAUUCCUCCGGUAUUUGGGAGUUGCAUAAUCUCAUAGUCUGAGGAACAUGUAUAAGUCAUGAAGAAAGCAGUAGCAAUGAAACUGUAACGAUCAUAAUGCUAAGCUAACGGAUGGGUCAUGUCCACCACAUCAUUCUCCUAAUGAUGUGAUCCCGUUCAUCAAAUGACAACACAUGUCUAUAGUUAGGAAACAUAACCAUCUUUGAUUAAUGAGCUAGUCAAGUAGAGGCAUACUAGGGACACUUUGUUUUGUCUAUGUAUUCACACAUGUACUAAGUUCCGGUUAAUACAAUUCUAGCAUGAAUAAUAAACAUUUAUCAUGAAAUAAGGAAAUAAAUAAUAACUUUAUUAUUGCCUCUAGGGCAUAUUUCCUUCAGCGGUUUGACCGAUAAAGAUCUUCGUUGAAUAUGUAGGAACCAAUAUGAGCAUCCAGGUUCCGCUAUUGGUUAUUGACCGGAGAUGUGUCUCGGUCAUGUCUACAUAGUUCUCGAACCUGUAGGGUCCGCACGCUUAACGUUCGAUGACGAUUUGUAUUAUGAGUUAUGUGUUUUGGUGAACGAAGUUUGUUCGGAGUCCUGGAUGAGAUCACGCACAUGACGAGGAUUCUCGAAAUGGUUGAGAGGUAAAGAUUGAUAUAUUUAAAGGUAGUAUUCGGACACCAAAAGGGUUCCGGAUUGGUACAUACCGGAGUACCGAAGGGGUCACCGGAAGCCCCCCGGGGAAAGAUAUGGGCCAUAUGGGCCAUAGGAGGGAGGCUAACCAGCCCAAAAGGGGCUGGCAUGCCUCCCACAGGGGAGGAGGCCGAAUUGGAUUAGGGGAGGGGGCGGCACCCCCCUUUCCUUCUCCUACUCCCUCUCCUUUCCCCCUUUCCCCCUCCGAAAGAAGGAAAAAAAGGGGGCGAAUCCUACUAGGACUGGAGUCCUAGUAGGACUCCCCUCUCCUUGGUGCGCCCCUGGUGGCGGGCCUCCUCCUUUAUAUACGGGGGCAGGGGGCACCCCAAGGCACAUUAGUUAUUCUCUUAGCCGUGUGCGGUGCCCCCCUCCACAGUUUACGCCUCCGGUCAUAGUGUCGUAGUGCUUAGGCAAAGCCCUGCGCGGAUCACAUCACCAACACCGUCAUCAUGCUGUCGUGCUGACAGAACUCUCCCUCAACCCUCUACUGGAUCAAGAGUUCGAGGGACGUCAUCAUGUUGAACGUGUGCUGAACACGGAGGUGCCGUACGUUCAGUACUUGGAUCGGUUGGAUUGUGAAGACGUUCGACUACAUCAACCGCGUUAACAUAACGCUUCCGCUUUCGGUCUACGAGGGUACGUGGACACACUCUCCCCCUCUCGUUGCUAUGCAUCUCCUAGAUAGAUCUUGCGUGAUCGUAGGAAUUUUUUUGAGAUUGCAUGCUACGUUCCCCAACAGUGGUAUCCGAGCCAGGUCUGUGCGUAGAUGAUAUGCACGAGUAGAACACAAAGAGUUGUGGGCGAUAAUAGUCAUACUGCUUACCACCAACGUCUUAUUUUGAUUUGGCGGUAUUGUUGUAUGAAGCGGCCCGGACCAACAUUACAUGACCACGUUCAUGAGACCGGUUCUACCGACGUGCUUUUGCACACAGGUGGCUGGCGGGUGUCUGUUUCUCCAACUUUAGUUGAAUCGAAUUUGACUACGAUCGGUCCUUGUUGAAGGUUAAAACAGCACACUUGACGAAAAACCGUUGUGGUUUUGAUGCGUAGGUAAGAACAGUUCUUGCUAGAAGCCGGUAGCAGCCACGUAAAACUUGCAACAAGAAAGUAGAGGACGUCUAACUUGUUUUUGCAGGGCAUGUUAUGAUGUGAUAUGGUCAAGACAUGAUGUGAUAUAAUUUGUUGUAUGAGAUGAUCAUGUUUUGUAAAAGUUAUCGGGAACUGGCAGGAGCCUUAUGGUUGUCGCUUUAUUGUAUGAAAUGCAGUCGCCAUGUAAUUGCUUUACUUUAUCACUAUGCGGUAGCGAUAGUCGUAGAAGCAAUAGUUGGCGAGACGACAACGAUGCUACGAUGGAGAUCAAGGGGUCAAGCCGGUGACGAUGGAGAUCAUGACGGUGCUUUGGAGAUGGAGUUCAAAGGCACAAGAUGAUGAUGGCCAUAUCAUGUCACAUAUUUUGAUUGCAUUUGUUGUUUAUCUUUUGUGCAUCUUAUUUUGCUUAGUACGGCAGUAGCAUUAUAAGAUGAUCCCUUACUAAAUUUCAAGGUAUAAGUGUUCUCCCUGAGUAUGCACCGUUGCGACAAUUCGUCGUGCCGAGACACCACAUGAUGAUCGGGUGUGAUAAGCUCUACGUUCACAUACAAUGGGUGCAAGCCAGUUUUGCACGUGCUGAAUACUUGGGUUAAACUUGACGAGCCUAGCAUAUGCAGAUAUGGCCUCGGAACACUGAGACCGAAAGGUCGAACGUGAAUCAUAUAGUAGAUAUGAUCAACAUAGAGAUGUUCACUAUUGAAAACUACUCCAUCUCACAUGAUGAUCGGACAUGUUUUAGUUGAUUUGGAUCACAUGAUCAUUUAGAUGACUCGAGGGAUGUCUAUCUAAGUGGGAGUUCUUAAGUAAUAUGAUUAAUUGAACUUUAAUUUAUCAUGAACUUAGUCCUGAUAGUAUUUUCAUAUCUAUGUUGUAGAUCAAUAGCUCGCGUUAUAGCUCCCCUAUGUUUUUGUUAUGUUCCUAGAGAAAAUUAAGUUGAAAGACGUUAGUAGCAAUGAUGCGGACUAGGUCCGUGAUAUGAGGAUUAUCCUCAUUGCUGCACAGAAGAAUUAUGUCCUCGAUGCACCGCUAGGUGACGGACCGAUUGCAGGAGCAGAUGCAGACGUUAUAAACGUUUGGCAAGCUCGAUAUGAUGACUACUUGAUAGUUUAGUGCACCAUGCUUUGCGGCUUAUAAUUGGGGCUUCAAAGACGUUUUGAACGUCAUAGAGCAUAUGAGAUGUUCCAAUAGUUGAAAUUGGUAUUUCAAACUCAUGCCCAUGUCGAGAGGUAUGAGACCUCUGACAAAGUACUUUGCCUACAAGAUGGAGGAGAAUAGCUCAACCAGUGAGCAUGUAUUCAGAAUGUCUGAGUACUACAAUCGCUUGAAUCAAGUGGGAGUUAAUCUUCCAGAUAAGAUAGUGAUUGACAGAGUUCUCUAAUCACAAUCGUCAAGCUACUAGAACUUCGUGAUGAACUAUAAUAUGCAAGGGAUGACGAAAACGAUUCCCGAGCUCUUCGCGAUGCUGAAAUCGGCGAAGGUAGAAAUCAAGAAAGAGCAUCAAGUGUUGAUGGUUGACAAGACCACUAGUUUCAAGUAAAAGGGCAAGGAAAGAAAUGGAACUUCAAGAAGAAUGACAAGCAAGUUGUCACACCCGUGAAGAAGCCAAAAGCUAGACCUAAGCCAAAAACUGAGCAUUUCUACUGCAAAGGGAAUGGUCACUGGAAGCGGAACUACCCCAAAUACUUGGUGGAUAAGAAGGAUGGCAAAGUGAACAAAGGUAUAUUUGAUAUACAUGUUAUUGAUGUGUACUUUACUAGUGUUCAUAGUAACCCCUGGGUAUUUGAUACCGGUUCAGUUACUAAGAUUAGUAACUCGAAACAGGAGUUGCAAAAUUAAUAGAGACUAGUUAAGGGCGAGGUGACGAUGUGUGUUGGAAGUGAUUCCAAGGUUGAUAAGAUCACCAUCGCACACUCCCUCUACCUUCGAGAUUAGUGUUGGACCUAAAAUAAAUGUUAUUUGGUGUUUGUGUUGAGCAUGAAUAUGAUUGGAUCAUGUUUAUUGCGAUACGGUUAUUCAUUUAAAUCAGAGAAUAAUUGGUGUUCUGUUUAUAUGAAUAAAACCUUCUAUGGUCAUACACACAAUGUAAAUGGUUUAUUGAAUCUCGAUCGUGGUGAUACACAUAUUCAUAAUAUUGAUGCCAAAAGAUGCAAAGUUGAUAAUGAUAGUGCAACCUAUUUAUGGCACUACCGUUUAGGUCAUAUUGGUGUAAAGCGCAUGAAGCAACUCCAUGCAGAUGGGCUUUUGGAAUCACUUGAUUAUGUAUCAUUUGAUACUUGCGAACCAUGCCUCAUGGACAAGAUGACUAAAACUCCGUUCUCCGGAACAAUGGAGCGAGCUACUGAUUUGUUGGAAAUAAUACAUACCGAUGUACGCGGUCCGAUGAGUGUUGAGGCUCAUGGCGUAUCGUUAUUUCUGACCUUCACAGAUGAUUUGAGCAGAUAUGGGUAUAUAUACUUGAUGAAACACAAGUCUGGAACAUUUGAAAAGUUCAAAGAAUUUCAGAGUGAAGUGGAGAAUCAUCGUAACAAGAAAAUAAAGUUUCUACGAUCUGAUCGCGGAGGCGAAUAUUUGAGUUAUGAGUUUGGGCUUCAUCUAAAAGAAUGUGAAAUAGUUUGACAACUCACGCCACCUGGAACACCAAAGCGUAAUGGUGUGUCCGAACGUCGUAAUCGUACUUGUAACAUCCCAAUUUUCAAUUUGGAUGUUUAUAAAGAUCAUUCAUAUGCAUCCAUGAUUUAUGCAUUUUUGCCCCCAUUUGUUUUAUUUGAUUUUUGAUCCAAGGAACUUUGAGCAACUCAAGGACCAAAAGAGAGAGUUGGAAGUUUCCCAAAAAAACAAUUUUGAAUUUUUUCGAAGUUGGGAGUUUGGAUCAAAUUUGGUUUCACCAAAAAAAUUCAUUUCCAUUUUAUCAAAAAUAAAAUAAAUAGAAAAGAUAAAAUGACUUCUUCAAAAUCAGAAAAUAAAAUAUUGGAAAUUGAAUUUGAAACCAAAAUAUAUUUGUUGAGUUUUAUUUGCAAUUUAUUUUAUUAGCAUAGCAAAAAGUUUAUUUUUGAAAACUUGCAUUUUAGGCCAGAUAAAAGUUCACAAGGUCAUAUAUAAGACCAUAUUACUAUGUGAAUUUUCUGGGAAUUCUUAGACUUAUUUUCAUUUGUCUUUUGGUGCUUUAAUGCUGCUGUAAGAAAAAACAUUUAAAAAGAACGCAGCCCAGCAGGCCCAUGCCCAGGCGCUAUCUUCUUCUUCCAAACAUGUACGCACGCACGCACGCAGCACCCCACCCUAGCGCCCUACCCCUCCCCUCUCCUCUUCCUCGCUCCAAAACCGCUCUGAAUCGGUUCCCCUCGCCUCCCUCUACCUUUUCUCCUUCACUAGUGCGCCUUAAUUCCACCUCUAAUGGCCAUUAGAAGCCCAAGUAACAGCCACCAUUAACAUCAUAAAGUCGGCAACGCUCAGCUCAUCUCGAGACCUCCCCAAGCCCUAUAUAAAGCACCCCUGGGAUCCCCUCUCACCCCUCGUCCGAAGCCCUCUCUUGUUGGAGUUUUCCCCCUCCCUGACCUCGCAAAUUGCUCGCCGGAGUUCGUGAAUUCCGGUGACCUCUCACCGUGCAUACAGGAAGCAAUCUACAACCACAACUUGUGCAAGUGGUUCAACUCAUCGUCCUCUACAUCGUUUCGCACGAGUCCUUCACCGAAGCACACCGGAGCCACCUUCUUCCUCGUCUCCGGUGACAAGUCCGGUGAGCACCCAGCCAGCGAAUCAGAGAGCGCCACUUGUCCCUGGCCGAUUUUUUUCUCUUUUUCAGGAAUUUUUCCAAAUUCAGAUUCUUUACCAAAUCUUCUUUCUUGUAUAUCUUUUAGUCUAUAGAUCCGAUUUAGUUGAUUCUUUUUCCUACUAAUUCAUAGAAAUCCCAUCUAUCCAGAAAACCAAACGAAAAAUAUUUUUGAAAAUUUUAAAAAUUUAAAUUCAAAUAUAUCUGAAUUCAAACUUCGUUAGGCCGUAUCUCGAGUUUCGUAACUCCGUUUUAGGUGAUUCUUUUUGCAAAUCGAAGCUCGUAAUGUGUACUUUCUGUUAAAACCAAAACCAUUUAUUUUUGUUGAUGUAAAAAUUACGUUCUGUACAGAAACUUUAUUUGGUUGUUUUUGGAGUUUUCCGAAGUCUUUUAUUUGUUUUCUUUUUGGAUCUUUGCUUGUAUGCUUAUGUAUGUUAUUGCUUGUUUACGCUAGAUCAUCCGGAGUGCGAAGCUUGCUACUACGAAUCUUUACAGUUCAACGAACGUCGGCAAGGCAAGUUCACACUUUGAUCAUACUUUUCAAUACCCAGUUUUUACUAUGCAUUAGUUUCACCCUCAAAGAUUGCAUCAGUAGGAUUGGGAACAUGUGGUUAUGCUAUGUAGUUCAUGUGGUAGGAACCUAUGACCUUUUGAUCACCCCGGGAAUAUUCGUUAUAUCAUAUAUUGCUUAGCCAUGCUCGUAGACGGGGAUUGGUAUGUGUGAUCCAUGCAAGUUGUGAGAGAUAAUAAUUUUGGGACAACAUAAGGUGGCAACUUUAAUACACAUCUGGGUGGAUUGUUUGGGGCACCUGGAGUAACCAGUGCUUGCCCAAGGGGAAUCCCAGAGUACGCGUGUGAUUACCCUAGGUCCGCCACCCAGGCUCAAAGGGAUCAAAAGAUAUUUCAUGCCUAGAAACUUCCGUGUGCAGCCACAAUCCAUUAUGGGCUCUGGCAUAGUUGAGUAAGUUGUGUGACCUCUUUCCGUGGUAGACUAGCUGAUGUAGGGGAAAGUAGGUGUACCGGUCUACCCAGGGUUAAGGGGAAACGCUUCUGAAAGGCUAUGUCUCGAUCUUUCGAUCAUGGAGGUGGUCGAGUCUUGUGGGGAAAAGUGCGCAAACCACUGCAGAGUGUAUAAACUAAUCAUGAUUAGUCGUGUCCCCGGUUAUGGACAAUUUGAGUAUCUAGAAGUGAAUUAUUGGUUGAUCUCAUCACUCUAUUUAAUGAAAUUAUUGGGUUACUAAUAACUUGGGAAUUUUGGGAUUGAGUUGGAGGAACCUUCUCAAUAAUGGCAUUUUAAUUUAGUAGUAAAAAAAGUUUAUUCCUUUGUUGUAAGGUAAAAUUAGCUUUAUGCAAAAAUAAAACUUAGAGCCUCCACCAGCUAAAUUUGCAUAUAAGGAUAGUAUUUUCAUUUAUUAUUAUUCUAUGGUGUGAAAUUGCCAGCAUAUUCCACGUGCUGACCUACACGACUGCAACGUCUCAUGUUGCAAACUUUUCCGACGAAGAUUAAAGGUGCGAUAGGUCGUUGUUCUACACUCAGUUUGCCGUGGAGUUGGAUGGACUCAUUUACCUUCAAUGCUUCCGCAGUUAUUUUUAUUGAGAUGGCCUUUGGCCAUAUUAUUGUAAUAAAUACUUUUUUGAGGACCUUGAUGUAAUAAAAUGUGUGGUUGAACUCUGUUAUAAUUCCUCGAGUACUGUGUGUGUCAGCAUACCGAUUCAGGGAUGACACUUAAGCACAGAGACUUUGAUCCAUUUGGGUCAGGUCGCUACAAGAUGGUAUCAGAGCACACGCUGACUGAGUGACUGUAGGAUGCGACCACUAGGAAAUGGAAAGCCAUAGGAAGAAAACUCUAUUUUACGACUUCCUUAAAUAUCCGUUGGUCUAUACUCUUCUCUAUUCAUUUCUAUCUCUUCUCCACUUCAAUAAAAUAGUUGUCGAACCCCAUCACCAAGUUGCUCACCCCGAUGAGACCAUGACCUAUGAAGAGAUCAUUGACGAAGAAGAAGAAGCUAGAAUUGACUUUGAUUUGAGAAGAUUUAGUUCAGACCAUCACUACCAAGUUGAGUCCAACGAAUGAUUGCGGUAGUAUGAAGAGAUCAUAUCUCUUGUGGAUAUGACCUUACCUGUAGGUUUUUGCUUGUGUGGUGUGAUCUGUGUGAAUUGCUUGAUUUGAAAUUUUCUUGCUAUCAUAAGCAUAUGGGUAGUGAUUUCUCUCAUUAGGCCCUUAUUUUAUUCUAAUUUCUCAUCCACUCUAAACCUAACAGAUGCCUUCAAGACGUGACCCGGAAUUCCCACCGGAACUUACCCAGUUGAUCCAGAACCAGAAUGCCCUCAUGCAGCUACUCAUCCAGAAUCAGAACCAGAACAACAACAACAACCCACCGCCACUACCCCCGGUCGACAACCUUACCCGUUUCCUGAGGUUGAACCCACCGGUGUUCUCUAGCAGCACGGAGCCGAUCGUUGCAGAUGACUGGCUUCGCAAGAUCGGAAGAGAGCUGACCACCGCAGGAUGCACUGACGCUGAGAAGGUGCGCUUUGCCGCACAUCAACUGGAUGGGCCAGCAGCCUCGUGGUGGGAGAAUUACACCACCACAUUCCCCAUAGCCAAUGUGACUUGGGAUCAGUUCCAGCAGGCGUUCCAUGCCGCACAUGUUUCAGCCGGAGCUAUGAGUCUGAAGAAGCUUGAGUUCUGCAACUUACGCCAGGGAAAUCGUUCUGUUGGUGAUUAUGUGGAGGAAUUCAGCAAGUUAUCCAGGUAUGCUCCCGGAGACGUGGCUGAUGAUGCCGCUAAGCAGGAGAAAUUUCUGGAGGGACUAAACGAUGAUCUGGGACUUCAGUUGACUGUGGCUACCUUUAACAGUUAUCAAGAGUUGGUCGACAAGGCUCUCAUUCUGGAAGGCAAGCAGCAGCAGAUGGAGAAUCGCAAGAGGAAGUACGAACAGGGAAAGUACAACUCUUGUGUUCAGCAGAAGCCCCGCUAUACCCCGUACUUGGGAAAUAAUGGACCAGGAUCUGGCAAGUAUAGUGGACACACUCACCAUAACCAUGGAGGACAUUCACAUCAUGGAGGGAAUGGACACAACCAUAAUGGCCAUAGGAAUGGCAAUGGGAACGGAGGAAACAACAAUCAGCAUCAGUCCAACCCCGCUACACCGGCAAAGAAGGAUCUGAGCCACAUUACCUGUUUCAAGUGCGGGAAAACCGGACACUAUGCCACCGAUUGCCCUGAGGCCAAGAACGGGAACGGUAAUGGAAGCUCUGGAGGCAAGAAGCCCAAUCCCUUCACCAGAGGUCAGGUGAACCAUGUCAAUGUGGAGGAAGUUUAUGACCAGCCUGACACCGUUGUUGGUAACUUCUUGAUUAAUUCAUUUACACCCCUUGUUCUUUUUGACACUGGUGCAUCACAUUCAUUCAUAUCAAGGGGGUUUGUAGAUAAGUUUAAGUUGCCGACUGUAGCCCUUAAGUCACCUAUGUUAGUGAGUUCCCCAGGAGCAGAGUAUAUGGCUAGUCAGGGAUGUUUUCAGUUGCCAUUGACCAUAGGGAGACACGUUUUCCCCACAGACCUCAUCAUCCUAGAAUCACAAGGAUUGGACAUAAUUCUAGGCAUGGACUGGCUAUCCAAGUAUGAAGGGAAUAUUGAUUGUGCCAGUAAGUCGAUUCUUCUCACCACCCCAGAGGGGAAACGGAUCAAGUAUGUGUCGAGGCAUACGCCAAGGAGGACUCAAGUGAAUUCUCUUUCGGGAGUUGUUUAGGAGGAAGUACCAGUUGUGAAGGAUUAUCCCGAUGUAUUCCCCGAGGAAUUGCCCGGCAUGCCACCGGAUCGGGACAUAAGUUUUUGAUCGAAUUGUUACCAGGCACCGGACCAAUAUCCAAGAGACCGUACCGGAUGCCCGCAAAUGAUCUGGAGGAAAUUAAGAAGCAGAUUAAGUAAUUAUUGGAGAAAGGUUAUAUUCGACCGAGUUCAUCACCUUGGGGAGCCCCAGUGCUUCUAGUUGAGAAGAAGGAUGGAUCCUUGAGAAUGGUUGUAGAUUAUCGUGCGUUGAAUGAGGUGACGAUCAAGAACAAGUACCCUCUGCCGAUGAUCAAUGAUUUGUUUGACCAGCUACAAGGAGCAAAAGUUUUCUCAAAGAUCGAUCUUCGAUCAGGAUAUCACCAGCUGAAGAUUCGAGAACAGGAUAUACCCAAGACAGCUUUUACCACGAGAUAUGGGCUUUAUGAGUACACGGUCAUGUAUUUUGGUUUGACUAACGCCCCUGCCUAUUUUAUGAGUAUGAUGAAUAAGGUAUUCAUGGAGUUCUUGGAUAAGUUUUUUGUGGUAUUCAUUGAUGACAUAUUGAUUUACUCGAAGAAUGAAGAAGAACACAAGGAACAUUUGCGCUUGGUUCUAGAGAAGCUCAGGGAACAUCAAUUAUACGCAAAGUUCAGCAAGUGCGAAUUCUGGUUGAAGGAAGUCAGAUUUCUCGGACAUAUUAUAUCAGGAGAAGGAAUAGCAGUAGACCCCUCCAAGGUUGAAGCCGUCACCGAAUGGAAGGCACCCACCUCAGUCGGAGAGAUUCGUUGUUUUCUUGGACUCGCGGGAUAUUAUCGGAGGUUUAUUGAGAAUUUCUCCAAGAUCGCGAAGCCCAUGACGGAGUUAUUGAAGAAAGACACUAAGUUUGUUUGGACCGACGAAUGUGAGGCCAGUUUCCAGGAGCUGAAGAAACGUUUGGUCACAGCCCUAGUGCUAAUUCUUCCGAAUAUACGCAAGGAUUUCCAAGUAUAUUGCGACGCUUCUCGUCAGGGACUUGGAGGUGUUCUUAUGCAAGAAGGAAGAGUUGUUUCAUAUGCCUCACGUCAGCUUCGACCUCAUGAGCAGAAUUAUGCCACACAUGAUUUGGAGUUAGCAGCCGUAGUGCACGCACUCAAGACCUGGAGACAUUUUCUUAUUGGAAAUAGGUGUGAUGUUUACACGGAUCACAAUAGUUUGAAAUACAUCUUCACGCAGAAGGAGUUGAACCUCAGGCAGAGAAGAUAGUUGGAGCUCAUAAAGGAUUAUGAUAUGAAAUUGCACUAUCACCCAGGAAAGGCCAAUGUUGUGGCAGAUGCAUUGAGCCGCAAGAGCUACGUCAAUACCCUCACAGCAGGAGGAUUACCUCAGGAGUUAAUUGAUGAUCUCAGAGAUCUUCGAUUGGAGAUAGUACCACGAGGUUUUGUUGCCGCAAUGGAAAUUCAAUCCACUUUGUUGGGAAAGAUCCAAGAAGCCCAGAAGUUAGACAAAGGCAUUGCGGAGAUAAAGGGAAGGAUGAACCAAGGAAAGGCAAAAGGAUUUCGUGAGGAUGAACAUGGAACCUUAUGGUUUGAGUAGCGUAUUUACGUGCCAAAUGACCCAGAGAUCAGGAAAUUUAUUCUUCGGGAGGCUCAUGAUUCGCCUUAUUCAAUACACCCGGGCAACACCAAGAUGUAUUUGGACUUGAAGGAAAGUUUCUGGUGGACAGGUAUGAAGAAGGAUAUUGCCGAGUAUGUCGCAGUAUGUGACGUAUGUCAGAGGGUUAAGGCAGAGCACCAGAAACCAGCAGGAUUACUUCAGCCUUUGCCGAUACCAGAUUGGAAGUGGGACAAGCUUGGCAUGGACUUCAUUACAGGAUUACCCAGGACCCGAUCAGGCUAUGAUUCUAUUUGGGUAGUGGUUGAUCGCUUGACCAAUGUAGCUCACUUCAUCCCCGUGAAAACCACAUAUACAAGUGCUAAGUUAGCCAAAAUAUACAUGACCAGGAUCUAUGUCUGCAUGGAGUUCCGAGGACCAUCGUAUCAGAUAGAGGAACACAAUUUACCUCAAAGUUUUGGCAUCAAUUACACGAAACUUUGGGUACCAGGCUAGAGUUCAGUGCAUCCUUUCAUCCGCGGACAGAUGGGCAGACCGAGAGAGUCAACCAGAUUCUGGAGGACAUGUUGAGAGCUUGUGCGCUAGAUUAUGAAUUUGGUUGGGAUGAUAAUUUGCCAUACGCAGAAUUCUCAUAUAACAACAGCUAUCAAGCCAGUCUAAAGAUGGCCCCUUUUGAAGCUUUGUACGGAAGGAGGUGCAGGACACCAUUGAUGUGGGAUGAAGUUGGAGACCGUAAAUUAUUUGGACCAGAUUUAAUUAGAGAUUCAGAGGAGAAAGUCAAGCUGAUCCGCGACAGACUCAAGGUAGCCCAAUCCAGACAGAAGAGUUAUGCCGAUACUAAACGCAAGGAGGUAACCUAUGAAGUCGGAGAUAGAGCAUAUCUGCGUGUGUCGCCAAUUCGAGGAGUUAAACGAUUCGGAGUCAAAGGAAAGUUAGCACCACGGUUUGUGGGACCGUACAGAGUUUUAGAACGCAUGGGUGAAGUUGCCUACAAGUUGGAAUUACCAGAAGCCUUGUCAGGAGUUCAUGAUGUGUUUCACGUUUCCCAGUUGAAGAAGUGUCAUGCGGAGAUGGCCGAUAUUCCUUUGAGAGAUACAGUGCCACUGGAGGCCAUACAGUUGGAUAGUGAUCUGACCUAUGAGGAGAAGCCCAUCAAGAUUCUAGAGACUGCAAGCAGGGUUACCCGCAGCAAGGUCAUCAAGUUUUGCAAGGUUCGGUGGAGUCAUCAUACUAAGGAAGAAGCCACCUGGGAACGAGAAGAAGACCUCCGACAGGACCACCCACACCUUUUUGCUAGCCAACCCGAAUCUCGAGGGCGAGAUUCAUCUUAAGGGGGGUAGGUUUGUAACAUCCCAAUUUUCAAUUUGGAUGUUUAUAAUAGAUCAUUCAUAUGCAUCCAUGAUUUAUGCAUUUUGCCCCAUUUGUUUUAUUUGAUUUUUGAUCCAAGGAACUUUGAGCAACUCAAGGACCAAAAGAGAGAGUUGGAAGUUUCCAAAAAAAACAAUUUUGAAUUUUUUUCGAAGUUGGGAGUUUGGAUCAAAUUUGGUUUCACCAAAAAAAUUCAUUUCCAUUAUAUCAAAAAUAAAAUAAAGAGAGAAGAUAAAAUGACUUCUUCAAAAUCAGAAAAGAAAAUAUUAGAAAUUGAAUUUGGAACCAAAAUAUAUUUGUUGAGUUUUAUUUGCAAUUUAUUUUAUUAGCAUAGCAAAAAGUUUAUUUUUGAAAACUUGCAUUUUAGGCCGGAUAAAAGUUCACAAGGUCAUAUAUAAGACCAUAUUGCUAUGUGAAUUUUCUGGGAAUUCUUAAACUUAUUUUCAUUUGUCUUUUGGUGCUUUAAUGCUGCUGUAAGAAAAAACGUUUAAAAAAACGCAGCCCAGCAGGCCCAUGCCCAGGCGCUAUCUUCUUCUUCCUCUCAAGGUUACAUAAACAUGUACGCACUCAGGCACGCAGCACCCCACCUUAGCGCCCUACCCCUCCCCUCCUCUCCCUCGCUCCAAAACCGCUCUGAAUCGGUUCCCCUCGCCUCCCUCUACCUUUUCUCCUUCACUGGUGUGCCUUAAUUCCCCCUCUAAUGGCCAUUAGAAGCCCAAGUAACAGCCACCAUUAACAUCAUAAAGUCGGCAACGCUCAGCUCAUCUCCAGACCUCCCCAAGCCCUAUAUAAAGCACCCCUGGGAGCCCCUCUCACCCCUCGUCCGAAGCCCUCUCUUGUUGGAGUUUUUCCCCUCCCUAACCUCGCCAAUUGCUCGCCGGAGUUCGUGAAUUCCGGCGACCUCUUAGCGUGCGUACAGGAAGCAAUCUACAACCACAACUUGUGCAAGUGGUUCAACUCAUCGUCCUCUACAUCGUUUCGCACGCGUCCUUCGCCGAAGCACACCGGAGCCACCUUCUUCCUCGUCUCCGGCGACAAGUCCGGCGAGCACCCAGCCAGCGAAUCACAGAGCGUCAUUUGUCCCUGGCCGAUUUUUUUCUCUUUUUCAGGAAUUUUUUCAAAUUCAGAUUCUUUACCAAAUCUUCUUUCUUGUAUAUCUUUUAGUCUAUAGAUCCAAUUUAGUUGAUUCUUUUUCCUACUAAUUCAUAGAAAUCCUAUCUAUCCAAAGAACCAAACGAAAAAUAUUUUUGAAAAUUUUAAAAAUUUGAAUUCAAACAGAUCUGAAUUCAAACUUCGUUAGGCCGUAUCUCGAGUUUCGUAACUCCGUUUUAGGUGAUUCUUGUUGCAAAUCGAACCUCGUAACGUGUACUUUCUGGUAAAACCAAAACCAUUUAUUUUUGUUGCUGUAAAAAUUACGUUCUGUACAGAAACUUUAUUUGGUUGUUUUUGGAGUUUUCCGAAGUCUUUUAUUUGUUUUCUUUUUGGAUCUUUGCUUGUAUGCUUAUGUAUGUUAUUGCUUGUUUACGCUAGAUCAUCCGGAGUGCGAAGCUUGCUACUACGAAUCUUUAUAGUUCAACGAAUGUCAGCAAGGCAAGUUCACACUUUGAUCAUACUUUUCAAUACCCAGUUUUUACUAUGCAUUAGUUUCACCCUCAAAGAUUGCAUCAGUAGGAUUGGGAAGAUGUGGUUAUGCUAUGUAGUUCAUGUGGUAGGAACCUAUGACCUUUUGACCACCCCGGGAAUAUUCGUUAUAUCAUAUAUUGCUUAGCCAUGCUCGUAGACGGGGAUUGGUAUGUGUGAUCCAUGCAAAUUGUGAGAGAUAAUAAUUUUGGGACAACAUAAGGUGGCAACUUUAAUACACGUCUGGGUGGAUUGUUUGGGACACCUGGAGUAACCAGUGCUUGCCCAAGGGGAAUCCCGGAGUACACAUGUGAUUACCCUAGGUCCGCCACCCAGGCUCAAAGGGAUCAAAAGAUAUUUAAUGCCUAAAAACUUCCGUGUGCAGCCACAAGCCAUUAUGGGCUCUGGCAUAGUUGAGUAAGUUGUGUGACCUCUUUCCGUGGUAUACUAGCUGAUGUAGGGGAAAGUAGGUGUACCGGUCUACCCAGGGUUAAGGGGAAACGCUUCUGAAAGGCUAUGUCUCGAUCUUCCGAUCAUGGAGGUGGUCGAGUCUUGUGGGGAAAAGUGCGCAAACCUCUGCAGAGUGUACAAACUAAUCAUGAUUAGCCGUGUCCCCGGUUAUGGACAAUUUGAGUGUCUAGAAGUGAAUUAUUGGUUGAUCUCAUCACUCUAUUUAAUGAAAUUAUUGGGUUACUAAUAACUUGGGAAUUUUGGGAUUGAGUUGGAGGAACCUUCUCAAUAAUGGCAUUUUAAUUUAGUAGUAAAAAAAGUUUAUUCCUUUGUUGUAAGGUAAAUUUAGCUUUAUGCAAAAAUAAAACUUAGAGCCUUUAAACUGCCUGCUGAAUCCAUGAGCAGGCAAGAGACAACCUCGUUGACAGCCUCCUCAACCCAAGCUUCCAUCUCCUGCUCCAGACAUCGACGCUUAAAAACGCUUUUUUGUCGAUUAUUUAUCAAGAAAGCAAAAAGGGUUAUUCCCAUUUGUCUCUAUCUAUUGGUGGGGAGGUAUAUGAAAUGCUUGCCAUCCACACCAGAAUAGAUAGAGUUUUCCGAAGAAACCUGCUAGUGGAGGCGGCGGGGGAAGGAAGGGGACACUGGGCGGGAUCUUUCAGCAAAUGUAUAACUCCCCAGGAAUUUCAAUUGCUCAACCAAUGAUUUUGAUUAGACACUUCUCCUUGUUGAAUGAGAAUGAAGGAAGAGUGCCGAACGACUAAAGCUAACAGCCAGCCCGGAUCCAUUCAAAGGAUUUCUUUACCACUGCUCCCGAUGGCCAAAGGACCGAUUCUAUUCCUGAUAGAAGGAUCAUGGCGCCCCGGAAGAAACUUCGCUUUGCCACCCAGGUAUAACCAAAGCCUUCCCCACCAGCUAAAUUUGCAUAUAGGGAUAGUCUUUUCAUUUAUUAUUAUUCUAUGGUGUGAAAUUGCCAGCAUAUUCCAUGUGCUAACCUACAUGGCUGCAAUGUCUCAUGUUGCAGACUUUUCCGACGAAGAUUAAAGGUGCGAUAGGUCGUUGUUCUACACUCAAUUUGCCAUGGAGUUGGAUGGACUCAUUUACCUUCAAUGCUUCCGCAGUUAUUUUUAUUGAGAUGGCCUUUGGCCAUAUUAUUGUAAUAAAUACUCUUUUGAGGACCUUGAUGUAAUAAAGCGUGUGGUUGAACUUUGUUAUAAUUCCUCGAGUACUGUGUGUGUCAGCAUACCGAUCCAGGGAUGACACUUAAGCACAGAGACUUCGAUCCAUUUGGGUCAGGUCGCUACAAUACUUUAUUGGAUAUGGUGCGAUCUAUGAUGUCUCUUACCGAUUUACCACUAUCGUUUUGGGGUUAUGCAUUAGAGACAACUCCAUUCACUUUAAAUAGGGCACCGUAUAAACUGUGGUUUUGCAAGAAACCUAAGCUGUCGUUUCUUAAAGUUUGGGGUUGUGAUGCUUAUGUGAAAAAGCUUCAGCCUGAUAAACUCGAACCCAAAUCGGAGAAGUGCGUCUUCAUAGGAUACACAAAAGGGACUGUUGGGUACACCUUCUAUCACAGAUCCGAAGGCAAGAUAUUUGUUGCUAAGAAUGGAUCCUUUUCAGAGAAGGAGUUUUCUCUCGAAAGAAGUGAGUGGGAGGAUAGUAGAACUUGAUGAGGUAAUUGUACCUUCUCUUGAAUUAGAAAGUAGUUCAUCACAGAAAUCAGUUCCAGUGAUGCCUACACCAGUUAGUGAGGAAGCUAAUGAUGAUGAUCAAGAAACUUUAGAUCAAGUUACUACCGAACUUCGUUGGUCAACCAUAGCACGUUCCGCACCAGAGUGGUAUGAUAAUGUUGUUCUCGAAGUCAUGUUACUAGACCAUGACAAACCUACGAACUAUGAGGAAGCGAUGAUGAGCCCAGAUUCCGCAAAAUGGCUUGAGGCCAUGAAAUCUGAGAUGGGAUCCAUGUAUGAGAACAAAGUAUGGACUUUGGUGGACUUGUCCGAUGAUCGGCAAACCAUAGAAAAUAAACGGAUCUUCAAGAGGAAGACGGAUGUUGAUGGUAGUGUUACUAUCUACAAAGCUCGACUUGUCGCAAAAGGUUUUCGACAAGUUCAAGGAGUUGACUACGAUGAGACCUUCUCACCAGUAGCAAUGCUUAAGUCUGUCCGAAUCAUGUUAGCAAUUGACGCAUUUUAUGAUUAUGAAAUCUGGCAAAUGGAUGUCAAAACUGCAUUCCUUAAUGGAUUUCUUAGAGAAGAGUUGUAUAUGAUGCAACCAGAAGGUCUUGUCAAUCCUAAAGGUGCUAACAAAAUGUGCAAGCUCCAGCGAUCCAUCUAUGAACUAGUGCAAACAUCUCGGAGUUGGAAUAUACGCUUUGAUGAACUGAUGAAAGCAUAUAGUUUUAUAUAGACUUGCGGUGAAGCCUGUAUUUACAAGAAAGUGAGUGGGAGCAUCACAACCUUCCUGAUAAGUAUAUGUGAAUGCCAUAUUGUUGAUCGGAAAUGAUGUAGAAUUUUCUGGAAAGCAUAAAGGAGUGUUUGAAAGAAGUUUUUCAAAGAAAGACCUCAGUGAAGUAACUUACAUAUUGGGCAUCAAGAUCUAUAAAGACAGAUCAAGACGCUUGGUAAGACUUUUGAUGAGUACAUACCUUGAUAAGAUUUUGAAGGAGUUCAAAAUGGAACAUUCAAAGAAGGAGUUCUUGCCUGUAUUGCAAGGUGUAAAGUUGAGUAAAACUCAAAACCCGACCAUUACAGAAAAUAGAAUGAGAAUGAAAGUCAUUCCCUAUGCCCCAGCCAUAGGUUCUAUAAAGUAUGCUAUGCUGUGUACCAGACCUAUUGUGUACCUUAUCAUAAGUUUGGCAAGGGGAUACGAUAGUGAUUCAGGAGUGGAUCACUAGACAGCGGUCAAAGUUAUCGUUAGUUACCUAAGAGGACUAAGGAAAUGUUUCUUGGUUAUGGAGGUGAUAAAGAGUUCGUCGUAAAGAGUUAUGUCGAUGCAAGCUUUGACACUGAUCCAGAUGACUCUGAGUCUCAAUCUGGAUACACAUUGAAAGUGGAAGCAAUUAGCUAGAGUAGCUCCGUGCAGAGCAUUGUAGACAUAGAAAAAUUGCAAAAUACAUACGAAUUUGAAUGUGGCAGACCCGUUGACUAAACUUCUCUCACAAGCAAAACAUGAUCACACCUUAGUACUCUUUGGGUGUUAAUCACAUGGCGAUGUGAACUAGAUUAUUGACUUGGGUGUUAGUCACAUGGCGAUGUGAACUAUGGGUGUUAAUCACAUGGUGAUGUGAACUAUCGGUGUUAAAUCACAUGGCGAUGUGAACUAGAUUAUUGACUCUAGUGCAAGUGGGAGACGGAAGGAAAUAUGCCCUAGAGGCAAUAAUAAAGUUGUUAUUUAUAUUUCCUUAUAUCAUGAUAAAUAUCUAUUAUUCAUGCUAGAAUUGUAUUAACCGGAAACUUGAUACAUGUGUGAAUACAUAGACAAAACACCGUGUCCCUAGUAUGCCUCUACUUGACUAGCUGUUAAUCAAAGAUGGUUAAAUUUCCUAACCAUGGGCAUGUGUUGUAAUUUGAUGAACGGGAUCACAUCAUUAGGAAAAUGAUGUGAUGGACAAGACCCAUCCGUUAGCUUAGCAUGAUGAUCGUUAAGUUUUAUGCUAUUGCUUUCUUCAUGACUUAUACAUAUUCCUUUGACUAUGAGAUUAUGCAACUCCCGAAUGUCACAACGUAAAUAGGUGAUUAUAAAGAUGCUCUACAGGUAUGUCCGAAGUUGUUUGUUGGUUUGGCAUAGAUCGAGAUUAGGAUUUGUCACUCCGAGUAUCGGAGAGGUAUCUCUGGGCCCUCUCGGUAAUGCACAUCAUAAUAAGCCUUGCAAGCAAUGUGACUAAUGAGUUAGUUAUGGGAUGAUGCAUUACGGAACGAGUAAAGAGACUUGCCGGUAACGAUAUUGAACUAGGUAUGAAGAUACCGACGAUCGAAUCUCGGGCAAGUAACAUACCGAUGACAAAGGGAAUAACGUAUGUUGUUAUUGCGGUUUGACCGAUAAAGAUCUUCGUAGAAUAUGUAGGAACCAAUAUGAGCAUCCAGGUUCUGCUAUUGGUUAUUGACCGGAGAUGUGUCUUGGUCAUGUCUACAUAAUUCUCGAACCCGUAGGGUCCGCACGCUUAACGUUCGAUGACGAUUUGUAUUAUGAGUUAUGUGUUUUGGUGACCGAAGUUUGUUCGGAGUCCCGGAUGAGAUCACGGAUAUGACGAGGAGUCUCGAAAUGGUCGAGAGAUAAAUAUUGAUAUAUUGGAAGGUAGUAUUCGGACACCGGAAGGGUUCCGGAGUGUAUCGGGUACAUACUGGAAUACCAGAGGGGUUACCGAAACCCCCCGGGAAAAGAUAUGGGCCAUAUGGGCCAUAGGAGGGAGGCUAACCAGCCACAAGGGGCUGGCAUGCCUCCCACAAGGGAGGAGGCCUAAUUGGAUUAGGUAAGGGGGCGGCGCCCCCCUUUCCUUCUCCUACUCCCUCUCCUUUCCCCCUCCGGAAAAAGGAAAAAAGGGGGGCGAAUCCUACUAGGACUGGAGUCCUAGUAGGACUCCCCUCUCCUUGGCGCGCCCCUGGUGGCUGGCCUCCUCCCAUCCUCCUUUAUAUACGGAGGCACCACAAGGCACAUCAGUUAUUCUCUUAGCCGUGUGCGGUGCCCCCCUCCACAGUUUAUGCCUCCGGUUAUAGCGUCGUAGUGCUUAGGCGAAGCCUUGCGCGGAUCACAUCACCAACACCAUCAUCAUGCUGCCGUGCUGACGGAACUCUCCCUCGACCCUCUACUGGAUUAAGAGUUCGAGGUACGUCAUCGUGCUGAACGUGUGCUGAACACGGAGGUGCCGCACGUUCGGUACUUGGAUCGGUUGGAUCGUGAAGACAUUCGACUACAUUAACCACGUUAACAUAAUGCUUCUGCUUUCGGUCUACGAGGGUAUGUGGACACACUCUCCCCUUCUCAUUACUAUGCAUCUCCUAGAUAGAUCUUGCGUGAUCGUAGGAAUUUUUUUAAAAUUGCAUGCUACGUUCCCCAACAAGAACUUUUGUGCACAAGGAGAGAACAGAUGUGCAAGAUAUUUGUUUUCAGUUAUUUAGCUCAGACAGUUUACUUCUGAAUCCUAAAUUUAGCCAUCAUAUGUGAGAAGAAUUCAAAGUGGCGGGAGCGCAGGCGAUCCUGUCGGGUCGAAAGCAUGUACGAUAAUUGAUCAGCAGAGAAAUAAUCCUCAUGGGUGAUUCCUACCCUGCUUCUCUGUAACGGUAUAUACACGAAGCGCUUGGCACACGCAAGAGGGAAAUCGUGGUGGAUGAUUCUUCUGAACUUUUGAUUUCCAAUUCCAUCAAUCUCUGAACUCUUAGUCUGCGCACGACCUACCAAUCAACCGAAAGAACAAGAAGCGAAAGAAAGUGGCACGGAGCGGCGGCGGGGGUACCUGCGGAUCGGCGCCGGGGAAGACGGACUGGAGUGCCUCGAUGGGGUCGAACUCCAUGUUGAUGCCGAGGUCGGCUACCGCGGCCGCAGCGGCGGACGGCGAGCACCGGCCCCGCUUCGCCUGCAGCACCUCGAAGGGGUCCUCCAGGAAGGCCGCCGCCCCGCGCUUCUGGGUACCCUCGACCUCCGCCGCCAUGGCCCGGCGAGAAAGGGGCCGGGGCUUGGAUGGCGACGAGCUUGGCACGCGCUCCUCUGCUAGGUGCCCCUGCCCUCGAUGGUUUGCGGUGCGGCAAGGCGAGCUGUGUGGUCGGUGGAUGCUGCUGCUCCUCUGCUAGGUGCGGCGAGCUGCUGGACGAUCUCAGGCACCCACCUUUAAGCGGGCUGCUGCUGCUCCACCGACGUGGAGGCUCUACGGCGGCUCCCCCGGACGGAUCUGGCACUCUCUCCGUCAGAUCAGAUUGGGGAGGGGAGCUACUAGCCUUGGACGGAAGGAGGAGGGGGGUCGAGACCUACAGCCAGGCGCGUGGUCACCGCCCAUGGUCGUUGGGGGAGGGGUGGCAACGACCGGCUAGGCAGGGUAUCCAUACCUGGACUCUUAUGGUUGACANNNNNNNNNNNNNNNNNNNNNNNNNNNNNNNNNNNNNNNNNNNNNNNNNNNNNNNNNNNNNNNNNNNNNNNNNNNNNNNNNNNNNNNNNNNNNNNNNNNNNNNNNNNNNNNNNNNNNNNNNNNNNNNNNNNNNNNNNNNNNNNNNNNNNNNNNNNNNNNNNNNNNNNNNNNNNNNNNNNNNNNNNNNNNNNNNNNNNNNNNNNNNNNNNNNNNNNNNNNNNNNNNNNNNNNNNNNNNNNNNNNNNNNNNNNNNNNNNNNNNNNNNNNNNNNNNNNNNNNNNNNNNNNNNNNNNNNNNNNNNNNNNNNNNNNNNNNNNNNNNNNNNNNNNNNNNNNNNNNNNNNNNNNNNNNNNNNNNNNNNNNNNNNNNNNNNNNNNNNNNNNNNNNNNNNNNNNNNNNNNNNNNNNNNNNNNNNNNNNNNNNNNNNNNNNNNNCGGCGAUCCGGACAAACGGCGGGGGUGGCGAUCCGGAGAGGGGAUCGAUCGAGAGACGGUGUCGGGGCGGCGGCGAGGGGAUUAACAGACGUGCGGGUGGGGGGUUGGGGGCGAGGGGAUCGUGCGAGGGGUGGUGUGGGGUGGGGUGGGGUGUAGGGACGAAAAAAACCAGACGAAAAAACCCGAACGAAAGUGGGGGACGAAAAUAAACCGUGAAUACUGUUCAACCAAUUCAUCCAUUAGGAAUAGAGAUCAUCCUCUGUCCAAUCUUGCCCUGACUGUGUACGGACUGUCGAAUACUUCAAACAAUGAGCAAUUUGAAGUUCAGAAAUAUGACAAAUAUCUGAAAAUGGAUUCAUUUUUGUUGAAAUAACAUUGUGUAGAGUGGAAAUGCAGAACUAUACGUUCCUAUUUGAACAACUGGUAUUGAAUAUAUGGUCAACCUUCUUAGAAAAACUACAAAGUCUAAACAUUAUUGUGUGAUACAUAUGGAAAUUUGUGAUGUCUAUAUUUCUGAAAUAUAUUUACUUUAGAAAAAGUUUUAAACAUGCCAUUGCAUUAUUUUUCAUAUUUUUGGCCAAGACGCUCCGCGGGGCGAUGGCACAUGGUCGGCAAGGCAGCGUUCUACAGCGCACCAGCCCGCAACGAAGGCGGCGCCCACGGCGCAGCCGUGGCGUUCGGUGGGCACCGCGGGGGCAGUGCUACCGGUCGCCGGCACGGCCCUGCAGCUGCUUCCCCAGACGGCAGUGCCCAUGGCUGUGGCCCAUUGGCCCCCGGCCGGGUUCCCUGCGGAGGCGUGCGGGUGGCGGCCUCUGACUUGAAGUCUUCUUGAGAUUUGUACGCCGAUUGCUUGGUCGUCGCUUUGUGUUGUCACUACGUGUACUAAAGAUUAGUUAUUUCGCUUUGACUUGGAGUGAGGUGCAGUGGGUUCAGGUUGCUGCUGCUGAAUUUUUUGUAUGUGAUGUUCUAAUGAUUGUGUAUCUGACCAAACGUAGUUGCGCUUUUGACAAUGUAUUGGCCUUCCUUUGCUGCACCGAAGUUAGUGAAUUGUUCACCAUGCUUGACUUUGUUCUAAGCAGGGAAAUUUGUGGUGAUUUGUAAUCAAACUUGCAAAGAACAUCCUUACUUCUGAUUAUGUUUGAAGAGGUAUGAUGGAUGGUUGAUCUGAGACCUACUGUUUGAUGUUUGUUUGCCUUUGCUUUCUAACCAGUGAGGGCUGAAGUGACUGAAUCUGGAAGUGCUUUAGCGAUUGAUGCUCUGUCCCAAGUUAAGCAUAUUCUACUUCCGGUC
Molecule: long non-coding RNA, 188321 nt
Filed under: Triticum aestivum (bread wheat)
Lineage: Eukaryota; Viridiplantae; Streptophyta; Magnoliopsida; Poales; Poaceae
Description: long non-coding RNA (TAES_LNC018027)
Rfam family: MIR1120/MIR1122 microRNA precursor family (bases 24825-24949)
Source: RNAcentral